GGAGGAAGAGGAGGAGGAGGAGGAGGAGGAUGUGGUGGAAUUUUGAAUGGAUAAGUCCUGUAUGUAGGAGCUAGCUGAUUCCAGCAGUCUCUGUCAAUACUAGCAGUGAUCAGCAGCUAGCAGGCUUGGGGGCUCGUAUAUAGCAGCAGACCAAAGGUGCUGUUGCGAUUUGCAUGGCUCAUAGAUGACGUAGGGUUCAUGGUUUCAGUGGGGUGUGGGGUGGGGGGGGGGGAAACGGUAAUAAUGGUAAAUGUAUGUCAAAUGAAAUUUGAGUGUAUUAUUGAGAGAUUUCUAGCAAUCUGUUAAUAAAAUUUAUUUUUAUCAAAAAAAGGAGUAAAAGAGCAUAAUAUUAUUAAGUUAUAAUAAAAUUUGAUGCAUAUAUCAAUAAAAGUAGAUAUUCUGUGCAUUUGAAUACAACAGUAUACUAUGAUUGUACCAUUGUCAGAUGUUUAACAAAUUUAUUAAUGGAUAUUAAAGUGUUAGAUUUUAUCUCAUAUUUUCCCAAUUUAUGACUCAGAUUUUAAAUUGAUUAACUCAUUAGAGAAUAAAAAACUCAUCCCGUUGCUAAACUGGACAAGUAACAAAUACUCAUGUCCAUAAUGGGGCUUUGCUUCUUAUUGAAAUUCUAUAAUGUGAACCAAACCCUAAAUCCCUCCAUCCUGAAAUAUAAACUAAACUACUCAAUAUUCAAAGCAAAUUCCGGUCAGUAAAAGUUUGUUCGAAUUUGAUUUGCAAACUAACUUAAUCAAGUUACAAUAAAAUUUUAUGUUUAAAAAAAUUUUAACUGCAGCUCGAGCAUAGCUCGAUAAUCAUAAAAUUGGAUUUUAUAGAUAAAAAUUACUCGAAUUGGACUCAAUAAAAAUUCUUUUGAACUUGCCUCAGUAAAUAAACGAGUCAAUCCUAAAUACUAUCUCAAAAUUCUUUAAAAUAAAUAAACAAGAUACUUGGUUUGAUUAGACACAUUCACAGCCCUAUUUUUCAUAUGCUCGAUAAUAACAUAUUUCUGCACUGGACCAGAUCAGGAAUAGGUAUCUAACUCGUUGAGUUUUGGGACAUGUUUAUCAUUUUUUAAAAUCUUUUUUUUAUUUCUUGUUUUUGUAGGAAAAAACUAAAGGAUGUGUUUGGAUUAGAGACCAAUGAACUUUUUUCCCCCUCGUGCCUAAUUGCAGAUUAAAAGGAAGAACUAGUUCUUAGAUAACGUUUCUAAGUACAACUCUAUUACUCAGAAAACUGGUCUACCUGACUGUGGGUUUUCCUUUAGUCAGGCCAUUUUGUCAUUAGUGAUGAUUGCUUCUUCUAAACCUUAGCUCACUGCACACGCCAAGCGUAUGAAAGCCAAACUUAAAUUGAACUCGUCAAGUUGCAAAAUAAGAAAAUUUGGGUUACGUUUGGUAUGAGUAGUAAGGGAAAAUUUAAUUCCUAUAUUUAUGAUUCUUGACUAAUGUGAUUGCUCAUCUAUGACCACGUAUCAGUUUUAUACCUUAUCUUCAUUUAAAUGUGACGAUUGUAGAAUUGAUGGCUGAAACUGAAAGGAAACUGAAAAAGAAAUGUCAUGUGAGUGCAUACGCAUGUUAAAACAAUACAAAUUAUAACCAAUUUGAUCCCUUGUUUUUAAGGUUUUGAUCGUUUUGGUUCCUUAGUAUCAUGACAAGCCAAUUUUGCCUCUUAAAUUUAAAAAUAUGGUUAGGGAGGUCCUUUUGAUAGAAAUUUGAGUCGCUAAUGAAGUGAAGAGACCCUUUAAUGCCUUUCGUGUCACAUCCGUCUCAACAGUAUAUUAAAGUUUCAAAAAAUCUCAAAUAAGUCAUAAAACUCAUAAAACUAAACCCAAAACUCUUUAUCGUGAAGAAAAUAAAUUUUUGUAACUUUAAAAUAAAUCAAACACAAAACUUUAAACAUAAUUAUGGAAUUUGUGCCAUUUCCGAGUUGAAAUAUCAUGAAAAAGAGUACCUAAAGGUGAAAGAAAAAAUGCAUAAAUUUAUGUUUGACAUAGUAUAAAAAACUUUUAUUUCAUUAUAUUGAAGGAGUUUAUAGUUUUAGGCUUUUGUUUGAAUGCUUGGUGUUUUCUGCAAGAUGGUACGAAGUACGCUCUAAGGUCUCUUAACUCCGUUAACAACUCUAAAUUAGCCUUGGCCAAAUUCUUAAAAUUUAAGAAAAAUUGGUUCGCCAUAAUACAAAGGGACUAUUUUGUUAAUACAUUGGAGAUAAGAACCCAGAUUAAUUAAUUUUUAUUCUUUGCCUAAUUCAAGUGAUUUCUCCGUUAGCUUCCCACAAUUUUGCUGCAUUAGUCUCUUUGAUGGAGAUAGAGCACUAAAUUUGUUGAUAUGACAGACCAUAUUGGCUGAGACUUCAAAGAUAGAUGACCAAAGCAACAACAUUUCCUAAGUAGUUCAUGAAUCAAUUUCAUUGUAUAGUUAGAUAUGAUAGAGAAGAUGUAUCUUUUUUAAAAAUGAAAGGAAAUAAUAUUAAGUUAUAGAUGAUUUCUUGAAUAAAAGGGCAAUAAUAUUAUUGUACUCACUUUUUUAUUAUUUUUAACUUAGAAUAGUUUUCAUGAGGGGUAAAAUAUACAUAUUUAAUGUUAAUGGGAGCAAAGUGUGAUUAUCCACUAAGUUUAGGGGACGCAAAGUGUUAUUAACCCUUUUUAUAACUCACAAUUGUAUUCGAACUUAACUUACGCUGUAACCGUUAGGAUUUUCUAAUAUUCAUUCGACAACUCAGUAACCAUCCUAUUGUAUAAUAACUAUGCUACACCUCAUCAAAGCCUGAUAAGAUGAAGAAAAUUUCUUUUCUGGCAUCUUAAUGCCUUAUAUCCAGUAUUGAGGGAAAAAAAUUAGUCGCAUUACAGUCUGAGAAUUUGAAUCCAGCAAUUUCAUGGUCUGAUGUAGUCACCCAAGUAGGUUCUCCUUAAAACAGGGUCUUGAGGCAAAAUACACAUCAAAUAGGUCAUCUGUCGAUCUUUGAUUAUGUCUACACGUUCAAAAGAUAGGCUUAAUCAUAUUAGUGGAAAUAACUCAUAGUUCAUCAUAUAUUAAUUUGCUAUUCAAUUUAGUUUGAAUACAUGAUCAAUGUUAUCGUAUGCCAAAAAAGAUUGAGGAUACUUUUGACCUAGUUCUUUGCACUAACUUGAAAUCUACCAAUUGUUCUUUCUUUGAUGCACUUGCAAAAUCUCCUGCAAAAGUAAAAUAACUCGGUGAAUUUUGGCUAACUGAGAGGCCCUAUCUUCUUUUUACUUCUUUAGCACAAGCGAAGAAUGAAUUUGUGCAUAAUAACCGUGUGAUUCUAAUGAGAUAUGAUUUUUUUGGUUUUGCAUGCUGGUUAAACAAUUGUUCAAGCUCUUAUCUCGGUUUUUGAUACUUCACCGGUAUGUGGAUGUUGCUGCUAAAGUAAUUUACAUUUGUCAUUAGACGAAUUUUCUAUUUUAUGACUGGCAAGUGAUUUGGUAUCUUAGCAGUUCAUCGAUUUUGGUGCUUUGUUUACAAUUUAAUUGGCUUCAAUGGUCCAUACAUAUAGGAACUUGGAAUUUACCCUUUUAUUUCCUUUUGCAUGAGCAAAGAUUAGUAAUUUUUAAUCAUAAUUUUCGAUUCCUCUAUUCUGGCCAUAGUGAAGAAUCUACCUUUUUGUACUUGUGUAUAUGCACACCAAACAUCAUUGGGCUGUCUACUUUUGACAUUAUUCUUGAAUUACUCAGUUUAGAAUGUGUAUUAGCUGCUGGAAGCAAAUGCAUCAUCGUUGGCAAUUACUAAACAGAAAAUAUGCAUGCCAUUACUAUUUUCACUGAAAUUAGCACCUAACUUAUAGUGAUCUAAUUAAAGGUUAACCACAUUGGUUUUGACUAGAACUAAGAGAUCACUAGCCCUCUUAUUUUUGGAUUUGCAUUAAUCCAGUAUCAUCAAACUUCUUCAAAUGGGCUCUUUAGCUACUAACCCCUUCAAAAAUAAUUUAGGCUUACGGUUCUGUUGAUGUCGCAAUUGCAGGAGGUUCAGAAGAUAACGAAAGGCUCAUCUAAGAUUUCUUAAGGUGUUUGGCGUAUAUUGCUAGAUUUACUUAGGGUCUGUUUGGAUUGUAAGUUAUUUGGGAUUAUUUGGAAUAUUUUUACUGUAGCACUUUUUGUGAUGUGAUGUAUGUGAGAUAAAAAGAUAUUGGAAAGAUAAAAAGGUGUAUUGGAAAUUGUAAAGAUGAUGUAAGCAAAUAAAAUUGGGGAAAUAUGAAGCAAUCCAAACAAACUUAAUCUAUUUUCAUUCUUCUCCGAUGUCAUUAUUGUUAAAGUUCAAUUCAUAAGUUCGUUGUGUUAGAAAAUUGGCUUAAUUUCUUUUUAGAUAGGUUUUUGUUUUGUGUAAAAGUAACUAGUUUCCUAAUUGAUUUUAGUUACUCGAAAUAGUAGCCAAGAAAUUUCUUAUUUUGUUUAGAAUUAGAAGUUAUUUCUUAUUUUCUACAAGUCUAGGAAUUAGAAUUAAUUUUCUGUUGUUAUUUGGAUUUUUUGACCAAAUAAUGUUUUUAUAAAUAGGUGGGUUGGCAUACUAUAAAAGAGACACAUAAAGGCACACAAGGACGACAUGUAACCUUAUACAUGGGUGGUGAGAGAGAGUUCUUAGGAGAUGAGAAAUGGUAUCAAAGGUUGUACUUGAAUUCGAGUUAUAUUCUUGUAUAAGGUUUUUCUUUCAUAAUAAAGAACAAGUUUCUCUCCGUGGACGUAGGUUCAAUGGAGUCAAACUACGUUAAAUAUUGUGUGUUGUUUAUCUUUCAUACUUGUGGCUUGUUUCUCAUUAAAUUAUUGUGUACUUGAUAUCUUAAUAGUUAUUUAUUUUGCAUUUAGUUCCUAACAAAUGGUAUCAGAACUUGGUUGCAAGAUUGGGCUGCUCACAAGCACUUGGAUCCCAACAAACUGAAUAGUUGGAUCAAGAGUUUGGUUGUUCAAGGUUGGAUCCUAAUUAACUAUUGAGAUCAAGUAGGUUGGUGACUGUUACCAAUUGAACAAUUUAAUGGGCGGUAUCCUUAUUUCAAGAGUUUGGCAAAAAUCAUUGACGGUGAAUGAUGAAAAGUCGAAAAGCAUGGAGAUACUUGACGAUGAAUCUAAGCAGGUGAUUCAAGAGUCAAGGAAAAGGUGGAAUCCAAUGUCGAUUUUGGACGUGAAUCGGUGGAGACUUUCUCACAAUUUCAACGGUUGAUACUUCAUCCCGGUGGUUUUUAGAUUUCGCUUAUGUUUUUUGAGUGGUACGGCACGUGUUCAAAGAUGGAGAUUUGUUAGGAAAUUGACUUAAUUUCUUUUCAGACAUGUUUUUGUUUUGUGUGGAAGUAACUAGUUUACUAAUUGGUAUUAGUUACAUGAAAUAGUAGCCAAGGAAUUUCUUAUUUUAUUUAGGAUUAGAAAUUAUUUCCUAUUCUGUACAAGUCUAGAAAUUAGAAUUGGUUGUCUAUUAUUAUUUAAUUUUUUGGCCAAAUAAUAUUCUCUAUAAAUAGGUGGAUUGGCAUACUACAAAGAGACACACAAAAGCACACAAGAGACGACAUGUAGCCUUAUACAUGGGUGGUGAGAGAGGAUUUUUAGGAGAUGAGAGAUGGUAUACAAAGGUUGAAUUGGGGUUCAAGUUGUGUUCUUGUAUAGAAUUUUUCUCUUAUAAUAAAGAAUGAGUUUUUCUCUGUGGAUAUAUGUUCAAUGGUGGAGUCGAACCACAUUAAAAAAUAGUGUGUCAUUUAUCUUUCAUGCUUGUGGCUUGUUUCUCAUUAAAUUGUAGUGUACUUGAUAUCUCAAUAGUUGUUUAUUCCACGCUUGGAUCCUAACAGACUGCUAAACCAAGAUUGAUGUAAUUGCAUCCUAUACUUGAGAUAAUAGAAAUAAUAAAAACAAGAGAGUUUGCAAUUCAAUUGAUUAAGGGAAGAACAGAGAAAAUCCCUGAAAAUAGGAAUUAAAGGAAACAAAGGAAACCCUAAAACUAGUUUCCAAGAACAAUUCUGUCGAAGACAGAAAACAAAGAAAAUAGUUUCAAAGGCUAUAUCGUUAUUUAGAAAACAAGAAGCACUUGAAGGUGAAUGUUGCAGAAAGUAGAAGAUCCCACUACAAUUUACUAAUUCAAGGAGCUGUAAUUAAGAAAGAAAGAAGACAACUCAGAGAAUUAGGGAUUGUUAUUGAUUGAUGAAUGAGUAGGAAGAAUGUAGAUGAAGAUGAUAAUCAAUUACAAGUAAUGGAAAUCGGAAAUCCAAGAACUGCCUUCAACUUACCACCCUCCUCUCUUUUAUUCAGCUACUACACUUGUCCAAGUCAGCUAAUUCAUUACAACCAACCGACAUACAAGAAUUAUAAGGAUUUAUUCAUUAAGUCCCUAUCAUACUUGCUUUAUUACAAAAAAAAAAAAAAAAACCCUAUCAAUAAAACUAAGGUAACAAAUACUUCCCCCUCAGAGAAUCCUUGUCCUCAAGGAUUAAAUUCAGGAAAUUGUUGUUUAAGGUCAAACCAGAAUUCCCAGAUAGCAUCUUCAAGAAAAGAAUUGCUUCACUAUGCCAAAACUUUUGUAGCAAGAGAGUUACCACAUUUCACCAAUUUCUGAUCAAGUAUGGCUAUAGGCUCCAUUAAUAAUUAUCCCUGUGUAUUGAUUGCAAAAGGAAUGUGUGAGGUAACUAGUGAGUGCCCACUUUCUUCUUUAGAAGAGAUACAUAAAAAAUAGAGUGUAUUUUUGCCAUAUUAGGCAGCUAAAGCUGAUAUGCAACAGGGUGUACUCUUUUGAUCACUUGGAAAGGUCCAAAAAACUUAGAAGCUAACUUCUGACAAGAGUGUACCUUCAAAGAGUGUUGCCUCUACAGUUGUAGUUUCACAUAUACCCAAUCUCUUGCUGAGUACUGUCUAUCAGACCUGUGUUGGUCAGCUUGUUGCUCCAUCCUAUUUUGUGCCUUAUGAAGGUUGUACUUUAAGUGAUGCAAAACUAUCUCCCUUGCUGCCAAGAUUCUAUCCACCACUUCCACUACUGAAUUCCCAAGUAGACAAGGCAUAUGCAGAGAUGGUGCAUGACCAUACACCACCUCAAAUUGGAUAACCUUAGUGGCAGCAUGAAAUUUGGUAUUGUACCAAUAUUCAGCCAAGGGUAACUAGAUAGACCACUGCUUUGGAAAAUCUCCACACAUGCACCUCAAAUAUUACUCCAAACACCUGUUUACCACCUCAGUUUGACCCUCUGACUGAGGGUGGUAGGUAGAAGAGGUAUUAAUCUGCACUUUUAGUAACUUAAAAAGUUCUUGCCAAAAAGUGCUAAUGAAGACCACAUCCUUGUCACUAACAAUGCUCUGAGACAGUCUAUAGAUCUGAUCCAGGAAUAUGUGCAAAUAUAAAUGCUGAAUAAGCAUGUGACAAUGCCAAGAAGUGUGCAUACUUACCUAACUUGUCAACCACCACCAAGAUGGCUUGUUUACCAUGUGCAUUAGGUAAACCUUCCAUAAAGUCCAUGGAAAUUCACUCCAAACCUUUUGAGGCACACGUAAAAGUCAUAAUAAACCGAAAUAAGCAGUAUUGUCAUAUUUGUUGCACUGACAGACAUCACAUGCAGCCACAUAGUUGACUAUGUCUUGAUACAUUCUUCUCUAAUAAACCACCGACUUCAACUUCUUUUAGGUAGCAUAAACUCCUGAAUGCCUCCAACAGCACUAAAAUGCCACAAGUGAAUUAUAUUAUUCUUGAAUUGGCCGUCAUUUUCUACCACUAGUCUCCCCAUCCUCCUUAACUGCUAGUUGCUCCAUGUGUAAUAAGGUGAGACCUUAGAAAGAUCAAAUUGUAAUUGAGUGAUGAAGGUCUAUAGCCUUAUAUCUAUUUGCCAUCCCUUUUUAAUCACUAUCAAAGAUCACUAUUAACAAUGAUGAUGGCAAGAGCUUCUCUUGGUUCUGCUAGUUUUCUAAAGAGAGUAUCUCUCACCAUAUUAUAUGCUUCUUUCCUGUAUUGAAGCUCAUAAUCAAAUCUUACUAGCUUAGCCAUCCAUUUCUGCUGCACAAGAGUGUUCAAUCUUUGUUCCAUCAUAUAUUCAAUGCUCUAAUGGUCAUUUUUAAUGAUAACGUACCUUCCAAGUAGAUAAUGUCUCCACGUCUAUACAGCAGCAACUAUGGCUAAUAUUUGCACUUUUCCAAUAUACUAUCAUAUGCUAUUUCCCCAUACACCUAAAUUUUACAUUAUCCCCAAAGUAAAAUAAAGAAUAAAAAAAAAGUAAUGGGGAUAACGAAACUUCCUGAUAACUGAGGGGGCCAUGGACAGCUACAGGUGAGGGGCGAAUGAUUGUAGAGCUCGACGUGUGUUGAUGGUUGGCGGCGGUGGAGUUCGGAUGGAGAAGGAUGGAAGAAAGAAAGAAAGAAGAAAGAAAAAGAAGAGAGAAAGAAAGAAAGAAAAAGAAAAGGAAAAAGAAAGGAAAAGGAAGAGAAAAGAAAAGGAAAAUGCGAAUGGGAAUUGCUCUAAUCCCAGCUGGUUUUAUGUACUACUACUUUGCUUCUUGUACGAAGCUUGAAAUGCAGCAAGCGCGGAAAAUUUUUUUUUUUUUACAUCUGGUUUUGAUUUUUUUUUCCUUUUCUGUAUUUCCUUUUCUUUUCUUUCUAUUUUUUCUGCAAAAACAAUCAAAUAAAAAUCAAAUGAGAUGGAGUGAUUUUUUUAAAAAGGUAAAAAUAUAAAUAGAGAUAAAUAAAUAUAAAUAAAUAAUAAUAGAUAUUAACAAAUCAUAAAAUGAUUUAUGAAAUUUUUUUGGUGUCUACAUAUAUACACAUACUAAUAAUUUUUAUAUUUAUAUAUUUUUUCUAUUUAAUCUUACCUAUAAUUCUUCCUUAUUUUAUUUACUUUCUUUAAUUAAUUUUAUAUUUUUAAAAAUAUAACAUCUAAAAAUAUAUAUUAACAAAGAGGGCAUUCGUUAGACAGGCCCUAUUUUAUGUAGCAUAUAUGUCACUACAUGGAAAAAACUUUUUUAAUAGGUAUCCCGUUUUUUGACAUGAAAAAUACCUUUUGACUACAUUCUGACUAGCGCCAAAAGCUAUCCACUUUUGACAUGUUGCCCAUGUGGGUCCUUGAUGAUUGGUGUCACAAUUUUAACACAUGGUCGUACUAGGUACAAUGUGGUCAAUAUUGGAUUAGGAGCACUAAUUCAAAAAAGUUGGUGUAAUUGUACGGUUGUUAUUUUUAUAUAAAAUUUGGCACAUAUUUGUAUAAAUGUUUAUAUAUUUUUAUACAUUUUCAAAAAAUAUUUUAUAUAUAUUUUUAAAAAUAUAUAAAUUUUUGUAUAUAUAUUUUAAAAAUUUUGGCAUUUAUAAGCAAAAUUCUUACAUACAAUAAAAUAAUAGCAUGAUAUGAGAUGAAUAAUAAUUGAAUAGUACUGCUGUUGCCCCAUUUACCGGUGAUGCUACUUGUAACUUGAUGUUCAAAAAGCACCACCAUAACUUUUGCUGAACUAAAUUUGAAAAAGCAUUUCAUCGAAUUUGAAUGGCAUCGAAUAUAAAAUAAUGUUCAAAGUUGAUUUGACAAGUUGGUGAACCAAAUCGAACGAGCUUUUACCGGAUUGAACUUAAUUCGAAUAUUAGUAAUUUGAUUCAUCUUUCGACCUUAAUACCGGCCAAAAAAAAAAAAUAAUCAAUUACCAAUCAAGUAUAAUGUCUUAUUUUUUUACCAAGUUUUUAAGGGUGUGCACACCAUUGUUCUCCCUUUUCCUUUGACAUGUAAGGCCACUUUUCCUGCUUCAUGUGUUGCCUAAUUUAAGUUUCGUUUUAUGUUGACUCCUAAUUUAGCGUCUUCUUGAAAGCUCCGACUAUUGCUCGGAAAAAAUAUAUUGCUGUUGAAAACAUCAUCACAUAUUUGGAAAGAUUUACUUGUUGCUUGGGAUUUUAGGUUUGAUCUUUUAUUUCAUAAAGCAUUUUGUUAGAUUUCAAUGGCUUAAAAAAAUGAUGACUUUUGUAAGAAUAUUGAGCUCUCAGACAUUCAGUGCAGGCCUAAUUUUUUUUAGUACUGAAUUUGUUUUGGAUACGUUAGUAUUUCUUGAAUUUUAGAAAAUGCUUCUCUUUAAUAAAUGUAAGUUCAUUUUAAUCUUGAUUCGCAAGCUUUUUCUUGAAAAUGGUUUGCCAUUUCUUAUUAGUUGUUACAGUAAAUUUAGCAUGCAUAUAUGUUUUUUGUCAAAAUUCAAUCAUUUCAAAAUCUAGAAGGGAACUUCUAAAAUACCUGCAUCCUCCUUUUUCUUUUUUAUUUUUCCCCCUCUUGGCUUUGUAUUCAGAAUCAGAUUGUGUUCAAUUAGUUGGAAUUUGGCUUUGGAGUUAAAAGGGAUUUCCAUUUUUUCCUAGGUAUUCCACAGCUUGCAUACCAAAAGCACAGAGGCGGAAGAAAACCUAUGAUUAAAUCAUCCAACAGGCUUGUAAGAAAAUGCCCACUUUGAAAAAAUGAAAAGUUGAAUUUCCUAUUUUCAAAUUUACAUGCAAAAAAUCAAAAAUGGCAUGCAAGAAAUAGUCUACUAUUUCGCCAUGUUUCAUAGUUUAUGAGAAAUAUAUUACAAAUAAAUCCACAUAAAUGGUGGGAAUAAUAACUCAAAUAUGGUGGGACAAAAAAACAUAUAGGGUGACCCCUGCCAGCUGAGAUAACUAGCUGGUUUAUUUAAUUUAAUACUUUGAAUACAAUAGUAAAUCAAUGCCGCCAUAGCUCAGAUACUGACUAAAUUUUUCUCCCUGAAGAAUUCAACAGCAUCUUUUAGGCUGACCUCCAAAGGAGUGAAUUGAACUCCCAGCCUUUUUGCCUUCUCAUUGGAGGCUCUGUAGUUUGGGCUGAUAAGGUUGGUAUUGUUUGACAUUCUGCUGUAUGCGGGACAAUACACAAUUAUGGCAAACAUAAAUAAAGCUUAGGUAAUGAAAAUGCAAAUGUAAAUUCAAAUGCUUGAAAAUCUACUGGACAAUUGCCUCAUAUCUACUGUAAAUUGUGCCUUUUUUACGAAGUUUCAAAAGACCUUUUAAAAGAUAACUUUAGUUGUGAUAUGAAUGAAAUUUAUUUUUUUCUAAAAAAAAGCCUAAAACGGAAUUUCUAUUUUGGAGACAAAGCCAAUUUGGUGAUAUAUCCUAGUCCAAAGAAGACCAUCUUCUAGAAAUCAACCUGAGAAAGAGCUCAUUUUUUAUGGAACAUGAGACCAAAAGAAAAAAAAAAAGAAGGCAGAAAAUUUAGGAUUUAGUGUCCUUUAAAAGAGAGUAUAAAAAUAUGUGAUACAUUUUGGACGUAUACAAGGCCAUCAGCAAAAGCCUGUAAAGACCUAAACAAGGAAAACAAGACUUACUUAUCAGGAAAUUGGUGAGUUGGGUAAUGCUCAUGCAAAAUCUUGAUGAUCUGAGAGGCAUUUGCACAUCUUUCAACCAGACAAUAUCUUCCACUUGCAGAAGGGGUUUCAAGGGCAAGAACAUGUGCAUAGGCAACAUCUCUAACAUCAACCCAGCUACAUGUUGCCUUAGGAAAUGGUUCAACCCCUGCAUUUGGCACCUAAGAUCUUUAAACACAUUUUUUUGCAGGCUCUUCAGCAAACAUAAGUGAAACUGUGCAUACAAUUAAAUACAAUUGGUUUGUUUGGAUCAGCAUGAUUUCAGAUAAAAUAAUUUGCUUCACAAAUUCCAAUCACCUUUUUAUCUUCCCAAUCACCUUUUUAUCUCACAUACAGCACAUCACAAAAAGUGUUACAGUAAUUAUCUCAAAUAAAUCAUCCAAAUAAACUUCUAUCCAAACAAACUCAAUGUUGUUUGCCAUGAAAAGAGUCAAAUUUAGAGGCCAUGGCCUGCCUUCCAGAAGAAAUGUGUGGUAUGUACUACUUUGUUCUGUUUUAGUAUCAGCAAAGCCACAGAGGGGAGGGAGAUGUGAGGAAUGAACUAGUUGAGACAAUUCAGAUAAUUGGUGAAUAAUAAGAAAGAUUAAUCCCAACAAUCUACUAGUUAAUCUGUCCCUGGAAUUUCACAGAUUUAGAGUUAGGUUUCUCUUUCAAAGGAUAGUUUAUUUAUUUUCUUCCAAAAAGGAUCAAUUACUAGACAAAAGAAUAAACUACAGGCAUGAUAAUACUAGUUGUCUCGUACUUAAGAGUUAAAUGGUGAGAGUUGAAGAAACUUGUCCCUUCACUCUCAUCCAGAUAGAAAAACAGAAUUUAUUCCUGUUGUUUUGUUCUAGAGAGUGAAAUAGUAAUCAAUUCCUGAAAUUUGUUUCUUGCCAUUGUUGUACAAAGUGGCUAUUUGGGUCGAAGGAGUCCUUGCGAAUUGAAAGAAUAAUAAACAUGCUUUAGCAAGUCUGUACAACAUAAACAGUGACUACUCCUAACAAAUUUUUCCUCACAAUUACCACCCAAAAAUUUCUUUUCCUUCCUGUUAAUCACAUAGAACCUCAAUGUUGUUGAAAGGAAGAUGCACACAACGUGAAUUUCAGAUGAAAGAUUGUACUGCAAACCUUUAAAACAUCAUAAGCUGGUCAGAGUUUAUAGCUUGAUAUAUCAGUUCACAUUCUGACCUAUGUCUGUCAAUCAUGUGAUUAGCCAGCAGUGCCUUGAAAUGUUAUUAGUCAUAAGUUUUUUGUUCUACUGUAACAAAGAAAGUUGUGGUGCAUAAUAAAGCUAUAAGUAACAUAGAUGGAAGAGUCAGUUAGACAAUGAUUACUAAGGUGAUUCAAUAAAUUUUGAAACAAACCCUUUAAUAGGUUGAGGAACAAAACAGCGCUCGAAUUAACAGAUGGCUGCAAGAGAGGACCAAUGACCAAUCCUGGAUGAAUUGUAAUCACGUCAAUGCCAUGCUCCUUUGCAAAUUUCCAUGCAGCAUUCUCGGCCAUGGUUUUUGAAAGUUCAUACCAAGACUAUCAACACCGAAAAAUCAGUAAAUGUUGGUAAGAUGGUAGCAGAAAGUAAUUAGAUUUGUAAACUUUAAGAAGUAACAUUAUAAAUUUCUACAAAUUUGACAAAACCAGCAACUUACAUCAGUUGAAACUAUUAUUGCUGUAGCUACAAAGCACAGAGUGAAAGUAUCCACAUUUCCCAGGACAAGCAAUGCUAUAAGUGAAUAAGUAGAUUUCUCAAGGAUCCUAGGAAUGGUGUAAACUUUCUAUAUUCAAGGAAUGAUGCAAAGCACCAGUGUCGACAUAUCCUGAUCAUCUGAUCUCUUAAUCCACAAGUUAACAGCAAAACUACAAGGGACCUUGACACUUUAACACAUAUAGCCAUAUUCAUAAUAUUAUAGCAGAAGUUCCUUUCCAACCGACCGACCAAAUAUUGCUCAUCUAGGUGUGUAUUCUCAGACAAUAGUAUAGAAUUUGAUCAUGCAAGAGAUGCAUAAUUAAGUAGGAAAACUUUCAUAUUGCUCUUUCCCCGACUAUUCCACACUACAUUAUUAAUUUUUCAUUAAAGUUAAGUUGUUACUUAGAUAGAAGGAAAGAAAUGGACUGACCAUUCUGGUUACAAAAAUAUCCUUCUUUUUGCCUAUUAAAGUGCCACCAAGUCAUGAAGAUCCUAACUUAAUUAUCUCCACAGCUGGGCUAACUCCUCAUAUGUGUUCCAACAACAAGUUAAAACUAAAGAAUUCCAGCAUUCCAAAUUAGAUUUUACUGGAAGAAGACAGAUAAUAUAUGUACCUUUUGCUCCUCACAGUAUGAUGGAUCGGAAAACCAACUUUCAUCAACUACCACAUCCUCCUUUAAUUCUCUGUUUUUUGAAACUGCAACCAUAGAGGAUGUUAUAACUACUCUUUUGACAGAAGAAGAAUUUGCACAUGACCGCAGCACAUUCAGUGUUCCGCUUACUGCAGGUUCCAGUAGUUCUGCCUAUGAAAUCAAACCAAGUAAAAAAGGAAGUCAUUACCAGUCAUAGGUAAGACUAUGCUUUUAACCUGCAAAAAACUUAUCAUUCUGGUAUUAUGUUUGAGAAUUUCACCACAAAUGCUGUAAACCUACAGCUUUAGUUACUUAGCUAAAGGAUACAUAUUGUUGUCUUAUCUCCUCUUGCUGCUAAAAUAAGUUCUCAGGUCCUUUAUUGUUGUUUUUUCCCAAAUUUUUUCAGCUUUCACUGGGUGACAGGAACUUAAGACCAAUAGAGGAACAACUGAAAUAAGUCUCAGAUGUGGUCACCAAUUAAACCGUUUGCUACCAAAUAUCAACCGAUGAAAUUCUGUUCUGGCUUGAACAGGACAGACAGAAAAUAUAAAAGGUGUAGCUCCCAUGAAUCCUGCCAACAGAUUUUAGCGUGAACACAUAAUGCAUGUUGCAAUUUCUUUUAGUGUCUGUGAGUCAACCUUGUUCAUUGAAAUGACUAAAAUCAAAGUUCUACAAAGUUACUUAAAAAAAAUCCAUAAACACAAUUUGAGAAACAGACAAGGAUAGGUGUACUGCAUAAAAUUUUAAGGCACAAUCAUUAAUAGAAGUUAAUCAACUUACAAAUGAAGAUACAUAUAAUUUGCAGAUGCUUGAACAUAUAUUGUAGUUUCUAUAAGCUUCUUAUUCAUUCUGGUAUGGGCACGCAAAAGCCAUUGGCUCUACACUGGCUGAAUAAUUAGUUGGUCAAAGCAGGGAUUCAUUUGCUCCAGGACAAGCUUAUAGCUUGCUCUAUAACCUUACCCUGACUGACUUACCCAGGAAAAUAGUUAGUCGGACCCAAUCUACUGCCCAAUUGUGGACCAUUUGCUAUGUUUAUGGCUCUUAAUGUUUUUAUUUCACAACAUUACACCCUUUGAAUUGUUUCGCUGAAGUACCAAUUUCCAGAUCAUUUCAUAGAAACAUCAUGUAUACUGAUUAAAAAGAGACUAAAGCACAUAACACACGACAGUCUUUUUGUGAAUGACCUGCAGGAACAGAUUAGUUUUGUAUGUACCAAAUGUAAAGAAAUAUUCUUCUGGUGUUUGACCUGAUUGCUACAUUAAUCUCCUCCCUUUGGUUAAUAAAAGAAAAAGUAGAGCCAUAGAAUUGGAAACAUUUGAUUCUAACUCUUUUUUAUUUUACAGCUGUAACAUUGUCAUAAAUCAUAUAUAGAGGAAGAGGAAUAGACUAUAACCCAAAAAAGCCAGUAAAAAUGCAACAGAGGAAGAUACUAAAAGAAGUCGCACAAUUAUAAAUCAGAAAGUAUGCUACGAUUUUCAAACUUCACUAGAUAAAUAGCAGAUUUUGUAGACAGUAGAGAAUUUCCAAUCUUGUAAAGCAAAUGUACCUCUGGAUUGCUAAAUGAAAGUUUGAUUGGAGAUGCAGUAUGGAAAACCCCUUCACAUCCCUCGACUAUUGCAUCAAACGAUCCCUCUUCCAGUAAGUUUGCCGAGUACAACUGAAGCCUUUCCUUAGCUCCAUCAAGUGAUGUCAAAUGUUGUGUCCUUUCCGGAUCAUCUGUGUCAUGAUUGCAUCAGUAGAAUGUUCAGAGGGACAAUUGUAUGCCAUCUACCACUAUUUUUAUAACAAACUCAGUCCUUCAGAAGAAGGAUAUAGAUUCGAUAGGCUAAAGAUUUUUUAGUAUAACUUGAUCGUUGUAUCUGGAGCAUGAAACAAUUAAGUUGGUCCACAUCAAAAAUAUAUAUAUUUUUUUGCAUGUGAUUUUCUUUUGAGCAAACAGAACAUGGGGAGCAUUUCGCUGUUGCAAGAAUAUCAUCUGGAGCUACAAGACAAUUUCACACUGCAGAGUUGAAUAAAAAUAUUGGGCAAAUUACAUAUAAUCCUCCUGUGGCUUUGUCUGUUGCCACAUGACCCUUCUAACAUUUUAAAAUAUCCAAUUCGCCCAUUAUGAUUUUAUGUAAAGCGGAAACUUGAUGGAGAAUAGCCUAUAUAAUGUCGUUAAUUGAAAUAUCAGUAGUACUUUUACUUAAAUGCUAAAUCAAUCGACAAUUUAAUUACCUUAUAUAAAAGUAUAAGGGGAUUAUAUGAAUAAAUAUAAAAAUCACAGGAGAGAUAAAGUUGACAAUUAUACAAACUAUAAGGGAAUUACAUUGAAAUUAAGACUUUAUCACACACGCUUUUAGAGCGCGUUUGGUAUAAAUGCCGUAACUAAUUGUGCAUUCCAUCAUUUUCCGCUUUACAUAUAACUAUGGGGGGUAUGUGGUUAUUUUGAAAUCUUAGGGGGACUAUCUAGCAUUAUAUAAAAUCACCCUAAAAUAUAGUUAUAAGUAAUUUACCCUAAAAUGUUAGAUUCCAGGAGCAAUUAAACAACAAUCAGAAUAGGGCAUCAAAAACUGUACAAGCCACUAAGAUAGUUGAUCAAGAACAAAAACUGGACUUACAGGCAUCUCGAACUGAACCUUUAACAGUAUAACCGCGCUCGAGCAGCAGCUUCACCAGCCAUGAAGCUAUGUAACCCGAAGCUCCGGUCACACACACCAUUUUCCCUUCUCCUGCUCCACUCAUUUUGUUAAUAUUUUUGUGUGUGAACCUUUCACCUGUUUGCCUUACUUCUGGACUUAAUGGAGGGAGGCAUAUAUGGUGUAUAUAUAGCUAUGGUGAAGAAGACGAAAGAUUGGAUAUGACAUUACGUGGGAGACUAGGGAGAUCCAUAUGUAUUCUUGCAAUUUGCAUGCAUCAUCGCUGACAUACGUAUGGUAUAAUCGGGUCACAUCCCAUUUUAUCAAGGUCAAUUGAUCAGUGUAAAAUAGAAAUGAACAAUAAAUACAAUGGUAAAUUACCUUCUACACCCUAUGAUUUGAUGUUUUAUCACAUAACUCCCUAUGAUUUAAAAACCUAUAUUUGACCCUUUCAUAGUUUGGAUUAUUGUGUCACUUUAGAUUUUUCCGUUAAAACUAACGGUCAAUAGUAAAAAGUCAAAUUCAAACUACUAAAUUGAUAAAUUCACCAUUUCACUACUUUUUUAUUCUUGUUUUCCUUUUCUUUCUCUCCUUUUUUUUUUUUUGGAAAGAGAAGAGAUGACUUUGAAAACUUGUAUUUUGGCUUACAAAACCUUAAUUGUUUCCAAAUACAAAAGAGAUAGAAGGGAAAUAAAAAUAAAUCAACAAGAAACAAAAAAUAUGGAAGGUAAAGAUAUAACAAAUAAAUAAGAAACAAAAAAACACCAAAUAUUUUUUACUAUGAAUAUCAUUAUAGGUUUUUAAACCAAAUCUUUAAUAGUAUUUUCUAGUUCUUAUUUAUCUAUAUUUUAUUUCAAUUUCUUCUUUUUGAUGUUUGUAGGGGAAAAAAAACAAGUAAUGAAGGGAUAAAUUUGUCAAUUUAUUAGUUUGACUUUUUAAUAUUAACUGUUAGUUUUAACAAAAAAAAACUAACAGUGACACAUUAACUCAAAUUAUUAGGGGGCUAUAUAUAGUUUUUAAACUAUAGGGGGUUAUGUGAGAAAAUACCAAACUAUAGAGGUUAAAAGGCAAUUUAUCCUAAAUUCAAAAUCAGGCGGUUGCAUAUGAAAAAAUACCAAGGUUCUUGACUUUGCUCAAUACAAUUCCAAGUCUAGAGACACAAUUUUUAAAUUCACUACCAGGAUAAACCAUUCUCCUUUUUUUUUUCGGGUCAAAAAGUACAAGCUACUUGAACUAGAAACUAGUCCUGACAAAGUUUGUGGGUUUUUUGCAAGAGUUUUAGUUAAAUAUUGGUUACUUCGCCUAAUUUGCACCUAUUUUAUCACGUAAAUGCACACACACUUUUAAAAAAAUAAUGCAUGCACUUAUAUUAUUGCCUUUCGUACAUUUAAAUACUUUUUUCAAUUUAAUUUUACUUUUCUGGCAAAACUAAAUCUGAAGCCCAUUUCAAGAAAUAUCCACCGAAUACCAGGUCAACAAACCCCCUUCGUAAUAAAGAACGAAAAGGACCGCAGCGUUCUUAACACGCAGCGGUGUUUUUGCGUGUAAGAAAGCUUUUGAUUGACUAGAAAUCCUUCUUAUCUGAUUGAGAAAUGGGAAUCGACUUGAUGAUGGCAACUCCAUUUAGAAAACUGGUCCACACCCUUGAAUGUGGUUUAAAUUUAAUAACACCAUUUCAUCAUUUCCGACGACUGCUUCUUCUAUGUCCUAGCUCACUGCACACGCCAGUCGUGUGAAACUUGGCAAAAGAGUUACACCCUCCGUCCUAAAAUUGUUUGUCGAAACCCAACUUUUUAAAAAUAGCAGCUUGAUGAUGAUAUUUGUAGAUUUGUCUCAAAAAUUGUCAUCAAAAAUUCAAAUUUUAAAUUGAAUUUAGUAUGAAAUAUAGAUAAAGUUAUUGGAAUAAUAUUGAAAAAAAGAGAUUAAAAGUUAUUUUGAUUUUGAUAAGAUAAUAAAUAUUUUAGAACGUUUCAAAAUAAAAAAAAAAUAUGACACUUUCAAUGAGACAAAAGAAUGGAGAGAAUAUAUAUAUAAGAUACUGAAAACUAGCAUCCAUCAGAAGCAGUCAAAUCAAAGCCACCAUAUUACUUGUAGUUUGGUUAUAACAAAUAUCUCAGCUUGCUGGUAGCCCAAAAAUUUAGCAAAAUAAAUUAGGUAACCCAGCGCGAUAGAGUAUAUUUCACCCAAAUAUAUUAAAAGUGAAAAAGAUUUAUUUUUAUUUAAUCAAUGUGAUUUUUUGUGUCCACAUGCCCAUAAAGCUCAAGGACCAAAAAGCCAAACAUACGAAGUGAAAAUGUGAAGAGCAAUAAUUUGAAUAUAAAAAAAAAACGGGUAGAUGGAUAGAAAACCAUGUCGAAGGUCUCUUCUCUCUCUUUUUUUUUUUUUUUUUUUGGUUUGGCCAUGCAUGGUGCAUAUGAUAUGAAGGAUAAUUGUAAAGCACCAUAUACUGCCCAAGGAAAGUAGAUUACACAGUGGGAACCAAAAAUAGAAGAAAAUAAAGCCUCAUAUGAACCGAAUCUUUCCCCUUGCUUUUUUUUUGGGAAUUUAAAGGUAUAAUGCAAGAAAUAACUCCUGGUCAUGCAAAAUUGCCAACAAAAAUGCGUCUUUGGUUUUUAAUUCCUUAAUAACAUACUAUCCAGCAUACUAUUUAGCAUAAUAACAUACUAUCUCAGAUGCAUCCACUCAAAUAUCCUGGCCGAGAUGGUAUGAGGCCAAUUUUCUAUCAAAAAUAUAGGUCUGUAGCAGGUAAUGACGUUACCUCACUACAACAAAAAUGGCCUUUAGCGGCAUUUAAAGGUGUCAGUAUAGAAAAUUUAAUCUGACACUUUAUCUAUCCUAACACCCAUGGCGAGUGUUGUCCCUUCCAAUGUGGGGAUAGCCUCAAAUCUUUAGCAGCAUUCAAAUGUGUCAGGCAAAUCAUGCUGCUAUAUUUUUACCUCUGCCAACAAAUCCUUUUUUUGUGAUAAUCGAAAAUGUUUGUAUAGCGUUAGGACAUCAGUAGGGAAUCAGUAGGAUAUCAAAUUUAUGAAGGCAUCUUGAGUUGUCUUAAUAUAUGGCUUUAAGGACAUGUAGCCAUGUGAAUUUACAAUGUGUUGGACGACAUGCCUAUUUGUUGUUAGUGUUUUUCGAAACUACAUAAUUUUAUCAACCCUUACACCAAAUGAAUUUUAUCAAAUUCAUUUCCUUGUAGAUGAAUAUCUAAUAUGACUGAAUUCAGAAUGUGUGGGUCUGUUAAAUCUAUUGAAAUGUUUGGAGCACAGUUAAAAUAUAUGGGUCCAUUACAUACAUUAGUUUGAAUCAUAGAAAGUAAAGAAGUUUUAUAUCUUUUGAAUCUAGUAUCUCUUAAUGCUAGAUAUAUAGGAGCAUUUACUCCUAAAUGGAAUAAGGGUUUUACUGCAAUUUGUAUUAAACCUAUAUGAAUAUAUCUAUAUUAAAAUGUGGAUCCCUCCAUUGUAUAAACCUAAUGACUGUAAUCCUAAUAUUAUAUCAUGAUUUAUAUUUUUUACAAUUAUGUCUAAUACAAUAUUCAUUGUUACAUAUUGAUCCUUUUGUAAAUUUAUAUUUUACUUGUAAAUUUUCUCCAUUUGCUGCCAUUAAGGUUUCCUUUGUUCUUUCACAAUAUUUAGUAGGAAUUAUUCCUUCUUUAAUACAACUUGAAUCAGCUCCACUAUUUAUUAAAGCUACAUAUAUUUCUUUGAAAUCUUCUACUGUAAUAGUUACUAAAGCAUACCAUUUUUGAAAUAUCAUUUUUUCUAUGGUAUUUAAAUAUUGAAUUUCAUCUGUUAGUCUUUCUGAUAUACUUAUUUCUUCUGUUUUAGAAUUGGAAGUUGAGGGUUGAUUUUCUAGUAAUGUUAUUUUUGCUUCUAUUUCUAAAUCUUUUGUUUUUAAUUCUAUGAUUUCUCUUUGUAAUUGUUUUACUUGUAUUUUAAGAUCAUUAAUUUUUGUUUGAAGAUCUUUAGUGGUUUCUUUUUUCAUUAGAUUUAUGUUUGGAUAUUUAUCUAUUAAUUUAGAAAUACUAAAAGGUUCUAUUAUUUUUGGCAUUUUGUCUUCUUGUAUAAUUAGACUUUUUAAUCUUUCUAAAUACUCUUUUUUAGCUACUGGAUCAUCAAUUUUUUCUAUUAUAUCUAAUAAAAAUUCUUUAUCUUCUUUUUUGGUUAUAACAUUUAUAUAUUUUGAAGUGUUAGAACAAUUACAAUUUUCUUCACUUUCUGUACUAGAUAUAUCAUUAUAAUAAUCAUCUUCAGAACUUUGAUUUUUUUCAUUUAUUAAUAAAUUUAUUAAUUUAUUUUUAAUUUCUUCUUCUUUUGCACAAAUCUCUGUAAUUUUUUCUUUUAAUUUACAUUUGUUUGCUUUAUGUUCUAUUUUUCCACAUUUAUAACAAACAAUUUUUCUUUUAAUAAAUUUUCUCUUCUUUUCUGGUUUAUCUUCACUACAAGAAAAUUGUUCAUCAGUGACAACACAAAGUCAUCACAGAACAUACAAAUAUUGUCACAAAUACCUUUUAUUGACGACUUUUUGAUCGUCACAAAGUCGUCACUAAAUCCCCGUCGGUAAAAGUAAACAGUGACGACCUAAAAUGUCGUCACUAAAUAGUUCUCAUUAGUGACGACUUUAAGUAGAGCAUUUUUGACAAAAGAUCAAGUCGUCAAUAAAACACUUCCAGAUUGUCGUCACUAAUGACAACUAUUUAGUGACGACCUGAAAUGUCUUCACUAAAUAGUUGUCAUUAGUGACAACAAUCCGGAAGUGUUUUAUUGACGAAUUGACCUUUUGUCAAAAAUGCUCUACUUAAGGUCGUUACUAAAAAGCACCGAAAGCCAUUGUAUAUAACUAUUUUACUGACAACAAUUGUCGUCACAAAUGUAGCUUAGAUUUAGUGACAGUCUCUGUUGUGACAAGGAUUUUUAUUUUCUAUUUUGUGACAACUUUUUUUUGUCAUUAGAUAAUUUCUCAAUAGCUUAAUAGUCAUAAUUUGGCUUGUAAUCAUUGCUAAAUCAUUGAUUUUAAACAAACCAUACAAAUAAACAUGAACGAUUGAUAACCAAAAGUAUUUGCAUUAGAUUACAUGGUAAUAAUAUAGCAUUCUCAAAUGCCAAAUUCAAGUGUACAUUAGCCAACUAAUGCCUACAAAAAUAACAUUUGUUCAAAAUAUCACUUGUACAUAAGGUACAUUUAUAAAAGCAAUCACAGUUUAAGAAAUUGAAGAACAUCUAAAUGAACCACUCCAUGAGCAAAAGACAAUUUUGUCUUCAACAUUCUUCAACCAUAACCAUAGAUAUCUUCCAAAAGCUAGUAUGAAUAGCAUUUAUCUGUCAUAAAAGAGUAAAAGAAGUAGGUAAGGGGAGGAGUAAAAUAAUAAAGAACAAGUAAUGAAACUUAGAUUAUUAAGACAAAAAUUACAAUUCAUUAAGAAUCUCAUAUAAUUUGGGCCCACAUAUUACAACACCAGCAAGAAGUUAGAAAUCACAGUCCAAUCUAUACAAAUACAACACUGCAUAAGCUCAACUAAAGAGCUCUCUAAAACAGUUUUUUUUUUUAAUUUUCUUUCUUCUUCUUUAAAUAGCUCAACUUAUUGAACAAUUAAAUUGGACUCCCACAGUAAUUAUUGUUUAAUCUUUAUGCUUUUGGUUGUUUAUAUAUUAAAACACAGAAAGCAACUUAUUGUACGAGGUAUGAAUACAGGAGGUACUAGCCCUCUUUGAUUUUAGGAGUUUAUGCUUCAUAAAUCAUGAAGGAAACGAUGCCUCUGUAGGAUUAAACUGUGCAAAGAGAAUGAGUUAUUUGCCUCACAAUGUGAAAGUGAAGACCAUCUAAACUGGUGAAACCAAUCAAAGUUCACAAACGCCCCCUUUGCAUUAUAUUCAUUUCUUUCAAGUCACUACAUAGGCAAAAAGAAGAUUGCUAUCCAUGCAUGGUCUGUCGCUUGUACUUGGAAAUAAUAUACUAUUGCAGAUGAACAAUCAGAUUUUUACCUCUCUAUUGAUAAACUAACAGCACUAUAUACAUGAUACUUAGAUAUUUCCCAAAGAAUAAGUUCAGAUAACAAUGAUGCAUAACAUCAGCCCCAAAAAAUGCUAUUACCGUAUUGUUGGUAAUAUGUCUAGUUAAACUAACCUAAGAGGAUCUCCACAAGAAUAACCGGUAAAUCAGAAAUAUGUACUGUUACAAGCACAUAUUCCAGAAGAUAACCAUUUAGCACAUGUACAAAUCUUAUGCACAAGGAACCUGAUGAACGAAGCAUAACCUAUUUCCUUUUUUUCUUUUUUAGCUUAUUUUAAUCAUUACUUCUCUCACUUCUCAAAGGUCAUCCUCAGUUUUCCUUACCAUUCUAAAUACGGCCAGAUCUGCUUCCAAAAAAUUUCUGAUCUUUUAUAUAACAAUACGAUACAACAAUCAAUGAGUAUGCGUCCAAACACAAAGUUUCGCAUACAGCUAGUCUUCCAAUAAUGUGUAAAUCACGUAAGAAAGUUUCCUACUUGUGGUAUAAGAGUUAAAAAGGUUCACUUGAAUGCGUAAUAUCAAAAUGUAUUCAACCAACUACAAAAGGAUUAAGUUAGACUGGAUUCCCUCAAGGUUUGCCAGGUACUCUUUCUUGGACCCAAAAAUGCAAACUCAACACCAAACAUUCCAUUUUUUCUUACAACAUAAGAUGAAACAACAAUUUAUGUGCAAAAACUCAGUGAGCAGAGAGGAAAACAGCAAUAAGAAUGCAGCAGCUUUUUGCUUCUUUCAUUUUAGCUUAGAUAUAUUCAUGCCAAACAGUUCAAAAAACCAAACAUGCUUGAUUUAUGUAACUUUGGAUCAACAACAUGUAACCCCAAGCAUCAUUUUCCGAAUAGCAUCAGAUCAAAAGACAAACCCGAAUAGCAGGUAGUGAAACAAACCCGAAUGGCAGAAAUCUAGCCAAUCUCAAUGACAUAUAUGAUAUUCAAAUCAAAUUUUCACAGUCAUCAACCAGACUCAAAUGCGUGAACUUGGGACAGGGAGAGGAAGAAAUAAAACGCAGCUACAUGAUAUGAACAUCCACUUCUAACUCAACCACUUUCGAGAAAGCAUAUCAAAGCCCGGACAUGUCACCAAAACAGAAUCACCCAACAAACUCUCCACCCAUUUUAUUUUAUUAGCAGCCGUGUAGCUCAGCUGAACCACACUCCAAGCAAACAACAAAAACUGGACACUUGAAGUUAAUCAACCCCCAAAAAUCCAUCGGAAACACAGGCAUUCAAUCCAAAAUUUGGUUAUUCGGACAAACAAAAAACCAACCGAAUGUUCGUCAUUUAUUUUUUCACACGUAAAAAUGCAGACCAGUUAUCUUUCAAUUAGAAAACUCAGUUGGGCAUUUCAUCGAACAGGUUAGGGGCAUUAGAAACUUCACUACUUCCUUACUCAAUUGAAGCUAUAAUUGGCCCCAAAAUUUUCAGCAAACCCAAAAUUUCAGUCCAAUCAACAUCCAGAAAAAGCCAUGAACAAUUGACAUGAAAUUUGAAACAAAAAACUAAUAGCAAACAUGGCAUGUUCAUCGGCAGACAUGCUCCGAAAACUUUCAGAGUUUGUAUUCGAAUGAAAAAACUGAAAUGUAAAGGAGAAGAUUAACUUACAGUGAUCUCUCACGGUGGAGGUUCGUGGAUGACAGUGGCGGAUUCCGACGGAAUGUGGCGGCUCCGCCUGGUCUUUCUCCCUCUAGUUUUUCCUUCGCUUUCGUUUCUGCUCCAACCGACAACUUCCUCCCUCUCUCACUCCUUACCGCCGCCUCCCUUUCCUUAUCCUCUGUUUUUCGACUUUUUCCUCUGUUUUUCUGCUUCCCCAAACCUCAGACGAAGCUCCCUCUAUCUCUGUUUCUUCCUUUCAGCCCCUAGCUCUCCCUUGCUUUCUUUUGGUUUCUUUUCCUAUGUUUCAUUUUUGCGCUUUCCUGUUCUCUCCUCUAGCCCUUUCUCUCUUUUGUCCGUUUUUUCUUAGCUCUAUCCGCCGCCCCCUCCUCUUAGCUCACUCCUCUCUCCUCUGAAACCUUCCCUCUCUGAUUUUUUGUUUUUCUUUCUUUUCAGCUCGCCGUAGCUUUCCUUUUUCCUCCUUUUUGUUUCCUACCCUUAGCAGCCGUCCACCGCCACUCUCUCUGUUUUCCUCAACCUCCCGAAGCUUUCUUCCCCCUUUUUCUUUUCUGUUUCUUUCUUUCCCUUUGUUUUUCCUCUAGCCUCAGACCAAGCUCCCCUCUCUAAUUGUUCUUUUUCCUCUCGCCCGUUGUUCCCUUCAGCUCCCUCUAGUUCCUCCUGUCUUUCUUUUUCCUCUUCUCAGCCGAAGGCUUUUUCCCCCAUUUUUCUUGCUCUCUCUGUCAUCAGACCGCCCCCCCAACCUUCAUCAGAUCUCCCUUGAAGCUCUUUCAAUCUCUCGGCUCUCUCUCACUCAAGUCUUAGCCGCAGCCAAGAGUUUUCUUGCUCUCCCCGUUGUUGUUUUUGUUUCCUCCCUUCUUCCCGUGAAAUCAAUUUUCCAACCAAUUUCUUCUGGCUCUCCAUCAAUCUCUCGAAGCCAGAAAAAUGGGUUCCCCUUCUUCCUCUAUCCCACGAAGCCCUCUCUGCCUUUUCUUUAGCUUUUUCCAUUUUUUUUCCUUUCCCCCAACCGUAGCUCUCUAUCCCACGAAGCCAGAAAGUUUGUGUUGCUCAAGUGUUUCGUUGCUUUAACUCAGACCAAGUGUUCCGUUGCUUUUAUUUUCGGAAUGUGUUCCGCUGCUUUGGUCUUUGCUUUGCUUUGGAUAUUGUUUUUGUUGCGCGGCACUUUCACUAUGAUUUGAUCAAAAUUUUGACUUCACUCAUUUUCCCUCCAUUUGAUACCAAAAAUCAUGUUUUUUUCUAGAUUUGUAAUAUGGUUUGAACCAUAGAUUUUAAUGUUAUAGUAUUAUUCUUUAUUUUUUAGCAAAAAAUAAAAAUUUUCAUCAACAUAGGUGGCAAAAUUUGUUAAUUUCAUAUAAUUGAAAAUGUACUUUUAUAAUUUGCUAAUAUUUUAUACUAAUUUCUUACAAUUGCAGCACUAAAGAACAUCAUGUAAUUGAAAAUAAUUAAACUCAAAUUAUCUGGUUAUAACAUAGUUUCAAUAAAAAUAAUCAUUUUCCUAACAUUUGAGACCAAUCAUCAUGCUUUUUUUAUUUUUAAUUUGGUUUGAAGCAUAGAUUUUAUUGCUAUAGUAUUAUUCUUUAUUUUUUAGUACAAAAACACAAAUUUUCAUCAAUAUAGGUGGCAAAAUUUGUUAAUUACAUAUAAGUGAAAAUAUACUUUUAUAAUUUGCAAAUAUUUUAGCCCUGCAAUUUUUUAUAAUUGCAGCACUAAAGUACAUCAUUAAUUGAAAAUAACGAAAGUCAAAUUCUAUGGUUAUAACAGACUUUCAUUAAAAAUAAUCAAAUGCUAUUAAUAAGACAUUAUUGUUAAGUCAAAAUCAAAGAAAAUUUAGUGAUGACAUAAUGUUAUCACUAAUUUAUUCAAGAUUAUAAUGACAAGAAAAGUCGUCACUAAUUAAAUUGCUAGUUUUUAAUAUUGUCAAUUGCUAGUUUUUAAUACUUUUGUGAAAAUAUUGAUAAUGGUUGAGAAAAUUUUGUUACAUUACUGCAAGUGAUAAAUGUACUUUUGUUCUUUUUCAAACAUUUAUUUUAAUGUUUAAUUUUGUUUAAAACUAUUGUACUAGUAUAGAUUUGCAAGACAAAACUUAAGUUCUCAAUAGUUAAAAAAUUCAUUACAGAGAAAACACAAAGUAGUAGUUGCAAAAUGUGUAUAAAUUACAGAUAUUUUAAUGUGUAUAAAUUACAGUUUAUUUUAACGUUUAAUUUUGUUUGAAACUAUUUUACUAGUAUAGAUUUGCAAGACAUAGAUUUAUGGGUAAUUUCUUUUUUUUUUUUUUGCUUUCACAUAUUUAAUUUAUGUUAAAUAUAAAACCUACCAGUUUCCCUUUCAUAAAAAUAUUAGUGCAACACUUUUUGAAUUUUACUUACAAACAUUUAUGUAUUUAACAUAAAUUAAAUGAUUCAGAGUGAAAUGCCCAUAAAGAGCAGAAUAUUUGUUCAUGUAAUGGAGGAAACCCACAAAGAGUUGGUACUUUAUGGGCCAUUUCUUUUUUUUUUAAAAAUUUAAUUUAUGUUGAAAAGAUAACCUGCCAGUUUUCGUUUUAUAAGAAAUCAGUGUAACACUUUUUGAAUUUUACUUACAAAUAUUUAUAAAUUUAUCUUAAAUUAUAUGUUUGAGAGUAAAAUGCCCAUAAAAAGUUGGUACUUUGAAUAGAUAAUGCUUAUUUGCCCAUAAACUACACUCCCUGAAGGCUAUUUUGUUAAUUACUUUGUAGUACUUUGUUAUUCCUUUGCUAAUACUAUUUGGCAUGUAGUACAAAGGAUAAAUCUGGCAUAAAUUUCUUAUUCCAUUGAUAAAAAGACCUGCUUGCCUUAUAACUAUUGUAAUGAAAGAUAUAUCUUUAGAGUUCAUAACAAAUUAUUACUUAAAUUUGAGAAAAUUAUAAAAUAUUUAUGCAUAGUUUAUCAAGAUACCAUUCGCAAUUUCCUAAUAAAAAAAUAGGGGCUAAAUUGUAAAAGCUAGGGUGCCAUAAUAGAAAUAAUAAAAUUUGUGUAUUACAUAUGGGGGUUAAAUUGCAAAAGUUAGAGUGCCAUAGUAGAAUUACUGAAAUUGGUGAAUUACACAUGGGGCUAAAUUACAAAAGUUAGGGAGUAAUAAUAGAAUUAAAGAAAUCGGUGUACUACAUAUGGGGCUAAAUUGUAAAAGUUAAGGUAUCAUAAUGGAAUCAAUGGAAUUUUUUACAACAUUUGGGGCUAAAUUACAAAAGUUAGGGUGGCACAGUAGAAUUAAUGAAAGUGACUUAGAAAUAAGUACUUUAAACAGUGACGAUUAAUUCUUGUCACUAAAUCCGAAUCGAUAGAGUGACAGUGACGAUAUUAGAAGUUGUCACUAUAUAGAUCAUUUUAGUGACAACUUUUUCAAGGUCAUCACUGAAGACUUAGUUGCUUUGAGCAAUUAUGACAACUCUCCUUGUCGUCACUAAACAACCACGUUUUGUGACGACUUUUGUCGUCACUAAAAAAUGUUGUCACUAAUGACCAUAUUUCUUGCAGUGUAGUUUGUGACGAAAAUAACGGGUCGUCACUAAACAUUUAGUUGCUUUGAUGCAAUUGUGACAACUUUAGGUAUCGCGACUAAAGAAAUUCCUUUUGUGACAACUUAUUGUCAUCACUACAAAAUAUUGUCACUAAUAACCUUUUUUUUAGUGAUCAGUGACGACAACAAAAACUCGUUCGUAAAUAGGCCAAGCAAUAGUGAUGAUACUCUUAAUGUCGUCACUAUUGUGUGUUCUAAACACUCCCGCGCUCUUGCUAAAUUUUAGCGGGAAUUUACUAGUGACGACUUUUCUAAGUCGUCACAAAUGAGUUGGCUCCCAUUAGAGGUUUGUGACGAGUUAGAAAGUCGUCAAUAAAGGAUCCACAUUUGUGACAACUUUUUUUCGUCACAGAGAAAAGUUGUCACUGAUGACCAAUUUUCUUGUAGUGCUUCUUUAGAUCUUUUAUACUUUAUUUUCUUAUUAUAUUUUUUAACUUUUUUGUUAUAUGCAGAUGGUGAUUUAAUUCUUUAGUAGCAAAUUCUAAAGCUCUAUUAAUUGGUUUUAUUGUUCCUUGUUAUAUAUCAUGUCCUAAAAAUCUUAUUUUUGUUUGGAAUAAUUUCAUUUUUGGUGCUGAAACAACUAAUCUAUUUUUCUUAACUACUUUUAAAAAUAUAUUUAAAUGUUUGAACUGCUGUUCUAUUGAUUCAGAAAAUAUUAAUACAUCAUCAAUAUAAACUAUGCUAAAUGAACUAUAAGGAUUGAAAAUAUCAUUCAUUAUAUUUUGAAAUUCUGAUGGUGCAUUUUUUAAUCCGAAUGGCAUUACGUUCCAUUCAUAAUGACCAAAAGGUGUUGUGAAUGCUGUUUUAUAUCUAUCUUUUGGUGUUAUUAAUAUUUGCCAAUAUCCUGAUUUUAGUUAUUUCAGCACCAAAAAUGAAAUUAUUCCAAACAAAAAUAAGAUUUUUAGGACAUGAUAUAUAUCAAAGAACAAUAAAACUAAUUAAUAGAGCUUUAGAAUUUGCUACUAAAUUUCCAGAUGAAAUAAAAGAUAAAAAUCAAUUACAAAAGUUUUUAGGAUGUUUAAAUUAUAUAGCAGAUUUCUUUCCUAAAUUAAGACAAGAAUGCUCUAUAUUAUUUAAUAGAUUUAAAAAGAACCAUUUCCACCAGUGAUUGAACCAGAUUGGGAAUUCUCUACUGCAACUUUCUUUGAAUGUGAAGAUCCAUGAAUGAUUGAAUGGUCUAUACAAAAAAACCAAAAGUCUAAUUAUACAAGAAGACAAAAUGCCAAAAAUAAUAGAACCUUUUAGUAUUUCUAAAAUAAUAGAUAAAUACCUAAACAUAAAUAUAAUGAAAAAAGAAACCACUAAAGAUCUUCAAACAGAAAUUAAUGAUCCUAAAAUACAAGUAAAACAAUUACAAAGAGAAAUCAUAGAAUUAAAAACAAAAGAUUUAGAAAUAGAAGCAAAAAUAACAUUACUAGAAAAUCAGCCCUCAACUUCCAAUUCUAAAACAGAAGAAAUAAGUAUAUCAGAAAGACCAACAGAUGAAAUUCAAUAUUUAAAUACCAUAGAAAAAAUGAUAUUUCAAAAAUGGUAUGCUUUAGUAACUAUUACAGUAGAAGAUUUCAAAGAAAUAUAUGUAACUUUAAUAGAUAGUGGAGCUGAUUCAAGUUGUAUUAAAGAAGAAAUAAUUCCUACUAAAUAUUGUGAAAGAACAAAGGAAACCUUAAUGGCAGCAAAUGGAGAAAAUUUACAAUUAAAAUAUAAAUUUACAAAAGGAUCAAUAUGUAACAAUGAAUAUUGUAUUAGACAUAAUUUCAUAAUUGUAAAAAAUAUAAAUCAUGAUAUAAUAUUAGGAACACAUUUUUUAAUUCAAAUUUACCCAUUUUCAGUUAGUCAUGAAGGAAUUUCAAUAAAUAUAAUGGGAAAAAUUGUUAUCUUUAGAUUUCUAACUCCAGUAAAACAAAGAGAAUUACAGACAUUAGAAACAUCCUCUAUUUACAAAACAAUAAAUAGUAUUACUAAAGUACAACAACAAAUAAAUUAUAUAAAAGAAGAAAAAUCUUAUUUAAAAAUUGAAGAACAAUUAAAAGAAAGUAAAAUGCAAAAAAGAAUUUCAGAGUUAGAAGAAUUAUUACAAAAAGAAAUUUGUGCAGAUAUUCCUAAUGCUUUUUGGGAUAGAAAACAACAUAUGAUUGAAUUAUCUUAGGAAACAGGUUUUAAUGAGAAAAACAUUCCUACUAAAGCAAGACCAAUACAAAUAAUUCUGAUCUAUUAGAAUUUUGUAAAAAGGAAAUAAAAACAUUAAUAGACAAAAAAUUAAUAACACCUUCAAAAUCACCUUGGAGUUGUGCUGCAUUCUAUGUAAUGAAUCAAGCUGAAAAAGAAAGAGGAGUUCCAAGAUUAGUUAUAACUUAUAAACCAUUAAAUAAAGUAUUACAAUGGAUUAGUGAAUAAUACAAUAAAUUUAUAAAUUUAGAAUUAAUAGAGGAUACAAUAUAUUAAAGUAACCAUUUUUAUAAAUUUAAUAGAGCUCAAAUGCAAAUAAUACAAUAAAUUUAGAAGACAUUAAAAAAGUUUAUCAACAAAAUAAUUAUACAAAUCAAAUCCUUCAUACAAUUUCUCAACAUAUGGAAGUAUUAAACACAAAAAUAGAUACUAUAAAGAAACCAGAAUUAAAAUUCCCUAACAAUAUUUCAGCACCUCAUUUUCAACCUAGAAGUUUGACAAGAGACAAAGAACAAGAUUUAGUUCAAAAUAUUAAUAAUCAAAAGAUAAAUAAUACAGACAAUAUAUUAAAUAAAUAUCUCAUGCAUUACAAAACUUAACUACAGAAGUAAAACCUCCAACUCCUAGGAUAAAUACUUUAGACCAAAUAAUAGAAGAAAAUUCAUCUGAAGAAAAAGACAGUUCAUCUGAAGAAUCAAUAAAUUCAGAAAUAGAAGAAGAUAUAAUUCUACCAAUAGAAAAAACAAUUUGAAGAAAAAGAAGAUAAUCAAAUAAAUAAAAUAAGAAGAAAUAAAAUUUAUAAUAAAAAUAAUAAUAAAGGAUGGAAAAUGAUAAGUACUAAAAACUAUUAUUCAAGACCAAGCCCUCCAGACAUUCAAUAUAAAGAAAGAUCAAAAUUUCGUACCACUAAAUACGAUGGCGAUUCAAUAUAUGAAUGGAAUCUAGAUGGCAAAGCAGAAUAUGAAUUAUUAAAUAAUUUACAAGAAAUGAGAAUGGCUAGAUUAGCCUAUAAAAUUAAAAAUAUUCAAGAAAGAAAUAUUGCAACAUUAUUAGUUUCAGGAUUUACUGGACAAUUAAAAAAUUGGUGGGAUAAUGCUUUAACAUUACAAGAUAAAUUAUCAAUGUUAGAACAUACGCAAGAAAUUGAAGAUGAUCAAGGAAAUAUUCAAAUACAAUCAGAUGCUGCAGAAUUUUUAAUUGUAAUAAUAGUAAUAUAUUUCAUAGGAAAUCCAAAAGAAGAAUUAAAUUCUAAUAAAAUAUUUCUAACAAAUUUAAGAUGUCCAACAUUAUCAGACUUUAGAUGGUAUAAAGAUAUGUUUUUAACUAAUGUAUUAAGAAGACCAGAUUGCAAUGCUUCAUUUUGGAAAGAAAGAUUCAUAACAGAAUUACCAAGUUUAUUUUCACAAAAAAUAAUGGAUAAUUUACAGCAUCCGAGGCAUUUACAAAUGACUUUCUGAUGAAAAAGAUGAUGCAGAAUCCCGAGAUGCUCAAAGAAUAUUUGGACUAUUUGCAAAAGCAAGAUAAGAAAGAAAAAACCGACAAAAUUGAAGAGUCAACCGGAUCAUCCGAAUCUACUUUUGAUCCUUUCGGGGGACCCUGCGGACAAGACCCAAAUGACUUUUGAAGAAAGGUGUCGGCCACACCUCAAAGAAAAGGCAAAUGAAAUUCAAAUGAAGAUGAAAUGCAAGACCCGACGAGUCUAUAAAUAGAUUCAAAAUCAGAAAACAAAGCAUCGGCGAAUUAGUGAGAAAAAGAGAACAAAACACUCUCAUGUAAAAAUCCUUAGACAAAUCUCUCAAUCCCUCUUUCCAACUACUCUUGUAUUCAAUUACUAAAUUAUUUAAUACUUCAUAUUCUGCUUUGCCAUCUAUAUUCCAUUCAUAUAUUGAAUCGCCAUCGUAUUUAGUGGUACGAAAUUUUGAUCUUUCUUCAUAUUGAAUGUCUGGAGGACUUGGUCUUGGAUAAUAGUUUUUAGUACUUAUCAUUUUCCAUCCUUUAUUAUUAUUUUUAUUAUAAAUUCUAUUUCUUCUUAUUUUAUUUAUUUGAUUAUCUUCUUUUUCUUCAAAUUGUUUUUCUAUUGGUAGAAUUAUAUCUUCUUCUAUUUCUGAAUUUAUUGAUUCUUCAGAUGAACUGUCUUUUUCUUCAGAUGAAUUUUCUUCUAUUAUUUGGUCUAAAGUAUUUAUCCUAGGAGUUGGAGGUUUUACUUCUGUAGUUAAGUUUUGUAAUGCAUGAGAUAUUUUAUUUAAUAUAUUGUCUGUAUUAUUUAUCUUUUGAUUAUUAAUAUUUUGAACUAAAUCUUGUUCUUUUUCUCUUGUCAAACUUCUAGGUUGAAAAUGAGGUGCUGAAAUAUUAUUAGGGAAUUUUAAUUCUGGUUUCUUUAUAGUAUCUAUUUUUGUGUUUAAUACUUCCAUGUGUUGAGAAAUUAUAUGAAGGAUUUGAUUUGUAUAAUUAUUUUGUUGAUGAACUUUUUUAAUGUCUUCUAAAUUUAUUGUAUUAUUUGCAUUUGAGCUUGAUUCAACUUCUCUACCCUUUUUAAAAGAUGAGACUAUUAUAUCUCCUUGACCUAUAUUAAUUUUUACUUCUUGUAAUGGAGGAUGUAUUGAUGUUAUUAUUUGUUCAUCUUUUAAUUUCCAUUUUUUGUAUAAAUUGGUUUGAACAUUUAUUUGUGGUGUAUUAUAUAUAUCAUUUAUUCCUAUUUUUGAAGUAUAGAAUGAUAGCCAAGUAAAGAAAGGAAAAUCAAAUUUUUGUUUUUCUAAUUCAUUUUUCCAUUCUAAAAUUAAUUUUCUUUUAUAUUCAGAUUCUAAUUGAAAAAACCAAAUUCUUUUUUCAGUAUUUUCUUCAUCUUCAAAAUCUUCUUGUAAGUAUUUAUGAUUUAUUUUAUAUGGUUUAUUUAUAACAUUUAUUUCUCCUUUUAUUUGUGAAUGGGUUGGAGAAUAUUCUGAUUGAUUUUGAUUUAUAACUUCUGGAAUAGGAGUUUUAUAUUUAAAAUUUGAGGUACUUUCUAAAGAAAAAUUAAUCUCAAUUGAUUCAUAAUUAGAAUGUCUGGCUGGUGGCCAAGAAUAAGUUGAAUCAGGUUUCUCUCUUAAUGAUAAAAAUCUUAUUAGAGUAUUACCAUCAGGUUUUUCUAUAAUAUCUUCUGCAGUAGUUUGUUCUAUAUUUCUUGCUAUUUGUGAAUUUUUAAUUUCAAAUUCACUAGGUAUAGUUAUUUCAUUCCAUUUUAGUCUUUUUGGAAUAUAAGUUGUAGGUCUAUCUGCAUCUACUUGUAAUAGAGUUGUUUCUUCUUUAAGAGUUGGAGUCAUUAUAAAUUUAAGAUUUAAAUGUGAAGAUAGAGGUCUAUAAUAUAUUCUAUAUAUUACUGCAAAAUUCUUGGUAUGUUUUUCAAAUUCAAUUCCUUGUAGAUGAAUAUCUAAUAUGACUGAAUUCAGAAUGUGUGGGUCUGUUAAAUCUAUUGAAAAGUUUGGAGCACAGUUAAAAUAUAUGGGUCCAUUACAUACAUUAGUUUGAAUCAUAGAAAGUAAAGAAGUUUUAUAUCUUUUGAGUCUAGUAUCUCUUAAUGCUAGAUAUAUAGGAGCAUCUACUCCUAGAUGGAAUAAGGGUUUUACUGCAAUUUAUAUUAAACCUAUAUGAAUAUAUCUAUAUCCUUUACUUAAGUAUCUUUGAAUUGUACUAUGAUUUAAUAAUGGAAUUGAUUGAUAUUCUUCUUGAAUAGAUAUUGUUUGUUCAUGAGUUUUAACUGAUAAAGCUGUUUUGAAAUCUAAAGGGCCUAUUCUGUAAAUAUGUUCUAUUUUUUCUUCUGGAAUGGUCCAAUCUGAAUUAUUUAUAGGCAUAUGAUAUUCAUGACUUUGUACUACAUUAGCUUGCUUUGAAUUAGAUCCUAUUUUUAAUUGUCUAAGAAAUGCAGCCAUGUCUAAUAUUUAAUUAAAGUUUUACCUAACCAGGAACAACUGUGCGCUAUGCCGGGAACAUCCUACCCUGGACUUACCAACGGUCUCACAAGGCAUCAAGUCUUACCAAUGAUUUCAGUAAAAUUUAAUGAAAUAUGUGAACAUAAAUGCAUGAAUUAGCCAAGUUUCUAUUGAAAUGUUCAUAGAAAAUUUAGUAUAAAAAUUGGACUUACUGAAAAUUUAGAGUGGUCUUUGAUAACGGAAGCUUGAUGAAUGGUUGAAUCCUUGAUCUUUAUUAUAUUUGGAGAAGGAAGGAAACAAAAGUAAUUGAAUACAAGAGUAGUUGGAAAGAGGGAUUGAGCGAUUUGUCUAAGGAUUUUUACACGAGAGUGUUUUGUUCUCUUUUUCUCACUAAUUCACCGAUGCUUUGUCUUCUGAUUUUGAAUCUAUUUAUAAACUCGUCGGGUCUUCCAUUUCAUCUUCAUUUGAAUUUCAUUUGCCUUUUCUUUGAGGUGUGGCCGACACCUUUCUUCAAAAGUCAUUUGGGUCUUGUCCGCAGGGUCCCCCGAAAGGAUCAAAAGUAGAUUCGGAUGAUCCGGCUGACUCUUCAAUUUUAUCGGUUUCUUCUUUCUUAUUUUGCUUUUGCAAAUAGUCCAAAUAUUCUUUGAGCAUCUCGGGAUUCUGCAUCAUCUUUUUUAUCAGAAAGUCAUUUGUAAAUGCCUCGAAUGCCAUACUACCAACUUUCUCUUUAUCUUUUCUUUUUGGAGUGGUUGGAAUGGGUAGAAUAGUGGUUGGAGUAGGUGGCAUAGUUGUUGGAGUAGGUGAUAUAGUUGUUGGAGUAGUGGUUGGCUGAUUUGUCCACUUAAGUUUGUCUCCAAUUGUUAAAAAUCUUAUCACAUUUGUUUGGUCUCCGUAUUCUUGAUUAAAUCCUGUCCACCAUUUGACUUGAAUUAUCUGACUAAUGACAUUGGAAGUGGUUUUUCUAGUUCUUGAUGAAUUUUGAAACUCCAACAAAAAAUCCAUGGUACUUUGAAUUCCAUGUGGAAUAAUAUUGGCCUUGUAUAUUCCUCCCCCCUUACUUUUUUGAGAUAAGUUUGGAAUCCCAUAAGAACAUUUGGAGGUAGAAUUUCUGGUUGUAGACCGAACCAUUUCCACCAGUGAUUGAACCAGAUUGGGAAUUCUCUACUGCAAUUUUCUUUGAAUGUGAAGAACCAUGAAUGAUUGAAUGGUCUAUACAAAAAAGCACGAUACCAUGCCAUUUUGUAAUCUUGAUAAGUAAAUCCAUCUGGAAUAAAUCUGGCUGAGAAAGAUUUCUUUGAAUAAAGAGAAAUCCAUUCAUUAGGAGAACAAACUUUCUUUAUUAUACAUUUUGAGUGACUAAUUAUAUUUGGAUUUUUUCUAUCUGGAAUAGGGAAUAUUUCUACAGAUUGAGUAUCUGUGAGAAUUAAUUCAUAAUAAUCCAAAUUUUUUGAAGGAUCAUCAGGUUGCCAAUAACAUUUGUGAGAAAAGAUUCUUUGAGUAAGCUGAUUGAGUGUAGAAUAUAAUGGUACUUCUUGGAAUCUGGUUAAAGUGAUAUGUUGAGUAGAUGGCUUUGUGAAAUAGGUAUUUUCAUUGGAUUUUUCUAUGGGUUUUGGAAUUUGUUGAAGAGGUCUUAUUUGAGAAGAAGUUGGAGUACGGAUAGCUUGACUGUAAGUCAAAGCUGAAAAAUCUUGCAAUAAUUGAAAUCUAUUUUGAGUUAUAGGAGUAAGACUCAUCUUAUAAUCUUGAGGAGUCUUAGGUUUAGCAUUUCCUGCUUUUGAAUCCAUUUUCCUGCAAAAUCAAUAAACAACAUCUUUAAGUUGGUUAGAUAAUUGUUUGUUUUGCUCUUUGUAAUAUUGAAGAAAUUCUUCACGUCUUCCAUCAUGUCUUCCCAAUCUUCGUAGGACUUGAAUUCUAAUAGUGUUUCUUUGAAUUUCUCUCUGAAUGAGAAAACCUCUCUCCUUUGAUGUAAGGGUUGCUAAAGGGCUUCUCUGAAUGUACACUGUGUCAUGUUUGGAAAUUUGAUAGGCUGGAAUACUUUGUCUUCCAUUACUGGUUUGAACAAAAUAUUGGUAUCCUCUGGAUUGAAGAACUGCUUCUUUGUUUAGUAAUUUAGGAGAAUCUCUUUGAGUUCUUAAAUAACCUGUAUAUUCUCUAUCAGUUCUUUGGGCCAUCAUUUCACGAUCCAUGUCCUUGUAAAAAUUCUCUAGUAAGAAAAUCUGGUAAUGAAUUAUUUUCUCCUUUUAUAAAUUCUAUUUCAAAAUAAAAAACAGAUAAAAUAGCUUGCCAUCUAGCAAAUAUUUGUUUUGAAACUAUGUUUUGAACAUCUUUUUGUAAAAUCUCUUUUGCAGAUUUACAAUCUAUUCUAAUCAAAAAUUUCUUGUUGUAUAAAUCAUCUUGAAAUUUUGAUAUGCAUAAAACUAUUGAUAAAAUUUCUUUUUUAAUAGUUGAAUAAUUCUUUUGAGAAUCAGACCAUGUUCCUGAAUGAAAUCUAACUAAUUCUUCUUUUGAUUCGUCUAUUCUUUGUUUUAAUAUACCCCCAUAUCUUAAUUCUGAUGCAUCUGUUUCAACUAUCAUGAAUGCUUUAGGAUGUGGUAAACAUAAACAUGGUAAUGAUUCAAUUUUUGCUUUUAAAUAUUUUAUUUUUUGAGUAUGUUCUUCUGUCCAUGGUUUUGGGUUCUUUUUUAAUCUAUUAAAUAAUAUAGAGCAUUCUUGUCUUAAUUUAGGAAAGAAAUUUGCUAUAUAAUUUAAACAUCCUAAAAACUUUUGUAAUUGAUUUUUAUCUUUUAUUUCAUUUGAAAAUUUAGUAGCAAAUUCUAAAGCUCUAUUAAUUGGUUUUAUUGUUCCUUGAUAUAUAUCAUGUCCUAAAAAUCUUAUUUUUGUUUGGAAUAAUUUCAUUUUUGGUGCUGAAACAACUAAUCCAUUUUUCUUAACUACUUUUAAAAAUAUAUUUAAAUGUUUGAAAUGCUGUUCUAUUGAUUCAGAAAAUAUUAAUACAUCAUCAAUAUAAACUAUGCUAAAUGAACUAUAAGGAUUGAAAAUAUCAUUCAUUAUAUUUUGAAAUUCUGAUGGUGCAUUUUUUAAUCCGAAUGGCAUUACGUUCCAUUCAUAAUGACCAAAAGAUGUUGUGAAUGCUGUUUUAUAUCUAUCUUUUGGUGUUAUUAAUAUUUUCUAAUAUCCUGAUUUUAAAUCAAACUUUGAAAAUAUUUUUGCCUUGAAUAAUCUAUUGAGCAAAUCCUUUUUAUUAGGAAUUGGAUAUCUAAUCUAUUGUAAUACUUUAUUUAAUGGUUUAUAAUUUAUAACUAAUCUUGGAACUCCUCUUUCUUUUUUAGUUUGAUUCAUUAUAUAGAAUGCAGCAUAACUCCAAGGUGAUUUUGAAGGUGUUAUUAAUUUUUUGUCUAUUAAUGUUUUUAUUUCCUUUUUACAAAAUUCUAAUAGAUCAGAAUUAAUUUGUAUUGGUCUUGCUUUAGUAGGAAUGUUUUUCUCAUUAAAACCUGUUUCGUAAGGUAAUUCAAUCAUAUGUUGUUUUCUAUCCCAAAAAAUAUUAGGAAUAUCUGCACAAAUUUCUUUUUGUAAUAAUUUUUCUAAUUCUGAAAUUCUUUUUUGCAUUUUACUUUCUUUUAAUUGUUCUUCAAUUUUUAAAUAAGAUUUUUCUUCUUUUAUAUAAUUUAUUUUGCUCUUGUACUUUAGUAAUACUAUUUAUUGUUUUGUAAAUAGAGGAUGUUUGUAAUGUCUGUAAUUCUCUUUGUUUUACUGGAGUUAGAAAUCUAAAGAUAACAGUUUUUCCCAUUAUAUUUAUUGAAAUUCCUUCAUGACUAACUGAAAAUGGGUAAAUUUGAAUUUAAAAAGGUGUUCCUAAUAUUAUAUCAUGAUUUAUAUUUUUUACAAUUAUGAAAUUAUGUCUAAUACAAUAUUCAUUGUUACAUAUUGAUCCUUUUGUAAAUUUAUAUUUUAUUUGUAAAUUUUCUCCAUUUGCUGCCAUUAAGGUUUCCUUUGUUCUUUCACAAUAUUUAGUAGGAAUUAUUCCUUUUUUAAUACAACUUGAAUCAGCUCCACUAUCUAUUAAAGCUACAUAUAUUUUUUUGAAAUCUUCUACUGUAAUAGUUACUAAAGCAUACCAUUUUUGAAAUAUCAUUUUUUCUAUGGUAUUUAAAUAUUGAAUUUCAUCUGUUGGUCUUUCUGAUAUACUUAUUUCUUCUGUUUUAGAAUUGGAAGUUGAGGGUUGAUUUUCUAGUAAUGUUAUUUUUGCUUCUAUUUCUAAAUCUUUUGUUUUUAAUUCUAUCAUUUCUCUUUGUAAUUGUUUUACUUGUAUUUUAAGAUCAUUAAUUUCGGUUUGAAGAUCUUUAGUGGUUUCUUUUUUCAUUAUAUUUAUGUUUGGAUAUUUAUCAAUUAAUUUAGAAAUACUAAAAGGUUCUAUUAUUUUUGGUAUUUUGUCUUCUUGUAUAAUUAGACUUUUUAAUCUUUCUAAAUACUCUUUUUUAGCUACUGGAUCAUCAAUUUUUUCUAUUAUAUCUAAUAAAAAUUCUUUAUCUUCUUUUUUGGUUAUAACAUUUAUAUAUUUUGAAGUGUUAGAACAAUUACAAUUUUCUUCACUUUCUGUACUAGAUAUAUCAUUAUAAUAAUCAUCUUCAGAACUUUGAUCUUUUUCAUUUAUUAAUUUAUUUUUAAUUUCUUCUUCUUUUGCACAAAUCUUUGUAAUUUUUUCUUUUAAUUUACAUUUGUUAGCUUUAUGUCCUAUUUUUUCACAUUUAUAACAAACAAUUUUUCUUUUAAUAAAUUUUCUCUUCUUUUCUGGUGUAUCUUCUUUAGAUCUUUUAUACUUUAUUUUCUUAUUAUAUUUUUUAACUUUUUUGUUAUACGCAGAUGGUGAUUUAAUUCUUUUAAUUCCAAAUGCAUCACAAAAUGAUCCUACUUCUUUUGAUUUAGAACCAUAUUUUAUUUGUAAUUUUAAUUCUGAACAUAGUAUUAAUCCUUCUUUUUGCACAAAAGCAAAUAAUUGUCCAAAAGUAAUAUUUUCAAAUGAAAUUACAUCUAUUAUUUAAUAGAUUAAAAAGGAACCCAAAACCAUGGACAGAAGAACAUACUCAAAAAAUAAAAUAUUUAAAAGCAAAAAUUGAAUCAUUACCAUGUUUAUGUUUACCACAUUCUAAAGCAUUCAUGAUAGUUGAAACAGAUGCAUCAGAAUUAGGAUAUGGGGGUAAAUUAAAACAAAGAAUAGACGAAUCAAAAGAAGAAUUAGUUAGAUUUCAUUCAGGAACAUGGAUUGUGUGACGCCCCCACUUCUCCCUAAGGUGAACCAAAGGGUAUCCGCGGGACGCCUGCCUAACUCUCGCCAGGACUCAAGCAAUUCCAUUCAAACUUAUUACCGGACCACACAAUACGGUCAAUAACUUAGAUACAAUAAAUGCGGAAGCGUUCAAAUUUAAUAAAAGUCAUCCGUUAUCCAACCCGUACAUCGGGUGUUCAACAACCAUCAUAAAUUCCAAAUAUACAUCAUGCCCCAAAAGUUACAUUCGGAUUCCAAAAUACAACCCAAAAGCCAAGACAUAGCCAAAAGUAAUAGAAACCCUAAACGAAAGUGUAUCAGGAAGGUUUCUUCGAUACCUCGCCAAGUUCAAUCCUGUUAAGGAAAACAAAUCUACAGGGUGAGCAAAAACGCUCGUGAGACCAAGAACACAUAUACAAGCACAUUGCUCAAAUAACAAUCUCAAUUUACAAGUUAAGCAAUCAUAUUUUAGUAAUUAACAAUUUAUUGGAAAUAUAACCAGAAACAAUUCAAGGAUAUUGGAGCCCUCAUGAGCUAUAUUCCACUUGCACAUUCAAUAACCUCCACGAAUUGGCACUCCGUCAAUUGGGUAGGUUUAGUCCGUAGAACUCCAUUUAACCUGUCCCCUUUCACCUUACAUACCCAUGUAUCGGGCCCGCCUGUCAUUUGUUUGUGGCGAUACUACUCGAGUAUGCCAAGCAAGACCUCUCACUAAGUCAAGCUUAUAUAUCUCAUGGCUCGCCAAGGUUCCCGACCAAACCCAUGUCGGCUCGAGUCCAAGGUCGGUCAAUGAGAUUUGGGCGUCCCCAUGUGCACUUGUGUGUCGAGGAGAUUCACUCCAACGACGUAGGCAACUAUAGCAUACCAUUACAUUUCAUUCAUUCAUUCAAUACAUUUCAAUCAUUCAUUCAAUGCAUUUCAAUCAUUCAUUCAAUACAUUUCAACCAUUAAUAUUUCAUUUCUAAUGAGAACGAAUGUGGUAAAGUACACACUCGACUCCACUUUCAAAAUUUCCAAUCAUUAAUAACAAUUAAACAUGUAACAAGUUUACAUACACCUGACACUCACCAAGUAUUAGGUGUAAGUAAGGUCAAGAAAAGUUCAAGCGUCCACCGUGGGAUCCUCUUGAAGGUUCUCGUGUGCGACUGAGCAAAUAAUAGUGAAUUAUCAUCCAUAUCCCAAAUAUCGAGGAAUAAUUCGUUCACUAGUAUUAAUCUAGGGGAUUCUGUGAAAAUGAAUCUCAAUUACUCGUAAAUUGAGGUUCGAGAGGGGUUUGAUAACAUUCAAAAGUAUUUAAGUCUUUAUCUAGGAAAUCGGGGAUAAAACGUUUAGAUAAUAUCAAAAGAAUAAAGAGUUUUUGAAAAACUCUAUUUCCUUGAAAGUUGGAAAAUUUCAGUUUUGUUAUGAAUCUUUGAAAAAUCGUAACUCACUUGGAAUAAGUCAAGAAUUGGAAAACUUUAUACCGUUGGAAACCUCUUAGAAAGUACUACAAGUUCCUAGAAGACACUUUUCCAUGAAUCGAAGUGGAAAGUGCUCAAAAAUGAGCUUAAAGUUGUUGUUCCAAAUCACCCAGGAUUGAGCCGGAGUUGAUUUUUCGCUAACUUUGAAAAUGCGGCAGAAUUCACUCGUUGCAAAUCAUCCCUUGAAAUUGAUAGCUCAAUUAGAGGUGCAAGUAAGGUUUAGGGCAGAUCAAGCGGAUCGAGAAUCGAAGUUUCGAGUACCAAGAUAUGGUAGCUCAAAGUUGGGUAAAUUUCAAGACUGUUAACAAAUUUCCAGAUUUGGUUCCGACUUUGGACCUUUAGUUAAGUGUCGAAACGGACUUGGAUUGAUACCAAAUUUUGCAGUAUAAUACUUCUAUAUGAAUGGUAUCUUUCUAUCAAAUUUUGUGGAAAAAUACCUUCGGGAAGGUGGUUAACCAAUCAACCAAAGUUUGAAAUUACUAAGGCCAAACUGCCUUUAGCUCUCUUUCUCUCUGUUUCCAAACAUUUGGCUAAGGAAAACCUCCAAGCAUGGUUCAUUUGUGCAAGAAAAGUCUAAGGAGUAUACAUGGUACAUUUGGUAGGUGUUUAGCACCAAGAAAUUCAUUUGGUAAUGACAGGUAUUUUACAUACGUGCAAGCUAAAAAAUACCGAAUUACACCAGUUCACUGCAAGUAUACAGAUCAACUAGUAGUUUAGGGUAUAUAUCGGGUCGAUCCCACAGGGAAGAGUGAACAAUUACCGGUAUUACUAAAGCUUCUCUAUUAUUUAGACUAUCAAUGAAUUAUAACAAAUUUAUCCUACUGAAAUUAUACAAAAUAACAAAUAAAUGCUCCUUAGGUUGUGGUAUCCCUAACUACUCAUGCAAGUGCUAUAUUUGGAUCAUUGAAUACUACAUCUAGGCUAAUUAUGGUGUAAUUUCCUUAACCAUGUGAAACCUACUUUCGUAGUGAAUCAAUUAUAUUUAUAACUAAUCCAUACCUAUUCUCAUGGUUAUGAAAUUAGCUACAAGUUCAUUUUUUCAGUGAAAUUACAUGAAAUGAAUCACUAAAAACCACAUAGGUGCACCUCUACUUUCGUGAUUGUACUCCCUAUGUUUAGCACUUCUUGAACUAAUGUUAAAUCUCAAUUUUCAUUGUAGAAAUAACACCUUAGAUAAUCACAAUUAAUGGUACCAGAUUAAUCAUGAUUUAAAGAGCUAAAAUGCUAAAUAACUUGCUCAAAUCAUAGCAGUUAAAUAGCCAAAUGAUAAACAGUAACAAUCAUAGAAAGUUCAACCAAACCCAAGGCAUAAACUUUAGAAACACAUAAUAGACAUAAAAUCCAGAACUUGUAUAUUAGCUAAACUUGGAAUCAAAUACAAAAGAUAAAGAGUUGGAAAGGAAUGUAACCCAUGUCACUUGAGCUCAUCACCUUGCCUUCUUCAUCUCUAUCUUAAUCCUAGUCUAGCAAUAUAAAAGAGUGGAUGAACUACACUAGCUAAACUAUCUUACACUAAGGAAAUGGAAGAACUACAUUUCUGCACUCUUCAAGCUUCCCCCGUAUGAUCAUCCAGACCUCCCAGAAUGUCUCUGCAUAUAAACUAAUGAAAAGCUCCUCUCCAGUCCAAAUUUUCUGCUAUAAUGAUUCUCAAAUCUCCAUUUUGUAAGAAAGUCAAAAACAAUGGUUUUGGACUUGGAAUUUUGGCUAUACCUCUUACUUUUUGUCUUCUGAAGCAUGUGCACCGAAUUCUCUUACAACUUAUAGCUGGAAAGUAGUCUGAACACAAGAGAAUUGACUGAGCAACUUGCAGAAUUUCGGCCAGAAAACGCGCCUAUACAAAACGCGGCUACACCUCGCGUUUUGUUCACUCGCGUUUUCACUUUGGCCUUACUUCAACUGCAAUUUUCUCCAUGAUGCCGGCCGAAAUGGAUUUUGUGCAAAACACUAAAGUUGUAUCCCUCUGAGCAAAUUGCAGAAUUUCGGCCAGAAAACGCGCCUAUACAAAACGCGGCUACACCUCGCGUUUUGUUCACUCGCGUUUUCACUUUGGCCUUACUUCAACUGCAAUUUUCUCCAUGAUGCCGGCCAAAAUGGAUUUUGUGCAAAACACUAAAGUUGUAUCCCUUUGAGUUAGCUUUCCAAUGCUUUAAAAAUCAUCCAAAUCGAAGCUUUGUAUCCUGAGAUAUGACCAAAAUACUAAAGACUGGUCAGAACUCUGUUUUCCACUUUGGACAGCUGAGUUGAAUUUCGGUAUUUCAACUUUUGGACUAUGAAAACGGCUGAAUUGGACUUUGAUGUCUUCAUACCAAAUGUAUAUCUAUCUCUUAGCUUCAAAAUGGUAUAAAGAUCAUCUCAAUGCAAUAUGUAUAGCUCCAGAUAUAGUCAAAAUACGAAAAUGUGUCUGAGUUGUCAAAGCUGACUUUUCUUGAUUUUUGUCCUCAAAUUGCAUUUCUUCCUUUUACACUUCAUAUUUUAUUUUCACCACUUUAAUCCAUCAUCAAUCAUCCAAAUAUCUUCUCAAUGCACUUCAUUUGAUGAUUGAAUCAUUAAACCUACAAAAUAUGAAGUUUUUUCCCAUAAAAAUCAAUAGAAAUGCAAUGUUAGCCACUUUAACAUAAAAUGUAGAUUUUUACCAAAACCUUAGUUAUUUUAGUUAUAAAGCUAAAUAAUCAAACCAAAAUUAACUAAUAAAACACACUAAAAAUACGUAAAAUAAACUCUUAUCAGGUAAGGCCACAACAAGUCUCAUCUCAAAUCUGUCCAAAACUGGGUUUUUCCAAAACAAAGCAGUCACCGUAUUUUGAUCAUAACUCACUCAAUUUAACUUGGAUUUGGGCAUGGUUGAUACUGUUACAAAAUACAUUCAUAGGGGUAAAAUUUUACAGAAGAAAUCAUUUUAAGUUUCAGCAUGUAACUGGCUCAAAAUUAAGCCUAGAGUUGCAGCAUCAUCAAAUCAUUUCGGCAGAACGGAGAAACAGGGCAGUUGAAUUCAGAAGAGUGGUGCGGUUCACACACAUGGAACCAGAAUGUGCAUUAUAUACCGUUGGAAAGAUGGGUAUGUUUAGUUUCAAAUGCCGCUAACGACACUUGAUUUCGAUGUCGGAGUACGGAGUUAUGGACGAAAUACAAACACUGGUCUGGUUACGACGGCAACCGUUUCCAGACUACCAGCUUUGGGAAAUAAAUUCUUUUGAUCAACCAAAACUCAACAUUUUUCAAUGAAAAUUUGUACACAACUUCUACAACAUGUAAACAACACAAUCAAGGGAUUGAAUUCUCAAAUUUCUGCAUUAAAGUGGCCGAACAAAGCAGGGGCAAAAUGGUCAAAUUUGGCCUUUGCACCCAACGUGAGUUUCCAGCAAUUUUCCUUCAACAAACCACUAACUUAAACACUAAUCCGACAUUAUAAACAUCAUCAAGCACAAAAUCAGCAACAACCCAAGAGUGGGAAUUCAUAGAGCCCACUUUUCCAAUUUCUCCAACAUCAACCACAACCCAUAUGCAAAUUCAACCUUAUAAGUGUAAUUUAACUUCCAUAAGACAAGUUUAAGGUAUUAGAUCAUUACCUACUUUGAUGGUUGGUCAAGACAGAAGUUUCGGUCCUUUUGAAUCUUGAAGAAAACCGUGGAUAGCUCCUUCCUUUUGCAGGUAAAUGGACUUCCCAAGUGUUGAGGUAGAUAUAGUUGAAUUUUUUUGAGAGUUUGGUAGAUUGAGUAAGAUUUGUAGAGGGAAUGUUGAAAGUUUUUGGUUGUUUCUUUGCAGCUGCUAGCCGUCCAAGGAGCUUGAAGAAAGGAAAUGGUUUGCUGAUCCUUUGGCGUAUAAGGAACGCUAUUCGUGUAAUAUUUUAAGUACGUAAAAAUCAAUUGCAAAUGCAAAGCACCAGUGUCGACAUAUCCCGAUCAUCUGAUCUCUUAAUCCACAAGUUAACAGCAAAACUACAAGGGACCUUGACACUUUAACACAUAUAGCCAUAUUCAUAAUAUUAUAGCAGAAGUUCCUUUCCAAUUGACCGACCAAAUAUUGCUCAUCUAGGUGUGUAUUCUCAGACAAUAGUAUAGAAUUUGAUCAUGCAAGAGAUGCAUAAUUAAGUAGGAAAACUUUCAUAUUGCUCUUUCCCCGACUAUUCCACACUACAUUAUUAAUUUUUCAUUAAAGUUAAGUUGUUACUUAGAUAGAAGGAAAGAAAUGGACUGACCAUUCUGGUUACAAAAAUAUCCUUCUUUUUGCCUAUUAAAGUACCACCAAGUCAUGAAGAUCCUAACUUAAUUAUCUCCACAGCUGGGCUAACUCCUCAUAUGUGUUCCAAUAACAAGUUAAAACUAAAGAAUUCAGCAUUCCAUAUUAGAUUUUACUGGAAGAAGACAGAUAAUAUAUGUACCUUUUGCUCCUCACAGUAUGAUGGAUCGGAAAACCAACUUUCAUCAACUACCACAUCCUCCUUUAAUUCUCUAUUUUUUGAAACUGCAACCAUAGAGGAUGUUAUAACUACUCUAUUGACAGAAGAAGAAUUUGCACAUGACCGCAGCACAUUCAGUGUUCCGCUUACUGCAGGUUCCAGUAGUUCUGCCUAUGAAAUCAAACCAAGUAAAAAAGGAAGUCAUUACCAGUCAUAGGUAAGACUAUGCUUUUAACCUGCAAAAAACUUAUCAUUCUGGUAUUAUGUUUGAGAAUUUCACCACAAAUGCUGUAAACCUACAGCUUUAGUUACUUAGCUAAAGGAUGCAUAUAGUUGUCUUAUCUCCUCUUGCUGCUAAAAUAAGUUCUCAGGUCCUUUAUUGUUGUUUUUCCCAUAUUUUUUGAGCUUUCACUGGGUGACAGGAACUUAAGACCAAUAGAGGAACAACUGAAAUAAGUCUCAGAUGUGGUCACCAAUUAAACCGUUGGUACCAAAUAUCAACCGAUGAAAUUCUGUUCUGGCUUGAACAGGACAGACAGAAAAUAUAAAAGGUGUAGCUCCCAUGAAUCCUGCGAAUAGAUUUUAGCGUGAACACAUAAUGCAUGUUGCAAUUUCUUUUAGUGUCUGUGAGGCAACCUUGUUCAUUGAAAUUACUAAAAUCAAAGUUCUACAAAGUUACUUAUAUAAAAAUCCAUAAACAAACAGACAAGGAUAGGUGUACUGCAUAAAAUUUUAAGGCACAAUCAUUAAUAGAAGUUAAUCAACAUACAAAUGAAGAUACAUAUAAUUUGCAGAUGCUUGAACAUAUAUUGUAGUUUCUAUAAGCUUCUUAUUCAUGGUGAUAUCGGCACCCAAAAACUAUUGGCUCUGCACUGGCUGAAUAAUUAGUUGGUCAAAGCAGCGAUUCAUUUGCUCCAGGGCAAGCUUGUAGCUUGCUCUAUAACCUUGACACAGGUGCCGAACCUGUGCAAUAAUAAUUACUAAAAAGUCCUAAUUACCACCUCAAUUAAUUAUAGAACAAAUCCAAAUACUGGAGCAGGGACCCUAGGUGUGUAAUAGGUUACUUGAUUCACCUAUUCGAAGAGUUUGCUUGAUGAUAUACCAAAUUUGCCUAUAAAAAUAUUAAUUUUGCAUACAAUGACAAGUAGGGUCGAUUCCACAGGGAACAGGUAGGAAGUUUUCUUUCCAAGUCAAUAGAAUAAAAUUGGGGGAUGAUUAAUGGGAUGGAAAUGAAAAUAAAAUAAAUAAAAUUCAAAAGAUAACUCCACAAGUACAAUUUAUUAAAAAUAGAAUUAAUAAAAUUCUACCCAAAGGAUCAACUUUUCAGGUACGGUCCAAUUAAAUGAUCAUCGAUGCAGAGAUAUUUCAUUCAUCCGUCACUAGAUUGAUUAUAACUAUCAACAACGUCUGACAGCCAGUUCUCCCUUACCUUUUUAUAACCAAGGUAUGACCGUUGACUGCUUUCUAACCAGAAAACAACCCUAGUACGACCGUAGGAAUUUAAUUAUCCAGUUGCAUUAAAACUGGAAAAAUCAACCCUAACCAAUAAACACGCUAAGAGGGUUUAUUUAAAUUAGAUCUUGCGUUCCCCAACAUAAAGCCAAUUAUGGUGGUUGUCACUAGGUAUCAACUAAACGAACAAUUAUUGAUUCAAUUUAGUUAAUAUGACAGUAGGCUAUUAAAUUAAAUCAAAUACCCGGCAGUUGAUAUUCAAUUAAUAAAAUAUCCAUAAACAAUUAAUUCAGGAAAUGCACGAAUAGUAAAGAAUUGGAAGAAAGAAUAAAAAUUCGAUUAGAUCUCAUAGAUGUUAUGGACCGCGCCCUUGCGUCAACCUUUAGGUAGAGAGGAAAACUAGCCGCUCCUAUCAUAUCAAUCUCGCGUGGUUCAAUUGAUAUCAUUCAACUUAAUUAUCAAAAGGAUUGGGAAAAGUGAAAUAGCGAAGGAACGGCUAAAAAGCCUUGCUUCCCUUUGUAGGGUUUCGUGUUCGUACCACUGAGGCCAAAGUAAAAGCAAAAGUCUAAUAGGGAAGUCGUACAGAAGCCAAAAGCAAAGAGUAAAUCGUCUGUAAUGGCCGACAGAUGGGAGCCAAAGAAAAUUAAAGCUAAGCUAAUCUAUUAGACGUGAAUCUGGCUUUGACUAAUGCUGUGAAAGACCGAAGGACCCCAGACGUCUGACUCCAAAUUGAAACUCAAGCUACUCUAAUUGAUCAGACGUGAUUUUGGCCCUUUUUCCUUUUUGAACGCCGCCGCCCACAGAGACCAAGAAACGUCUGGGUUUUACUUGCUUUUGGAGCCUAGGCUUUGAUUCCAUGCGUCGAGUUCACGUGGGUUUGGUUUCCUAGUUAGCCUGCUGCUAUCAAUCCUGCGAGUCCGAUUUAGGUAUAUCUCCUCAGUUUCUGGCGUGGGCACGCCAUAAAAUAAAGAGUCUUCUGAAAAUGUGCCUCACGCGAUCACUUUUAACACCAACCACCUACAAUUUACACAAAUAUCAAAUAUGAGCAAAUUCUCAAUUCUUAGCACCAUGAGUUGCCAAAAUUAGGACAGAAUAAUAGUGCAAAAUGUGCUAAAUAACCCAUCAAAUCCCCACACCUAGAUAAUGCUUGCCCUCAAACAUUUCAGAGCUCAGAAGCACAAUCAAGAUAGCAACGGUUUCCUAGUCAUCUAUACUAGCACAAACAUCCCGCAUUCCCGACAAUAUCGCCAAAAUUAAAACAUACCAAACAGGUAGUUAUCCAAAGAAUAUGAACAGUAUUAUACGUUACCUUCAAGAAAAUGUAUAAAUACUAGGAACGCUCAAAUCAACAUCACGGAAUGAAUUACCAUAGGCUUGCACAUUUAUCACAUCUCCACCACCGAAAAACGAACUAAAUACACAAAUCAAAGGGACUUUCAUAGGGUUGUAAUGGGGUUUAAGUAAAAGGAGGGAUAAGAAGGUGAAAAUAAGGUGUAAUGUGUCAGGGGAAUGUCCGAUAUCCACCACAUAACCACAAUGCUCACCGGAGAAAUUUCCACAAACAAGACAGUUUCACCUACUGUACACACUGUGCAAAUGCCACCAAUUUUCUCUCUCUCUUUUUUGACAGGCAGCUUGCAAGGCGUGGGCACGUCCUAUAAGUCAGAGUCGUCCGUUCACUUCCUUCACUUUGCUUUCUCUUUUUUUUUUGGAGGAUAACGUCUUGCAAGGCGUGGGCACGCCCUGUAAGACAGAGUCUUCUGAUCAGCAGCUUAUUGUUGAUUUAUCCCCUUUUUUGUUCCAGAUGCACAAAGAUAGCAUCAUACAGAUUCUACUCUGACAACACUUGCGAUUCCAGAUUUAUUUGCCUUGCACAAAUGAUGAAAUUCAGACAUCCCUUGACAACACAGGGGUGACCAAGAAAGUCUAAAGAGAUCUUGGAUUAUCAACAUGGCUAACAAACAAACUCGACGGAUAAAAGCUCAAAUUGGUUUACUAUUAGAAGACAAGAUGAAGGCAUGAUUUUUAGGAAGUUAUAGGAAGUUUAAUCCUAAAUGCCCUUAUCAUUUCAAAUGCAACCAAUUCAACAAAAUGUGGUCUCGACAUGUACAAAAUAGCAAGUUCUAGAAUGCCAAUACCAUGUGUGAUACCCACUCAAUCAAACAAAAAUAGAGCAAACAAGAAUAAUGUGCUCGCAAGGCUCAAAAGCUUCCAAAAAUUACAAAAGUGGGUCAAGUCCAGCAUACUCAAUAUUCAACGAUAUUGCUAAGGAAAAACCAGAUGCACAGCCAGCAUAUAUGACCACAUAUACGUGCACCCAGAUUGUAUAUUCCAUCAUAGUAAAAUGCUCUAGCAAAAAUGAACUAACUAUAUACUUUUUCCUUUUUGUUUUUCAGGUUUUUUUUCAUGUUUUCCUCUUUUUUUUUUUGUUUUUCGAGCAAAAAGAAACAAUAGAGACAAAAAGAAAUAAUAGAAAUCACUCCCCACACCUAAAACCUACAUUGUCCUCAAUGUAGCCUAGACAAAUAAAGUGCAAGGACAAAGGGAGAGAAACUUCCCUGACUACUGAGAUGGUGCAGCGAGAUCCUAAGGAGGCGGAGGAUGCAGGGGGUGGAAUCCAAUAUGAGCAUAGAAAGCUGCCUGAUUCUCUGUCUGAAUACGGGCAAAAACCUGUAACGCCCUAAAACGGUCAUCCAACCCUCAAUGCGCUCCUCCAGCGCAUGGAUAGAAUCCUGGAGGGAGCGAUAUUGGGACUCCCAAGCAGGGGGAGCAUGAUAGGAGGACGGACCUGCCUGAUCCGGAUGGGGUGGAGACUCAGUGGAGGGGGCAGUCGGAGGAACCCGGGGCUGUGGUCCGUCCUCGCCAGGAGGUGUAAACUGAUAGACAUUUCCUACUUUGAAAAUAACUCCCAUCCGCUCCAAGCUGCAAAUCCAGUGGCUCUAUCUCAUGAGCUAGAGCGAAGUUGUUCUCUUUGUCGAGGUCAAGCAAACCCAAUCGAAUGGCCAAGUGAGUAAUGAGUGAACCCAGAAUUACCGGUUUAUUGCACUUUUGAAUGACUGAUUGCAUUUGAGUGGCCACCCAACAUCCAAAGUUAACCUGAACUUUGUUACGCAUGCACCAAAGAAAAUAAAAAUUCUGCCUUGGUGAGAGUGCCGGAGGAAUCCUUCCGGCCCGAGAAAUUGUGAGCCAAGAACCUAUGGAUGACCUUCAAGACCGGAUCCUUCAGAUGAGAGGCCUUGGACUGACUCGGAUUGUAAAGUUGAGGAUCUGUGGACCACUCCCUCCAAAUGUCAAUGUAAUCAGUAGAAAACGGUUUGGUGUAGUCACACACACUAUUUAUAUAUGCUCUGGAUGCAAUGGUAUUCUCACUAACAAACCCCAAAGUCAGAUUAAACUCAUUAAUGGGCAUACUAUACUGGGUAUCUCUUAAUCUAAAUUGAAUAAUCCUCUUCCCAUCCAAAGUGAUGAAUUCAUUUUUUAUGAACUCGGAGGUGGAGUAGAAUUCACAACACAGCUCCUCAAACGUAGGGUAAUCAAUGGUUAGGUACUUUUGCCAACCUAUUGCCGAGAACAACUGUUCAACAUGUCGUGCAAUUUGUAAAUGGUCCAAGGUUGGGGCAUGGAAGCAUUACAUGGGGCAAAAAGACAGUGCACCAAGCUAUUGAACCGGUCCUGUUGUGCCCUUGUAAGGUUAGUGACCGGUUCCCCCAUUCCCCAAGAGACAUAGUGCUUUUAUUGAGGCCUAAACGAGAACGAAUAGGGGUUUGAAUUGGGGCUCGCCUUUUACGAGGUUGGGACCAGAUGCCCCAGAAGUUGUUGCUUUUUUUUGGAGGCAUUUGGAGACCACAGGCAAAGUGUAAAUAAGUAAAGAGACAGCCAGUCAAUCACAAAAGAGGCAGGAGACCACAGUCAACAAUUACUACUCAAAAAUCAACAGUCCAAUAGCAAAGAGAGAGUACAAUUGCCCCCAAACAAAGACAGGCAGAUUGACACAAAAAUCCCUCAUUAGCGUCACUAGGCAACCAAUAAUUAAGACAAGAAGAAUCGAGACCCCAAACAAUGAAAUUAUCAGUCAAAUAUGUCCAACAGAGGGUGAAUCACUUGUCACGUGUACCAGAUAUCCGAUUCACCAGAAUCCACAGAUAUAUAAACUCGAAUCUGAGUCAAAUAUAGCAACUAGAUCCCAAAUUUGAAGACCAGUGACAAAAAUUUAGGGAAAAUAUGGGUACCACUUUUUUUAGGCUGGAGGAGGUCGUGGGAGAGUCACACGGCGAGAAGAAGAGGAGCCAAGGGCGGCGCGCGUGCUCGUACGGAUGGGGAAGGACGCGCUGCUGGAGGGCUGUUGGCGGAGUGGGGCACACGGGCUGGCUGACGCGUGCAGCACAGGGCCUGGCCGGCAGGGCAGGUCGCGCCAGGCGGGCAAUACUGCUAGGUGUGCUGGGCGUGCGGGUGCGUGAGGUCGCUCGCGUCUGGCAGGCUUGCAGAUGAAGACCGCGAGCUGCUGGGAAAGCGCAGACCUGCUGCUGGGUCGACUGCAGCGCGCGGAGGAGGAAGGAGCACGCGAGAAGAGCAGGCGCGCAUGCAGCGUGCGAGUAGGGGAUGUCACGUGCAAAGGCAACUCGCACGCUGGUGAGUUUGGUGGCGGAGUGCGACAGCUGACCACGGGCGACAGACAAUGGCGCAGCGGCAGGCGGCGGUGUGCGGCAAAGACGAUGGCAGGUGGAGGAGGCGUGCGAUGGAGAAUGGCGGCGGACCAAGAAAGCAAGGCAAAAGAAGAAAGUGAGACUUAGUCAAAAGAAAGAAACUGAAAAAGUAGAAGCUAGACUGACGGGUCUUGACAAACUAGACAAGACAAGGAAAAGAGUAAAGUAGAAAAGUGGGGUCAGAGAGGGUCCCGGUCAAUUUUGACUUUUGUUGUCCCACAGAUUGGAAGACGUGGGCAUGCCUUGGAGGCCAUAGUCUUCUGACCGUCGCAUCUUGACAAAGUCCAAAAGAGUUCCUUUCAAGGCAUGGGCACGCAUUGCAACUGUUAGUCUUCAAUUUGCACAGUUGACCUGGCGUACCCCUUCCAAGGCGUGGGCACGCCUUGGAACCCCUAGUCUUCUGUUCAUCACCACAAAAACAAUCAAAAUAUAAAAAUAGAACUGAAAAAUCGCAAGUAAAUGAAAAAUGAUCACAACUAAUUCUGUAUUCCUUGGGUUGCCUCCCAGCAGUACCUUUCUUUAAUUUCUUUGGCUAAACAUGGCCAUCAGCUAUUUAGACCUCACGAUUUGGAUCAUUAAGAGAUAUAAUCUCCACUUGCUCACUGUUAAACCCUUCAUAAUAAGGCUUUAGACGGUGACUAUUGACUACGAACUUCUUCUCCGUUUUCAAGCUUUGGAUCUCCACUGCACCAUAAUGAAAAAUAUUAGAGAUAACAAAUGACCCAAUCCAACGCGAACGCAACUUACCUGGAAAAAACUUAAGUCUCGAGUGAUAAAGUAGGACUUUUUGCCCUAUUACAAAUGACUUCCUUGAGACUUGUUGGUCAUGAAAAAUUUUGCUCUUCUGCUUAUAAAUUGCGGCGUUCUCAUAGGCUUCAUUCUUUAGCUCCUCCAACUCUUGUAAUUGGAGCUUUCUAUGUCCUCCGGCCUCCAUAAGGUCCAUGUUACACCGCUUGAGCGCCAAAAAAUGCUCUGUGUUCAAAUUUCAUCAGGAGGUGGCAAGGCUUCUCAAAAACUAACCUGUAUGGGGAUAUCCCAAUCGGUGUUUUGUAUGCGGUGCGGUAAGCGCAGAGAGCAUCUUCCAACUUCAAACUCCAGUCCUUUCUAUCAGACUGCACCAUUUUCUCUAGGAUUGACUUCACCUCUCUAUUCAACACUUCAGUCUGACCAUUCGUCUGUGGAUGAUAGGGAGUGGACACUUUGUGGAGCACGCCAUAUUUACGAAACAGAACAGUGAUCGUCUUAUUGCAAAAAUGGGUGCCCCUGUCACUGACUAUAGCUCUCGGCAUUCCGAAACGGACAAAAUGUUAGAUUUAAUAAAUUCUGCAAUCACUCUAGAAUCAUUAGUUUGGGUGGCCUUUGCCUCCACCCAUUUGGAACAUAAUCAACAGCAAGUAGAAUGUACAAGAAACCAAAGGACGAGGGAAAGGGACCCAUGAAAUCUAUACCCCAAACAUCAAAAAUUUCAACAAAUAAUAUGGGGGUUUGACUCAUUUGGUCUCUACGAGAAAUAUUCCUCACCUUUUGACACCUAUCACAAGAUUUACAGAACAAAUAUGCAUCCUUAAAAAGAGUCGGCCAAUAAAAAUCGCUCUCUAGCACCUUACGAGCUGUGCGUUUUGGCCCAAAGUGCCCCCCACAUGCAAAUAAAUGGCAAAAAAUCAAAAUAGAAUAGAACUCAUCGGCACUUACACACCUUCUUAUCACCUGGUUCGAGUAUUGCCUCCACAAGUAUGGGUCAUCCCAAAUAUAAUAUUUGGCGUCAUUUCUCAACUUAUCUCUCCUUGCCAUCGGUCAACCUGAAGGCAAUUGAUUCGUUACCAAAAAAUUUAUAAUGUUAGCAUACUAGGGUGCCGAUGAAUCAAUGGCUAGCAAUUGCUCCUCGGGAAAUGACUCUCUUAAUGGCAGAUCCUCCUAAUUCGUGAGCAGCCGACUCAAAUGAUUAGCCACCAAAUUCUCGGCUCCGCUCUUAUCCUUGAUCUCUAAGUCGAACUUCUGCAGGAACAAGAUCCACCUGAUCAGCCUCGAUUUUGCAUUUUUUUUCGCGCCAACAGGUACCUCAAGGCUGCAUGAUCAGAGAAAACAAUUAUUUUCGCACCCAAUAAAUAUGACCUAAAUUUUUCUAGUGCAAAAACAACAGCUAGUAAUUCUUUCUCCGUCGUGGAGUAAUUAAGUUGGGCUCCACUCAAUACUCUCGAUGCGUAGUAAAUCACGUGUGGCGUUUUUCCAAUUCUCUGUCCCAAUAUGGCUCCUACGGUAUAAUCGCUCGCGUCACAUAUUAUUUCAAACGGCAGGCUCCAAUCUGGGGGUUGAAUGAUGGACGGUGGCGUCAACGACUCUUUCAAUUUAUCAAAGGCCACUUUGUAUUUAUCGGUGAAGUCAAACGACACGUCCUUUUGCAGCAACUUAAACAAGGGAGCUCCGAUCUUUGAGAAAUCCUUGAUGAACCUCCUGUAAAAUCCUGUAUGGCCCAAAAAAGAACGUACCUCCCGUACAUACACGGGGUAAGGUAGAGCAGAAAUAAGAUCUAUCUUAACUUUAUCUACCUCUAUUCCCUUAGCCGACACAACGUGCCUUAAAACAAUAUCAUGUUCGACCAUAAAGUGACACUUCUCUCAGUUAAGAACCAAAUUCGUUUCUAUGCACCUUUUCAGAAUUAAAGCUAGAUUAUCAAGACAUUCAUCAAAACUAUCCCCGUAUACGCUAAAAUCAUCAAUGAACACCUCGAUUAUCUUUUCUACAUAUUCUGAGAAAAUACUUACCAUGCACCUUUGAAAAGUUGCUGGAGCAUUGCAAAAAUCGAAAGGCAUCCUACGGUAAGCAAACGUACCAAAUGUGCAGGUGAACGUGGUCUUUUCCUGGUCCUCUGGUGAUAUCACGAUCUGGAAGUACUCUAAAAAAUCCAAGAAACAGUAAUAAAACACGACCAGCUAAUCUUUCCUCACAGAAUUUAGUCUCCGGUAGUCAAUGCACUGACGCCAGCUAGUAGCUUUCCUAACUGGAACCAUAUCACCUCCUGGUUCUCCUCUACGAUCACUCCUAUUUUUUUUGGGAUCACUUGAACAGGACUCACCAAGGACUGUCCGAGAUAGCAAAAAUAUAUCCCCACCUCUUGGAGUUUAAGUAUCUCUUUCUUUACAACUUCCAUCAUCAGAGGAUUCAACCUCCGUUGUGCCUAUCUUAUCGGCUUCGCAUCCUCUUCGAGUCGAAUCCGGUGCAUGCAUAAGGAUAGACUUAUUCCAUUUAUAUCUGCUAUGCUCCACCCAAUUGCCUCAUUAUACUCCUUAAGAAUUCGCACCAGUUUAUCCUCUUGAUUUGGAAAUAAAUGUGCAGAAAUAAUUAUCGGAAGUGUCUCCCAAUCUCCCAGGAAUGCGUACUUUAGAUGCUUCGAGAGAGGCUUAACCUUUAAUUCCGGUGCCUGCCACAACUGAAGGAAGCAGCUUUGUCUGAGUCUCUGGCACAAACAGAGAAGUAAACUCAUACUUGGAGAAACAGUUGAUAGUGAGUAUAAGGCUUCAACUGCAUGGUGCAACUCAUCCCUCAUGUCCACAUCAAGAGUUACACCCAACUCAAGAUGCUUGAUUAGGGCCACUUCCAAUGCGUCCUCACCAUUCAGUUCGAAAGUUUCCUGUACAAUGAGCUCAAAAACAUUCAAAGCAAAGACUGAGUUAGAUUCUUCUGGGUAUUUCAUCGCCUCAAAAAUAUUAAAGUUUACAGUUUCGCCAUCAAAUUCUAUUGAUAAAGUAUCCUCAUUCACGUCUAUUUUCGUCCUAGCAGUGCUAAGAAAUGGUCUACCUAACAAAAUAGGUGACGGGUUUAACGACUUUUCAUCUCCCAUAUCCAAGAUAUAAAAAUCUGAUGGAAAAACUAACUCAUUUACUUGAACCAGGACAUCCUCAACUAACCCUUCUAGGUAGGCAUUGGUGCUGUCGACAAGUUGGAUUAUGAUGGCCGUCUCUUUUAAUGACUCAAGAUUCAGGGACGUAUAAAUGGUUUUUGGCAUCACAUUGAUUGACGCCCCUAAAUCCAAACGGCUCUCUGAUCGGUGUAUUUUCUAUCUUACAAGGGAUCGUGAACAUACCUGGAUCCCCACAUUUGGGUGGGAGUUUUCUUUGGAGUAUAGUUGAUACGUUUUCUCCUACCACUACCCUUUCAUCCCCUCUCAACUUUCUCUUGUGAGUGCACAAGUUCUUGAGAAAUUUCGCGUACUUCGGUACUUGCUUGAUUGCAUCCAACAAAGGGAUGUUGAUCUCCACUUUUCUGAACACGUCCAGGAUCUCUUUCUCUUUCCCCGCCUUCUUCGUUUUCUCCAACCUGCAUGGAAAAGGAGGUAAAUUAGAUUUAAUAGGAAUUGAUGGAGUAAGAGUUACUUUAGGGUCUCCAUGAAUGUGUCUUUCUUCCUCAAUCUCCUUUUCUAUCUCCUCCUCACUCUUAUCUUUCAGGUUCGUAGUCUUUGGCCCCUCCACUUCUUUACCCUGUCAUGGUACUCACAUUUUUGGGAUUUGUCUCGGGUUGCGAUGGUAAUUUUCCAAAAACUUGGGACUCCAAGCUAUUAAUCGCGGUUGCCAUGUGACUUUUUGAAUCUCUAGAUUUUUCAUGCCCGCUCUGGUUUUCUGUUGGAACUGAGCAGUACUCGUGGCCAGGCUCUUGACAAUAUCUUCCAAAGAACUUCCUGAGUUAGAUGACGAAGGUUGUGAUUUUGGUUGCAAUGGUUGCUGGAAUCCUGGUGGACGAUUGGAGAAUAAAUUCUGUGGCCUAUUCCCAUAGCUGAAAUUGGGGUGGUCUCUCCAACCCGGAUUAUACGUGUUGGAGUAUGGGUCAUACUGCCUACGAGACGCGGGCACGCCUCCAGCCAUAUUCACUUGUUCAGUCCCAUCCUCUUGCAACAUAGGGCAUGAGUCAGUGGGGUGGCCCACAUUUGUGCAGAUUCCACAGGCCUUUGCUUGAUGCACGUUUCCCACAACUAAUUGUCGAACAAAAGAUGUCAGCUCUGAUAUCUGCUGCUGAAUGGACGACGUCUCUACCUCGUUGACCCUGCGGGUAGGGUUACUCUCACGAAAGCCAAACUGUUGAGAAGUCUCUGCCAUCAAUUCAAUGAGUAGCCAUGCUUCCCUUGGUGUCUUGUUCACCAAUGCUCCCCCACUUGCAGCAUCAAUGAUACUCCUAUUAGACGACUGGAGGCCCUCAUAGAAAUAUUGGAUCAAUAGUUGUUCACUAAUUUGAUGUUGUGAGCACCUAGUGCACAACUUAUUGAACUUCUCCCAAUAGUUGUGUAGGGAUUCUCCAGGGUACUGCUUAAUGCCACAUAUCUCUUUUUUUAGACUUGCAACCCGGGACGCAGGAAGAAUUUUUCCAAAAAUUUCUUCUUAAGUUGGGUCCAUGUGGUGAUACUACCUGCAGGUAGGUAGUACAACCAAUCAUUCGCUGCAUCCUUGAGAGAGAAGGAGAAGGCUUUAAGUUUAAUCUGCUCCUCAGUAAUUCCUGGAGGCUUCAUACUGGAACAUACCACAUCGAACUCUUGAAUGUAUUUAUGGGGUUCCUCACCCGAGAUGCCAUGGAACGUGGGUAGGAGGUGAAUUAAUCCUGACUUCAGUUCAAAGAGGUAUUCUUAACUAGAGUUGGAAAUGUGAUGCACAACGGCUGUUGGGACAAUUCCGGAGCAGCCAGCUCCCUUAGUGUCCUUGCAUUCGCCAUAGAGAUGUCCUCUUGGCCUGGGUCACUUAAAUUUUAACAACUCAAAUUUGUUGACUCAACCUCAGGAUCCAGUCUCUGAGAUGCAAUGCUGGAUUGCUCCUCCUUAGCUGUCUGGUCUCUUUCUUAGUUUGGCGCGCAAUCUUCACUACUUUUGGGUAAAAAAUCAAUUCACUGUACGAGAAGAACGAGGUAUGAACUAGAAAAAUGUUAGACAAAUCCAAAGAGAACAACUUAGAAAGAAACAAAAUUAACCAAAACACCGUUUCCCGGCAAUGGCUGCAAAAAUUGACAGGUGCCGAAUCUGUGCAAUAAUAAUUACUAAAAAGUCCUAAUUACCACCUCAAUUAAUUAUAGAACAAAUCUAAGUACUAGAGCAGGGACCCUAGGUGUGCAAUAGGUUACUUGAUUCAUCCUGUUCUCGAAGAAUUUGCUUUAUCCGAUAUACCGACAGGAAGUGAGCCAAUUUGGUCAAUCUAUCCACUAUUACCCAAAUAGCAUCAUGGCCUCUUUGUAUCCUUGGUAAUCCUGAUACAAAAUCCAUGGUGAUAUUUUCUCAUUUCCAUUCCGAUAUCUCCAAAGGUUAUAAAAGUCCCGAUGGUUUCUGAUGUUUGGCCUUAACUUGUUGACAAACUAAACAACUCUGGACAAAAUGGGCAAUUUCUCUCUUCAUAUUAUCCCACCAAUACAGACUCUUCAAAUCUUGGUACAUUUUAUUACCUCCAGGGUGUACCAUAAACUUCGAUCGAUGUGCCUCUUCCAAGAUUUCCUUCUUAAGCUCUUCAUCUUUUGACACUACUAUCCGAUUCCGAAACCUCAAAAUACCAUUUGAUCCCAAGUUAAAAUCUGACUUGUCUUCCUUUUUGACUUUUUCCGACCAUUUCUGCACUUCAGUGUCCUUUCCUUAAGAUUCCUUGAUACGCUCCAACAAAGUGGAACUCACUGCAAUGUUCCCCAAAAUUACUUUCCUCGGUUCCAGUCGAGGAUUCCAAUAGCUAACUGUUUCCAACAAAUGGAGUUCCUUAAUUAUCAACCCAGCCAUUUACAUUUGACGAUUCAAAGCAUCGGCCACUACAUUGGCUUUUCCUGGAUGAUACUUUAUAGUGCAAUCAUAAUCUUCCAGAAAUUCUAUCCAUCUACGUUGCCUCAAAUUCAGUUCUUUUUGUGAGAAUAAGUACUUAAGAUUUUUGUGAUCAGUAAAAAUCUCAAACGUCACUCCAUAUAAAUAGUGCCUCCAUUUCUUUAAAGCAAAUACCACUGCAGCCAACUCCAAGUCAUGAAUCGGGUAAUUCCCUUCAUGCGGUUUCAAUUUCCUAGAGACAUAUGCUAUUAUCUUGUCAUUUUGCAUCAAAACACAUCCCAAACCUUCCUUAGAUGCAUCUGUAUAAAUCACAAAACUAUCAUUUCCAUUGGGUAGGGCUAAUACUGGGGCUCUGGUUAAGUGUCUUUUCAAUUCCUGGAAAUUCUCUUAGGACUCCAAAUAAACUUUUCACUUUUCUUAGUCAGCUCGGUCAUGGGUCCAGCAAUUCUAGAAAAGUCCUUGAUGAAUCUCCAGUAAUACCCUGCUAAUUCAAUAAAACUUCGAAUCUCGAUAGGGUUUUCCGAUCGUUUUCACUUCUAAACAGUUUUAAUUUUGGCUGGAUCCACUUUAAUCCCAUCUUUAGAAAUUAUAUGUCCCAAGAAAGUCAUUUCUUUUAACCAAAACUCACACUUGCUAAACUUAGCAUAUAACUGGUGUUUCCUCAGGGUUUGUAAAACAAUCCUCAAGUGUUUCUCGUGGUCUUUCACAUUCUUAGAAUACACUAAAAUGUCAUCAAUGAAGACCACUACAAAUUGGUCCAGAUAAGGCUUAAAAAUCCUAUGCACUAAAUCCAUGAAAGCAGCAGGUGCAUUCGUUAACCCAAAUGGCAUCACAGCAAAUUCAAAGUGCCCAUACCUCAAGUUAAAAGCAGUUUUGGGUAUAUCCUUCUCCAAAAUCCUCAAUUGGUAAUAUCCCUAUCUCAAAUCCAGCUUCGAGAAUACUACCGCCCCUUGUAAUUAGUCAAACAAUUCAUCAAUAUGGGACAAUGGGUACUUAUUCUUAAUUGUGACAUCAUUCAAGCCUCUAUAGUCUAUACAUAGUCUCAAACUCCCAUCCUUUUUCUUAAUGAACAAAACUGGGGCUCCCCACGGAAAAUCACUCUCUUUUAUAAAACCCCUUUCCAACAAUUCUUACAGUUACAAUUUCAACUCCUUCAAUUCCGCUGGAGCCAUCCAAUAUGGCAUCUUAGAAAUAGGUGUCACUCCCGGAGUUACAUCAAUCUUAAAAGUUAUUUCCCGUUCCGGGGGUAAUGACUCUAACUCUUCAGGAAAAACAUCUGGAAAGUCUUUCACUACCGGCAUGUCCUCCAAAUUCACCUUAUCACUAGGGUUGUUAAUAAGAAAAGCCAAAUAUCCUUGAGCUCAUUUACUUAAUAAUUUUCUAACCCGAAUCCCUGAGAUAAGUGCAGACGAAGCCAAUUUACCCCUUAUAUCCAACUUUAGGGUUGCCUCCCCUGGAGUGCACAAUUCUACAAUCUUUGUUCGGCAGUUCAACUGGGCAUUAUAACGAGUUAGCCAAUCCAUUUCUAAAAUCACAUCAUAUCCCUUAAUUGCUAAACCUAUCAGGUCGACCAAUAAUUUUCGUUCCUCGACACAGACUUCACAAUCUCUAUACACCAGGUUAGCAAUUAAACUUUGAUCCCCAGUAGGUGUUUUAACUUCCAAGUCAUACGGUAAUUUAAUUGGUUUCAAGUCUAUUCCACUCAUGAAGUUAGGGUUGACAAAAGAAUGUGUUGCACCUGGAUCAACUAAAACUCUAGCUAAACGAUGAAAGAUUGGAAUUGUACCUUCAACCACUUGAGUCGCCUCAGGUACCUGCUGAUAGUCCAGUGCAUAAACCCUAGCCGGCACUUUCGAUCAACUUCCUCCAGCACUAGUCUGCUUAGAGGUUGACUUUUCUGGCCUCUGGGUGUUACUCCCCAUUUUUUGUGAUUUCAGACAAUUCACGACCUGAUGUUUGGCACUACCACAAAGCAAACACUUCCCCGACUUUCUCCAGCAAUCAUUCUCGGAGUGAUUGGAUUUUCCACAGUACCCACAAGUAAGUUGAGUGGUCACAGCCGAACCAGUAGAAAGCGCUCCCCUAACUUGAGUUGGCCCACCAUGACCUCCUCUAGAUAGACCUCCCCUAGAAGCUCCAGCAGUCCUUAUUCCUCCCGUUCCUCUUCCCAUCUUGGAAGGUUGUGCAUUCUUACCAGCCUGCCCAAACGCAGAGCUAGAAAAGUGUCUCUUUCUAUUGUUAAAGUCUCUCACUUGCAGUCUUGCACUUUCAACCCUUUGUGCCUUCUCUAAAGCCUCAGUAAAUGUAGAAAUUUGGGCUGCGGCCAAACCCUCUUGAAUUUCCACAUUAAGUCCUUGUACAAACCGUCUAAUCCUCUUCCGUUCAUUGACUACUAGCUCAAGAGCAUACUUAGAAAGGUUAGUGAAUUUCCCUUCAUACUCCGUUACACUAAGGGUUCCCUGUUUCAACUUAAUAAACUCAUCCUCUCCCUUUUCUUGAAUCAAGGGUGGAAGGAACUUUUCAUUAAAUUUCCUCGUGAAGUUCUCCAAGGUCCAAGGGGUUUGAACUCUCUCCCAUUUCCCUUUUAUUACAUCCCACCAAGCACGAGCUACUCUCUCAAAUUGGAAAGCAGCAAAAUUCACUCGCCUAUCCUCAAUGUAGUCUAAAGCGGCGAAUAUGUUGGUCAUCCUCUCUAACCAAUUCUCCACUAUAUCAAGGUCGGGUUCACCAAGAAACUUAAGCGGGUUGAACUUUAAGAAUCUCUCUGGCUCUAUCCUCUCCUCUUUCCUGCCCCCCAGGUUGGUUAAACGGUCCAGGACCUUGUCUAUCAGCUAAGCGCUCUAGGAUAUCAGUCAUUCUAUUAAUGGCAGUAGCCACUUGAUUACCCUCAAUGUUUUCCUGGCCUUGGAUCGAUCCAGUUGUCGAUCCCUGGUCAUCCUCCUGAGGUUGGGCCUGUCUAGUCCUUCGCCCACGACCUCGACCACUUCUUAGUCCUUCUAUAACCUAAGCGUGCCUAAUGCAAGAAAUAAAUCAAUUAUGCGAUGCAAAGUAGAAAGCAGAGACCAAUCAAGAAAACAUUGAAAGUAACAAUAAUUGACAUUCAUUAACAUGUCAAGUUCAUACAAUUAACAGGUCAUGGGGAAAAUCACAAAAAUAUAGCACACAGGUGCCAUGAGAGUACUUUUAGUUACAGAAGAUUAAAGUAAAACAAGUGCCUCAAAAGUAGGCCACACAAUCAUGCAAAAUACAAUGACUUCAGCACUUGCAUCACCCCAUCUAAUUCUAACUAUACUAGUCAAAAGUCAAAAGGUCAAGUAGUCAAUCACUAGGGUCUAGUCCACAGUAGGACUACCGGGUGAGAAAUCAUGGGAUAGAAGAGCCUACCUGGGAGGUGGAAGAAGAAAUGCAAAAGAAAUACCCUGAACUAUUUGAAAAUCAAGGUGAGAAAUUUCGAGGACGAAGUUCUUUUAAGGGGGAGAGAGUGUGAGAACCUGAAAAUUUUUCUUAUUUUCUAGGCUUUAUUUUAUUUAAUUGCACGUCUUUUCUAUAUUUUCUUUAUUGAAAAAAUUUUCUAGAUAAUUUUUAUGCGUAAAUAUGGUUUUUAAAUCAUUUUCCUUGUAUAAAUUAGUUCAUGAGAUUUUAGGAGUGUAUAUUGGACGUAGGGCCCGCUAGUACGGUAAGUUCGAUAAAAUUCGGCCAAUUGGGUUAUGUUUUGUAUACCGGAUUUAAUUUACUAGGUGUUAAGAGAUAAUUAGAAGUUACCAAAUGGAUUAAGGUUGGAGAGACAAAAGGAUAGUUUUGAACUCAAAAGGUGACAAGUGUCACUUUGUGAUUUAAAGUUGGACUUUGACUAUUUUACCAACUUUACUAAAUAACUAAGAAAUUAACCCAAAAUUCAUCAUCAUACAUCUCUCUCUUGGCCGACUCUCUCAAGGAGGAAAAGAAAGAAAAACCUUCAACUUUCUUCAACCAAUCUUGCUCAAUCUUGCAAUUCAACCGUUUAAACUUCAAAUUUCUUCAUAAAAACCCUUUGCUAAGUAGUAGUGAAGGAGUUGGUGGAGUGGUUUGGAAAGAGGAGGUGCUAAGUUGUCUCUUUUCUUCAGUUUGCAAGGUAAGUGGCUAAGGAAACCUUCUUUUGUUCUUGAUAAUGUUCAAUUAGUGACUUGUGUGAGUUAAGGAGGUGAUUUUGUGGAAGAUUUCAUGCCUUUUGGUAGUGAUUGAUGAAUUUUUGAUUUUAUGCAUGAUUUUUCUAUUUUUAUAUGUUUAAUAUUUGUUGGCCAUGGAUGAUCGUUUGGUAUGGUCUAGAAUGAACCUUUGGUGCGUUAAUUGUAGCUAUUUACGGAAAAUUUUCGCUUUGUACGGAAAAUUUCAGAUUUAGGGUUUUGAAUUGGGGCUUUUCUAGGGUUGCUAUAGAACUCUUGAAUUGGCUUUGUUUAAUGGGUAUUGGAACCCUACUAAUGUGUAUUGAAAGGCUUAUGACUUGUAAUUGUAAUUGUGGUGGUGUUGCAUGAAUAUAAUUGAUUUUUUUGUAGGAUGGAAAUCUGAAAUUUUAGGGGUUAUGCUGUCCAAAUUUUUGGUCCAUAUGAUUUCUUGGAAUUGGGUUGCUUAGAGUGUUAAUUAGUGACCUUGGGGUUAUCUAAACCCUUAGCACCAAGUGUUCCUUAUAUUACUUUCAAGUUCUAAUGGCUUUACAUUAGUGAUAUUUGGUUUGGGUUUAUGACUCGUAUUCGAGUCUCAUUGUGUUUUAUUGAAUGUUUUAGGGCGUGUCGGUGACGCAAGGCGUUCGUUGGACGGAAAUUUGUGAUAACUCUCUUUGUUUGAGUGGUGAGUGUACUACUCACGUGAUUGUUACUUCAUAACCUUGAUAUACUUGAAAUCUAUGACUUGAAUGCUUGUGUAUACUAUUGAGAUUGAUUGAGACGAGGGUGUAUUUUAUCACUCUUGCACUCUAUGCCUUAUGUGACAGUUUACUGCAUCAAUUGAAUAUACUUGAACUAGUGUCAUUUGGACGUGUAUCCAACGACCUUUACUGUUAACACUGAGCUCAACCCCAUUGGUGGUCAAUUGAAUCGAGUCGGCAAGGGUUUGGUCGAGAAAAUUGACAAGCCAUGGGGAUUGUUUAUGUGGAAUCCUUGAGUAUGAGACUCUUGAUUCCGGUAUACUCGAGUAUUACCAUUUCUGAACUGAUUGGAGUUCGGGCCCGGUAGGGGUAUGUGAGGUGGAAGGAAUCGGAGAAAGUGGAGUCUACGGUAUUGGUUACUCCUUAAGCGUUGACGGGGGGUCAACGGGGCAAGAUCAAGUAUGGCAAGCAGGGACAAGGGCUCUUGAGAGCCGACUGUAUCCCUUUAAAUAUCUUUAUGGAAAUAUGAUGCUAGUUGACUCACUUAUUGGAUGUGUUUUGAAUUGAAUAGUUUUGUGCUUAUGUGAACUUCGUUACUUGGGUGAUGGUAUCUCAUUGGGCGAAAGCUCACUCUAUUGCCUUUGUUUUCCUUACAAGGAUAUGAAUACCUUUUGGGAAACCAAUGUUUUAAAAACCGGACCGUUAAUUGAACCGGUGAAGUAAAAGGGUCGAGGUUCAACCGGUCGGACCGGUUCAUCCUCGGUUCAAUGAAUUUAAAAAAAUAAUUUAUAUAAAUAUAUAUACACAAAAUAAGACAUGUAAUGGAUAAUUUAAUACUUUAUAUGAUGAAAAGUUUACUAUUUUCGAAUAAUUUGGAUUUUUAAAAAUAAAUUUUUAAAAUUAUAAGUUAAAACAAAUAAAUUUCAUGUCAAUUUCAAUUAUAUCUACCAAAAAAAUCUUAAAUCCAAUUCAAAAAUAUCACAAUAUUUUAAAAUUAUACAAAAUUCACGUCUAUGAGAAUUUCGACAUUGUGAACUUAAAUUUUAAUUUACGUUUUGGAAUUUAGAGAUUGCAAUUUAAAAAAGAAAGUUUGGAAUUCGAAAGAAGUUAAGAGAAUCGAAAAUAGAAAUGCAAAUUUGUGAGAACCCGUACUUUUCCCAUUUUCUAGGGUUUUAUUUAUUUAAUGGUUUGUUUUCUGCAUUUUUUUUAGUAGGAAAAUUUUCUAGAUAUUUUUAAUGAGCAGAUAUAGUUUUUAGAUGAUUUUUCUGGUAUUGGAUAGUUUUUAAAAAAUUAAGGAUAUAUAACGGACGUGGGACCCGCUAGUGCGAAAAGUUCGGAAAAAUUCGACCAAUUAGGUUAAGUUUCGGAUACUGGUUGAAAUUUAUCGAGUGUUAAGAGAUAAGUAGAGGUUGAGAUGUGAUUGAUGUGAGAGGGAACCAAAAGGAUAGAGAUGUUUUAAAUGAGUGACAAGUGUCACUUUGUGAGAGGUUGUGACUUGUUGACAACUAUUCACCUUUUUGACUUUUUACCCUUGGAUUAAAUAUCUCAAAAAUUAUCCAAAAUUCACUCUUUUCUUCACCAUUGUGGCCGGCCCUCUCUAGCAAAGAAGGAAGAAAAACUCUUCAAAGUUUGGCAUCCAUCUAGUGCAAAUCAUCCAAAGCAAUCACUUAGACUUGAUUCUACUCCAUAAAAUCUCUUCUUUAGGUGUUAGUAAGUGGUUUGGUGAAGUGUUUUGGGAAGCUAAGAGGACAAGCAACUCUUCCUCUCUUGUUUACUAGGUGAGUGGUGAUUGAACCUUCUCCUUCACUUAAUGAAGCUUAAUUUGUGCCUAAUGGGAGCUAAAGUGAUGAAAUAUGUGGUUUAGAUGAAUUGUGAAGUUUUCAAUUUAUUGAUGAAUUUUCUGGUUUAAUAUGAAUGUGAUGUUGUGGCUAUCCUUGAUGAUGGGAACUGAUGUUUAAUGACUCUAGUAGGUGUAUAUGAUAGAUAAUUGUAACCAAUUUCUGGUUUGGAAGGAAUUUGAGAAAGUUAGGGUUUUAUAUCCCCAAUUCUGUCCGGUUUUGUAUCUCAUGGUUAGAGGCCGAAUUGGCCUUAGCUUAAAACAUGAAAGUUGUAGGGAAUGACAUUUUAGAGGCCUACAAAAUUUCAGGUCAAUCGGAGUAGUGUAGAAUGAGAUAAGUCGAAAUUACUAUUGCUGUUCUGGAUUCAUCCGAAAGUAAGAACUGCGUCUGAAAUUAGUUGUUUUGGCUGGAAUUGCUUUGGAUUUGGUUGUUGAGGUCUUCUGAUGAAAUGUAGCUUGAUGUCCUAGCUACCAUAUGCCUUUGGAAUUUCUGAAUUUGGACCUGUAUAGACUGAGUUGUACUGAUUACAGCAGAAUGUAGUUUGUGAACCCGUUAUUGUGGUUCUGGUUUAGUAUCUCGCAUAUUUGACCUGGUUGUGCUAGGAAUUGGACUGAGUGAUCUUCUACAUUAUUGUAGCCCUGUUUCUUAGCUUUCAACUGGUUUUGGAAUUUCUGGAUUUGGACUUGUAGAGCCUGAGUUAUGAUGUUUGCGCUAGAAUGCGUUUUGGUGAAUCUGUUUUACAUUUUUGAUGUAGUAUAUUGCAUUUUUGACCUGUUUGCACUCAAAACUGGGUUGAGUGACCUUCUAGGAUGUUGUAGCCCUGUCUUUUAGCUUCGAGAUGGUGGGUCUUGAACCCCCAUCCGAUAAUCGUAGUGAAAUUGGUACCAUUACCGCAAAAUGAGGACAAAAACUGUUUUUUUAGGGCCAAAACUAGUUACAUUUCCGAAAUUUCUGGUUUCCUUUAAUGCUUGUAUAUGCUUAUGAAACCCUAUUGGGGUUGCGAUUGGCAUUGCUUUAUGACUCGUUAUCGAGUCUCAUUGUACUUGUUUGCGUGUUCUAGGGCGUGACGGUGGUUCACGACGUACUUUUGACGACGGUGCAUGAAACAUCACCUACUUGAUUGGUGAGUGUACUACUCACAUGAAUGUUUACAAUGUGGCUUUGAUAUAUGUGAUUGUGAUGCCGUGAAGGCUUACUUGGCCAUUGGAAUUGGUUAAGGUGAGGGUGUACUUGACCGCCCUCACCCCUUUUGAUACAGUUAAUGAUUGUUCACCGUUUUACUGUGAUACUGAACUUGAUAUAUGAGUUAUUGAAUUCCAUUUCAUGGAAACCUGAUUUGGUGUCGUUUGGACGAAUAUCCAACGGCCUUACUGUGUUACUGAGCUCAACCCCGUUGGUAGUCAAAUGAAUCGAGCCGGCAAGGGCUGGGUCGUGAAAAUUGACAUGCCACGGGGACUGUACUGGGGAAUCUUGUAGUAAUGAGACUCUUGAUUCCGGUAAACUCAAGUAUUACCAAAAGUUACUGAUUGGAGUGCGGGCCCGGUUGGGGUAUGUUGGGUGGAAGGAAUGGAAGUGAAGUGAGGUCUACGGUUGGUACUCUUAAACAUUGACGGAGGGUCAAUGAGGUUGGAUCAAGAAUGUAAGCGUGGAAAGGGGCUCUUGAGAGCCGUCCGUAUCCUUUUACCGAAUUGUUUUAUUCCUUAAUUGUGUACUUGAAAUGAAAGAUUAUGCUAUAUGCUCUUCGUUGCUUAUGUGGUAGUAACUCAUUGAGCUUUAGCUCACUCCGUUCCAUUUGUUUUCCUUACAGGAAAAUGACUAUUUUGGGAAAGGUUGUGCUAGUUGGUUGUCAAGUUGAGCUCAUGUAAAUGUAUAUUUUGAAUAGCUCCUUGAGGGUGAAAACCCUAAGUGUUUUGUUUCAACCAAUGGUUGGUUUGUAAUUGGCUAAUUGCACAUGUAUGAACUUGUUGGAUAUUUUGGUAUGCCGCUUUGGCUUGUAAAUGUUAAAUUUCGAUGUGUAUAUGUUGGAUUGAUGUUUGGUUGAACUCCGGAUUCUGACGUGGCCGGUACUGUUCAUCAUCGGCUUCGAUUUUCAUUUUUUUUUAUUUUGUGAUUUUGACUUGUUGCGCGCGUUGGUGUGUUCCGGAACAUAGUAGAGCGACGUAAACUGAUCCGUUAGUCCUGGCGAGAGCUGGGCAGGCAGUCCGCGUUCGCCUUAGGGGAAGGUGGGGCUGUCACAAAAUUUGAUAAGAAACAAAAAAUGAGAUAAAAGUGAGCGGUUGUGGCAUUAAAUAAUUUGGGUUAAAGAAAAAAAAUUCUUUUUUAACUUUUUUAAUUUAAUGGACAAAAACAAAAUUGAAAGAUGGAAGAAAAUAUCAAUAAAUUAAAAAUAAAGAGGUUUGAUUAGAAAAAAGUGACAAAAGAAAAGAUGAUGGAGAGAGAGAGAGAGAGAGAGUUGAAAAUUAAAAAAAAAGAGUCAUGAGAGGAUGAGAUUUUGUAAGAAAAAUGGAACAAAAGAAAUAUGAGUAUUUGUUUUAUAUAAAUAAGUUAUCAAAAAAAACUAACAAGAUGUGAUGGUGCAAUGGUUACUACAUUGGUCUUCUAUUACAAAGAUCUUGAGUUCGAAUCUUGAUAGCUGCAUUUUGCAAAACUAAAAAAAAAAAAAAAGACGAAAACUUGAAAACCGGAAACCUCCGGUUCAAAUCCGGUUCGGCGGUUUUCGCGGUUCAACCGGUUUUUGACCGGUUUUCUGCCAAAGUCAACCCUAGCAUUGAACCGGACCGGUACCAUGGCCGGUUCGAGGUUCAACCGGUCGAAUCGGCCGGUCCGGUCCGAUUUUCAAAACACCGUGGGAAACUGUGAUUUUGAAGCCGAGUUGAGCUAGUUAAUAUUCUUUUGUAUAGCUCCUCGAUGGUUGGAAAAUCUUAAGUGUAUUUUGAUUUAACAUUUCCUUUUGAGUUGUAAAUUUGAAACCAUACGUGUAUAAACGUGUUUGGAAAUGUUCAUGUGUUACUUUGGUUUAUCAAAGUCUAAUUUCAGGGUUUAUAUGAUUUGAUGGUAAUCAGUAGGGGAUUGUAACGUGGCCAGCACUAUUCAUGUGCUGCUCCAAUUUUCUUUUUCCAUUUCGCGAAUUUUGAACCGUUUAAGCGCGCUAAUAUUUUCCAAAACGUUUUAGAUUAUAUAUAACCGUCUUGGUAGUUCUGGCGAGAGUUGGGCAGGUAGUCCGCUAACCCCUUUGGUACACCCUAGGGGAAGGUGAGGCUGUCACAUAUUGCCACUGAAUAUAUUUUGCUUGGACAUGUCAAUGCUAAUAUGUAUGGUACUUGUUUUGUCUUUUGCAUUUGGUUUUGAUCCGCUUGAUAUGUACAGUAUCUUUAUGACUUGAUGUAUGAACUUGGUGUGUUAUAACUAUACUAAGCAUGAUUCCUUAUCUUUGACUUUGUGAUUUGAAAAUGUCUUUAUCUUCCCGCUUUAGCCGAUUUAUUUUGUUUAUGUACUAUAUAGCCAAUUUUGACAAAAAAUAAAAGAGAGAGAGAAGGGUGUGGAGGGAAGACGUAAUCAUGGAUGUGGGGUUAGUUGUGGCCAUGGGGCUAGGUAAUCGCAAGAACCAGGGAAUGAAAGAGAAACGGUAGCCGAGCAAGAUCGUGGACCAAGGGUCGAAGUAGGGGACCAAGUAGCGACGGCGAUACAACAAAUGACCAAUAUCUUAGCACGAUUGGUAAAAAUCACAAGGCCAAGCUCCAAUAAAUCAACCUAGGAGCCUUGAAUAGGAGAGGAUAUGGUCCUAGAGCAUUUUCAAAAGUUUUCUCCACCAAACUUCCUUGGAGGGCCUGAUCCGGAGACAGUUGAGCAUUGGUUGGAAGCGAUAAUUAAUAUCUUUGUAGCUUUGAACUACACGGAGAAAAGACAAGUGAACUUUGUUGUAUUUCAAUUUGAAAGAUCGGCCCGAGCAUGGUGGAAUGUUAUUAGGGCAAAGUAGGAGGGAGAACAAACUGCAUGGAUUUGGGUAAAUUUUAUAAGGAAAUUUAAUGAGAAAUACCUCCCGCCUUUGGUCCAAGAGGACAAUUUUAUUAGGUUACAUUAGGGAACCCUAAGUGUGGCCGAGUAUGAAACACAAUUCACUAAACUAUCUAAAUUUGCUCCUGAAUUGGUUGUUACGGAGUGGAGAAGAGUGAGACGGUUUAUACAAUGAUUGAAUCUGCAGAUCCAAGAAGCUUUAGUGGUGGUUCAGAUUAAUACUUUUACGGAAGUUCUUGAGAAAGGUCAAAGGAUUGAGAAUGCAAAGGCACAAGUAAAAACUUUCCACACAUGCAAGAGGAGUGCACCUAGUCGUAUACAUGAGGAAUCUAGAGAAAAUGUAACGCCUUCCAAAGUAAAAAGAGCGAACCAGUCACCUUACCCACCAUAGACACUAGGAACACUAGAAGAAGGUUCUACAAGAGGAAGUCAAGUGGGAAAAAGGCAACAAGAAGAAAUUCCUCGAGAAGGCCAAAAAGUGGCUCCUCGCUUGGCUUAUGGAUACUAUGGAAAGGCAAAUCACACUGAGGAUGAUUGUUGAAGGAAUGGUGAAAAUGCUUGGUUUGUGGGACUACCGACCAUCAAAUUAGCAACUGCCCAAAGAAGCAGCAACUAGGGAAUGAUACUCAACAAGGGAAUAAAACUACCCCUAAACAAGCUAACGAAAUAGGGAACAGACCAAGAGUACUAGCGUGGGCAUAUGACGUAGACAAGCAACAGGCUCCAGAAUUAUCUGAGGCGAUGGAAGGUAAAAAUUUCGAAAACAAAAUUUUGUUAAGGGAGAGAGAGUGUGAGGACCCGAAAAUUAUUUUUAAAUUUUCUCCUAUUUUUGAAAAAUUUAAUUUAUAUUUCCUUUUAAUUUUACUUUACUUGCUCAUUUGCUAGCCUUAAUUUGAUAGUAAUUUUAUUGGUUGAGUCAAGAUUGAUAUCAUUCCUCUUUUAUAUUUUAAUGCAUGUUAAGUUCCGUUGUACAUUAAGGUAGUGUGACCAACUAGUGAGGUGCGCAAUAUAAAUUGUGAGGAAAUGAGGGAGUUUUGUGCAAAGGUGUUUUUGUAAAAAAAAAAAAGAGUAUUAGGAGAUAUUUGAGGAAAAGAAAGAUAUUUUGGUGGAAAUAUUUGUGACUUUGCCGUUUGUCAAACAUCCAUACAAGGUCUUGACCAAGAUCAAACUUUUCCAAACCAACCAAGUGUUAUUUCACUAGAAUCUUCCUCUUGCUUCUUUGGGUUUCCUCUUGGGCGAAAAUUAGAGAGAAAAAAGUGAGUAGAACACAACUUCUAGUCUUAAGUUUCUUGUCCAACUUAGUGAGGAAGAAAAAAAAAACAGAGAGGAAAACAUCUUGCACUCCACAAAUCUUUGAAUCAAGUUUGGAGGGAAGUUCUUGGAGGGAGAAACUUGUGAUCAUUUCUUGGUUACUCACCAUUUUUUUUUGUGGGGAGAAAAAGAGGUAAACUUGCUAGAAAACCUAUCUUUUGUUUCUUAUAGUUUAUAUAUGGUGCAAUUAGAGUUUAAAGGAAGGAAUUUAUGGAGGGUUUCCUUUAAUUUUCAAGUUGGUAGUUAAAUUUCCCACUUUAAGGAAUGUAGUGAACAACUUAGUUUAGAGCUUUUUCUUUGAAGUUGUGAUGGAUUUUCUUGCCAAGAAAAUAAGUCAUAAGCCUCAUGACAUGUUAGUUAUAAGAUAUAGUGCAUUUGCCAUGGAAUUAAGUGGGAAAGUUGGAAUUUUUUAUGGAGAUUUUGCUGGAAAAUUUCUGUUAUUGCUGGCCGAGAGGGAAAGAAGGAAUUUUAGCUUUCUUUUCAGAAAUUUUGUGGUGAUUUUAAUAUAUUCUUGUUCAAUACAUUUGUUAAAACCUUUUUCUUCAUAUGUAUGUUGAUUUUGAGCCAAAACAAAGAGGUUUAAGAGGGGAAAAACCUAGUUUUUCAAACUAAUAGAUUGCUGGAAAUUUUCAUAGGGAGCCCUGCGCAGCUUUGGGAAGUUGGCUAUAACUUCGUAUAGGAAAGUCGGAACUGAGUUCUGUUUGUUGCAUUUGAAACUAGACUCAUAGAGAUUUUAAAGGUAUAAAAUUUAGGGUUUGAUUCGACUCUUAUAAAUACCAGCAAAUUUGCAAAGUUUCUUAAAAACCAUGACUGUUCUGUUCUUGCACAUGAGAUAGUAGUGAGUUUGAACUGAAAAUUUGACUAAUCUAUGAGCUGAAUUUCAUGAAGAUGUCUUCUAAAUCCUGUUAUGCUUGGAGUCUAUUUUCUAAUGGUGUAAGUUUUGUGAUUUUUCGACUUACGGAACUCAAGUUAUACUUUUUCAAAGAAUGUCACCAAAGCUGGAAAUUUUAUCAAAUGGAUUGAGUGGGACUUGGAAAACUUCAGAAAACUUUUCUGGGUUUUAAACCUAACCUUCUUUGGUUAAAUCUUGCGUAUUUUGAUUUGAAAUACUUGAUGAUAUGUUAACCUUAGCAUGCAUGAAAUAUUUCACUUGAUUUAAACUUGAUUUAAAUAAGAAAUCGUGACCCUUUUAGUCUUCUGAUAUUAGGGUUAAACCUAUAGUUUUUGUGGUUGCUAAGUGAAGCAUCAAAUCUCAUAUUUUCUCAUUACCUUGGCUUUAAGUUACUAGAUGCCUGAUGGAUUACAUGAUCACAGGACUUGAGAAUAUUCUACAGGAGGAACUAGGAUGACCAAUUGGUGAGGUCAAGUGGUGAGUGUUCCAUGCAUGUUUGCUUCAAAUGGCUAUGUGAAUUGUUGUGAAUGUUUGUUUGAAUGUUAAAUGUUUUUAAAUGAUUGUUGAAUGGAUUUUCAAUAGGCGAGUGUGUACUUUAUAGCACUCGAUCUAAGUGAAUGUGAAAUUUUCAAUGAUUAAAUGAUUAUGUUACCUGUGCAUGAAUAUAAGCCUUUGGCUGAACUGGGCCCUUGCCCUUCGUUGCCAGUCAACUCGAGCCAAAAAGGGACUCGGUUGGAAGGCUGGUGACCCUAGGACAGUGUUUUGGUGUACUCAAGUAUUACCACGAAGUUUGAUAGAGAACUGACCAGUGAAUGAAAUGCAAUAAAUGAAAUGAUCACUGAAGGAGUUUUUAUUUGCAAAUGUGUUUUCAAAAUUUGGAGGUAUAAGGGAGAAAUGGUCGGAGAUUGAAUAACUGACUGAAUGAAUGGCUCCAAGUGAGCACAUAUCCUUCCAAGGAUUGAAUGUUUAUUUCUUGAAUGACUGUUAUUACUGUGCAAAGUGUGCAAACUGUUAAAUGCACUACUUCCGUGGUUUUUUUCUACCUGAUUGCUUGUUUGGGAACCUCACUGGGCUUUUAACUCAUUCUUUUAGUUUUGUUUUCCUUACAAGAGUGGAGGCCGGAGAAAGUAAGCAUGAACUGGCAUAUAUAAUAUUUAUGUACUUGUACUUUUGUAGAUGAAAUGUAUUUGGGAUCUUUGGCAAUGUACCCCUAUGUUACACUUUUGGGUUGUAAAUUAAGUUGGAAUUCUUGGAUGAAUGGAACUUCUAUGUUUAUCUAGAGACAUGAAAGACUAUUUCAAGAUUGUUAGUGAGUGAUUCCUGGUGAGAGCCAGGUAGGCAAUCCACCAAACCCUUGGAUUCGCCCUAGGGGGAGGUGGGAUCGUCACAGACUAAGUACUCAGUGCUGAUGAAGGUAUGUAACCAUUAAGAGCGAAUAAAUACUUAAUAAAUGUGUAUAUGUUAUACCAAUGUAUAAAGAAUGAUUAGUUUUCAUGAAAUUUGAAUGCUUAUGUGUAUACCUAUUGCAAAUGUGUAAUUGUAUAUAUGUGUAACAUACUCGGUCCAACAAGGGCUGUAUGUUUUACUAACUAAGCAAGUUGAUGCUCAUCCCAAUACUUUAAUAUUUUUACAGAGAAUAAGUAUGUAUACGAGUUUGUUAAGGCUGAUGGUGAUUGGGAUUGCUAGAGCUGGAUUGUUGUUAGAUUAAUCAAAUAGUGAUUGAAUAAAUAUUAAGUUCCCAUUUUCGAACAAAGUACAGGUUUGGAGCAUGACACUUCAGGUGGCAAGCUUCUUCAAGAUCAUAUUGGUAGGAUUGUGUUUGAUUUCUACAAAGAGUUUGGGCAUCUUGUGUGUUAGAAGCUAAAGCAAAAGCUUUCUCAAUUGGGUGUGUGUGGACAUUGAUUCACAACUGUGUUAUCUCAUUAGUUCAAAUAAGCUCUCGGAAUGGCCUCUACGCAACAUAUUAACCAAGAAUCGGUUUCAAUUAUCGCAACUAUCAAGGAUGGGUUUGUAAGACUUGCCUCUUUUAGAGGCAAUUACAACCCACAUGAUUGAUUCUAAAAUGAUUGCUAUCCUGAUUAAUUGAUUGACAUUUUGUCAAUAAUUAAUUAGUAUAUCCUUUUAUUGUCAAAACAAUAUUGUAUUAUAUCAUUAACUUGAUAAUACAAGUUUUAGUUACAAAAAGGAACAACUGUCCCAUAGUCUUUUUGUGCAAGAUCUUUGAUCCACACUGGGAAGCUAAUGUCCCAUAUUAUAUCAUUAACUAGCUUACAUGCAAAUUUAGCUAGCCUAUGACAAAAUUCAUUUCUUGAUCUAUGAACAAAAGAGAAAUUGCAUUAUUCCAAUAGCUCUCUCAUCUGCAAUAUGUCUUCCAGUAUCAUUUCAACAAUGCUGUCUUUACUGUUUCUGCUAAAAUUUUCUGAGCCUGCUUAGGUCCGCCCCCUCCCCCUUAGUAUAGAAUAUAUUAGGUUAUACAACUGUUGUCGUCUCUGAAAAAAAAAAAGAAAAGAAACUGCAAAAUAAGUUCAAGUAUCAAAAUUUGGUCAAAAAUAAAAAUUAGUGUCUAAAUGGGGCAUAAGAAAAAAUGUUUAGGAACCAAAUUGGCCAUUAAAGGUAUAAAAUUAAUAAGUUACUUUUGAAACUUCGACUGUAUUAUGCAUCUUUUAGACAAAAAAAAGGAAAAAGGAAAAACAAUAGCACAAGUUGGCCACACUUUUAUUCUUAGUUUUACAAAAAUGUAUUAUAAGUUAUAAACUUGUGUUGCAAAAAAAAAUUUUAAAUGACAACUAAACAAAACAGUGGAAAAAAAAAAGAAGAGAUGUAGUUGAAGCACAAACAACUAAACUUUCACCCCACCUUUGUUGGUUUAUUUGAAAUGGUUUUUUUUUUGUCAUUUGCAAAAUUCUUUCCUUACCAGAAGUUUUCCAAAACAAAGACAUCACCUUUUAAAUCCUAAAAUUUAUUAAUUAUGAUAACUUUAUCCUUACUAACGAUUGCUCAUUAGUCGAACCAUAUUUUUCAAACCCAUGCGAAUAAUACUCAAUUCUCCUCUUUUGAAUUACUCAAAACAUACACCCUCUUUAUGAAUAUUGAAACUUCCGGUAGCCAUAUUCUAAGUUCUCCCAGACACUUGAUAAUGGUAUUAUAGAUGGCGAGUAAAUGCUGCAUAAUCUAGUUUCAGUCUCAGAGAAGUAAGGGAAUAGUUUGCCGGCCCCUUGACUACUAGAACUAAGAAUACUAACUGAUUUGCAAAAAAGAAAAAAAAAGAAUAGUUAUUAAUUUGUUGCGAUUACAAUAUUAACAUGCACAGAAGAAUAAACUUGGUCCAGAAAUAGCCCGCCAUUUUGUUGUUCCAUUAAUCCAACAGCAAUAAUAUUUUCAAUUUUGUUUAACUCAGCAUAAUAGAUUGAUGGUAAGUCGAUAAAAUAGAAUGAUUAAUUAAUGAAUUAUCAGUAGUAAUAAAUAACAAAUUAACAAAUUAACCUUUCUUUCUUAGGCGGUCUCUAACAUGUGACUGUUAAUGUGAAUAGUAGUAUAACUUUUAAUUAGUUUAUAUGUACUUAAAUUGUUGAAUUUUUAAAUUAAAAAAAUUUAUUAGUAAGAUAUAUAAAUAUUCUAGUAGUAUAGAGUUUAUGGAAGAUUACUAAGAGUGAAUUUAAGAAAUAAGCAAAUUACAAAAAAAGGUUAAAGAAAAUUAAAAGAUUAAGUGUAAGUAAUAUAGCAAUACAGGGAAAGAAUUAGCACUGACACAAUAGAAGGGCAUAAAAAGAAGAAAAUGAAUGGAUAGAAGUAAAAAAAAAUCAAAGGAAAAAGAAAAGGGAAAAACGAAAAAGAUUAGCAAAAUAAAAAAACAUAAAAGUUAAUAUGGCAGGGUUAGUUUUGUUCAAAUAUAUCAUCACGAGGGGCAAAGUUCCUAUUAAAAGAAAAAAAUUGUUGGGGGUAAAUUCAAGCUUAGUGUUUAGUUUUGGGGGGGGAGGGGGGUUUACUACAUUUAAUCCUUGUGUGUGUGUGUGAAAAAGUUUAAAUGGAUUCAACCCAUAAGAAUUCUUACUAAUGGUCAUUAACAUAAUUCUUAUAUUAACAACAGAUUUGAUACACUAUCUUUUGUAUGAAAAUUAUUUAUUCUUACUAUAGUUGAGCCAACUUUUAGCGGCAACCCUCCUUUUAAACUUUUGUUUUGCAAGUGGCGAGUCCGUUGACUAUUGACAUUGAAUUUGUUUGGAUAGGCCAUUAUUUGGGUUUUUUGAAAUAGUGCUACAGAAAAGUGUUUGGAUAACAUUUCAAAUAACACAAAUAAUUAAGGUUCUAUCCCAAAACUUCCCGUACACACGUGGAAUCAGCUUGUCAACGCUGGUGCUGAAGUGUGCAUCCACGUGGAAAUUCCUUGGGACCUCUGGAUGGUCCACGCACGUUCUCAUCUGUAUGUGUAAGACGGGAAUUUGGAGAACACUAUGCAUUUUUUUACCAUUGGUGCUAUUGAAGAAGAAGAGUAAAGGUAAAGUUGCUCUGGUUGCUUCCAAACCUGCACAGAAUUUAUUUUCUUAGCUUUUCUCCUCCAUUUAUGCGCUGACUGUCUUCUCCCAUCCAGAAGUAAUCAGAUACACCUUUUAUCUUUUCCCACGGGUAGAUAGCUAGCAAAUUCGGAUCUUGGAUUCGAUUCACUACUAUCACAAAUCCAGCUGAAACUAGGAGAGUAACCCACUGAAAGUGCUGUUUUAAAAGCUAUCCAACACGAUACAAUACCUCUCCCUAAAGGUACUUUUCUCACAUAAACCGAGCUGCUGCUAAAUAGUUGGAGCAGUAUUUUGGUGCCGGGUUGCUCGUUGCACGGUUCAUCACCAUCUUCAAUUGUUUUUUCCUUGUCAUCAGCGCCGUUCGAGCAUGAACACAAAGCUUGAACAAAGUGCUAUUAUUUGAGGGGGUGUGAGAAAUUGAAUUCGGUAAGCAAUCAUCCUCCUUACCGACUGCAAUUUUUUGUUUGACUUGUGUCUCUAUUUGGAAGUCUGGACAAGUUACCAUAUGUACCAAAAAUUGUGAACACGAAACUAUAAUCUGAUGAAAUUUGAGCUCUCUGUGUUAGGGUUUUGUCGAUUUGUUCUUUUACUCAUUAGUUUCAAAUUAAUGUCAGUGGUUGUGUGGAAGAACACUUUCUAGAUUUGUGAAAUAAAUAACUAGCAAGCAUACACUGGACUCUAUUCUCUAACCGUUGGUUCUUUACCUUGCUUAGGUUCUGAGGAGGGGAGGAUCUCCCCCUUUGCUUUCUUCCUACAUCGUUGCUUAUUUUGAUAGGACUUGAGCAGAAUUGUUAUCUAUGUAGAAGUUAUUUAAAUCAUUUCCCUGCUCGGCUCGGCUCUGCUCGUGAAUGAUUUUAAGUUUGUUUUGCAGUAUAAAUAUUUGGUUUCUUAAUUUCCUUGGAACUCUUGUAUUCUAAUAAAUACUACUACUCCCUGUUUUAGAAUUAUCAUUUCCUAAAAAUUGUCAUCAUGCUCAUUUGGCUUGUGGGCUGAAUUCCUAUUACCUAUUUUAGUACGUGAAUUAUUAGGAUUCGUUUGAAUAGGCAUUACUCUCUCCAGUUAAUACUCUCUCUAUUUUAUUAUUGAUAGUCUUAACCGUAUUACGGGGAAAUAGUCAUUGUACCCAUAGUCCUGUGUUAAUACUACUAUUGUGUUUCCCUUCUUUGUGCAUGAUUCAUGAAAGUGGUUUGAUUGGCUAAAAAAAAAGUUUAUACUCUCUCAUGGUAGCCCUCAAAUGACAUUUACAUAUAUCAGUACAAGCACCUUCUACAGCUCGCAUUGACUGAUGCCUGCAUUUCUAGCAAUAUGGAACCGUAACCUAUCCUGCACUUAGGAGUGCUUCUAUUUUUACAUGUUUUGUUGUCCUGAAGUUGAAUUAUACCCCAAGAAGGAGCAUCUUUUUUGUCAGUUUCUUGUUUUCUUGAGACAACAUGCUCUGCUCUAUGUGUAAUGAUGUCAAUGGGAAAAACAUUUGUCAAUAACACAGUGGUUCUUCUAAUAAUGACUGACCUUGAUGUUGAAUUGGUUUAGGCAGAACUUUUGUCUAGUGGGGUAGAUUUUGAGAUUCUGGCUCUGGAUUUGAAAUUGUUUGGUCUUGAUCCUUGUGAACGAGCCUACUGGUAUCGUGGUUGCACACUUUUUAAAACUUUAUAAUCCUUAUGUGACAGCCCCAUCUUCCCCUAAGGCAUACCAAAGGGGUUAGCGGACUGCUUGCCCAACUCUCGUUAGGACUCCUAAGACAGUUAUAUACAUUCCAAAACGUUCCGGAAUAAAUUAGCGUGCUUAAACGAUCCAAAAUUUGCGAAACGGAAUAACGAAAAAUGAAAUCGCACAUGAAUAGUGUCGGCUACAUCACAAUCCGGCCGGAAUCUGACUGGAUUUCCAACCGGAUUCUUGGCCAGAUUGGAGGCAGUGGCCAACCUCAUGGAUUCAAAAAAAUCCAUGACAAUCCAGCCAGCAAUCCGGCCAAGAUUUGGCCGGAUUUGCGGCCGGAUUCCUCUGUGUCCUUUCCCGCCAAUUUUUUUUUCUUUUGUCGUUCAAAAUCCGAUCCUAUCCGAAACCUAACCAAUUACCAUCAAAUCAUAUAAACCUUGAAAAUAGACAUUUACAACCGAAUAUAACACAUGAACAUUACCAAACAAUUUUAUACACGUAUAGUUGCAAAUUUACAACUCAAAAGGGAAAUGUUGAAUCAAAAUACAUUUAAGGUUUUUCCAACCAUCGAGGAGCUUUACAAAAGAAUAUAUUAAAGCUAGCUCAACUCGUGCUUCAAAAUCACAAUUCCAAAAGGUGGUUUCAUGUAAGGAAAACAAAGGCAACGGAGUGAGCUUUCGCCCAAUGAGAUACCAUCACGCAAAUAAACAAAGUUCACAUAAGCACAAAGUUACUCAAUCCAAAUACGUUCAACAAGUGAGCCGAACUAACACCACAUUUCAAAAAAAGGAUACAGACGGCUCUCAAGAGCCCUUUUCCUCACUUGCCAUACUUGAUCUCGCCCCGUUGACUCUUAAAGAGUAACCAAUACUGUAGACUCCACUUUUCUCCAAUUUUUCAUUCACCUCACAUACCCCUACUAGGCCCAAACUCCAACCAAUUAAGAAAUGGUAAUACUCGAGUAUACCAGAAUCAAGAGUCUCAUACCCAAUAAUUCCACAAAAGCAGUCCCCAUGGCUUGUCAAUUUCCUCAACCAUGCUCUUGCUGGCUCGAUUCAAUUAACCACCAAUGGGGUUGAGCUCAGAAUUAAUAGUAAAAGUCGUUGGAUACACGUACAAACGACACCAGUUCAAGUAUAAUCAAGAGAAUUCAAGUGAUACCGGAAACAGUUAAAUAAGCCAUAGAGUAUGAGAGUGAUAAAAUAUACCCUCGUCUCAUCCAGUAUCAUCAGUAAACACAAGCAUACCAAUCAUAGAUUUCAAGUAUAACAAAGCCAUGAAGUAACAAUCAUGUGAGUAGUACACUCACCAAUCAAACAAAGAGAUUUGACAAAUUUCCGCCCAACAAGCGCCUUGAGUCACCGGCACGCCCUAAAACAUUCAAGGAAAUACAAUGAGACUCGAAUACGAGUCAUAAACCCAAACCACACAUUACUAAUGUAAAGCCAAAAGAACUUGAAAGUAAAAUGAGGAACACUUGGUGCUAAAGGUUUAGACAACCCCAAAGUCACUCAUUAACACUCCAAACAAGCCAAUUAGCAUGAAAUCACCUAGACUUAAAGAUUGGACAGCAUUUCCUCUUAAAAUUUUAGAUUUUCACCCUACAAACAAUCAUUUAUAUUCCUCCAACACAACCACAAUUACAAUUGCAAGUCAUAAGCCAUUCAAUACCCCUUAUUAGGGUUACAAUACCCUCUAAACAAAGCCAAAUCAAGAGUUCCAUAACAACCCUAGAAAGCCCCAAAUUGCAACCCUAAAUCUGAAAUUUCCACUUUGUACGGAAAUUUUUCGCAAAUAACUACAAUUAACACACAAAAUCUUCACUUUGGACCAUAUCAAGCCAUCAUCCAUGGCCAACUAACACUUAUCAUAUAAAAUCAGAAAAAUCAUGAAUAAAAUCAGAAAUUUAUCAAACUCUACUAAAAGUCAUGAAAUCUUCCACAAAACAACUUUUUUAACUACCACAAGUCACGAAUAACCCAUUAUCAAGAACAAACUAAGAAUUACUACACACCAUACCUUGACACCUCAAGAAAGAUAGUAGCUUAGGUUUCUUUCUGUGAUGGCCCCACUUCCCCCUAGGGCGUAUCCCAAGGUUCGGCGGGUCACCUGUACAACUCUCACCGGGACUCACUCACUCACUCAUAAAACUAGAAAAUAGAUUCACGCCAAAAGAAAAUUCUGUCUGAAUGAUUACAUCUUCAAAAGUUGCACAACCUAGUACAUCAAGUCAUGCAUACCACGAGUACCAGAAAGUAAACCCUAGAAAAGCUGAUAACUACAACCAUCACGACAACUAUACACACCUUACUUGUCAACUUAUAACAAGUACAAGUUCAACUCGUCUAUAAUCAAAACACUAAACACCUUCCCGAGCGAUCCCCGCGUCGGCCCCCUACUAAGGAAAACAAAUGGAAAGGGGUAAGUUAUAUGCUUAGUGAAUAAUCAGGGGUAAAAAUGUAAACUCACAUCAUUAAACAAGUAAAUCAGGAUAAUUCACAUCAAUAACAGAAAAGUAGCAUCACAAUAGUAGGAUACGGGUGGCUCCAAAACCAGUUCAAUUCCCCGAGCUUGAACGCCUGUUGACACUCCGUCAACCAAAGUUCUCAUGGUCCGUAGACUCCACUUAAACUUUUCCGUUCACCUUAUCAACCCCCGCUGGCCAAUCAACAGCACACAGCAACUCAAACGAAUUAAAAUAACUUAAUUUUCGUCAAAGCUUUAACAAGGAACUAAAUCCCAAGUUUAGCAUGGAACUAUCUUCGACCAAACCCCAGCUGGCUCGAAUAGUUCGUCUAACCCUUGGAACCGAGCCGGAACCAAGUCCUGAGAUAUCCGAUCUCUCAAUAGAUGGUAUCUCUCAACCAGUACACAACAAAGUACUUACCCCAAACAGCACAUAGCAAACGGGGUUUAAUUCAAGUCAUGUAAACACUCCCAUCAGCACACAACAAAAGGGUGAUACUCAAGUCACGUAUUCACCCUCCUCAGCACACAGCAAGAGGGUGAUACUCAGGUCACGUAUUCACCCUCCUGGUGAUACUCAAGUCAUGUAUUCACCCUCCUCAGCACACAGCAAGAGGGUGAUACUCAACAUAAAGCAUGCAUUCUCACAUAGGAAAUCAAAACAAAUGAUGGACUCAGGUCGAGUGAGAUAAAGUACACCCUCGCCUAAGUACCCAUUUAACAUAUACAAGAUACUUUAACAAUUCCACAUCAAUAAACAACCCAAUUACUCGCUUGAUAAAGCUUGGCAUGAAAAACGAUACAAGUUACUGAGCUUGACCGUCACCGUCAAAAGCCUCACAGUCUGUAUAGACAGAUUAUAUACACUCAUAAGUGAAACGGCUAUACAAUAGCAGUUUAUAACUUAAACGAUCGAAUAUGGUCGAAAACGGUCAAAAUAAUCAAAAAACGAUACAAAACGGGUUACACGAUUUUGACCAUAAUUGAAGUUGUGGUUAUCGGAUUAAAAUGUACUAGAUAGUGUCUCAAAACUUAAACAAAAGGUUACAACUUCCAUGACGACAACUCGACCCAGUUUUUAGUGCAUUCAAGUUAAAUUUACAAGAUAGAGAACUAGAACUCCAAAAGCUAGUUUUAUCUUUCUCAUGAAAAUUUGGCGGCAUGCCCCUUGUGUUUACCCAUUUUCCAGCCAUUUAUGGCUUCAAUAUUUUCCUCAAACAAAUCCAAAGUUACAUUCACAACAAUCUCAUUUCAAUAGCUGUUCAAUAGGCUCAAGACAAUACAAGGACAAAAAUCAAGCCAACAACAAGUGCGGAAAUGAGCUUUAGUAAAAGACAGAUUUGAUAGGGUUUUUGCGUAACGGACACAAUCGAGGCUACGCUUAUUGGAUUGGAAUACAGUUUGUACCGUUUUGAAGCUAAGACAUAGGGCUACAAUUCUCAUGAAGAUCACUUAAUCAAAUUUCUAGUGCAUCCCAGUCAAAUCCCCAGUUCACAGAACCAAAUUCCAACUAGUCGGCUAAUUAACCAUACUACCUUUUAAUGGCCAUAUCUCAGGCUAUCAAAGUCCGUUUAAGGCGUUCUUAGAGGCGUUAAAAAGCUAAGACAGAGUACUAAAACUUUCAUGUUUUGGAAAAUGGCUAAAUCAGCAUGGAUCAUAGUGAAUAGACACGGUCAAUUGGAUGAACUGUCUAAAAUGGAUCACUGGAAUCAUCCCAGGGCAGCGAGGGUAUUUUGGUCUUUUCAUAGGAUACGUUGCUCCGAUUGAGUUGAAAUUUUGUAGGAAACUAUAAAAUAUCAUUUUUUACAACUUUUAUGUUUUGUGCCAAGCCUAAUUCGGCCUCUAACAUAGGGCACUAAAACCGGACAGAACUGAAGCAUACAAUUCCAGAAAUCUGGAAUUUUGGGAUUUCAAGGGCAAUCUCUUCAUUUUCUUGAUUCAAUCACUACCACAACCUCUUAUACAAGCCUAUAUAGAUCAUAUACCACUCCUACAACAAGUAUAAGAAGGAAAUUAGUCAAACCCUAUGAUGCGGAUACGGGUGUGCAGCAACUUCAAUCUUGGGUCAAGGAUCCUUUGGUCAACAUUGGUGGUCCGAUGACAAGAUCAAGAUCCAAGAAGGUGAAGGAAGCUUUACAAGCCUUGAUCAUUCACCAUACAAGCAAGGAGCAAGCUAAGUUUGAAGAUUUGAUAGACCAUGAAGUUACCUUGUUCACUUGUACGUUUGAAGUGAAAGAAUGAUCUCAUACUUGUUAGCUUAGUUGGUAGUUGUCUUAAGAUUGCCUAGUUUAGUAGUUGUUAGUCGUUGAGUAUUUUAUUACUUAUUGGGCCUUAUCGGGAAGACUUAAAGAGCUGGCUAUUUUAUUACUUAUCGGGCCUUACCAGGAAACCUUAUAGAGCUGGCUCUUUAUGCGAACCGAAUUCCUAUUCCAGGUUUAUUUGGGUCGGAUUUACCCUAGUUUUAGCCUAUAAAAGGCACCUAUUGUAUGAGCGAGAGGACAGAUUAUUACAACCAGAAAUCGUGAGGAAUUUUCCUUCAAAUUCUUAUUCGAACUUACUCUUGAAUUCUUGAGUUCAUAGCUUAGGAUUCAAAUCAGACUUUAUCGAUUAGUUUGUUCCCUAAUCGUGGUGUCUCUUCAUCCUUCAUUAUUUGCUUAAGGUUGCUGAUUGCCUUUGUGUGUCAGAGGUCUUGAGUUCAUGAGAACAAUCGAGUUCAAUUUUCAUUGGGAGAAAAUAUCCAACUCUGAUAAUUACAAGGUUGGGAGGGUCUAGGAGGGUCUUCCCCUAGGUUUGCUCAUCAGUUGGUAAUCAGAGCGUCAGGUUAAUUUCUCUUUUAAUUGAAGUUGUUCAUAUCUUGUUCGUUUAUGUCUUUUGUCCAAAAAAAAAAACUGUAGCGAUUACUUUUCAUCAUUAGUGUAUCGAAUACUAUUCAUCGUACUGUAGCGUACUGUUCAUGUUACUGUUCAUCCGAGUAAAAAAAAAAUCUGUUUGGGUGUUGUCUUUUUUUUUUUGUGUUUUCUAUCCAAGUUCUUGGGUCUGUUAUACUUGUGUUUGGGUUGUUAGGGUUUAAAGACAAAAAAAAAAAAAAAAGAGUCACGUACCUUAUAUUGUUUUAGUGUCCAAGUUGCUAGCGUAUUGCUGGAAUUUUCUUUUGAGUAUUGCUGAAAUUCUGUUUUGCCUAUUUCUUGAGUAUUGGUUGUUGUUCUUGCAAACCCUAGACACCACAACAUAAUUUGGGGAAGUUCUUGAGCUCCUUGAACAAAAUUCUUGAAGUUCUUGAACCACCAAGUCUUAUUUUGAAAGUUCUUGAACAAUAAAUCAAGAACUAGGGUUUUCUUGGAAUUUGCAUAACCUUUCAUCCGUUUCUUGAACUUGUUGGUGUGACUGAAUUUGUGUUCCUUGAAGAGCCGAAGCAAAAAAAAAAAAAAAAAAAAAGGAGAACAAAAAAAAAAAGGAAGAAGAAAAGGAAUCGGCUCUCACACAAAGGAAAUCAAGUUUUCCAAAUCUUCGCUUCCUCAGCUUCCGCAUUUUGUGCGGGCUACGGUAUGCCUAGACAGCCGCGAGUUCUCCUCCCUGCGUUGGCAACCCGGAUAGGUCUUGAAUCUGUGAUAGGCUUAACUUACGUACUUCAAGGUUUCAUCGUACUGUGUACUCCUCUGGUUCCAAUCAAUAUAAGUAAAUUCAUUUAAAAAAAAAAGUUUUCCAAAUCUUGAGUUUCCAAUUCUUGAUUGGUCUCCAAUUCUUGAUUAGUCUCCAAAUCUUGAUGGGUUUCCCAAAAACUUGAGUCUCCAAAUUUUCAUUGGUUUCCAAUUCUUGAAUUUCCAAUCUUAAUUGAAUUUCAACGACCCCAAACUACCUAACCAGACCCCAAGCACCCCAAAUCAAUUUCCAAAGCCAAACCUAAACUACCACAAACACCUUAGCCAAACCGCCUUUGAAUUCUUGAGUUUCUAAAAUCGGUUAAGCUAGUUUUUGCUAACUAAUUUGACUGAAAUUUGAGGACUGGUUCUUGCAUUAUUUGAACAUCCCAAAAGCACCACUUACCCUCCAAAAUACUGACUAGAAACUCAGCAAAAUAGCUGCUCAAAAAAAAAAAACUCCAGCUUCGGGUAGAGUUUUUCUAGGAUUUACAAAAUUCUGCUUUGUGUCUUAUUACUUGCUUAUAGGGUAAUUAAUUCUGAAAUUUUUGAGAGUUUGAGUUGUUUUAAGAACUUUGAGGAGGGAAAAUUGAGAGUGAGUGUGUUUUCCUUGAGUGAUACACGAGUGCUUGCAAGGUAGACUAGGAUACACUUGUUUUGCAGGUUGGACAAUAUGUCUCAAGAGGGGAACAUGCCUGAGCCAUCUGAGACCGACAUGUCACUCAAACUGGUGCUUCAAGCUCUUCAAAAAUAAGCGGAGAGACAUGAAGUUGUAAUGCCACAAUUAUUAGACAGAUUGGCUGCCAUUGAGAUGCGAGGUACCGGAUGUGACGACCCCACCUCACCCUAAGGCGUACCAAAGGGUUCGGCGGACCGCCUGCCCAACUCUCGCCAGGACUCACUCCCUCACUCGUAUCAUGUGCAUACAUCCAUGACCCAUGAGUAACAUUCACAAUUCAAACUUAUAAUUUACAUUGAUACAAAUCAAGGUACAAAGUCUCAAUAUACCCAAACUAGUUCAAAACGUAUACAAUCCAAGUACAAAACAUUCUAUUCGAGGAAUAGCGCGAGUACAAGUCAAAAGUCAAAAGUCACAAACAACUAGACUACGCUAGCCUUUACGCAUCUCAGGCCUUGCUCGUACCCCUGUAAGGAAAACAAAACUAACGGGGUGAGCCAAAGCUCAGUGAAGUUCCAAAUAUCAAAUUGGCCAACAAACCAGGUGAUGACGGAGUAAUAGUGAAAUAGCGAGCAAACAAGUCAUAUCCGAGAAAUAGCAUUUUAGCUAGUCUAGAAAUAUCAAUUUCACAUUCACAUGUAAGGAUACAGUAAUUCAGAUCUUGGCUCCGUUCCAGCUUGAUCGAUUGGUAGUCGACACUCCGUCAACUUUCAAGUAAUAACUAGUCCAAAUAAAACCCCACUACACGCCAGUCUCCGUUCACCGAUCAACCCCCUUCCCCGGGCCCGCACGCCACACGAAACACGGGUGGUAAUACUCGAGUAUACUGUUUAGCCGAGGAGUUAACACUCCACUCGACAUUACUAGUACCUAGGGUUCAUUAUCUAAUCGACCAGGCCCUUGCCGGCUCGACUCGAUUAACUAGCCACAGGGUUUCUGGAAUUCCAGGCAGGAUAUAACUCAUGUACAUGUAUAACAAAUCAAGUGUACCCAAUAAACAAGAACAAGUCAUGUUAGGGCAAGUGCGGUAAAGUACACCCUUGCCCUAUCAUUCAUGCAUCAUGUAAUCACGUAGGUCAAGUAAGAAACUCAUGUAACAAGUGCAAUCGGAUAUUUGGAAAUACUCACCAAAAUAUAGUGUUUCAAGUAUUCACGUUCAGUUAUACUCCAGGUUUGGAGUCCAGAUCUGCGAUAAAAAUUCAGUUUGAGAACUUUGAAACAUGUCCAAGAUUCGAAACUUAAACGUUUCAUUCAAUAAGAAUCAAAUAAUUAAAGUUCAUUUGGAAGGCAUUCGUGAAAAACUUGCUCGCUUUUCAAACUGGAAGAUUUUGUAGCAAAUACACUUGGAAAUAACCUUUGAGUCGAAAGUGCAAGGAAAACGAGUUUACAUUGGUUAUUUUAUCUUUUCCUCAAGGGUACAAGUUCGGCUAGGUUUUAACGUAUAACCCUCGAACCAAGAUAGCCAACAUCCUAGAUGGCUCAAGUGAUAUUCAUAUCAACUCUACCCAAGUCGCAAAUGUAUUUCUAUAGUCCUCGAGCGUAAAUUUGGGCAGCAUGCCCUUUGUAUUUUCCUAUUUUCAGCCAUUUAUAGCUUUAUUCUUUUACUCAAUCCAACUCAAGGUUACCCAUAACACAAUUUCAUUUCAAUAGCCAUUCAAUAGGCCCAACACAAUACAAGAACAAGAAAUCAAGCUAAUAACGAGUGCGGAAACAAAGUUUACAAAAGACAGUUUUGACGGAUUUUUACGGAAUGGGCACAUCCGAGGCUACGCUUAUCGGAUUGAGAUGUAACUUAUACCCUUUCGAAGCUAAGACACAGGGCUACAAUGUUCAUGAAGAACACUUAGUCUAAUUUCUAGUGUAACCUAACCAAAUUCCCAAUUCACAUAACCUAAUUCCAACUAUUCGGCUAUUCAACCGUACUGCCUUCAAAUGGCCUUAUCUCAGUCUAUCAAGGUCCGUUUAAGACGUUCUUGGUGGCGUUGAAAAUCUAAAACAGAUUACUAAAACUUUCAUGUUUUGGCAAAUGGCUAAAUCCAUACGGAUUAUAGUGAAUAAACACAGCCAAAUAGACUGAACUGUCUACGCAGAACACUGGAAUUUAACCUAGGGUAGUGAGGGUAUUUUGGUCUUUUCAUAGGCUACGUUGCUCCGAUUGAGCUGAAAUUUUGUAGGAAACUAUAAAAUACAAUUCUAUACAACUUUCAUGUUUUAUACUAAGCCUAAUUUGGCCUCUAACAUGAUGCAAUAAAACCUUUCCAGAAAUCUGGAAUUUUUCGUUUUCAAUGCAACCUUUCUUGAUUUCUUGCUCCAAUCAUCACUAUAACCACUUAUGUAAGCUUAGAUACCACAUAUAUCAUCCAUAUAACAAGUAUAGGCAGCAAAUACCUCAAACCCUAACUCACAUCUAUCACCUUUAAAUCAUCAUAACAACUUGUUUCACUACUAAUCCAACCACAACAUGAAUUAUACCACAACUUAAACCACAAUAAAAGAACCAAAGCCAUGGUUUAGCCUUAUACCUUAACAAAUGAAGCUUGCAAGAGUAAUACUUCACCUCCUCUUGGAAUUCUUGGCUCCCCUAGCUUCUCAACCUCACAACUCACACUUUAAUCGGUUUAGAAUUUUAAUUCCUCACUUGGAUGGCUCAACUCAAGAAGAAGGAAGUUUGUUUCUUGCUCUCUUUCUCUCCUCUCUUGUCUCGGCCAAGCAGCAGAAAAAUGGAAGGAAAUGGAGCAAAAUGAAGGAUGAGAAGGUUGGACUUUUGGUUUGUUUAAGUAGCCAUGGUUGAGUGACACUUGUCACCACUAAUACCAACCAAAAUUUUCUUUUUCUUUCAUGCAUUUUUAGCCCUGAAAUUCGGUCAAGCUAGCUGGAAAAUGAGAGGAUAUUUUGCUCAAAUAUUAAUGAGCUUGUAUGGUAAGAAAGUGGUGGUCAAGUGGUAUGUUCAAUCGGUAGUACACGGUACACAUCGGUUCGCACCGUUUUUCCCUAAAUCACACGUACUAGGGUUUUUACUUCCUAUUCACUAACUUUUUAUCAUUGCAUCUAAUCACAUUUUAUUUUUCACCUAAAAGUCACUCUUAAACACCAAAUUUGAUCCUUACUCUGUACCGGAAAAUCACCCUACGGAAAAACGUGAAAACCCUAACUUGCUUCAACUUGAAAACUGUUAUUCUUGAUUUUGAUGAUCACAAAGCACUUUGAAAUGUUUAUCUAAUUCUCUUCAAAUAUAAGUGUUUUGCUUUUAAGAGAAUCAGGUACAAAGGUGUCAAGGAAAGAAAAUCAACCAAAAGAAAAAGCAAAAACAGGGCACUCGUGUCGGACGUCCUAAAGGAAGCUGUCGGACGUCCGAAAGAAUGAAGAACAUCAAGAAGGAAACUCUGUCGGACGCUCGUAAGGAAGCAUCGGACGUCCGGGAGGAUCGGACGCACGCUUCGGACGCACAUCGAUCGCAUCGGACGUCCGAGAAAUUCUGCAAAGUUUUGAUGACUCUCUGACGACGUUCGGACGCAGAUGCUAUCGGACGAUAAUAUCCCAUCGGACGUCCGAACGACAACUUGGCUGAUUUUCGGACGAUGGGAUUGGACGGUGAUUCAUCUGUCGGACGUCCGACGGCCCCAACGGCUAGCUGACUCUUCAUCUGCCUACUAUCCGUUGGAAACAUUAUUGAAGCUCAUUUUUGGUCCCCUUUAAAUACAAACGAUUCUGAACCAGUGAGUGACUUUUGCACACUUUGUUUACAAGAUCUCAAGAGAUAUUUUAGCUAGAAAAUAGUCUCCAAAGCUAGAUUUGUUCUCCAAGUGGUGUGAAUUUCUUGUGAGCAUUUCUUUUGUGGUUGAAAGUUUCAUUAGUGUAGCUUUGUUGAGGGUUAUCUGAGUGAUUGUAAAACUUCUUAGUUUGACUAAGUGAGGCUUAGGGCAAGGAGGAAGUGCUCCCUCCAUUGUACAUCUAGUUUAUCAUCUUUCAUCAAAGAGAAGUUGCUCAACCUAGUGAUUGGUCUUCAAGUUUGAGGAAAGCUUGGUAGACAAUCGGUUUGAUAUUCUAUCUUAUUCUUUUUGUUUAAUAAAAUUCUCAUUGCUUAUCUAUACUUGUUUUUCUAAUCAACAUUGCUCUCUUCUUCUAAUGUACUUGGUUAAUCAUUACUAGAAAAGAAGGUAAAGUUUUAUUAAAGAAAAAGUGCAUAAAUUUGAUUAAGAUUUUGAUCAACCUAAUUCACCCCCCUCUUAGGUUGUCUUUGGGCCUUACAAUUGGUAUCAGAAUUUGGUCUCCUAGAGAUUAAGCUCAAACGGCUUGGAGUAAAGAUGACAACCAGUCAUGCUAUGUUUGUUGAGGAGCAAUCUGUUACUAGGCCUCCCAUGUUUAGUGGCUCCAAUUAUGUUAGCUGGAAAGAAAGGAUGAUUAUCUUUUUGCAAUCUAUUGAUAUUGAGCUAUGGUUUAUUGUGAGUGAAGGAUCGCAUGAAGCUAACUUUCUUGAUGCAGAUACAGGUUUGCAUCGGCCAAAAACGAGAGCUGAAAUGAAUGCUCAAGAUAGGACUAAUCUUACAUUGAAUGCCAAAGCCAUGAAUGUUCUUUAUAGUGUUCUAGAUUCAAAUGAAUCAAUUAGAGUAAAAGGCUGUAAAUCGGCCAAAGAAAUGUGGGAUAAGUUAAGAGAAAUCAAUGAGAGUGGUGACAGCGUGAGAGAACAGAAAAAGGCUAUCUUGGUCACAAAGUAUGAAUCAUUUAAAAUUGAACCUCUUGAGGAUAUUGAUAAAAUGUAUUGCAAGUUCAAUGACUUGAUCAAAGAUCUCGAGGUGUUGGGCAAAGAGUACACCUUGGGAGAGAAGAACAGGAAAAUUCUCAAUGCAUUAGGCAAAGAAUGGGAAAAUAAAGUGAUGGCAAUAGAGGAAGCUAAGGAUUUAAAUUCUGUGCCUAUGGAAUCUCUCAUUAACUCACUAACCUCUUAUGAGUUGAAAUUGAAAUCUAAAGUGCAGGAGGAAGAGGAUGCUAGAGCAAAGAGAAACAUUGCUCUAAAGACUACUCAAGGUGAAGAUGAUCCAGCUCACUUGGAUGAUGAAGACUCAGAUGGUGAUGAUAAUGAUCUUGCUCUCAUCACAAGAGAUUUCCAGAGAAUCUUGAAUAAAAGGAAGCUUAGAAGGGGAGGACCUAGCAAUCAAUUCCAAAAUUAUUCAUCAAAUGCAAGGAACAAAGGAAAACAAGAAUUCAACAAGAAGCAAGUGGACAAAUGCUAUGAAUGUGGACAGCCUGGACACUAUGCAAACGAAUGCCCCAUGAAGAAAAUGAAAGAUGGGAAAGCUGAUCGAAAGCCAAGAUUCAACAACUUCCAGAUUACUUGGAAUGAAUGCAAUUCCGAAGGGGAAGUUGAAGAAGAGGAAGAAUCAGCUCAAAUGGCCUUCAUGGCUAUUGGAGAUAAUGAGGUAACUUCCAUUCACUCUCAAUCUGAUAGUGAUGAUGAAGAUGAUGAUGAUCUUGAAUCCUUUGUUGAAAAAUUACAUAAUGCCUUAAAGGAAUCUUACGAUAAAAACAAGCAGUUAAAACAAAAGGUUGUGUUUCUUAUUCAGGAAAAUGCAAAACUUUUUCACCAAAAUAAACAACUAAAGACUGACAAUGAGUGUCUUGUAAGAGUCGAAUGUGAUAUUCAAAAUGAACUUGAUAGAAAGACAAAUGUUUGUGAAAUGCUAAAGAAAAGACAUGGUGAUUUGAAUAAAAGGAUGGACAAUUUGGAUGAGAUCUUAAGAGUUAGAAAGCAAGAUUAUCUCAAAAAGAACAUGUCAUCAACCUUUCUUACUGCUCAUGAAAGAACAUUUGCUCACAACAAAAAUGCAUAUGGUUUUACAACAUAUAGAAGGAGUGCAUUGAGAUUUAUCAAACCAUUACAUGCUAGUGACUCUUCUAUUUUGUGUAGUUUUUGUUGUCAAAGAGGGCAUUUGAAAAAAGAUUGUUAUGUUAAAAGAAAUCUGAACAAAGGAGGGAAAUGCAUGUGGGUAGUUAGACACAAUGCUAAUAUAUGUAGAUGAUCUUCUUAUUGUGCAAAUAUAUGUAGAUGAUAUUAUUUUUGGUGCUACUAAUGAGUAUCUAUGCAAGGAUUUUUCCACCAUUAUGCAAAGUGAAUUUGAAAUGAGUAUGAUGGGAGAAUUAAAUUUCUUCCUUGGACUUCAAAUACAUCAAGCCAUAGAGGGCAUUUUCAUAAAUCAAGCAAAAUACACUAAGAAAUUGCUGAAAAGAUUUGGCAUGGAGGACUCAAAGCAAGUUGGAACUCCAAUGUGCACUUCAACAAAACUUGACAAAGAUGAAGAAGGUAAACAUGUGGAUGAAAAGCACUAUAGAGGUAUGAUUGAAAGCUUACUUUAUUUAACCGCAAGUAGACCCGAUAUUAUGUUUGCUGUUUACUUGUGUGCUAGAUUUCAAUCUUGUCCAAAAGAAUCACAUUUGAAUGCUGUUAAAAGGAUUUUUAGGUAUUUGAAAGGUACAUUAAACUAUGGUCUUUGGUAUGCUUGAUCUAGUGAGUUUGCACUAUAUGGAUAUUCGGAUGCUGAUUUUGGAGGUUGUCGUGUGGAUAGAAAGAAUACUAGUGGAACUUGUCACUUUCUUGGUAAUUGCUUAGUCUCUUGGUUUAGCAAGAAACAAAAUGCAAUCUCUUUGUCUACAACCGAAGCAGAAUAUAUUGCCGCUAGUGCAUGUUGUGCUCAACUUUUAUGGAUGAAGCAUAUCUUGAAUGAUUUUGGAUUGUCAUAUGACUGCAUGCCUAUAUUCUGUGAUAAUACUAGUGCUAUCUGUGACGCCCCGAAAAAAAAAGAGUGUGAGAACCCGUAAAAACCCUAAUAUUUUCCUAGGGUUUUAGUUCCUUUAAUUGCAUAAUUUUUGCAUUUCUGGCUUAGAAAUAUUAUCUGGGUGGAUUUAUGAGCAAUUAUAGUUUUAAGAUGAUUUUUCUAGCAUUGGUGAGUUUUUAGAAAAUUAAGAAUAAAUAUUGGACGUGGGACCCACUAGUGCGAAAAAUUCGGAAAAAUUCGGCCAAUAAGGUUAAGUUUCGGAUACUGUUAAAAGUUUAUCGGGUAUUAAGAGAUAAGUAGAGUGUGUGAAAUGAUUGAUGUGAGAGAGAAAAGAAUGAUAAGGAUGCAUUUAAUAGAGUGACACAUGUCACUUUCUUAUUGGUUGAACUUUUAAGAAUUACUAUUCAUUGUCUUGACUUAUUUGACCAAGGGAUUAAAUAUCCAAAAUUCACCAAAAAAUCACCAUUUUGCUCUCCUUGUUGGCCGGCCACCUUGAGCAAGAAAGGAAGGAGAUUUCUUCAAUUUUCAAGCUUCUACUUGGUGCAAAUCAACCAAAAACAUUUGCUUCCAUCCAUUUCACUCCAUAAAAUUCUUCCUUCUAGAGCUAGUAAGUUGUUUGGUGAACUUUGUUUGAAGGUUUAAGGUGUCCAACAUCCUCCUCUCUCUUGUUUCUUGGUAAGUGAUGCUUCAACCUCUCCCCUAUAGCUAAUGAUGGUUAUUUUGUGCUUAAUGGUGGCAUGGGUGUUGAAAUACAUGAUUUGUUUCUUGAUUUGAGGAGUUUUGGAGAAGUUUUUAUUUUAUUGGGAAUUUUUCUGGUUUAAUAUGAAUGGGAUGUUGUGGCCUUGUAUGAUGAAUUGUAAUGGUUGAUAAUGACUCUAUGAGGUGUAUUGGAUAGGAAAAUGCAAUCAAUUUUGGAUUUGGUGUGAAAAUUGAAAAGUUAGGGUUCUUAAAUCCCAAUUCUGUCCGGUUUUAGAUCACUGGGUUAGAGGCCGAAUUAGACUUUUCUCAAAACAUGAAAGUUGUAGGUAUUGAUGUGAUUGAGAUUCCUGUAAAAUUUCAGGUCAUUUGGAUUAAUGUAGAAUGAGUUAUGACGAAAUUACUGUAGCUGUUCUGCUUUGGACAGAAUGCGAAAACUGCGAUAGUAAUUGGCCAUUUUGACUGGAAUUGGUUUGGAUUUUGGAGUUAGUGUCUUCUGAUGAAAUGUAGCCGAGUGUCUUAGCUAACAUAUGCCUUUGGAAUUUCGGCAUUUGGACUUGUAUGGACUGAGAUAUACCGAUUACAGUUUUCUGUGUUUUGCAAACCUGUUUUGGUGAUUCUGGUUUAGUGUUUGGCAUUUUUGACCUAGUUGGGCUAGGAACUGGAUUGAGUGACCUUCUACAUUGUUGUAGCCCUGUUUCAUAUCUUCGAAACGGUGGGUCUUACACCCCCAACCGAUAAUUGUAGUGAGAGUUGUGCCAUUACCGCAUUAUGACGUCAAAACUGUUUUUCUGGUUUUGAGCUUAACCUUCAUUUCCGGACUUUUCCCUAGCUUGACUUGUCUUUGUACUACUUGGAGCUUGCUGAAUGGAUAUUAGAUGAACUUAUUUGUGUGACUUUGGGACUGGCUGGAGUAAUAAUGAAGCCAUGAUGGCUGGAAAAGUUAGCAAAUGUAGGGGAAGUGCUGUCCGAACUUUGAAGGGACUUGUUUGCAUUGGGUUUGUGAUCUAAGGCUUGGAGUUGAGCAAGGCAAUGAUACAUGAUGGAUGGUUUCUGAGCCGUGGAGGUGAGUGACCCUAAACUGUUUCCAAAAUUACUUAUGAACCGUUUAUUGCACUAUUUACUUGAUUGCAUAUCAUGAGUGCUUGCAUGUGGCCCAUGACAUGUUUUGGCUUAAAUGAGUGCUUGGAAUUCGUGUGCUGGACACCAACGUCUCCACCUCUGUGUACUGUUCAUCUGGAGCAAAUGGCUCCCCCACUGACUGUUUACUGUUUAAUGUUUGUUUGGAGCGUUGGGUGUUUAAGUACAACGAUUUCGCUGGCUCACGAGAGCAAUAAAUGUACCUUUGAUCUUGAAAUCAUGACAUCACUGAAAUGAACGACUGUGAAACUGAAUUGAUUACUGAUUUUAAUGGUUACUCGCUGAGCUUCUAGCUCACCCCAAAAAUGUUUUAUUUCCCCCCACAGGGCUCAAGGCGAAGAAAAGCUUGGAGUGCUUAUUCACGUGACUGGAUGGCUUAUAUCAUGUACAGUUUAAGUUUGGAUUUAUUUUAUGUACGAGCUGGGCUUGUAUCAAUAUUUGAAAUUGAUAUAGAUGUAAGUAUACAUUCCACGAUUGGAAUCAGUUUCCGCUGCAUUUGUGAUAUGUAAUUAUUGGAGAAUUUGAUGUAAUUUUGAGAGUUAUAUUGUAAUAUAUUUGAGGAUUGUAGUGAACGACUGAGUCCCGGCGAGAGUUGGGCAGGCGGCCCGCCGAACCCUCUGGUUCGCCUUAGGGGGAGGUGGGGCCGUCACACUAUCAAUUUGACCAAAAAUCCAAUUCAACAUUCUAGGACAAAGCAUAUAGAUAUAAAGCACCACUUUAUUCGCGAUCUUGUUCAAAAAGGUGAAGUAUGUGUAAAUUAUGUUUGUUCUAAAGAUCAAUUUGCUGAUAUUUUUACAAAAGCUUUGCCAUUAGAUCAGUUCAUUCAUCUAAGAUCAAAAUUAGGGAUAAUCGAAAAAUCAUCUUAAAAUUUUUCAAAGCCUUCGGACGCCCAAAAGAAGAUGAACGGACGAAAACUCUCUCGUUUCUCACUCUCAAAUUCGUACCAUUCUGAAACUCUCAUUCCCAAAUUGACUCAACCAAAACUUUUCCUGAUCGAUUGCAAUUCGUUUCUCCUGAUCAUUUCACCGAAUCGCAUAACAUUUCGCAAAUUCCCAAAUUUCACUCAAAACCCUAUUUUCUCAUAACCGCUCUGUCCAAUCUUCUUCAAGGCCUUUUUGUCCCAAAAUUUCUGUGUGAUUCACUUCCAUACUACUGUGUGCAUCAUUUGCAUCCUUCAUUCCAUACAUUUCGCACAAUGGUGAAUCUAAGAGGAGGGAAGGUCACUGCCGGACGCAAGCAUCCACUUAGGGAUGAGGAUGAUGAUGUUCCUACGGUUAAACGAUCAUCCAAACGCGUCAAGAGGGGAGCUGUAAAGGGUCAAAUGGCCUACACCACAACCCACCCCUCAGCCCGAAUCUGGACAGGGAACCUCAUCUCAACCGCCUCCAAAAUCAACUACAGUCCCUACAUUCUUUGAUGAUGCUACAAAAGACAAACACUCCUGGAUAUCCCAGAAAGUUGUCAUCCCUCAACGCACCGUAAAUUCUUCUGAAUUUCGCCAAAUAGGUUUAGAGACAAUUCUGCGUCUCUUUGAAUUCCAGAAAUGGUCACAUAUCAUUUCCAUGCCUAACGUUUAUUACCCUGAAAUGCUAUAUCAAUUUUUUGCCAAUCUUAGGAAAGGCACUGACCACACUGAAAUUAUGUCCAGGGUAAAUGGGGUAGACUUAGUAUUUGAUCCUGAUAUUGUGAAUGAUGUUUUAAAUACUGCUAUUGAACGUGGAUGCAAAAGUAAAAUUACAAAUUUUUUUUCUUAUGAAGAGCAUCCCACUGCUGAUAAUCACUUUGAUGGUGCUAAAAUGCUGUCCUAUUUUAAAAAGAAGUUUUCUGCCUCUGCUGAUGCAAAACUAAAUGACCUUGCUCCUGUGAAUCUCAUUGCUUUCUCAAUCAUUUCAAAUUUGCUUGUGCCUAUGGAUGGUCAUAGGACAGAUGCAAAUCAAAUGGAGCUGUAUCUUUUUUAUUGUUUUCGAGAAAAAAUUCGCAUUGAUUUUGGCUUUGUCAUGUGCAAGUUUUUACUUCGCUAUGCCACUGAUUCUCGUAGAAAACUGUCCUAUGGAAAAUUUCUUUUGAAAAUUUUUGAGUUUUACAAAGUACCCAUCCUUGGUGUUUGUCCCAAAGAAACGCUUCUUCUGCCUUUACUAAGGCUUAUUUUGAGCGCAAAAAUCUGUCUUUGUGGAUAAUUUGUGGGCGUAUAAGGGGGCCACUUCUAAUGAACCUAAAUCUAAGGUUGCACAUGAUCCACUUCACACUCCAUCCUCUGUUGCACUGACCUCUAUUCAUCCUAGGAAGACUGCCACUAAGGCAUCUUCUUCUUUAAAUUCUGAGGUGGUUGAGCUCCUUCGAGACCUUAAGCAACAUGUUCUGCUUCUUGAACAUGGUCUCAUGCUCACCAUGUCAUCCCAGCAACAAGCUGACUUCCUAGAUAAAAAGAGUCUUCUUUUUCCCCCACUUGUGGUUGAGGAAAUCCCUCCUGGCAAGGAGCCACGCUCCAAUGAUCUAAGUUCAUCAGCCCCUGUUCGCUCUAUGAGUCCUGCUCCUAUCGACCUCACCUCUACUCCCGUGGCACCACAUGAUCCUUCCACAUCUGAUAAAGGCAAGAAAUCAGUUGGUGAAGUUGCUGAAGAUGAUGAAGACACUGAGGAGGAGGAGGAUCUCUCUCAGUAUCAACUUACUCGAAGGACGCCUGGAUCCUCUUAACUUAUCAUUUAGGAUCACUAGUCCUAUUAGGAUCAUUUGCAUUAUGUUUGACUAUUUUUAUUUGCUGAAUGUUAGAUAGUUGCCUUGAACUCUUUUUAUCUAUUGAAUUCUGGUGCUUGGUGUCAUUUGGUGUUUUGUAAUGUCCAAAACUGGACAUAUGUUUGUAAUGUUUGUGAAUGGUUGAAUCUUUACAUUUUGCUUGGUUGAAUGGUUGGAAAUAUGGAUGUAAUGCUCGUAAGAUCAUUUUGCUAUGAAUGGUUGGAUAUAUGGUCGAAUCUUUGUUACUAGUUCUCCAAAUGUAUCUUUACAUUUUGAAUUUUGUGAUGACAAAAAGGGGGAGAGAUGGUGUAGAUAUGAAAACGGACAAUAUGGAUAAUAAGUAGCCAAGUGAGGGGGAGUUUUUAAGUUUUUGUUCCAAAUCUGUGUAGUAGCCAAGUGAGGGGGAGUUUUUAAGCUUUUGUUCUACGAUUGACUAAGAAAGGGGGAGCCUAUUUGUAAUCAUCAAAUUUCAUUUCAAACCAUUGUUUUGUCAUCAUCAAAAAGGGGAGAAUGUUAUUCUUGAUUUUGAUGAUCACAAAGCACUUUGAAAUAUUUAUCUAAUUCUCUUCAAAUAUAAGUGUUUUGCUUUUAAGAGAAUCAGGUACAAAGGUGUCAAGGAAAGAAAAUCAACCAAAAGAAGAAGCAAAAACAGGGCACUCAUGUCGGACGUCCUAAAGGAAGCUGUCGGACGUCCGAAAGAAUGAAGAACAUCAAGAAGGAAACUCUGUCGGACGCUCGUAAGGAAGCAUCGAACGUCCGGGAGGAUCGGACGCACAUCGAUCGCAUCGGACUUCCGAGAAAUUCUGUAAAGUUUUGAUGACUCUCUGACGACGUUCGGACGCAGAUGCUGUCGGACGAUAAUAUCCCAUCGGACGUCCGAACGACAACUUGGCUGAUUUUCGGACGAUGGGAUCAGACGGUGAUUCAUCUGUCGGACGUCCGACAGCCCCAACGACUAGCUGACUCUUCAUCUGCCUACUAUCCGUUGGAAGCAUUAUUGAAACCCAUUUUUGGUCCCCUUUAAAUACAAACGAUUCUGAACCAGUGAGUGACUUUUGUACACUUUGUUUACAAGAUCUCAAGAGAUAUUUUAGCUAGAAAAUAGUCUCCAAAACUAGAUUUGUUCUCCAAGUGGUGUGAAUUUCUUGUGAGCAUUUCUCUUGUGGUUGAAAGUUUCAUUAGUGUAGCUUUGUUGAGGGUUAUCUGAGUGAUUGUAAAACUUCUUAGCUUGACUAAGUGAGGCUUAGGGCAAGGAGGAAGUGCUCCCUCCAUUGUACAUCUAGUUUAUCAUCUUUCAUCAAAGAGAAGUUGCUCAACCUAGUGAUUGGUCUUCAAGUUUGAGGAAAGCUUGGUAAACAAUCGGUUUGAUAUUCUAUCUUAUUCUUUUUGUUUAAUAAAAUUCUCAUUGCUUAUCUAUACUUGUUUUUCUAAUCAACAUUUGAUACGAGUUAAGCUAUGUCAUUGGAUAAGGUUCAAGUCCCACUAGGACUGGUUACACGAGCUCGAGCAGUUCAUUCAGCUUCAUCGUCUCAAAGACGUUAUAAGGCGCGGGCACGAUUUAUAAGGAUAUGUCUUCUGCCAUUUAAUUGAUUCACCGCAGCAAAGUCAUUAUAAGGCGUGGGCACGCUUUAUAAGCUCAAGUCGUCUGCCCAUCUAAUCACAUUUAUUGUUUUAGUUAAGUCGUUUGUAAUAAGGGCUUUAUGGUCCAUAGCCUUGCUUUAUUUACCUAAGCGAUGACCUCAUAAGGUUGUUUACCUAAGGGAUGACCUCAUAAGGUUUGGUCAAGCCUAUAAUUGUUAGUCUUAGUCAAGACCACAACUCUAGACUAGUUCCACAUUUAGUUGUUCAUCUCUAUGUAAGGCUAUAAAUAGCCCACACUUCCAAUGGUUUAGGCAUUUCAAUCAAUAAAUCAGAUUUUGAGAGUUUUCUUGGUUUCUCCAAGGCUUCUUGAAUACCUUAGAAUUUCUCUAGGUGUUCGUGACUUAUCAAUCUAGAAUCGCACUAGGUUGUGGCGUCUUCUACCAUUAUACCAAGGUUCGUUAACCACGUGAUUAACGGGUUGAGGUCAUCCGCUUCAAACUUGGUGUCCUCUUGUCGAUCCUGAAGCUAUUCUUUUACGGGUUUCGUCACAAGGUUGGCGACGUUCGUAUCAGUUGGUAAUCAGAGCUAGUUAAGAGGUAUCACGUUAUAUCCCUUUAUUUAUUUCCUUUUCGAGUCAAGUUGUCGAAAAUUCUGUUUUCGUGUUCUAAGUUGCUAUCCGCAAUAUCCAGAUUUGUUACAUCGUGUUCUUGCGUUAUUUUUUCAGAUUUGUUACGUCAUAAACUUGUGUCUAGUUGUUGUUAAUUGCUGUGGUUAGCCUUGUUUGGUCCAGCCUUUCUUUUUGUGUCUUAUUCUUGAUUCUUUGUUUGAGUCUUGUUUCUAUCUUGUUAUAUCCAUUCAAUUCCAAUCUUUUGUUCUAUUUGAUCAUUCGAGGUUACUGUUCAUCCGAAAAAAAAAAUUAGUUUGUAGCAAGGGUUUUAGAGUCCUAUCUAGUUAUUACCUUGUGUUCUUGUUUACAUACAAAAAAAAAAUAGCUGGCUAACCUUACAAAACUUGAUCAAAAAUUCCUGCAAAUCUGUCUUGAUCAAAACUUGGGUUUUUUUUGAAGUUCCUGAUUGUUUAAAACCACAAUCUUGAAGUUCUUGGAACUUUAGUUGGGAUUCUUGAAGCCAACCAAAAUCUGUCUUGAUCAAAUCGUGAAAUCUUGGAUUGUUUAGGGAGGAAAUCAUCUUCAAUUUUGUGUUUCUUGAAUUCUGGGAAUUAACAUCUUGAAUUCUUGAAAGAAUCUUGAAGUUUCUGGGUUUUGGGAACCAAAUCUUGGUAAACAACAAGGCUGCAAAUUUUCAGCUGCCAAAAUCCUUGUCUUCACCACAACAAUCUUCUUUCUUGACUAAGAACAUUUUAGCCACGAAAUUUGGCUCUUCUUGGCUGAUUAGAAAACAAAAACAAAGGAAGAAGAAGAAUAUUCAGCCUAUUCAAGUCAAAUUUCCCAACCUAUUCAAGUCAAAUUUUCCAACCUGUUCAAGUCAAAUUUUCCAACCUUGUUCCCAAAAACAACCAAAUCAGUUCCAAUCUUGAACUUGACCUUAGAAUUUAUGGGAACCAGCAAAUAGGAAGACUAAUCCUUGUUUCCAAAGGAUUAAAGAAGAAAAGUCAGCCUUGGGUUUCCAAAACAGUCCUACCACAACACAAAUUCAUCUUCCAUUCGGAUUCCAUCUUUGCAACCAUUGGGGAAUUUCUGUCCAAUCAUUAAUUCUGGAAAUUUUCGUGCAUCAUUAGGUUAGUUUUAAGUGUCAUUCUGAAUCCUCUAAGUGUCCAUUUAUCUACCAAAACACUGCCCAAAAAUGCAGCAACCAGCAGCUCAAAAUUCCAAUUUUGGGUAGAGUUUUGUCUAGGAUCCUUAAAAUUCAACUUUGAGUCGUGGUCAGUCCCUUCAUCUUUUAUUUUUUUUUUCUUUCGUUCAAAGUGCUACAAUCUUGUGACCCUGGUUGGUAAGUCGAUCCACACUAGAAGGAGUUCUAACUUGUUCGAGGAGUUGACCGAGGAGCCUUGAAAAUACCUUGGUGAGUUCAUUAGAGUGUUCAAACACGAGAGCGAGUGUAAACAUGUGAGCUUGUGUGGCGAGGAAAAAUAUCUUUUGUUUCACUAAUUUUUUGCAGGUUUCCUCAUACAUCAUGGCGAAUACGAGGCAUUUAAAAGCUAGCUUACAACAUCUUCUUCUUGAUCCUAAGGGAGUCAAAGAAGUAGCAUUACGUGGUGUAGAUGAGCAAUUGGAUAUCGUCAAAUCUCAGUUGCAUGAUUGGUUUUAUACUCGCAUUUUUUAAAAUCUUUUUUUUAUUUCUUGUUUUUUAGGAAAAAACUAAAGGAUGUGUUUGGAUUAGAGACCAAUGAACUUUUUUCCCCCCGUGCCUAAUUGCAGAUUAAAAGGAAGAACUAGUUCUUAGAUAACGUUUCUAAGUACAACUCUAUUACUCAGAAAACUGGUCUACCUGACUGUGGGUUUUCCUUUAGUCAUGCCAUUUUGUCAUUAGUGAUGAUUGCUUCUUCUAAACCUUAGCUCACUGCACACGCCAAGCGUAUGAAAGCCAAACUUAAAUUGAACUCGUCAAGUUGCAAAAUAAGAAAAUUUGGGUUACGUUUGGUAUGAGUAGUAAGGGAAAAUUUAAUUCCUAUAUUUAUGAUUCUUGACUAAUGUGAUUGUAGAAUUGUUGACUGAAAAUAAAAGGAAACUGACAAAGAAAUGUCAUGUGAUUGCAUGUGCAUGGUUAAAACAAUACAAAUUAUAACCAAUUUGAUCCAUUGUUUUUAAGGUUUUGAUCGUUUUGGUUCCUUAGUAUCAUGACAAGCAAUUUUGCCUCUUAAAUUUAAAAAUAUGGUUAGGGAGGUCCUUUUGAUAGAAAUUUGAGUCGCUAAUGAAGUGAGAGACCCUUUAAUGCCUUUCGUGUCACAUCCGUCUCAACAGUAUAUUAAAGUUUCAAAAAAUCUCAAAUAAGUCAUAAACUCAUAAAAAUAAACCCAAAACUCUUUAUCGUGAAGAAAAUAAAAUUUUUGUAACUUUAAAAUAAAUCAAACACAAAACUUUAAACAUAAUUAUGGAUUUUGUGCCAUUUCCGAGUUGAAAUAUCAUGAAAAAGAGUACCUAAAGGUGAAGAGAAAAAAUGCAUAAAUUUAUGUUUGACAUAGUAUAAAAAACUUUUAUUUCAUUAUAUUGAAGAGUUAUGGGUGAGUUUAUAGUUUUAGGCUUUUGUUUGAAUGCUUGGUGUUUUCUGCAAGAUGGUACGAAGUACCCUCUAAGGUCUCUUAACUCCGUUAACAACUCUAAAUUAGCCUUGACCAAAUUCUUAAAAUUUAAGAAAAAUUGGUUCGCCAUAAUACAAAGGGACUAUAUUGUUUGGAGAUAAGAUACCAAAUUAAUUAAUUUUUAUUCUUUGCGUAAUUCAAGUGAUUUCUCCGUUAGCUUCCCACAAUUUUGCUGCAUUAGUCUCUUUUGAUGAGAUAGAGCACUAAAUUUGUUGAUAUGACAGACCAUAUUGGCUGAGACUUCAAAGAUAGAUGACCAAAGCAACAACAUUUCCUAAGUAGUUCAUGAAUCAUUUUCAUUGUAUAGUUAGAUAUGAUAGAGAAGAUGUAUCUUUUUAAAAAUGAAAGGAAAUAAUAUUAAGUUAUAGAUGAUUUCUUGAAUAAAAGGGCAAUAAUAUUAUUGUACUCACUUUUUUCAUUAUUUUUAACUUAGACUAGUUUUCAUGAGGGGUAAAAUAUACAUAUUUAAUGUUAAUGGGAGCAAAGUGUGAUUAUCCACUAAGUUUAGGGGACGCAAAGUGUUAUUAACCCUUUUUAUUCAUAAUAUAUAAUUUUGUAGACUCUCUCUCUUCUUAGGAUCCUCUCUAUCUUCUCUCUUCUCGCCACUAGUGAUCGUAAGGUUUCAUGGCAGCCCUUCAGCCAUCGGCUGAGGGGCAAGAAUUUUCCCCUACAAAAAAAAAAUCUUUUUCUCAGCUUUUCUCACAGCCGGCAACAUCUCCAAUCCAGAUUCGGCAGGCUUCUGUUUACAAGGGUGAAGCGGCGGUUAUAUUUUCCAGAAUAGAAGCGGACAAACUUGCAGCACCAUUUAGAUGGACUUUGGUUGGCAAAUUCUCUCAUGGACGACCUUCUCUGGAAGAUAUUCGAAAGUUUUUUGCCUCUUUAAAUCUGAAAGACCAAGUCUCCAUUGGAUUACUGGACUAUAGGCAUGUCCUUAUUAAAUGUACAGCUGAAGCAGAUUUCAAUAGAAUUUGGACAAGAGGAAUUUGGCAGUUGGGUAAACAUCCAAUGCGUGUGUUUCGAUGGACCAGGGAAUUUCAUGUGCAUAGAGAAUCAUCUCUAGUACCGGUUUGGGUAAAUCUUCCAGCUCUACCUAUUCAUUAUUUUGACAAACAUUCUUUGUUUUCCAUACUGUCUCCAGUAGGAAGACCUUUGUUUCUAGAUUCGGCAACGGCUGCUGGGAUUCGUCCUAGUGUAGCCAGGGUGUGCGUAGAGAUAGAUGUUGCGAAGCUUGUUGUGCCAAGGGUGUGGGUUGCUGUCGAAGGGGAAUCAGGUUUUUGGCAACGUAUUGAGACAGAGAAUCUUCCUCCGUAUUGUUCUUUUUGUUCAAGAUUAGGACAUUCUCAUGAGCACUGCAACAAGAAUUUGAAAAAAGAUGGGUCUCGGCUGCAACUGAACAACCAGCAAAACCCAUACAUAGAUAGAAAUCAGAUGAUUACUCAUCAACCUGGGACUAAUCAAACUGAUUUGGAGAAUAAAGAGGCAGCGAAUAUAUCCAAUGUUAUUGCAAAUGAAAUGAUAGUGAAUGGAGUUGCUGCUACUGCGAAUGAAACUGUGAUAAACGAGUCUACUUCACAGGAAAUUUCAACCACUGCUACGGUGAAAAAUGGGAUAAAAACUUCAGCAGCAAAGGCCAUGGUUGCUGAACCUGCCGUGCUAGUCGUGCAAAAGGAAGUAAAAAAUCUGCAACACUGCAUUAUUGAUGAUGAUCCUGCUAAUGAAGAAGGAGUAGUAACCCAUUUAGAAAUUUCAGAUGUCAACGUAAACAUGGAGACAUGUAAGGUGAUGAAUACGGUUUUGCAUGGGGAACAUGUAGCAAUGGAAAACCAGCUGGAGAAACAUCAUGGCAGUCAAAGUGAAGGGUCCCAUGUCCUCAAAGAGAAGCCUUUGAGCACCGAACAACAUCAUCUGGAUGAGAAUGCUUUAACAUUGGCACAACAGAAUCUGACCGACAAAGCUACAACAUUUACACAAGCAAAUCAGGCCCACAACAACGCAAGGAGUGACCAUGAGCAAUUGGCCGACAAAACCAAUGUUGAACUGCAGCUGCUGGCCGACAAUAAUGUUUUGGAGAAUCUCUAUGUUGAAUUGCGAGGGGUGGAGGAUGAAGUUUCUACACAACAGUUGGUAGAAGCAAAUCAAAUGCCUACUAAUGCUGGAAAUCUGUCCCCCCGAAUUGGUGUCCUACAAGAAAAAUUGCUGGAAUCAUCAAUGAAUGGCCUAAACAUUGAUCAAAUAGGUGAGGCUGGUGGUGACUUCCGACAACCGCACAGAAAGGGUAUGCGGGCUCCAAUCCCAUCUGACAGACAGUUAAGGUCACAGACAUCAUCCAAAAAUUCAUUCCAGGUUCUUUCUUAUGAUUAAUGGAUUAUUUUGGAAUAUUAGAGGGAUAGCAAAAGCACCAAACCUAAGAAGAUUGAUUAAAUUAGUUCGGAUUUAUCAUGUUCAUUUUGUUGUGAUUUGUGAGCCAAAACUAGACGUAUCUAAAAUCGAACUCAUUCGGUUACGUCUAUCUUUUGAUUAUGUGUUUGUUAAUUGCUCUAGCGAUAUUUGGGUUUUCUAUAAUAAUCCUUUUGUUUGCUCGAUCGUUGGUAGUUCGGAUCAACAUAUUUCUCUAGAUGUUCAAAAUCCAUUACUACCAAGUUCCAUCAUUAUGUCUUUUGUUCAUGCAAAGUGCUCAGUGGAUGAGCGUAAAGAGUUAUGGACAUCAUUAUUACAUGAUAAGCCUACUUUACUUCCUUGGUGUAUUGGAGGUGAUUUCAACGUUAUAUUAGCAGCACAUGAAAAGCGAGGGGGGCGUCCAUUUGCUAUAGCGGAAGGAGUGGAUUUUAUGAAUUUCAUGGAGGAAGCUGAGGUCUUUGAUGUCGGUUUUUCAGGAUCUAAAUUCACAUGGUCUAAUAAUCGACGGAGUAGAGCUCGGAUUUCAAAAAGGUUGGACAGAUUUUUAGUCAAUGGAUCUUGUUUGGAUUUUUCAAAUGACAUUUCGGUACUUCACUUGGCAAGACACCCCUCCGAUCAUGCACCAUUGAAGGUUUCUUUUGCAACUCGGUCAGAUAACAAACCUCGGCCGUUCCGAUUUCUGAAUGUUUGGACUUCCAAACCAGAUCUCUUGGAAGUGAUUCGCCAUGUUUGGAAACAAGAUGUGGGUGGGCCUCCGCUACGCGUAUUGUGUUCUAAAUUAUUGGCAACAAGGAGAGCUAUUCAAUCAUGGAACAAGCAACAUUUUGGGAAUAUUUUUGACGCUGUCCGUUCUUCAGAAAUGGCGGUUCAACGAGCUGAGGAGUUGCUAGACCACGAUUAUUCCGAAGAGUGUCAAAUUGAGCUUAAUAAGGCACAAGCAGAAUUGCGGUAUUCAAUGUCAAUUGAAGAACAGUAUUGGAGACAGAAGGCCAGGGUCAAAUGGCUUCGUCAUGGAGAUAGGAAUACAAGAUAUUUUCAUGCGGUAGUAAGGCAGAGAAGAGCUCAAGGAAUGAUACACCGCAUCAAAAAGUCCAAUGGUGCGUGGGUGGAAAAGGACGAUGAUAUAGCAAGUGAGGCAACGGCAUAUUUCAAUGAUCUUUUCACGGGCUCUUUGGAAUCAUCUACUGAUAUGCUACAUUUAAUUCCGCACUUGGUUACGGAAGAGGAUAAUGGAAAACUGGAAGCAUUACCUUCAAUUGAGGAGGUAUAUGGAGUCAUAAAGUUAAUGGAUGGAGAAAGUGCAGCUGGCCCAGACGGUUUUACAGGCAAAUUUUUUACAUUUGCUUGGGAAGUGAUCGCUCAAGAUGUUUACAAUGCGGUACUGAGCUUCUUCUGUGGGGCGGAGCUACCACGAUUCAUCACUUCUACUUCAAUUAUACUAAUUCCAAAGACGCCAAAUCCUCAGGAAUUCUCUCAAUUCAGGCCUAUCAGUCUAUGCAAUUUUUUCAAUAAAGUGUUAUCUCGGAUUUUGACAGACAGGAUGGCUUGUUUACUGCCAAAAAUCAUUUCCCCACAUCAGACAGGUUUUGUGAAGGGCCGCAAUAUAACUGAAAAUUUUCUACUAGCUCAAGAGAUGGUAUCAAGCAUGGGGAAAAAGAAUAGAGGUGGAAAUGUUUUAAUGAAACUAGACAUGUCCAAGGCAUAUGACCGGAUGUCAUGGGGUCAUAUUAUUAAUAUUCUAAGGAGGUUUGGAUUCGGGGAAAUAUUUAUUGACCUUAUAUGGCGGUUACUCUCUAAUGUCUGGUUUUCAAUCAUUAUAAAUGGUUCCUCCUACGGUUUCUUCAAGUCUUCGAGAGGUCUUCGUCAGGGAGACCCAUUAUCUCCUGCAUUAUUCAUUAUAGGAUUGAGGUUUUAUCUAGAGGACUGAAUAACCUCACCAUGCAAUCGAGGUUCCUGGGUUUCAAAGUUCCAUAUCGGUGUCCGACUAUUACUCACUUGGCAUUUGCGGAUGAUGUUCUUAUAUUCAAAUGGAUCCUCUUCUUCUCUAAGGCAAUCAUGCAGGUGUUACAGGCAUAUCAAAGGUGUUCGGGGCAGCUCAUAAAUGUGCAAAAAAGCUGUUAUUUGGUCCACCCAUCGAUGCCACCGGCGAGACGAAGGGUGAUUGAACGUAUCACUAGGUUUGCCUGGCAGUCAUUUCCGAUACGUUAUUUGGGAUUCCCUCUUUAUUCUGGAAGAUGCAAAUCUUCAUAUUUUGGAGAAGUGUGUCAGUCUAUUCUAGGGAGGAUUUUGUCAUGGAAAUCAAGGCUGCUUUCCUUUGGAGGCAAAAUAGUUCUAAUCAAGCACGUGUUGGCUUCUAUGCCAAUGCAUCUAAUGUCAGCUGCUGUGAUCCCGGCCAAGGUGUUCAAAAUUAUAGAAAGUUCGUGCUCGUCCUGUGGAGAUCAUCAACCGACGACUCGAAAUUCCACUGGAUACGAUGGUCUCACUUGUGUUACCCGGUUGAGGAAGGGGGAGUCGGGUUCCGGAGACUACGAGACGUAUAUCAAGCUUUUUCAUGCAAGCUUUUGUGGAAUUUCCGAACAGGAUCAUCCUGUGGGCAUCGUUCAUGAAAGCAAAAUAUUGCGGAAGCCUUCAUCCUUGUCAGAUCGAACUCAGAACAACGGACUCGGCAAUCUGGAGAGGAUGAUCAACGUAAGUAGACAAGUGGAGCUCUCAAUGUUAUGGGAUGGAGCUUGUCAUUUUUGGUAUGACAACUGGUUGGGAAGUGGUGCGUUAUUUCUACAUGCAAAAGUUAUCCCAAAUUUGUCAUUCCAAAUUUUAUCACCAAUGGUCACUGGAAUAUAAAUCUCUUACAUUCGACGAUGCAAGCGAGAAACUUACUUCCAUUUUGGCACCCGGUACCAGAGGAAGGGAGGGAAUUGAAGUCUUUUGGAUGCCCACGAUAUCUGGUAAGUUUCUCUCUCCAAUCGGCUUUUGGGGACGUCAGGCAGCCGACACAAGUCAAUGGCUUUUACUUACAUUUGGCAUCUUCAGAUUCCUUGGAAAGUCUCAUUUUUCAUGUUAAGAUUGUUUCUGAGAAGACUACCAUUACCAGAUAGGUUAGGUAAGCUUGGCUUCCAACUUCCCUCAAAGUGUUUUUGCUGCUCCUCGCAUCUGUGGAGUCUAUUGGCACUAUUUGCCAACGGACAUAUUGCCUCGGUAGUUUGGAACUAUUUUGGAGGCCUAUGUGGAUUCAGGUGUCCAGGAUCUUUUUUGCGUCCUCGCAUCGUAGGAUGGUGGCUACGUUUACAUGACUCUGAGACACGACGACUUAUCGACCGCAUUCUACCUAGUGUACUUUGCUGGCAGAUUUGGAAAGCAAGAAAUAAAGCAAUGUUUGAGGGUGUCCAAAUGCAAUCGUCUGCUAUUUGUAAGAACAUUUUCUCAGAAAUACAGUCUAUGGUGGGGAUUCAUUUCAAACAAGAACUUCAAUUGCAGUCCUUUCAUCAUUUGUAUGAUCGAUCGCAUGUAUCUGUCGGUAGAAUUGCAUAUAAAUUGGUUCGCUGGGAAAUAAAGGAGACAGGGAGAUUGAUACUCAACACGGAUGGAUGCUCUAAAAGGUAAUCCAGGAUGGGUGGAGGUGGUGGAGUUCUCCGAGAUUCAUUUGGCGUACCAGUGAUUGCUUUCUCGGCUUAUCUUGGACAAACUACAUCUCUCCGUGCAGAGACUUGGGCCUCCUUAUUGGUCUUCAAACAUGUAAAAAUAGGGGCUUCGAAAAUAUAAGGGUUCAAUCAGAUUCAUUGCUUUUAGUUGAGAUCAUUCAGCAGCGUAUUCAAUGUCCAUGGGAGAUUCGAAGGGAAAUCAGACAGAUUUUGAAGCUCUUGGAAGAUCCUGCUCAUUUAUCACACUGUUAUCGAGAGGCUAACACAGUUGCUGACGCUUUAUCCAAUGUCGGAACAUCUCAUCCCCACCAACAAGUCAAGAUUUAUGACAGCUUCACUAUGCUCCCAAGGUAGCUCGUGGGCAAUUUUUCUAGACAAGUUGGGUUUGCCCUCAGUUCGGAAAAUUAGACGUCUGUAAGGAAAAAUAUUGUGUAUAUCUUUUCAUUAAUAAAAUAAAAAGUUCAAAUAAAAAAAAAAAAAAAACUUAACUUACGCUUUAACCGUUAGGAUUUUCUUACAUUCAUUCGACAACUCAGUAACCAUCCUAUUGUAUAAUAACUAUCCUACACCUCAUCAAAGCCUGAUAAGAUGAAGAAAAUUUCAUUUCUGGCAUCUUAAUGCCUUACAUCCAGUAUUGAGGGAAAAAAAUUAGUCGCAUUACAGUCUGAGAAUUUGAAUCCAGUAAUUUCAUGGUCUGACGUAGUCACCCAAGUAGGUUCUCCUUAAAACAGGGUCUUGAGGCAAAAUACACAUCAAAUAGGUCAUCUGUCGAUCUUUGAUUAUGUCUACACGUUCAAAAGAUAGGCUUAAUCAUAUUAGUGGAAAUAACUCAUAGUUCAUCAUAUAUUAAUUUGCUAUUCAAUUUAGUUUGAAUACAUGAUCAAUGUUAUCUAUGCCAAAAAAGAUUGAGGAUACUUUAGUUGGAAUUUGCCUUUGGAGUUAAAAGGGAUUUCCAUUUUUUCCUAGGUAUUCCACAGCUUGCAUACCAAAAGCACAGAGGCGGAAGAAAACCUAUGAUUAAAUCAUACAAUAGGUUUGUAAGAAAAUGCCCACUCUGAAAAAAUGAAAAGUUGAAUUUCCUAUUUUCAAAUUUACAUGCAAAAAAUGAAAAACGACAUGCAAGAAAUAGUCUACUAUUUCGCAAUGUUUCAUAGUUAUGAGAAAUAUAUUACAAAUAAAUCCACAUAAAUGGUGGGAAUAAUAACUCAAAUAUGGUGGGACAAAUAAACAUAGAGGGUGACCCCUGCGAGCUGAGAUAACUAGCUGGUUUAUUUAAUUUAAUAGUUUGAAUACAAUAGUAAAUCAAUGCCAUAGCUCAGAUACUGACUAAAUUUUCCCCCUGAAGAAUUCAACAGCAUCUUUCAGGCUGACCUCCAAAGGAGUGAAUUGAACUCCCAACCUUUUUGCCUUCUCAUUGGAGGCUCUGUAGUUUGGGCUGAUAAGGUUGGUAUUGUUUGACAUUCUGCUGUAUGCUGGACAAUACACAAUUAUGGCAAACAUAAAUAAAGCUUAGGUAAUGAAAAUGCAAAUGUAACUGGACAAUUGCCUCAUAUCUACUGUAAAUUGUGCCUUUUUAUGAAGUUUCAAAAGACCUUUUAAAAGAUAACUUUAGUUGUGAUAUGAAUGAAAUUAUUUUUUUCUAAAAAAAGCCUAAAACGAAAUUUCUAGUUUGGAUACAAAGCCAAUUUGGUGAUAUAUCCUAGUCCAAAGAAGACCAUCUUCUAGAAAUCAACCUGAGAAAGAGCUUAUUUUAUGGAACAUGAGACAAAAAGAAAAAAAAAGAAGGCAGAAAGUUUAGGAUUUAAUGUCCUUUGUUAAGCUUAAAAGAGAGUAUAAAAAUAUGUGAUACAUUUUGGACGUAUACAAGGCCAUCAGCAAAAGCCUGUAAAGACCUAAACAAGGAAAACAAGACUUAAUUAUCAGGAAAUUGGUGAUUUCGGUAAUGCUAAUGCAAAAUCUUGAUGAUCUGAGAGGCAUUUGCACAUCUUUCAACCAGGCAAUAUCUUCCACUUGCAGAAGGGGUUUCAAGGUCAAGAACAUGUGCAUAGGCAACAUCUCUAACAUCAACCCAGCUACAUGUUGCCUUAGGAAAUGGUUCAACCCCUGCAUUUGGCACCUAAGAUCUUUAAACACAUUUUUUUUGCAGGCUCUUCAGCGAAUAUAAGUGAAACUCUGCAUACAAUUAAAUACAAUGUUGUUUGCCAUGAAAAGAGUCAAAUUUAGAGGCCAUGGCCUGCCUUCCAAAAGAAAUGUUCUGUUUUAGUAUCAGCAAAACCACAGAGGGGAGGGAGAUGUGAGGAAUGAACUAGUUGAGACAAUUCAGAUAAUUGGUGAAUAAUAAGAAAGAUUAAUCCCAACAAUCUACUAGUUAAUCUGUCCCUGGAAUUUCUCAGAUUUAGAGUUAGGUUUCUCUUUCAAAGGAUAGUUUAUUUAUUUUCUUCCAAAAAGGAUCAAUUACAAGGCAAAAGAAUAAACUACAAGCAUGAUAAUACUAGUUGUCUCAUACUUAAGAGUUAAAUGGUGAGACUUGAAGAAACUUGUCCCUUCACUCUCAUCCAGAUAGAAAAACAGAAUUUAUUCCUGUUGUUUUGUUCCAGAGAGUGAAAUAGUAAUCAAUUCCUAAAAUUUGUUUCUUGCCAUUGUUGUACAAAGUGACUAUUUGGGUCGAAGGAGUCAUGGCAAAUUGAAAGAAUAAUAAACAAGCUUUAGCAAGUAAAGUUUGUACAACAUAAACAGUGACUACUCCUAACAAAUUUUUCCUCACAAUUACCACCCAAAAAUUUCUUUUCCUUCCUGUUAAUCACAUAGAACCUCAAUGUUGUUGAAAGGAAGAUGCACACAACGUGAAUUUCAGAUGAAAGAUUGUACUGCAAACCUUUAAAACAUCAUAAGCUGGUCAGAGUUUAUAGCUUGAUAUAUCAGUUCAUAUUCUGACCUAUGUCUGUCAAUCAUGUGAUUAGCCAGCAGUGCCUUGAAAUGUUAUUAGUCAUAAGUUUUUUGUUCUACUGUAACAAAGAAAGCUGUGGUGCAUAAUAAAGCUAUAACUAACAUAGAUGGAAGAGUCAGUUAGACAAUGAUUACUAAGGUGAUUCAAUAAAUUUUGAAACAAACCCUUUAAUAGGUUGAGGAACAAAACAACGCUCGAAUUAACAGAUGGCUGCAAGAGAGGACCAAUGACCAAUCCCGGAUGAAUUGUAAUCACGUCAAUGCCAUGCUCCUUUGCAAAUUUCCAUGCAGCAUUCUCGGCCAUGGUUUUGAAAGUUCAUACCAAGACAAUCAACACCGAAAAAUCACUAAAUGUUGGUAAGAUGCUAGCAGAAAGUAAUUAGAUUUGUAAACUUUAAGAAGUAACAUUAUAAAUUUCUACAAAUUUGACAAAACCAGCAACUUACAUCAGUUGAAACUAUUAUUGCUGUAGCUACAAAGCACAGAGUGAAAGUAUCCACAUUUCCCAGGACAAGCUAUGCUACAAGUGAAUAAGUAGAUUUCUCAAGGAUCCUAGGAAUGGUGUAAACUUUCUAUAUUCAAGGAAUGAUGCAAAGCACCAGCGUCGACAUAUCCCGAUCAUCUGAUCUCUUAAUCCACAAGUUAACAGCAAAACUACAAGGGACCUUGACACUUUAACACAUAUAGCCAUAUUCAUAAUAUUAUAGCAGAAGUUCCUUUCCAAUUGACCGACCAAAUAUUGCUCAUCUAGGUGUGUAUUCUCAGACAAUAGUAUAGAAUUUGAUCAUGCAAGAGAUGCAUAAUUAAGUAGGAAAACUUUCAUAUUGCUCUUUCCCCGACUAUUCCACACUACAUUAUUAAUUUUUCAUUAAAGUUAAGUUGUUACUUAGAUAGAAGGAAAGAAAUGGACUGACCAUUCUGGUUACAAAAAUAUCCUUCUUUUUGCCUAUUAAAGUACCACCAAGUCAUGAAGAUCCUAACUUAAUUAUCUCCACAGCUGGGCUAACUCCUCAUAUGUGUUCCAAUAACAAGUUAAAACUAAAGAAUUCUAGCAUUCCAUAUUAGAUUUUACUGGAAGAAGACAGAUAAUAUAUGUACCUUUUGCUCCUCACAGUAUGAUGGAUCGGAAAACCAACUUUCAUCAACUACCACAUCCUCCUUUAAUUCUCUAUUUUUUGAAACUGCAACCAUAGAGGAUGUUAUAACUACUCUAUUGGCAGAAGAAGAAUUUGCACAUGACCGCAGCACAUUCAGUGUUCCGCUUACUGCAGGUUCCAGUAGUUCUGCCUAUGAAAUCAAACCAAGUAAAAAAGGAAGUCAUUACCAGUCAUAGGUAAGACUAUGCUUUUAACCUGCAAAAAACUUAUCAUUCUGGUAUUAUGUUUGAGAAUUUCACCACAAAUGCUGUAAACCUACAGCUUUAGUUACUUAGCUAAAGGAUGCAUAUAGUUGUCUUAUCUCCUCUUGCUGCUAAAAUAAGUUCUCAGGUCCUUUAUUGUUGUUUUUCCCAUAUUUUUUGAGCUUUCACUGGGUGACAGGAACUUAAGACCAAUAGAGGAACAACUGAAAUAAGUCUUAGAUGUGGUCACCAAUUAAACCGUUUGGUACCUAAUAUCAACCGAUGAAAUUCUGUUCUGGCUUGAACAGGACAGACAGAAAAUAUAAAAGGUGUAGCUCCCAUGAAUCCUGCGAAUAGAUUUUAGCGUGAACACAUAAUGCAUGUUGCAAUUUCUUUUAGUGUCUGUGAGGCAACCUUGUUCAUUGAAAUUACUAAAAUCAAAGUUCUACAAAGUUACUGAUAUAAAAAUCCAUAAACAAACAGACAAGGAUAGGUGUACUGCAUAAAAUUUUAAGGCACAAUCAUUAAUAGAAGUUAAUCAACAUACAAAUGAAGAUACAUAUAAUUUGCAGAUGCUUGAACAUAUAUUGUAGUUUCUAUAAGCUUCUUAUUCAUGGUGAUAUCGGCACCCAAAAACUAUUGGCUCUGCACUGGCUGAAUAAUUAGUUGGUCAAAGCAGCGAUUCAUUUGCUCCAGGGCAAGCUUGUAGCUUGCUCUAUAACCUUGACAGGUGCCGAACCUGUGCAAUAAUAAUUACUAAAAAGUCCUAAUUACCACCUCAAUUAAUUAUAGAACAAAUCCAAAUACUGGAGCAGGGACCCUAGGUGUGCAAUGGGUUACUUGAUUCACCAUAUUCCCGAAGAGUUUGCUUGAUCCGAUAUACCAAAUUUGCCUAUAAAAAUAUUAAUUUUGCAUACAAUGACAAGUAGGGUCGAUUCCACAGGGAACAGGUAGGAAGUUGUUUCUUUCCAAGUCAAUAGAAUAAAAUUGGGGGAUGAUUAAUGGGAUGGAAAUGAAAAUAAAAUAAAUAAAAUUCAAAAGAUAACUCCACAAGUACAAUUUAUUAAAAAUAGGAAUUAAUAAAAUUCUACCCAAAGGGUCAACUUUUCAGGUACGGUCCAAUUAAAUGAUCAUCGAUGCAGAGAUAUUUCAUUCAUCCGUCACUAGAUUGAUUAUAACUAUCAACAACGUCUGACAGCCAGUUCUCCCUUACCUUUUUUAUAACCAAGGUAUGACCGUUGACUGCUUUUCUAACCAGAAAACAACCCUAGGUACGACCGUAGGAAUUUAAUUAUCCAGUUGCAUUAAAACUGGAAAAAUUCAACCCUAACCAAUAAACACGCUAAGAGGGUUUAUUUAAAUUAGAUCUUGCGUUCCCCCAACAUAAAGCCAAUUAUGGUGGUUGUCACUAGGUAUCAACUAAACGAACAAUUAUUGAUUCAAUUUAGUUAAUAUGACAGUAGGCUAUUAAAUUAAAUCAAAUACCCGGCAGUUGAUAUUCAAUUAAUAAAAUACCCAUAAACAAUUAAUUCAGGAAAUGCACGAAUAGUAAAGAAUUGGAAGAAAGAAUAAAAAUUCGAUUAGAUCUCAUAGAUGUUAUGGACCGCGCCCUUGCGUCAACCUUUAGGUAGAGAGGAAAACUAGCCGCUCCUCAUCAUAUCAAUCUCGCGUGGUUCAAUUGAUAUCAUUCAACUUAAUUAUCAAAAGGAUUGGGAAAAGUGAAAUAGCGAAGGAACGGCUAAAAAGCCUUGCUUCCCUUUGUAGGGUUUCGUGUUCGUACCACUGAGGCCAAAGUAAAAGCAAAAGUCUAAUAGGGAAGUCGUACAGAAGCCAAAAGCAAAGAGUAAAUCGUCUGUAAUGGCCGACAGAUGGGAGCCAAAGAAAAUUAAAGCUAAGCUAAUCUAUUAGACGUGAAUCUGGCUUUGACUAAAUGCUGUGAAAGACCGAAGGACCCCAGACGUCUGACUCCAAAUUGAAACUCAAGCUACUCUAAUUGAUCAGACGUGAUUUUGGCCCUUUUUCCUUUUUGACGCCGCCGCCCACAGAGACCAAGAAACGUCUGGGUUUUACUUGCUUUUGGAGCCUAGGCUUUGAUUCCAUGCGUCGAGUUCACGUGGGUUUGGUUUCCUAGUUAGCCCUGCUGCUAUCAAUCCUGCGAGUCCGACUUUAGGUAUAUCUCCUCAGUUUCUGGCGUGGGCACGCCAUAAAAUAAAGAGUCUUCUGAAAAUGUGCCUCACGCGAUCACUUUUAACACCAACCACCUACAAUUUACACAAAUAUCAAAUAUGAGCAAAUUCUCAAUUCUUAGCACCAUGAGUUGCCAAAAUUAGGACAGAAUAAUAGUGCAAAAUGUGCUAAAUAACCGUUCUAUCAAAUCCCCCCACACCUAGAUAAUGCUUGCCCUCAAACAUUUCAGAGCUCAGAAGCACAAUCAAGAUAGCAACGGUUUCCUAGUCAUCUAUACUAGCACAAACAUCCCGCAUUCCCGACAAUAUCGCCAAAAUUAAAACAUACCAAACAGGUAGUUAUCCAAAGAAUAUGAACAGUAUUAUACGUUACCUUCAAGAAAAUGUAUAAAUACUAGGAACGCUCAAAUCAACAUCACGGAAUGGAAUUACCAUAGGCUUGCACAUUUAUCACAUCUCCACCACCGAAAAACGAACUAAAUACACAAAUCAAAGGGACUUUCAUAGGGUUGUAAUGGGGUUUAAGUAAAAGGAGGGAUAAGAAGGUGAAAAUAAGGUGUAAUGUGUCAGGGGAAUGUCCGAUAUCCACCACAUAACCACAAUGCUUCACCGGAGAAAUUUCCACAAACAAGACAGUUUCACCUACUGUACACACUGUGCAAAUGCCACCAAUUUUCUCUCUCUCUUUUUUGACAGGCAGCUUGCAAGGCGUGGGCACGUCCUAUAAGUCAGAGUCGUCCGUUCACUUCCUUCACUUUGCUUUCUCUUUUUUUUUUGGAGGAUAACGUCUUGCAAGGCGUGGGCACGCCCUGUAAGACAGAGUCUUCUGAUCAGCAGCUUAUUGUUGAUUUAUCCCCUUUUUUGUUCCAGAUGCACAAAGAUAGCAUCAUACAGAUUCUACUCUGACAACACUUGCGAUUCCAGAUUUAUUUGCCUUGCACAAAUGAUGAAAUUCAGACAUCCCUUGACAACACAGGGGUGACCAAGAAAGUCUAAAGAGAUCUUGGAUUAUCAACAUGGCUAACAAACAAACUCGACGGAUAAAAGCUCAAAUUGGUUUACUAUUAGAAGACAAGAUGAAGGCAUGAUUUUUAGGAAGUUAUAGGAAGUUUAAUCCUAAAUGCCCUUAUCAUUUCAAAUGCAACCAAUUCAACAAAAUGUGGUCUCGACAUGUACAAAAUAGCAAGUUCUAGAAUGCCAAUACCAUGUGUGAUACCCACUCAAUCAAACAAAAAUAGAGCAAACAAGAAUAAUGUGCUCACGCAAGGCUCAAAAGCUUCCAAAAAUUACAAAAGUGGGUCAAGUCCAGCAUACUCAAUAUUCAACGAUAUUGCUAAGGAAAAACCAGAUGCACAGCCAGCAUAUAUGACCACAUAUACGUGCACCCAGAUUGUAUAUUCCAUCAUAGUAAAAUGCUCUAGCAAAAAUGAACUAACUAUAUACUUUUUCCUUUUUGUUUUUCAGGUUUUUUUUCAUGUUUUCCUCUUUUUUUUUUUGUUUUUCGAGCAAAAAGAAACAAUAGAGACAAAAAGAAAUAAUAGAAAUCACUCCCCACACCUAAAACCUACAUUGUCCUCAAUGUAGCCUAGACAAAUAAAGUGCAAGGACAAAGGGAGAGAAACUUCCCUGACUACUGAGAUGGUGCAGCGAGAUCCUAAGGAGGCGGAGGAUGCAGGGGGUGGAAUCCAAUAUGAGCAUAGAAAGCUGCCUGAUUCUCUGUCUGAAUACGGGCAAAAACCUGUAACGCCCUAAAACGGUCAUCCAACCCCUCAAUGCGCUCCUCCAGCGCAUGGAUAGAAUCCUGGAGGGAGCGAUAUUGGGACUCCCAAGCAGGGGGAGCAUGAUAGGAGGACGGACCUGCCUGAUCCGGAUGGGGUGGAGACUCAGUGGAGGGGGCAGUCGGAGGAACCCGGGGCUGUGGUCCGUCCUCGCCAGGAGGUGUAAACUGAUAGACAUUUCCUACUUUGAAAAUAACUCCCAUCCGCUCCAAGCUGUGCAAAUCCAGUGGCUCUAUCUCAUGAGCUAGAGCGAAGUUGUUCUCUUUGUCGAGGUCAAGCAAACCCAAUCGAAUGGCCAAGUGAGUAAUGAGUGAACCCAGAAUUACCGGUUUAUUGCACUUUUGAAUGACUGAUUGCAUUUGAGUGGCCACCCAACAUCCAAAGUUAACCUGAACUUUGUUACGCAUGCACCAAAGAAAAUAAAAUUCUGCCUUGGUGAGAGUGCCGGAGGAAUCCUUCCGGCCCGAGAAAUUGUGAGCCAAGAACCUAUGGAUGACCUUCAAGACCGGAUCCUUCAGAUGAGAGGCCUUGGACUGACUCGGAUUGUAAAGUUGAGGAUCUGUGGACCACUCCCUCCAAAUGUCAAUGUAAUCAGUAGAAAACGGUUUGGUGUAGUCACACACACUAUUUAUAUAUGCUCUGGAUGCAAUGGUAUUCUCACUAACAAACCCCAAAGUCAGAUUAAACUCAUUAAUGGGCAUACUAUACUGGGUAUCUCUUAAUCUAAAUUGAAUAAUCCUCUUCCCAUCCAAAGUGAUGAAUUCAUUUUUUAUGAACUCGGAGGUGGAGUAGAAUUCACAACACAGCUCCUCAAACGUAGGGUAAUCAAUGGUUAGGUACUUUUGCCAACCUAUUGCCGAGAACAACUGUUCAACAUGUCGUGCAAUUUGUAAAUGGUCCAAGGUUGGGGCAUGGAAGCACUUACAUGGGGCAAAAAGACAGUGCACCAAGCUAUUGAACCGGUCCUGUUGUGCCCUUGUAAGGUUAGUGACCGGUUCCCCCCAUUCCCCAAGAGACAUAGUGCUUUUAUUGAGGCCUAAACGAGAACGAAUAGGGGUUUGAAUUGGGGCUCGCCUUUUACGAGGUUGGGACCCAGAUGCCCCAGAAGUUGUUGCUUUUUUUGGAGGCAUUUGGAGACCACAGGCAAAGUGUAAAUAAGUAAAGAGACAGCCAGUCAAUCACCAAAAGAGGGCAGGAGACCACAGUCAACAAUUACUACUCAAAAAUCAACAGUCCAAUAGCAAAGAGAGAGUACAAUUGCCCCACCAAACAAAGACAGGCAGAUUGACACAAAAAUCCCUCAUUAGCGUCACUAGGCAACCAAUAAUUAAGACAAGAAGAAUCGAGACCCCAAACAAUGAAAUUAUCAGUCAAAUAUGUCCAACAGAGGGUGAAUCACUUGUCACGUGUACCAGAUAUCCGAUUCACCAGAAUCCACAGAUAUAUAAACUCGAAUCUGAGUCAAAUAUAGCAACUAGAUCCCAAAUUUGAAGACCAGUGACAAAAAUUUAGGGAAAAUAUGGGUACCACUUUUUUUAGGCUGGAGGAGGUCGUGGGAGAGUCACACGGCGAGAAGAAGAGGAGCCCAAGGGCGGCGGCGCGUGCUCGUACGGAUGGGGAAGGACGCGCUGCUGGAGGGCUGUUGGCGGAGUGGGGCACACGGGCUGGCUGACGCGUGCAGCAAGGGCCUGGCCGGCAGGGCAGGUCGCGCCAGGCGGGGCAAUACUGCUAGGUGUGCUGGGCGUGCGGGGUGCGUGAGGUCGCUCGCGUCUGGCAGGCUUGCAGAUGAAGACCGCGAGCUGCUGGGAAAGCGCAGACCUGCUGCUGGGUCGACUGCAGGCGCGCGAGUUGAAGGGAGAAGGAGCACGCGAGGGAAGAGCAGGCGCGCAUGCAGCGUGCGAGUAGGGGAUGUCACGUGCAAAGGCAACUCGCACGCUGGUGAGUUUGGUGGCGGAGUGCGACAGCUGACCACGGGCGACAGACAAUGGCGCAGCGGCAGGCGGCGGUGUGCGGCAAAGACGAUGGCAGGUGGAGGAGGCGUGCGAUGGAGAAUGGCGGCGGACCAAGAAAGCAAGGCAAAAGAAGAAAGUGAGACUUAGUCAAAAGAAAGAAACUGAAAAAGUAGAAGCUAGACUGACGGGUCUUGACAAACUAGACAAGACAAGGAAAAGAGUAAAGUAGAAAAGUGGGGUCAGAGAGGGUCCCGGUCAAUUUUGACUUUUGUUGUCCCACAGAUUGGAAGACGUGGGCAUGCCUUGGAGGCCAUAGUCUUCUGACCGUCGCAUCUUGACAAAGUCCAAAAGAGUUCCUUUCAAGGCAUGGGCACGCAUUGCAACUGUUAGUCUUCAAUUUGCACAGUUGACCUGGCGUACCCCUUCCAAGGCGUGGGCACGCCUUGGAACCCCUAGUCUUCUGUUCAUCACCACAAAAACAAUCAAAAUAUAAAAAUAGAACUGAAAAAUCGCAAGUAAAUGAAAAAUGAUCACAACUAAUUCUGUAUUCCUUGGGUUGCCUCCCCAGCAGUACCUUUCUUUAAUUUCUUUGGCUAAACAUGGCCAUCAGCUAUUUAGACCUCACGAUUUGGAUCAUUAAGAGAUAUAAUCUCCACUUGCUCACUGUUAAACCCUUCAUAAUAAGGCUUUAGACGGUGACUAUUGACUACGAACUUCUUCUCCGUUUUCAAGCUUUGGAUCUCCACUGCACCAUAAUGAAAAAUAUUAGAGAUAACAAAUGACCCAAUCCAACGCGAACGCAACUUACCUGGAAAAAACUUAAGUCUCGAGUGAUAAAGUAGGACUUUUUGCCCUAUUACAAAUGACUUCCUUGAGACUUGUUGGUCAUGAAAAAUUUUGCUCUUCUGCUUAUAAAUUGCGGCGUUCUCAUAGGCUUCAUUCUUUAGCUCCUCCAACUCUUGUAAUUGGAGCUUUCUAUGUCCUCCGGCCUCCAUAAGGUCCAUGUUACACCGCUUGAGCGCCAAAAAUGCUCUGUGUUCAAAUUUCAUCAGGAGGUGGCAAGGCUUCUCAAAAACUAACCUGUAUGGGGAUAUCCCAAUCGGUGUUUUGUAUGCGGUGCGGUAAGCGCAGAGAGCAUCUUCCAACUUCAAACUCCAGUCCUUUCUAUCAGACUGCACCAUUUUCUCUAGGAUUGACUUCACCUCUCUAUUCAACACUUCAGUCUGACCAUUCGUCUGUGGAUGAUAGGGAGUGGACACUUUGUGGAGCACGCCAUAUUUACGAAACAGAACAGUGAUCGUCUUAUUGCAAAAAUGGGUGCCCCUGUCACUGACUAUAGCUCUCGGCAUUCCGAAACGGACAAAAAUGUUAGAUUUAAUAAAUUCUGCAAUCACUCUAGAAUCAUUAGUUUGGGUGGCCUUUGCCUCCACCCAUUUGGAAACAUAAUCAACAGCAAGUAGAAUGUACAAGAAACCAAAGGACGAGGGAAAGGGACCCAUGAAAUCUAUACCCCAAACAUCAAAAAUUUCAACAAAUAAUAUGGGGGUUUGACUCAUUUGGUCUCUACGAGAAAUAUUCCUCACCUUUUGACACCUAUCACAAGAUUUACAGAACAAAUAUGCAUCCUUAAAAAGAGUCGGCCAAUAAAAAUCGCUCUCUAGCACCUUACGAGCUGUGCGUUUUGGCCCAAAGUGCCCCCCACAUGCAAAUAAAUGGCAAAAAAUCAAAAUAGAAUAGAACUCAUCGGCACUUACACACCUUCUUAUCACCUGGUUCGAGUAUUGCCUCCACAAGUAUGGGUCAUCCCAAAUAUAAUAUUUGGCGUCAUUUCUCAACUUAUCUCUCCUUGCCAUCGGUCAACCUGAAGGCAAUUGAUUCGUUACCAAAAAAUUUAUAAUGUUAGCAUACUAGGGUGCCGAUGAAUCAAUGGCUAGCAAUUGCUCCUCGGGAAAUGACUCUCUUAAUGGCAGAUCCUCCUAAUUCGUGAGCAGCCGACUCAAAUGAUUAGCCACCAAAUUCUCGGCUCCGCUCUUAUCCUUGAUCUCUAAGUCGAACUUCUGCAGGAACAAGAUCCACCUGAUCAGCCUCGAUUUUGCAUUUUUUUUCGCCAACAGGUACCUCAAGGCUGCAUGAUCAGAGAAAACAAUUAUUUUCGCACCCAAUAAAUAUGACCUAAAUUUUUCUAGUGCAAAAACAACAGCUAGUAAUUCUUUCUCCGUCGUGGAGUAAUUAAGUUGGGCUCCACUCAAUACUCUCGAUGCGUAGUAAAUCACGUGUGGCGUUUUUCCAAUUCUCUGUCCCAAUAUGGCUCCUACGGUAUAAUCGCUCGCGUCACAUAUUAUUUCAAACGGCAGGCUCCAAUCUGGGGGUUGAAUGAUGGACGGUGGCGUCAACGACUCUUUCAAUUUAUCAAAGGCCACUUUGUAUUUAUCGGUGAAGUCAAACGACACGUCCUUUUGCAGCAACUUAAACAAGGGAGCUCCGAUCUUUGAGAAAUCCUUGAUGAACCUCCUGUAAAAUCCUGUAUGGCCCAAAAAAGAACGUACCUCCCGUACAUACACGGGGUAAGGUAGAGCAGAAAUAAGAUCUAUCUUAACUUUAUCUACCUCUAUUCCCUUAGCCGACACAACGUGCCUUAAAACAAUAUCAUGUUCGACCAUAAAGUGACACUUCUCUCAGUUAAGAACCAAAUUCGUUUCUAUGCACCUUUUCAGAAUUAAAGCUAGAUUAUCAAGACAUUCAUCAAAACUAUCCCCGUAUACGCUAAAAUCAUCAAUGAACACCUCGAUUAUCUUUUCUACAUAUUCUGAGAAAAUACUUACCAUGCACCUUUGAAAAGUUGCUGGAGCAUUGCAAAAAUCGAAAGGCAUCCUACGGUAAGCAAACGUACCAAAUGUGCAGGUGAACGUGGUCUUUUCCUGGUCCUCUGGUGAUAUCACGAUCUGGAAGUACUCUAAAAAACCAUCCAAGAAACAGUAAUAAACACGACCAGCUAAUCUUUCCUCACAGAAUUUAGUCUCCGGUAGUCAAUGCACUGACGCCAGCUAGUAGCUUUCCUAACUGGAACCAUAUCACCCUCCUGGUUCUCCUCUACGAUCACUCCUAUUUUUUUUGGGAUCACUUGAACAGGACUCACCCAAGGACUGUCCGAGAUAGCAAAAAUAAUCCCCACCUCUUGGAGUUUAAGUAUCUCUUUCUUUACAACUUCCAUCAUCAGAGGAUUCAACCUCCGUUGUGCCUAUCUUAUCGGCUUCGCAUCCUCUUCGAGUCGAAUCCGGUGCAUGCAUAAGGAUAGACUUAUUCCAUUUAUAUCUGCUAUGCUCCACCCAAUUGCCUCAUUAUACUCCUUAAGAAUUCGCACCAGUUUAUCCUCUUGAUUUGGAAAUAAAUGUGCAGAAAUAAUUAUCGGAAGUGUCUCCCAAUCUCCCAGGAAUGCGUACUUUAGAUGCUUCGAGAGAGGCUUAACCUUUAAUUCCGGUGCCUGCACAACUGAAGGAAGCAGCUUUGUCUGAGUCUCUGGCACAAACAGAGAAGUAAACUCAUACCUUGGAGAAACAGUUGAUAGUGAGUAUAAGGCUUCAACUGCAUGGUGCAACUCAUCCCUCAUGUCCACAUCAAGAGUUACACCCAACUCAAGAUGCUUGAUUAGGGCCACUUCCAAUGCGUCCUCACCAUUCAGUUCGAAAGUUUCCUGUACAAUGAGCUCAAAAACAUUCAAAGCAAAGACUGAGUUAGAUUCUUCUGGGUAUUUCAUCGCCUCAAAAAUAUUAAAGUUUACAGUUUCGCCAUCAAAUUCUAUUGAUAAAGUAUCCUCAUUCACGUCUAUUUUCGUCCUAGCAGUGCUAAGAAAUGGUCUACCUAACAAAAUAGGUGACGGGUUUAACGACUUUUCAUCUCCCAUAUCCAAGAUAUAAAAAUCUGAUGGAAAAACUAACUCAUUUACUUGAACCAGGACAUCCUCAACUAACCCUUCUAGGUAGGCAUUGGUGCUGUCGACAAGUUGGAUUAUGAUGGCCGUCUCUUUUAAUGACUCAAGAUUCAGGGACGUAUAAAUGGUUUUUGGCAUCACAUUGAUUGACGCCCCUAAAUCCAAACGGCUCUCUUGAUCGGUGUAUUUUCUAUCUUACAAGGGAUCGUGAACAUACCUGGAUCCCCACAUUUGGGUGGGAGUUUUCUUUGGAGUAUAGUUGAUACGUUUUCUCCUACCACUACCCUUUCAUCCCCUCUCAACUUUCUCUUGUGAGUGCACAAGUUCUUGAGAAAUUUCGCGUACUUCGGUACUUGCUUGAUUGCAUCCAACAAAGGGAUGUUGAUCUCCACUUUUCUGAACACGUCCAGGAUCUCUUUCUCUUUCCCCGCCUUCUUCGUUUUCUCCAACCUGCAUGGAAAAGGAGGUAAAUUAGAUUUAAUAGGAAUUGAUGGAGUAAGAGUUACUUUAGGGUCUCCAUGAAUGUGUCUUUCUUCCUCAAUCUCCUUUUCUAUCUCCUCCUCACUCUUAUCUUUCAGGUUCGUAGUCUUUGGCCCCUCCACUUCUUUACCCUGUCAUGGUACUCACAUUUUUGGGAUUUGUCUCGGGUUGCGAUGGUAAUUUUCCAAAAACUUGGGACUCCAAGCUAUUAAUCGCGGUUGCCAUGUGACUUUUUUGAAUCUCUAGAUUUUUCAUGCCCGCUCUGGUUUUCUGUUGGAACUGAGCAGUACUCGUGGCCAGGCUCUUGACAAUAUCUUCCAAAGAACUUCCUGAGUUAGAUGACGAAGGUUGUGAUUUUGGUUGCAAUGGUUGCUGGAAUCCUGGUGGACGAUUGGAGAAUAAAUUCUGUGGCCUAUUCCCAUAGCUGAAAUUGGGGUGGUCUCUCCAACCCGGAUUAUACGUGUUGGAGUAUGGGUCAUACUGCCUACGAGACGCGGGCACGCCUCCAGCCAUAUUCACUUGUUCAGUCCCAUCCUCUUGCAACAUAGGGCAUGAGUCAGUGGGGUGGCCCACAUUUGUGCAGAUUCCACAGGCCUUUGCUUGAUGCACGUUUCCCACAACUAAUUGUCGAACAAAAGAUGUCAGCUCUGAUAUCUGCUGCUGAAUGGACGACGUCUCUACCUCGUUGACCCUGCGGGUAGGGUUACUCUCACGAAAGCCAAACUGUUGAGAAGUCUCUGCCAUCAAUUCAAUGAGUAGCCAUGCUUCCCUUGGUGUCUUGUUCACCAAUGCUCCCCCACUUGCAGCAUCAAUGAUACUCCUAUUAGACGACUGGAGGCCCUCAUAGAAAUAUUGGAUCAAUAGUUGUUCACUAAUUUGAUGUUGUGAGCACCUAGUGCACAACUUAUUGAACUUCUCCCAAUAGUUGUGUAGGGAUUCUCCAGGGUACUGCUUAAUGCCACAUAUCUCUUUUUUUAGACUUGCAACCCGGGACGCAGGGAAGAAUUUUUCCAAAAAUUUCUUCUUAAGUUGGGUCCAUGUGGUGAUACUACCUGCAGGUAGGUAGUACAACCAAUCAUUCGCUGCAUCCUUGAGAGAGAAGGAGAAGGCUUUAAGUUUAAUCUGCUCCUCAGUAAUUCCUGGAGGCUUCAUACUGGAACAUACCACAUCGAACUCUUGAAUGUAUUUAUGGGGUUCCUCACCCGAGAUGCCAUGGAACGUGGGUAGGAGGUGAAUUAAUCCUGACUUCAGUUCAAAAGAGGUAUUCUUAACUAGAGUUGGAAAUGUGAUGCACAACGGCUGUUGGGACAAUUCCGGAGCAGCCAGCUCCCUUAGUGUCCUUGCAUUCGCCAUAGAGAUGUCCUCUUGGCCUGGGUCACUUAAAUUUUAACAACUCAAAUUUGUUGACUCAACCUCAGGAUCCAGUCUCUGAGAUGCAAUGCUGGAUUGCUCCUCCCUUAGCUGUCUGGUCUCUUUCUUAGUUUGGCGCGCAAUCUUCACUACUUUUGGGUAAAAAAUCAAUUCACUUGUACGAGAAGAACGAGGUAUGAACUAGAAAAAUGUUAGACAAAUCCAAAGAGAACAACUUAGAAAGAAACAAAAUUAACCAAAACACCGUUCCCCGGCAAUGGCGCCAAAAAUUGACAGGUGCCGAAUCUGUGCAAUAAUAAUUACUAAAAAGUCCUAAUUACCACCUCAAUUAAUUAUAGAACAAAUCUAAGUACUAGAGCAGGGACCCUAGGUGUGCAAUAGGUUACUUGAUUCAUCCUGUUCUCGAAGAAUUUGCUUUAUCCGAUAUACCAGAUUUAUCUAUAAAAAUAUUAAUUUUGCGUAUAAUGGCAAGUAGGGUCGAUUCCACAGGGAGUGGGUAGGAAGUUGUUUCUUUCCAAGUCAAUAGAAUAAAAUUGGGGGAUGAUUAAUGGGAUGGAAAUGAAAAUAAAAUAAAUAAAAUUCGAAAGAUAACUCCACAAGUACAAUUUACUUAAAAUAGCAAUUAAUAAAAUUUUACCCAAAUGAUUAACUUUUCAAGCAUGGCCCAAUUAAAUGAUCAUCGAUGCAAAGAUAUUUCAUUCAUCCGUCAUUAAGUUGGUUAUAGCUAUCAACAAGCUCUGACAGCCAGUUCUUCCUUACCUUUUUGACAGCCAAGGUACGACCGUUGACUGCUUCUCUAACCAAAAAAUAACCCUAGGUACGACCGUAGGAAUUUAAUUAUCCAGUUGCAUUAAAACUGGAAAAACCUAACCCUAACCAAUAAACACGCUAAGAGGGUUUAUUUAAAUUAGAUCUUACAUUCCCCCAAUAUAAAAGUCAAUUAUGGUGGUUGUCAUUAGGUAUCAACUAAAUGAACAAUUACGGAUUCAAUUUAGUUAAUGUGACGGUAGGCUAUUAAAUUAAAUCAAAUACUUGGCCGUUGAUAUUCAAUUAAUAAAAUAUCCAUAAACAAUUAAUCCAGGAAACGCACGAAUAGUAAUGAAUUGGAAGAAAUAAUAAAAAUUUGAUUAGAUCUCACAGAUGUUAUGGACCGCGCCCUCGCGUCAACCUUUGGGUAGAGGAGAAAACUAACCGCUCCUCAUCGUAUCAAUCUCACGUGGUUCAAUUGAUAUCAUUCAACUUAAUUAUCAAAAGGAUUGGGAAAAGUGAAAUAGCGAAGGAACGGCUGAAAAGCCUUGCUUCCCUUUGUGGGGUUUCGUGUUCGUACCACUGAGACCAAAGUAAAAGCAAAAGUCUAAUAGGGAAGUCGUACAGAAGCCAAAAGCAAAGAGUAAAUCGUCUGUAAUGUCUGACAGAUAGGAGCCAAAGAAAACUAAAGCUAAGCUAAUCUAUUAGACGUGAAUCUGGCUUUGACUAAUUGCUGUGAAAGACCGAAGGACCCCAGACGUCUGACUCCAAAUUGAAACUCAAGCUACUCUAAUUGAUCAGACGUGAUUCUGGCUCUUUUUCCUUUUUGAAGCUGCCGCCCAUAGAGACCAAGAAACGUCUGGGUUUUACUUUCUUUUGGAGCCUGGGCUUUGAUUCCAUGCGUCGGGUUGGCUUGGUUUCCUAGUUAGCCCUGCUGCUACCAAUCCCGCGGGUCCGACUUUAGGUAUAUCUCCUCAGUUUCUGGCGUGAGCACGCCAUAAAAUAAAGAGUCUUCUGAAAAUAUGCCUCACGCGAUCACUUUUAACACCAACCACCUACAAUUUACACAAAUAUCAAAUAUGAGCAAAUUUCCAAUUCUUAGCACCAUGAGUAGCCAAAAUUAGGACAGAAUAAUAGUGCAAAAUGUGCUAAAUAACCGCUCUAUCAAACCUUACCCUGACUGACUGACCCCAAUGUUUCGAAAACUGGAUCGGAUCAGUUGGUUCGAUCGGUUGAAUCGCGAACCGAUCGUGCCUCCGAUCCGGUUCAAUUACAAAACUAAAGAAUUAAUUGAACUAGUCAAAACCGAUCAAGAACUUGAAAAAAUCGGAGGUUCAAUCGAUUUUUAUUAAGUAUUUAUUUUCUAAAAUAAAUAUUUUAGUUUUAUUCAAAAAUUUUAAUACUAAAAUGAAUAAAAAUUUAUUAAACUUUGAACCGGAGUUGAAUCAGUUGAAUCAAUUGAAUCGUAAAUCGAAAAAUUUUCCGGUCCACUCUCCGGUCCGGAUUUAAAAACAUUGACUUACCCAGGAAAAUAGUUAGUCAACCCAAUCUACGGCCCAAUUGUGGACCAUUUGCUAAGUUUAUGACUCUUAAUGUUUUUAUUCCAUAACGUUGCACCCUUUGAAUUGUUUCUCUGAAGUACCAACAGAGAAACAUCAUUUGAUCAUUUUAUAGAAACGUCAUGCAAACUGAUUAAAGAGAGACAAAAGCACAUAACAAACGGCAAUCUUUUUGUGAAUGACCUGCAGGAACAGAAUAGUUUUGUAUGUACCAAAUGUAAAGAAAUAUUCUUCAGGUGUUAGACCUGCGUGCUUCAUUAAUCUCUUCCAUUUGGUUAAUAUAAGAAAAAGUAGAGCCGUAGAAUUGGAAACAUUUGAUUCUAACUCUUUUUUAUUUUACAGUUGUAACAUUGUCAUAAAUCAUAUAUAGAGGAAUAGACUAUAACCCAAAAAAGCCAGUAAAAAUGCAACAGAGGAAGAUACUAAAAGAAGUCGUACAAUUAUAAAUCAGAAAAUAUGCUACGAUUUUCAAAGUUCACUUGAUAAAUAGCAGAUUUUGUAGACAGUAGAGAAUUUUCAAUUUUGUAAAGCAAAUGUACCUCUGGAUUGCUAAAUGAAAGUUUGAUUGGAGAUGCAGUAUGGAAAACCUAUUCACAUCCCUCGACUAUUGGAUCAAACGAUCCCUCUUCUAGUAAGUUUGCCGAGUACAACUGAAGCCUUUCUUUAGCUCCAUCAAGUGAUGUCAAAUGUUGUGUCCUUUCCUGAUCAUCUGUGUCAUGACUGCAUCAGUAGAAUGUUCGGAUAGCUAUAAUCAAAACCAUGCCGCCAACAGGAGACCGCCUUGGUUUUCACUAUGGUCAAAACUGAAGAAGAAAUGGACUUAAGAGUAAUAAUAAACGAAUCUCAAAGCAAUGAUAAAUUUGACUAGCUAAAGGCAAGCGGGGAAAAGCGAAAAGAAAUUGACGGGCAACAUAAUAUGACCACAAUAAUAUCAUAGCCCUAUGAUUUCUGGUUUUGAGAUGCGUACAUUUGUAACUUUCUUGAUAACAAUUAAUUCUUGAGAUAAUUAUCAGAGCGACAAUUGUAUGCCAUCUACCACUAUUUUUAUAACAAACUCAGUCCUUCAGAAGAAGGAUAUAGAUUCGAUAGGGUAAAGAUUUUUGAGUAUAACUUGAUCUUUGUAUCUGGAGCAUGAAACAUUACUGUUAAGGUGUACAUUAUAUAGUUUCAGCUACUCAAAUAUCAAUUAGGUUGGUCCACAUCAAUUUUUUUUUUUGCAAGUGAUUUUUUUUUUUUGAGCAAACAGAACAUGGGGAGCAUUUACUAGCAGCUGUUGCAAGAAUAUCAUCUGAAGCUACAAAACAAUUUCACACUGCAGAGUUGAAUAAAAAUGUUGGGCAAAUUACAUAUAAUGCUCCUGUGGCUUUGUUUGUUGCCACAUGACCCUUCUAACAUUUUAAAAUAUCCAAUUCACCCACUAUGAUUUAUGUAAAGCGGAAACUUGAUAGAGAAUAGCCUAUGUAAUGUCGUUAAUUGAAAUACCAUUAGUAUUUUUACUUUAAUGCUAAAUCAAUCGAUGAUUUAAUUACCUUAUAUAAAAGUAUAAGGGGAUUAUGUGGAUACAUAUAAAAAUCACAAGAGGGAUAAAGUAGGCAUUUAUACAAACUAUAAGGGAAUUACAUUGAAAUUAAGACUUUAUCACACAUGCUUUUAGAGCACGUUUGGUAUAAAUGUCGUAACUAAUUGUGCAUUCCAUCAUUUUCCGCUUUACAUAUAACUAUGGGGGGUUAUGUGACUAUUUGGAAAUCUUAGGGGGACCAUCUAGCAUUAUAUAAAAUCAACCUAAAAUAUAGUUAUAAGUAAUUUACCCUAAAAUGUUAGAUUCCAGGAGCAAUUAAACAACAAUCAGAACAGGGCAUCAAAAACUGCACAAGCCACUUGGAUAUUUGAUCAAGAAUAAAAACUGGACUAACUGGCAUCUCGAACAGAACCUUUAACAGUAUAACCGCGCUCGAGCAGCAGCUUCACCAGCCCUGAAGCUGUGUAACCCGAAGCUCCCGUCACACACACCAUUUUCCCUUCUCCUUCUCCACUCAUUUUGUUAUAAUAUUUUUGUGUGUGAAUCUGUCCCUGUUUUUAAUUUGUUCAGAGGGCUUCUCUAACUUGCUAAGAAGAGCUGAGGAAAGUAAAAGGAUUCAAGGCCUAAAAAUCAGCAGGCAUGGACCAGUUCUAACUCACCUUUUCUUUGCUGACGAUUCUAUCAUCUUUUGUAAAGCCAAUAAGGAAGAGGCAGUGGAAAUUAUGGAAGUUUUGAAAACAUAUGAAAACGCCUCAGGGCAAUUGGUCAAUCUGGACAAAUCUGCAGUUUUCUUUAGCAAAAACAUGGACAGUGAGCAAAAGAAAGAGGUCUGUCUUGCUCUUGGAGGAAUGGUAGAGGCAAAGCAAGGUAAAUAUUUGGGACUCCCUAUGGUAGUCUCAAGAACUAAAGACCAGAUUUUUGGAUUUGUGAGGGACAAUAUAAGAAAAAGAUUCCAGAAUUGGAAAAACAGAUUUUUGAGUCCAGCAGGUAAAGAAGUAAUGUUAAAGGCAGUUGCAAUGGCUAUGCCUACGUAUGUUAUGUCUUGCUUUAAGCUGCCAAGAAGAUUGUGUAAAGAUAUUUGUACAUUGAUGGCCAACUUUUGGUGGGGAGAAUCUAAUGGCAAGAACAAAAUGCACUGGAUUUCUUGGGAAAGAAUGGCAUUGAAAAAAAGUACAGGAGGUCUAGGCUUCAAGGAUCUUGAAGCUUUUAAUCAAGCUCUGUUAGGAAAGGAAGUUUGGCGUUUACUUACUAAACCAAAUCUGUUGGUUAGUAAGGUGUUGAAAGCCAGAUAUUAUCCUAAGGAGUCCAUCUUACAAUGCCGCUCUACCAAAAAUGCAUCCUGGAUCUGGCAAGGACUAAUGGGAGCAAGAAGCUUACUCAAUGAAGGACUGAUCAGGAGGAUAGGGAAUGGGCGUAGUACAAGCCUCUGGGAACACAAGUGGGUUCCAGAUACAGCUACAGGAAGGCCAACUACAUGCCGAUGGAGUAAUUGUGAGCUGGAAAGGGUGGAUGAGCUAAUAAGUCAUCAUAGAUGGAACAGGAAUAUCAUUUUUAGAAACUUCAAUAGAAAUGAUGCGCAAAAAUUUCUAGCUAUCCCUUUGAGCCUAUCCGAGAGGGAGGAUAGUUUUUAUUGGCAACCAAAGGCGGGAGGGCUAUACACUGUUAACUCAGGUUACAAACUCUUGAUGAAGCAAUACAGAAAAGGGACAAGGAGUAAUCCUGAGGGAGGUUGCUCUAGUUAUGUAGAAGGUAGUUCACAAGUAGUACAGAUGUGGAACACACUGUGGAGGUUAAACAUUAAAGACAAGAUCAAGUUUUUCAUCUGGAAAUGCAUUCAAGGAGCUCUGCCAGUGAAGGAAGCAGUGAGUAGACGAAUGGGGGGUGGAUGAUCCGAUAUGCACGACGUGUGGAACAACACAGGAAACAGUUGAACACCUCCUGCUGACUUGUCCUCACACGGUGAACAUAUGGAAGGCAGCUCUUAUUCAGUGGGAUGGAGCUAAGGAUCAGCAGGGAGAUUUCAAAUGUUGGUGGCUAAGAAUUUCAGAAGCAAGGCAUAGGCCAGAAGGGAUGGAACAUAUUGGUUUGACUGCAAAUAUCUUGUGGCAGGUGUGGAAAGAAAAAACAAAAGGGAAUUUGAGAAAUCAGAUAGAGUUCCACCAUUAAAAAUGAUAGGAAAAGCUCAUAAGGAAUGGUUGGAACAGCUGCAGUUAGAGCGCACGAAAGAAGGAGAGAGCACAGAAGAAACAAUCCCUAGGCAAGAAUUACCGGGCCAGGACAAUGCAAAUGAAGAAGCUAUGAUUAUGGAGAUGGCAACAACCAAGAAGAAAGGGCAGUUUUUUUUUGGGAUUGGAGUCACAGUCAAGGAAUAUGCAAGUAAUAGAAUGACAGGGUGGGUACUGAAAGAGAUAAGUCUGGGAAACAAACUCCUAGAUGAAGCACUAGCACUGAAGCUGGUCUUGUGCAAAGCUGUGCAACGUAAUUGGAGCAAGGUCAAGCUGAACUUUUGUAACAAGGAGCUGUGGAGACAAAUCACACAGCAGAGUCCUGUGGACAGCAAAAUGGCAACAGUACUAGUAGACAUCUCUAAUUCACAGAGAUUGUUUUGCAUGUGCUCUUUUGACUUGUGUAGGGAAGAAAAUAUGAUAGUUAGCAAAAAACUGAGUGAUGAUACCUUAGGCGUUAUUGUUGAUGAGGAACGACUGUUUCCUCAAUGUCUUUGAACACUUCUUGUAUAGUUUCUCUCGAGCCGUUGCUCGUACAUGUAAUCUUUUUCUUUAAAGCAAUGAAAUUCUCUUGUGGUUUCGAGAAAAAAAAAGAAUCUGUCACCUGUUUGCCUUACUUCUGGACUAAUAAUAAUGGAGGGAGGCCUAUAUGGUGUACAUAUAGCUAUGGUGAAGAAGACGAAAGAUUGGAUAUGAGAUUACUGGGAGACCGGAGAGAUCCAUAUCUAUUCUUGCAAUUUGCAUGGAUCAUCGCUGACAUACGUAUGGUAUAAUCGCGUCACAUCCCAUUUUAUCAAGGUCAAUUGAUCAGUGUAAAAUAGAAAUGAGCAAUAAAUACGAGGAUAAAUUACCUUUUACACCUUAUGCUUUGAUGUUUUAUCACAUAAUCCCCUAUGAUUUAAAAACCUAUAUAUGACUCUCUCAUAGUUUGGGUUAUUGUAUAAGUAAAAAGCCAAAUUCAAACUUAACAAAUUCACUGUUUCACUACUUUUUUUUUUGUUUUUUUUCUCUUAUUUUCCUUUUCUUUCUCUUUUUUUUUUUGGAAAGAGUACAGAUGAUUUUGAAAACCUAUAUUUUGGCUUACAAAACCUUAAUUUUUUCCAAAUACAAAAGAGACAGAAGGGAAAUAAAAAAUAAAAUCAAUAAGAAACGAAAAAUAUGGAAGGUAAAGGUAAAACAAAAAAAUAAGAAACAAAAAAAUACCAAAUCUUUUUUUACUAUAAAUAUCAUUAUAGGUUUUUAAACCAAAUCUUUUAUGGUAUUUUCUAGUUCUUAUUUAUCUAUAUUUUAUUCAAUUUCUUCCUUUUUAUGUUUGGAGGAAAAAAAGAAGUAAUGAAGGGAUAAAUUUGUCAAUUUAUCAUUUUGACAUUUUAAUAUGGACUAUUAGUUUUAACGAAAAAACUAAUAAUGACACAUUAACCCAAAUCAUGAGAGGGUUAGAUAUAUUUUUAAACCAUGGGGGUUUACGUGGUAAAACAUCAAACUAUAGAGGUUAAAAUGAAAUUUAGCCUAAAUCCAAAAUCAGGCGGUUGCAUAUGAACAAAUACCAAGGUUCUUGACUUUGUUCAAUACAAUCCCAAGGCUAGAGGCACAAAUUUUAAAUUCACUACCAAGAUAAACCAUUCUCUUUUUUAUUUUGCCAUUUUUUCGGGUCAAAAAGUACAAACUACUUGAACUAGAAACUAGUCCUGACAAAGUUUGUGGGUUUUUUUGCAAGAGUUUUAGUUAAAUAUUGGUUACUUCGCCUAAUUUGCACCUAUUUUAUCAUGUAAAUGCAUGCACACUUUUAAAAAAAUAAUGCAUGCACUUAUAUUAUUGCCUUUCUUACAUUUAAAUACUUUUUUCAAUUUAAUUUUACUUUUCUGGCAAAACUAAAUCUGAAGCCCAUUUCAAGAAAUAUCCACCGAAUACCAGGUAAACAAACCUCCUUCGUAAUAAAGAGGACAAAAAAAAUUUUUUGUCUUUAAGGAUUAAAUUUAUAACCAGUCCUAAGAUAACACGCAGCGGUCUUUUUGCAUCUAACAAUUGGGCCUGUUUGGAAGGUGAGUUUUUUGGGUGUUUGUAUAAAACUUUACUGUAGAUCACUGUAGAAGUUGUAGAAAAACUUUUGUAAAAAUUUGGGUAUUUGUAAGAUGAAAUUUUUUUUCCUUUUCAUUUUCUUUCUUUCAUUUUCUUUUUUCUUUUUUUUUUCUUUCUUUCUUUCUUUUUUCUUUUCCUUCCUCCCUUUCUUCCUCUUCUCCCUCCCCCUCCCCUCCCCUGAUCCCUCUCCCGGUACCUCCAUGGCAGCAACCAACAGGUGAGAAUCAAAUUUUUUUUUUUUUGCGUUUUUUCUCUUCCCCUCUCCCUCCCCCGCCAUCCCUCUUAUCCCUCCCCCUCUCCCCUUCCCCUCUCCCUUACCCCGCCACCCUCUUUUUUUUUUCGUCUUCUCCCCUCCCUCUCCCGCCACCCCUCCCUCUCCUUUCCCCGCCAUCCCUUCCUUCCCCCGCCAGCCCUUCCUUUCCCCUUCCUUCCCCAGCCACCCUCCCUCUCCCCCUCCGGCCUCCCCUAGCUGCGAUCCCCUCCCUCUCCCCCUUUGCAAUCUGGUCGCGCGACCAGAUCGGUCAAAAAGGGGAGGGGGAGGGUGGCGGGGAAGGCAGAGGGAAAGAAGGGAGGGGGAGGGAGAAAGAAAAAAAAGAAAAAGAAAAAGAGCUUCAGCGACCAGAUCGGGCAAAGGGGGAGGGGGAGAGUGGCGGGGGAGGGAGAAGGGAGAGAAAAAAUACAAAAAAAGAGGAUCGCCGGAACUGGUGGCCGGAAUAGUGAUCGGCGCCGGAAGUGGUAGUGGAGGUGGUCGCCGGCGCCGGAGGACGUGGUGGGUUGGGUGGGGGAGGAAAAAGAAGAAAAGUUGAAGGGAAAGUUUUUUGUGUAUUUUUGAAGUGUGUUAGGUUAAAAACUUUGAUAAGUUUUUUGGGGUUCCUGUAGCAAAAGUUGUUAAAAAACUAGUUUUAUACAAACUUGGUAAAAAACCAAGCUUCCAAACAGGGCCAAUCCUUCUCUGAUUGAGAAAAGGGAAUUGACUUGAUGAUAGCAACUCUACUUAGAAAACUGGUCCACACCCUUGAAUGUGAUUUAAAUUUAAUAACACCAUUUCAUCAUUUCUGACAACUGCAUUUUCCGCACCCUUGGGUGACGACUGCACAAGAAAAUUUUAACUUUACUUGAUAUGUUGAGUUUCUACAAGCAGGGCCAAAUAUCAUCCACAGAACCAUUGCUCCUAUUAGAAAAGCUCUUGAAGUAAAUCAUAUUUCCAUUUCCUGCUAUUUUCAUCAAUUAAACAAUCUAUAGUGGAGUCUUCCAGUAACACAUCAAAAUGAGAUAUAAUUUUGAAAGUAGAAGGACGUGGAAUCUAUCUAUCUUUCCAAAUUUUGAUAUGAUUUCCGUUUCCAACUCGCCAUCUACUACCAAAAACACCUUUGACUAAUAAUUAAAUAGUUAAAAAAAACUAUAUCUACCUAAUUUGUUUACUCAAUAUUUAUGUGCACUUAAACAUAAAAAGAAAAGGUCAAUCCAUAUAUUAGUGUUAUAUUUGUAAUAUUAGUUCCCUAUAUAGUAGGUUGCUGUGUUGGAUGUAUUUAUAUUCUACCGAGUAAAUGCCCAAUCUUUUCAAAACGUGGCAAAAAAAUUGUGUUUGUUUUUUUUUGGUAGAUUUCAUUCUUUUUAUUUUUUUUGGUAACAAUUAAUUUACUCUUCCUUUUCAAUUCAUUAUUUAUAGUAAAUUUCAAUCAAUCAUCAAUUACUUACCUUAUAUGCAUUUCUAUUAAUUAUACCUCUAUUUGUUUUCAAUCAACUCAUAGCUUUCCUUUUUAAUCAGGCACUCGUUAAUAUAUAUCUUAGGUGUUAAAUUAUUAGAAAUAGAAGAUUAAUUAGGGAAAGCGUAUAAAUGUAAGGGAAUUAAUUAGAAAAAUAUAUAAAUACAAGAGAAAGUAGUAAUUGUUGCAUAUAUACAUAGUAUAUUGGGUGAAAUGUAAGUGAGUUAACGAUUGCCCAUAGGGCACCCAUUAGAAAAACUCAUCAAAAUUUGGAUGAAUUUUAUUUUGCCUAUCAUUGCAAUCAUUACUACCAUUUUUCCUAUCAUUUAUUACUAUAACUUCAUGUUUUCUAAAUUCCAAUCAAUGUAUUACUCUCUUACUUUUUAUAUGAUUGUGCUAAUUACAGCUUUCCUUUUACUUAAUCAAUUAGUCAAUCAAUCAAUCAACCCAUGAUUUUAAUUUUCUUUUUCAAUUACAAGAUUCUUUCUUUUAUCCAUCAUUAGGGAGAUUUACAAUUAGUCACAUUUUUUCUAUUUUGUACUUCCAUUAUUUGACCUGAUUAUUAAUUCAAUCCACAUAUCUUGUAAUAUGUACAAGAAUAUGCAAUCAUAAGCACAAAUAAAUGCAAUUCUAAUAAUUUUGCAUAUAUGCUUUCAUAUUGUAUUGCAACACAUUUAAUAAUUCAUUAUAUGGUUACAAAAGAAAAAAAAUCUAGUAUUACCUAGACCUUAGAUAGUUCCCAAUGUAUACGCUGAUACUAUACGGAAAGAUUAAAAUCUGCUAAUGUAUAUACUGAUUGCUUAUGAAGAUUCAUCCCUAGUUUAGAUCUCUUAGAUAGUUUCCAAGCAUUAUAUUCCCUUUUUUUAAUUUCUUGUUUAGUUUAAUUCCUAAAGUUAAUGAAAUGGUUUUUAAAUCUCCCCUACAAAUGUACCUUAUUACCAUUUAUGAUUUUUUUUUAAAUUUAAGCAACAUCUUCCAAUAUUUUAUUACCAUUUUAAAUUAGUUCAUUUUAGGAGAUAGUAGUAUAAGUAUGGUAGUUUGUCCAAAUAACUUUGAAUAUGCAUAUACAACCCAAAAAUAAAAUGAUAGUUGUUUAUAUUCUUAUCACUCAAUGAUGAGAGUGGUCUAUAAUUUAAAUGAUUGAGAUAUAUCGCCAUCCAAAUAUAAAUUUAUUACGAGGGUAUGAUACCUUAAGUGACUAUAGAAUCUCCCUAAAUGAUAAAUAAUGUGAAUUAGAUAUUCCCUCAAAAACUUGUAAAGUGCUUAAUGUAUAUACGGGUAAAUUCUUGCAAUAGUGAAAGGAAAAUAUCGUACUAGCCUUGAUUUUUUGGCUAUGUAUUGACUUUUGUUAGCUAAAUUAAACUAUCCUGGAGUGAAGACAUAAAAUCUGCUACAAAUAUUGAGAGAAUUGUGAACAUAGCUAACUUAUCUAGCAUACAAAUUUUUUCUCGAGUUUGAGUUCUCUAACUUACACUAUAAAAACAAAAAAAACUAUCGUACAUUUAACUUCCAACUAACAACGAUGUAUAGAUAACAAAUUAUAUGCAUGGGAUAUUCCCAUAAAUAAAUGAAAUAUAUUUAAGUGAGAAAGAGUAAAUUCUUAAAUUAAGAAGAAAUAAUAUUAUAGUACCUGUCAAUUUGAUUAUAUGACUUUUUGGUUUGUCUUUACUCAUGAUAGCCAAUUAUAUAUGUUAUUUUGAUGUAAAAAUAUCCAAAAAUGGUUAAAUACAAUGAGGGACAUUAUUAUUAUUACUCGGAUUAAGCAUGUCAAUGGGUAGGGUUUGGUUUGGAUCCCUUUGAUCCAGAUCCAAUCCCAUUUAAUUUACCUCUUAUUCUUAUUUAAACUUCAAUAUUGGUAGAUGUCUCGCAAUCCAGCACUAAAAUAGUAAAUGAGAUAAAAGUCAUUUGACUAAGGACUUGACAAAUAAAUAAUAGAAUAAGAAGAUUUACAAAUACUUAUUAAUUUUUUGGGUAAAAUACCAAAAAACUCCUUGUGGUUUACUAAAUGUUUAAUUUAACUCCCUUUGAUUUGGAAACCUACACUAUAACUCCCAGUGAUUUUAACUAAUUUGAAAAUUGGACGGAAAACAUCCAAUCUAAUGGUUAUACGUGAAAUGUCAAUAUUGCCCCUAUACAAAUGAACUCCUUAUAGUUUGUCGAAUAUUCAAUUUAACUCCUUCUAGUUUGAAAAAUUACAUUAUAACUUCCUGUGGUUUCGACUAAAUUGAAAAUUGAAUGGAAGCAUCGUACAUAUAGUAGGGACAAUAUUGAUAUUUCACACACAACCGUUAGAUUGGAUGCUUUCUGUCCAAUUUUCAAUUUAGUCAACAUCACAAGGAGUUAUAGUGUAGGUUUCUAAACUAGAGAGAGUUAGAUUGAAUAUUUAUCAAAUCACAAGGAGUUUUUUUGGUAUUUUACUCUAAUUUUUUCUUUGAUUUAAUUCAAUCAUCACUAGUCACUAAUGUUUCAAUCAUAUCUAGAACCAGUUUGACAUGAGUCUCUUCAAUCACCAAACCAUCAACACUAAAUACAGAUUCUGAUACCAUAAAAUCUUACUAUAUUUGAUCCAAUAGCCAUAAAAUAUUAGAUUAUUUUAUAAAUUUACUAAUAUAUAUAUUAUUUAAUUAUAUAUAUAUAUAUAUGGAUUUGGGUAAAGUUUGGUAUGAGUUUGGAUUUGGAUAUGGAUUCUAUAAAACUAGACCCUACCUAGACCCACAACUCUCUCACAGGGUUUGGGUCUGGGUAUAGGUAGGGUCUAGAUUUGAGAAAUUAAAUCCAAACCCUACCCAAAUAUAGUGGGUCUGGGUUGGAUCUGGGUAAGAUUCGACCCAUUGACAUGUCUAACUCUAGAUACCUCAAUAAUUAUAAAAUUGGUUAAAUUGGAAUCCAUUUGGAUUUAAUAGUAUUUUGAAAAAUUAUUUUUGUUUUUUAGGUCUACAGUAAUAAAUUUUAAAAACAACCUUAAAAACAAUUCAAAAAAUGCAACAUAUCUCAAAUACAUUAAAAAAUAAUUAAAAAAUUCCCUCAUUCUUCUUCCCCACACCACCCACUACAGCGACCACCACCACCACCCAUUACUCUCCACUACCACAGCCACCCCCACACCCACGACCCUCCUUCCUCUCUCCCCUCUCCUCUCUCUCUCUCUCUCCCCCCUACUAAUUCUCCUUCUUUUUUCUCCUUCCUCCUCUCCCUUGUCCUUUCUCCCUUUCCUUUCCCCACCCCCCAAGCCCCUCUCCCCUCUACUAGCCGCAACCUUCCCGGUCGUGACUAGAAAGGUCACCAGAAGUCGUGACUGGUGGCUUCUCAGAUGGAGUCGUAACCACCACCCGCGAGGGAAGAGGGGUUUGGGAGCGGGAGAGGAGAAGGAAGGGGGGAGAAGGAGAGGAAAGAUGAGGGAAAAGGAGAGGAAAGAGGAGGGAGAAGGAAGAGGAGGGGGAGGAAAGAGAGGGAGGGAAAGAGGGAGAUAGAGGGGAGGAGGAGGGAGGGGGUGGCGGCGGCAGGUGGUGGUGAUGGGUGGUGUAAAAUUUUUAAAAAAUACCCCAUACAGUUGUUGCAAAAUACAUUUUAAAGAUAUCCCAAAAUAGAUUUUGAAAAGCCCUGAAAAUACUUCUAAAGACACCUCAAAAAAAUCUAUAGUAAAAGUUUUUUUAUAUAUAUAGUUGCAGUAAGGUUUUUGAAAGACACCCCAAAAAACAGCUAGUCCAAACGGAGUCUUGAGUUUUGAGGUUAAGGUGCAAUGAUUGACUACCUUUUAGGUCAAAAUAAAGCUUGGCCGAAAGUUUAGUAGGUUAAAAUAUAAUUUUAAAAAUUAAUCAUUUUCCCUGAUCCUCACAGCUGCAAUGACGGACACCAAUGUUUUCAGAACUGGACCGGACCAGCUGGUUCGACCGGUUGGACCGUGAACCGGACAUACCACCGGUCUGGUCUAGCAUCAAACCUGCCAAUUAAUGAAAAACCGCUAGAAACCGGUCAAACCAUAUGAACCGUGAAAAACCGUACUGCGGUUUUUAAAUUUUCAACAAAAUAUCCCAAACCUGGCGGUUUUUAAAUUUUCAACAAAAUGUCUCAAAUGAGGCUAAUCAGAAUCAAACCUGUGCCUUCCUGCUCACAUAAGAGUGUCUUACCACUAGACCACAAUCAUAGGGCAAGUUGGGUUUGUUGAGAAUUGUAUUUAACUUGACUAAAAGAUAGAUUAAAAGUUUGAAACCCUAACAUUAACAAAAGAAACAGCAGAGUGCAGCGCACUUCUCUUUUCAUCACUUUCUCGGCUUCAUCAGGCGGCCAACGGCUCUCCAUUCUCCUCUUGAAUUUUUUUUUUCAACAUUUUCUUCUUAACCCUUUCAAACCCAAAUAUCCACAACAAGAUUUUCUCAAGCCUUCACCAUUAUCAUCAACUAUCAUCUUUAGCAGAUUGUAGACGACUUGGAAAUUUCAACUUUUCCUGUUUUCCAUCAUCGUGGUUAGUUUAAUUUUUCCUUUUUCAAGGUUUUUUGUUUUCUAUAUUAUUAUCUUUAGCUGAUUUUUUUUGCAUUUUCUUCUUUUCCCCCUCAAUUUUUGUUUUAUUUUUAUUUUGAUUAAUUAAGGAUGAAAUUAUUGCAAAAGUAGCGCACCUCCGUGCUGGAAUUGGGUAGGAAUUACAAAUAAUAACAUUGGGCUGGUCAAAAAUAUGGUAGUUGGCACAUAAUCAAAGCUAUUGAUCAUUGAAUUUAAAAUAAUUAAUGGUAUAUGAUCAUGGAAUAAUGAAGAUCCAAACAGGAAUUAAAAUAUUCUUGAACCUUUCUGGCGACAAAUGAAACUGGUCAUCAUGCGAAAUCGGGAGUAUGUCCUCUGGCUAUAUAAAUGCUAAUGGUAAUAAUUUGCAUCCGUGUGAAGUCCAUUCUACAAUAAGGCAUGUUCCAAACUCCUUUAUAUAUAUUUUAGAUUUUGCAAUCAUAUUUGGACAAGCUAUUUUUUGGAUGAAGUAUCAAAUUAAUAAAAUUUGUAUCAAUGAUUGUCCUGUUUUUUCAAUGAUUGUAUAAUUUUUCUAUUCUGUAUUGAUUUGUGAAAGUUGUCAAACAAAAGCUUAAAAAAAAGUGCCAAGAAUUAUACAAUCAUUUAAAGCUAUUGUUUCAUUUAAAGCUGGUUAGAGUUAUUCUUACUCAAAAGUUUCAUUUAUUCUGUAUAUUAGAUUUCUUUUUUCUUUUUUAGCUCACAUAACAUGUUAAUUAGAGAUGUUUAGUAGCAAUUAAUUUUUUGUGUUUAGUUGUAUCUUUGUUUUUCAAAUUUUUUUUUUUUGAGUUUGAGCAAUUAGAUUUAUAUUUUUAUAAUAAAAUUUUAACUUUUUCAGGUUAAGUUGAUGAAAUUGUGAAAGUGGUGUUGUUGCUUAUCAUGCCACUGAUGGAAGUUUGUUAUUCAAAUGGUUUAUCUUGAAUAUGAGUUGGACUAUUUUAUGGACUUUUUAAGGAUUGUAAAAGAAUUUCAAUUUUUAUUUUAUUUAUUUUUGUGUUCUUAUUUGUGAUAAUUGGUGAACAUUUGGAUUGUAUCUUGGUGGGUUUUCACUUUAAGUGCAAGUUUAAUUCCGAAUUUACACCCGUUGGACUGCAAGUAUACAGGUCGCAAUUGUAGUACGAGAUGUGUAUCGGGUCGAUCCCACGAGGAGCAAUUUAAAACAAUUAUUAGAUACUAAUUUACUCUAUUAUUUAGACUUACAAUUAAUUUGAGCAGAAACUUCAGAUUUUAAUUCAACUACAAAAAUUCUUAAAUAGAUAAAUGCAAUUUCACAAUAGGAGUAGAAUUCACUAAAUAUUAAGAUCUAGGGAUGUAGAUUCCACAUAUAACACAAAAGAUCUAAAACGAAUGAAUUUAACACUUGUUACUGCUCUUGUUUAACCAAGGAUUCAUUUCCAACAAUACCAAAAUCACAUUUUCAUGAUAAUAAUGGGUUAAAACAGAUUAGUUUUUCCUAAUCUCUUGGAAAAUACUAAAUCUGUUUUGUGCAUACCUGAAAUAUAGAUUUUAUCCACUUGAAUGUAUUUCUAUUCUCAUGAAUAUACUACUCAAGCUCUACUUAUGUCAUUCCAUUAUUUUUACCAUUUCUCAAUGAGUAAAAACAACUAUAAACCUGCUAUUGGUGAUCAAGCAACAACAAGUAAUCCAACAUACACAAGUAGAUAAGUUAAUACAAGAUAUAACAAGCAUAAAUCACAAUCACUUCAUAUCAUUUGGCCAUAAGCUUCAUCUACUCCCUAGAUAAAGGAAAUUAGCUACUCAUGAAUGAUUUAACAAUCAAACUCACAAGUUUAUUAAUGCAAAACAUCAUGAAGUACAAGUAUAAGAAAGGUAAAAGAAAGCUUAGCCAAUUGAAGGUAAAGCUCUCCAAUUCCUGCUAUGUUCUUGUACAAGAUGGUUACAAGUGAAAAACCAAAUGCUUCUCUAAGAACUCUAGAGAGAAAACUUGUUGCAAGAAGGAAAACUAGCUACGUAUGGUGAUGCCAGGCUUCUCCCCUGUGUUUCUGCAUAAAAGGUGGUAGAAAUUCCAUUCCUCUCACUUCAUAAUUUCCUCCACUCAGAUUUUGUAAAAAGAAGUCAAAGAUAUGAUGUUUCCUUUUUGUCCACACUCAUUUGGUCUUCUCUUUUAUUGCAGAAGCAUGUGCACCGAAUUCCCUUGCAUCUUAUAGCUGGAAAGUGGUAUGAACACAAGAGAAUUGACUGAGUCAAAUUGCAGAAUUUCGGCUAUAAAACGCGCCUACACAAAACGCGGCAUAAACUCGCGUUUUGUCUACUCGCGUUUUCACUCUGGCCUUAUUUCAACUGCGAUUUUCUCCAUGAUAAAGGCCAAACUAGCUUUUGUGCAAAACACAAAAGUUGUAGCCCUUUGAGUUAGCUUUCCAAUGCUUCAAGAAUCAUCAAAUCGGAGCUUUGUAGCCUGAGAUAUGAUCGAAAUACUGUCACCUGUUCAAACCUCUGUUUUAACUUCCGACCACAGAAUGCAGCUUCUGUAUUCCAACGUUUUGCCCAUGAAGAUGGCAGAAAUGGAUUUCGAUGUCUUCAUACGAAUUGUAGGUCUCUUUCUUAGCUUUAAAAUGGUGUAAAGAUCACCUCAAUCCGAUAAGUGUAGCUCCAGAUAUGGUCAAAAUACUGAAGAGUGUCAAAACUGACUUGUAUUGCAUUUCCUCACUUGAACGUUUUUCACUUCAUUCUUCUUGUUGCCACUUGAAUUCAUCACCAAAUCUCUAUUUUUUAUCUCAUUUGACAUCCUUUGGUGAUUGAAUCAUCAUUCCUGCAUAAAAAUGAAGUUUUUACCAUUAAAAUCAAUAGAAAUGCAAUAUUAUCCACUUUUACCAAAAAUAUAUAAUUUUACCAAAAACCUCUUUAUUUUAUUUAUAAAACUAAAUAAUCAACUCAAAAUUAACUAAUAAAAUGCACUUAAAAAUACGUAAAAUAAACUCUUAUCAAAUACCCCCACACUUGAAUCAUUGCUUGUCCUCAAGCAAUAUAAAAUUCUAACCAUCAAUGAUCCAAAAAAAAUUGAAAAUAAACAUAUGUAGUAUUUCAACUCCAUUUCCUUGAAUCAAGGUAAAUAACCCUUAUGUGAUCUUUCCAUUAAGUUCAAGUACUCAUAAUAUCAAGCAAAGAAGAGCCAAGUAUACCAUAAUUUUACCAAUUCAACUCAACUUCUUAUUUUUAUCAAAUUUCGCAAGCAAGCAACUCCUAUAGUCAAUAAAGAUGCUAACUAAUCUCAUUAUCAACUUCUUAUUUUUCUUAAAGAGGGAUUUAAUUUACUUUUUAUUUAUUUAUUUUAUUAUUAUUUUUUUAAUAUAUUUUAAGGGAUAAAUAUUACUUAAGUUGUGAAAAAUGCCUUUUGACGCGAAGAUCAACAUUUUUAGAUGCAGAUCCCCGGUUACUCAACAUUUCACAUACUCAAGUUGCUUUGCAUACUCUUAAUUCAAGUACCUUUUUACGCGAAUGUCGACAUUUGUAGAUGCCAACCCCCGGUUACUCGGUAUGAGAAUCAUUGGAGUAGAAUAACCCUUUUUUUUUUUUUAAUAUAUAUAUAUAUAAUAAAAUUCCCUCUAAGAGUAAUCAUGAGAAGAGUAUGACACUUAUUAACCAUAUUAAUUUCUUAUCUUAUAAAAUUAGAUAAAAAGAAGAAUUUUCAUCAAAUAUACAAAAUGUAGGCAUAAUUUUCUCCACUUUACUAGAUAUACUUUCCUAUAGAUGUAAAAAUUAUAAUCACAUAAAAAUCAUUUCCAAAUUUUAUGAGAAAAGAAGUAUCAAAACCGCAUAUAUUUAUUUCAAAAGGAUAAGUGACAAAAUUUUAUUUAUUUAUUAUAGUUAAUAACAUAUAUAUGUAUAAGGUUUUGGAAAAAUUUUGACAGAGUCUCCCCUUAAAAGUGGACUAAAUCUCCCUGCCAGCAACCACAAGAAACACCAUUUAAGCACAAGAAUUAUAUCAAACACAACUAAAAUCACAAGUACCACACAUUUCUUCCCCCACACUUAGAAUACACAUUGUCCUCAAUGUGUAGGGAAAGAAAAGAAAAGAAACAAAAGAAAGGAACAAGUGACUCCCCAAGUGAGAUGACUGCAGUCCAGUGAAGCCUUGAAUCAUGAGUCAUCGACCGCUCAACCAUCCACAGUCAACGAUCUACUAGUUACUGCCACAAGUUCCAAUAUUCAAAAUAAGGAAUGUAAGUUAACAUUUUUCAAACAAAAGAUAAAAAUAACAAGCAAACAAAAGAAAAGCCAGCCAAAGGGCAGCCUCAAUCAUCCUCUUCAUCGUCAUCUUCAUCAUCAUCGAUGGGAGGUGGGCGUGUGCCUAAAUGAUCUUCAAUUCGGUCCAGGCGAGUAUCCAUUCUGGCUAAAUGAUGGUCGAUGUCGUCCAAGCGACCGAAAAGCCGCUGCCAGUUGGUCUGUGGCGGAGGAGGAGGUGGUGCUGCAGUAGAAGGUCCAGCUUCAUCCCGACCAUGUCUAGCCUUUUGUCUCCGCUCCUGAACAGGGCGUGGAAUGUCUCCCGUGCCAAUACCAAGGCGGCGAAGAGUAGUGAUAGUCAUCUCAGCACGUGGUGGAACAUACUCCCGCCGCAUGCCUUCCAAGGGAACCUCAAAACGGGGAAAGAUUAAAGUCAGUAGACGAGGAAAUGAUAGUUUGAAGGAAGUUGUCUUACGCCUCGCCGUAGACCUAAUAUGGCUGAUGAUGAUGUUAGGCAAUGAAAUCCGAGCAUAUGGAGAUGUCCGGUUAUGGAACAUGUAAUCCAAGAAGUAGAUAUCGCUCUUGCGGACCUCCGUGUGCCCCGUCUUCUUUGGGAUGACAUUGUGAGCCAUCAUGUAAAUGAUAAGACGAUGACGAGGUUCGAAUACAUUCGCCAAUAUGGUCUCCUUUCUGGUAGAGCGAAAAGGUUGGUACUCGAGACCAAACCUAGCCAUGGCCAAUGAGGGAUCCCACCUCCUAUUCGGGGGAACAAACUCCUUCUUCAAGUCUACUGGACGUCCGUCAUCCAUACACCCCAAAAUAGCAGCCAAAUCUUGCCGUGACAAGGUGAUUCGUCUUCCACGCACCCAGGACUCAACUAUUUCUCCACUAUGGCGCGCCUUACUUUCAAUGUUGGCGUAAAACUCGCGCACCAACUCUGGGUAGUAAUGGUUUGGAAGGGUGAGAAUCGGAGCCCAUCCUAGCUGAGCAAAAGCUUCUGAGAUGUUGUACAUCAUCUCAACUGGUGGACUGACGUGCAUCUCAAACAAAAACUCCAAAUUAGCACGCGCCUCAUGCCACUCCUGAUUCCUGCGAGUGUUGAACCUAGCACUGUCAAAUACUGAUUUUCCCGCUCCACGGGAGGUGCCCUCACCAGGUCGACGGUUAAUUGGUGGAGGAGAAGGUUUAUUCUCCUCUUCAGUCACCUCCAUCUCUUCAUUAACCUCCCUCUCCUCGCUACUAGAGGAUGAAAGUACCGCUCUUCUUCCCCUGGGCAUAGUACCUAAAAAAUAUUUCAAUUAUUCCACAUGUACUACAACUCAUUAUUUGGCAAUAAAAGUUCAGCAUUAAUCCAAAUAACCUCAAAUACAAUUGCUCAAGUUCUAAUCAUUCAAUGAUCGUACAAGACAUAUUUUCUGCCUAAAGUUGCCCAAAAUCACCAAAUUACACAAGAUAUGUAUCAAUUAUACUUUAAUUAGUGAAAAUAGGAACAAUUAUGAUUAUAACUAUUUAGAAUUAACAAUAAUAAUAUGCUUUUAGCUAUAAUCAUGUUUAGGCAAAAAUUAAACUAAUUAACUCACCAAAUCAACCAAAUUACUCACUAUACACAAUGCACAUGCUUAAACAUCAUCAACUAACCAUUUUUAACCAUAAUUUAACAUCACCAAUGACUCAAAAACAUCCUAGUUCCUUUUUCCAAUUUCAUCUAAAUAUAGCAAUUGUGAAUUUUAAAGUACUUGAAAACCAAUAAAUUGCUACAUUUAAACAUUUAAACAUGCUUAAACAAUCAUAAUAAUCAUGAAUAAAAUAAAAAAUAGCCAUGAACCUCAUCAAAUUUUCGAAAUUAAAAGAUGUCAGAUAGCUCAGGAUAAAAAAUAUGAACUUCUAAAAUCAAAAGAUUUGAUGAAGAAACUUACCUCAAUCACGUAGAAGGAUGUUUGGUGAUGCUAAAAAUGCAAAAAGCCCUAUGAAACAACCUCCAAUUGACCUCCAAUUGAAGAAAUUAGAGUUUAAGAACCCUAACCUUCAAUCCCUCAAAAACCUGAUUUUAGGUGUUUUUCUUGGAUUUUAAUCGGUUAAAAAGGGUAUAUGAACCUCAAAAGGUGUUGGGGUGAUGAUUUCUAGCAAGAUUAUGGAGUAAAAAUGAAGAUUUGUGAGUUGGGUAGAAGAGAAGAAGAAAAACGCGGCUGGAAAAAUUUGGAGAAGUGAAGAAAUGUUCUGGAAAUCGCGUUUUUGAAGCAGAAAAGUGAACCUAAAACGCGACUAAAAACGCGCCUUCAACACGCGUUUUUAAAGCCGCGUUUUCUGCACAAAUCUCGCAGAAUUGAAAACGCGGUUACAUAUGAAAACGCGACUUAAAGUCGUGUUUACAUGUGUCGCGUUUUCAAGUUUUGCUCAGGCGAUAAAACGCGACUUCCUCCAAAACGCGACUUCAAGUCGCGUUUUAAAGGCGCGUUUUCUGUUCUGCAGGCGCAGAAUUGAAAACGCGAUUCUUCGAAACGCGAUUUGUAGUCGCAUUUUCUUUGGAAAACGCGUUUUCUGCUUCGAUUUUUAGCAGAAUUUCAACUUUUGAAAAAUUACAAAAGGUACCCCAAUGACUCAAAAUGCAUCAUAGAUCAUUUGUUUGUCAAUUUUAAUGACUGGAACAAAUGUAAAACAUUAAAAACAUGCAUUUUACCCCUUUAUAAUGAAUCAAAAACACCUUUAACGCAAAUCGAGGGGUUGAGUUGUUUGAUCAAAGUUCGCCUUUUUUGUACUCAAUUGGUCCUUCUUGCCUUCAAUUGCCAACCCUACAUUACAAAAACAACAAUUUAGCUAAAACAUUGAUUCAAACCACAAAAUCACACCAAGUUAACAAAUAUAACCUAAAUAUUGGGUUGCCUCCCAAUUAGCGCUUUUGUUUAUAGUCGUUGGCUCGACUCACACAUUCAGUUUCUUAAAUUGAAGAAGAGUCGCCCAAAAGACAUAUGAGUCCUUUGGGUACGAUUUCACCUGCCAAGUAGGGUUUCAAUCGUUGUCCAUUGACCUUAAACCUUUCAUUUCUUGAAUUUGCCACUUCAACCGCUCCAUAGGGAAAUACUUGAGUGACUUCAAAUGGUCCAGACCACCUUGACUUCAAUUUUCCUGGAAAUAACCUCAGGCGUGAAUUGAAUAAAAGCACUUUUUGCCCUACCUGAAAUUGUUUAGGAAUAAUGUGCUUGUCAUGCCAAUAUUUGAUCUUUUCUUUGUAAAUUUUGGCAUUUUCAUAUGCAUGUAACCGGUGUUCCUCCAAUUCACUCAGCUCAAGUAAUCUCCUUCCACCUGCAAGAUUAAAAUCUAUAUUAAUUGCUUUAAUAGCCCAAUAAGCUUUAUGUUCAAUCUCUACAGGUAAGUGACAAGCUUUUCCAUAGACUAAACGAUACGGCGACAUCCCUAAGGGAGUCUUAAAUGCCGUUCGGUAAGCCCAUAGUGUGUCAUCUAACUUUGUAGCCCAAUCCUUGCGUGAUUUAUUCACAGUUUUCUCCAAAAUGAGCUUUAUCUCACGAUUAGCUAGCUCCGCUUGUCCAUUGGCUUGAGGAUGGUACGGGAGUGAUGUCUUGUGCCUACAACCAUAUUUAAACAAUAAGGAAUCCAGUUGUUUGUUACAAAAAUGUUUUCCUUCAUCACUUAUUAUGGCCUUAGGUAUACCAAAUCUACAAAAAAUAUUCUUUUUAAGGAAUCGGAGUACAACCUUAGAGUCAUUAGUAGGUGAAGCGAUUGCUUCUACCCAUUUAGAAACAUAAUCCACUGCUACUAAGAUGUACUUAUUAUUAAAAGAGCUUGGAAAUGGUCCCAUAAAGUCUAUACCCCAUAUAUCAAAUAAUUCAACUUCUAAGAAGGUAGUUAGGGGCAUUUCAUUCUUUCGAGAUAUAUUUCCAGUUCUUUGGCAUGCAUCACAACUUUUAACAUAUUCCCGAACAUCUCGAUACAUAGUUGGCCAAUAAAAUCCUGAUUGCCAUACCUUUGCCACAGUUUUUGAGGUGCUAAAAUGUCCACCUGUUUCAAGGUUAUGACAAUGAUAUAAAAUAUUAUGUACCUCGUUUUCGGGAAUACAUCUACGUACCAUACCAUCGGCACAAUGUUUAUACAGCAAUGGUUCCUCCCAAAAGUAACUUUUGACAUCAUGUAAGAAUUUCUUCUUUUGAUGGUAAUUAAAUCCCCUUGGAAUCUCUCCACUUAUCAAAAAAUUAGCAAUAUCAGCAUACCAUGGAGAAUUGAUAAUUGCUAGGACAAACUCAUCCGGGAAAUUCUCUUGAAUAGGAACUUGAUCCUUGACUGGAAUAUAUUCUAGGCGUGAUAGAUGAUCCGCUACUAGAUUCUCUGUUCCCUUUUUGUCUUUUAUUUUCACAUCAAAUUCCUGCAAUAAAAGAAUCCACCGAAUUAGUCUUGGUUUUGCAUCUUUUUUAUGUAACAAAUAUUUUAGAGCCGCAUGGUCCGUAUAUAUAAUAACUUUAGAUCCUACUAGAUAAGAUCUAAAUUUAUCCAAAGCAAAUAUCACUGCCAAUAGCUCUUUUUCUGUGGUUGCAUAAUUGAGUUUUGCUUCAUUUAGCAACUUGCUAGCAUAGUAAAUGACGUGCAACCGUCCUUCUUUCUUUUGUCCCAAAACUGCUCCAACCGCAUAAUCACUUGCAUCACACAUCAAUUCAAAUGGUAGUGACCAAUCAGGCGAAGUUAUAAUUGGGGCCGAAAUCAAUUCCUUCUUCAACCUUUCAAAUGCAACCAAACAAUUGUCAUCAAAUUGAAAAGGGGAAUCUUUACAUAAUAAAUCACAUAAUGGCUUUACUAUUUUAGAAAAAUCUUUAAUAAAACGUCUAUAAAAGCCAGCAUGUCCUAAAAAACUCCUUAUCCCCUUGACAUUGCUUGGGGGUGGCAAUUUUUCGAUGACUUCUAUUUUGGCUUGAUCCACCUCAAUUCCCUUGGAGGAAAUCUUGUGUCCUAAGACAAUUCCUUCUUUUACCAUAAAAUGACAUUUCUCCCAAUUCAGUAUAAGAUUUGUUUCCUCGCAUCUCUGCAAAAUUAAUUCCAAAUUAUGAAGACACUGAUCAAAAGAUGAACCAUACACAGAAAAAUCAUCCAUAAAUAUCUCCAUAAUUUUCUCAAUAUAAUCAGAAAAAAUAGCCAUCAUGCAUCGUUGAAAAGUUGCAGGAGCAUUGCAUAAACCAAAUGGCAUUCUUCUAAAGGCAAAAGUGCCAUAAGGACAUGUAAAUGUGGUCUUUUCUUGAUCCUCUGGAGCUAUAGCUAUUUGAUUAUAUCCUGAAAAACCAUCAAGAAAACAGUAAAAUUCAUAUCCAGCUAUUCGCUCCAAUAAUUGAUCAAGAAAUGGUAGGGGAAAAUGAUCUUUUCUUGUUACCGUAUUUAACUUACGAUAAUCAAUACACACUCUCCACCCUACCACAAGUCUAGAUGGAAUUAAUUCAUCAUUUUUACCCACGAUUGUAGUCAUUCCACCCUUCUUUGGUACCACAUGAAUUGGACUAAUCCAAACACUAUCGGAGAUAGGAAAAACUAUACCUGCGUCAAGCCAUUUAAGAAUUUCAUUUCUUACCACCUCUUUCAUGUUUGGAUUGAGUCUUCUUUGUGUUUCCACCACUGGUUUGCAAUUGUCCUUCAAUAAAAUUCGAUGCAUGCAUAUAGAAGGACUUAUACCUUUAAUGUCUGAAAUUGUCCAUCCAAUUGCCUUCUUACGCCUUCUUAGAACUCUUAACAACUUUGCACACUGUUCAUCAUCAAGGUCAGCACUAACAAUUACAGGUAAAGUUUUAUUUUCUCCAAGAAAUUCAUACCUUAGAUGAGUCGGAAGUGGCUUGAGCUCUAACUUUGGAGGUUCAAUUUCUGAAGGUUGUGAAAACCCUUUUCCUUGGCCAAGACUUUCAUACAAAUUACCCCUUUUAUAAGGUGCUUGAAAAUCCAAGUACUUGGCCAAUUCUUCAAUUUCUUCACAAACAUCUUCUUGCUUACCUAAACUCAUUAAACAAUACUCAAGAGGAUCUAAGUCAAAGUUGACUUGACUCAUCUCUUGGGUUAGUUUAUCAAUUGUGCCAAUAGAAUAAGCAUGAUCGGUAAAAGAAGGGUAUUUUUCCAUUUCAUUCAAAUUAAAUUCUACCUCUUCUUCACCUACUUGAAACUUAAGCUUGCCAUUUUUUACAUCAAUAAUAGUACCUGCAGUAGCUAGAAAUGGUCUACCUAGAAUAAUUGGCAUAGAUAUAUCUUCUUCCAUAUCUAAUACCACAAAAUCCACUGGAAUGAUAAAUUUUUGAACUUUUAUCAAUACAUUCUCCAACACUCCCAAUGGAUAUCUAAUAGACCGAUCCGCUAGUUGCAAAGUGAUAUUAGUGCGUUUAAGCUCAUGCAAACCCAAUUGUCUAGCCACCGUUAAAGGUAUUAAUGAUACACUAGCACCAAGAUCACACAAUGCCUUAGAAAAAUCAACGUUACCUAUGGUGCAAGGUAUAGAAAAACUCCCCGGAUCCUUCAACUUCGGUGGUAGCUUAUUUUGAAUAAUUGCACUACAUUCCUCCGUUAAUGCUAUUGUUUCGCAGUCUUCCAACUUUCUUUUUCUAGUCAUGAUUUCCUUGAGAAAUUUCGCAUAAGAUGGAAUCUGCAAAAUAGCAUCGGCAAAAGGAAUGUUAAUGUGCAAUUGUUUGAAAAGUUUAACAAAUUUUUCAAAAUCUUUAUCAAACUUAUUUUGCUUUAAUCUUUGUGGAAAUGGAACCGCAGGGGGUAUUGGAAUGGUAGUGGAAGAUGAUGGUUGCUUUUCUCUUGGAUUCUCCCGACUAUUUUCCUCCACAAUCGCCUCUUGGUUCCUCUGCUUUUCUUCUUGUUUUUCAUUCUCAUCUUUCUCAACUUCCUUCACUGGAGGAUCUUCUAAUUGUCUACCACUACGAAGAGUAAUGGCUUUCACAUGCUCCUUAGGAUUGACCUCUGUUUUGCUAGGUAAUUCUCCUUGAUUUCGAUUAUUCAAAGAACUAGCAAUUUGACCAAUUUGGACCUCUACAUUCCUGUACAUUGUAGUGAGUUGGUCCAACCUUCCUUCUACUCGCUCAAAUCUGUCCGAGGUAACUUUUGCAAGCUUUUCCACUGCCAUCUCCCAACCAGGUUUAGUUUCAGCUUGUUGUUGCCUUGAUUGAAAUCCCGGUGGAUUGGUUGGCCUUGGUUGAUUUCCUUGAUCCUUCCAUCCAAAGUUUGGAUGAUUUCUCCACCCCGGAUUGUAAGUAUUCGAGUAGGGGUUAUUUUGAGCAUUACGAUUGUAAUUAUUGACGAAUUGUACCUGUUCAGAAUCAACACACUCAUUACUAUCAUGUUCACCUCCACAUAUAGAACAACAUGCUACAUGUGCAUUAGAUGAACUUGGACCAACUCCACCUUGUCUACUUAGCAAUUUCAUCACAUUAUUCAUUUGAGCACUCAACAUAUUGAGAGUGUCCAUUUCGAUCAUACCUGCGUGACGUCUUGUAUUACCUCUCUCAUUGGCCCAUUGGUAGUUAUUUGCUGCCAUUUCUUCUAUCAAAUUAUGAGCCUCUUGGGGUGAUUUACCCAUUAAAGCUCCACCUGCAGCUGCAUCGAUCAUAGUUUUAGUAGAAAAAACUAAACCAUUAUAGAAGGUUUGUAUGAUUAACCAUUCCGGCAGUCCAUGAUGUGGACAUUUCCGAAGCAAAUCUCUAAACCUUUCCCAUGCCUCAUAUAAUGAUUCUCCUUCCAAUUGGCUAAAACUAGUGAUAUCCAUUCUAAACUUAGCAGUCUUACCUGGUGGAAAAUACUUAUUUAAGAAUGCUCUUGAUAGUUCAUCCCAUCCAGUGAAAGUAUUAGGAGCAUGAGAGUGUAGCCAAAGUUUGGCCUUAUCUCUCAAUGAAAAUGGGAACAACCUUAGUCUUAUAGCAUCAUCACUAACUCCAUUCAUUUUAAUUGUAUCACAAAUUUCCAAGAAUGUAGCUAAGUGUGUAUUAGGAUCUUCUACUGCAUUACCUCCAAAUUGAGAUUGUUGAACCAUUUGGAUAAGUGAUGGUUUAAUCUCAAAAUUGUUAGCAUUUACCGUAGGCCUUACUAUGCUUGUUUGAGAUCCUUGUGUUCCCGGUAGAGUAUAAUCUCGUAGAACUCGCCUAUUUGGGUCAUUUUCCGCCAUUUCUUCUUCAAAUGGUAGUUCUAUCAAAAUGUCCUCUAUCGGUUGCCAAAUCUCUUGUUCCUCUUGCUGUUGUGUGUGCCUCCUUUGUCUACGUAGUGUCCUCUCAAUUUCUGGAUCGAAAGGUGUAACUUCCCGAGACGCCCGGUGCAUACACUACAAACAGAAAUAAGAGAUAUUAUGCAAUUUCAAUUGUCAAAAACUGAUUACAAUAUAAGAUUAAAUAUAAUCUAACUAAAAAAAUAAAUCUGUCUAAAUUAAUAAAGAUGAUUAGGCUCUAAUAUUGCCGCUCCCCGGCAACGGCGCCAAAAACUUGACGGGAUUUUUUUUAUCAAUGCAAGUUUAAUUCCGAAUUUACACCCGUUGGACUGCAAGUAUACAGGUCGCAAUUGUAGUACGAGAUGUGUAUCGGGUCGAUCCCACGAGGAGCAAUUUAAAACAAUUAUUAGAUACUAAUUUACUCUAUUAUUUAGACUCACAAUUAAUUUGAGCAGAAACUUCAGAUUUUAAUUCAACUACAAAAAUUCUUAAAUAGAUAAAUGCAAUUUCACAAUAGGAGUAGAAUUCACUAAAUAUUAAGAUCUAGGGAUGUAGAUUCCACUUAUGACACAAAAGAUCUAAAAUGAAUUAAUUCAACACUUGUUACUGCUCUUGUUUAACCAAGGAUUCAUUUCCAGAAAUACCAAAAUCACAUUCUCAUGAUAAUAAUGGGUUAAAACAGAUUAGUUUUUCCUAAUCUCUUGGUAAAUACUAAAUCUGUUCUUAUUCACACAUGAAAUGCAGAUUUCAUCCACUUGAAUGUAUUUCUAUUCUCAUGAAUAUACUACUCAAGCUCUACUUAUGUCAUUCCAUUAUUUUUACCAUUUCUCAAUGAGUAAAAACAACUAUAAACCUGCUAUUGGUGAUCAAGCAACAACAAGUAAUCCAACAUACACAAGUAGAUAAGUUAAUACAAGACAUAACAAGCAUAAAUCACAAUCACUUCAUAUCAUUUGGCCAUAAGCUUCAUCUACUCCCUAGAUAAAGGAAAUUAGCUACUCAUGAAUGAUUUAACAAUCAAACUCACAAGUUUAUUAAUGCAAAACAUCAUUAAGUACAAGUAUAAGAAAGGUAAAAGAAAGUUUAGCCAAUUGAAGGUAAAGCUCUCCAAUUCCUGCAAUGUUCUUGUACAAGAUGGUUACAAGUGAAAAACCAAAUGCUUCUCUAAGAACUCUUAACUAGAGAGAGAACUUGUUGCAAGAAGGAAAACUAGCUACGUAUGGUGAUGCUAGGCUUCUCCCCUGUGUUUCUGCAUAAAAGGUGGUAGAAAUUCCAUUCCUCUCACUUCAUAAUUUCCUCCACUCAGAUUUUGUAAAAAGAAGUCAAAGAUAUGAUGUUUCCUUUUUGUCCACACUCAUUUGGUCUUCUCUUUUAUUGCAGAAGCAUGUGCACCGAAUUCCCUUGCAUCUUAUAGCUGGAAAGUGGUAUGAACACAAGAGAAUUGACUGAGUCAAAUUACAGAAUUUCGGCUAUAAAACGCGCCUACACAAAACGCGGCAUAAACUCGCGUUUUGUCUACUCGCGUUUUCACUCUGGCCUUAUUUCAACUGCGAUUUUCUCCAUGAUAAAGGCCAAACUAGCUUUUGUCCAAAACACAAAAGUUGUAACCCUUUGAGUUAGCUUUCCAAUGCUUCAAUAAUCAUCCAAAUCGGAGCUUUGUAGCCUGAGAUAUGAUCGAAAUACUGUCACCUGUUCAAACCUCUAUUUUAACUUCCGACCACAGAAUGUAGCUUCUGUAUUCCAACGUUUUGCCCAUGAAGAUGGCAGAAAUGGAUUUCGAUGUCUUCAUACGAAUUGUAGGUCUCUUUCUUAGCUUUAAAAUGGUAUAAAUAUCACCUCAAUCCGAUAAGUGUAGCUCCAGAUAUGGUCAAAAUACUGAAGAGUGUCAAAACUGACUUGUAUUGCAUUUCCUCACUUGAACGUUUUUCACUUCAUUCUUCUUGUUGCCACUUGAAUUCAUCACCAAAUCUCUAUUUUUUUACCUCAUUUGACAUUCUUUGGUGAUUGAAUCAUCAUUCCUGCAUAAAAAUGAAGUUUUUACCAUUAAAAUCAAUAGAAAUGCAAUAUUAUCCAAUUUUACCAAAAAUAUAUAAUUUUACAAAAAACCUCUUUAUUUUAUUUAUAAAACUAAAUAAUCAACUCAAAAUUAACUAAUAAAAUGCACUUAAAAAUACGUAAAAUAAACUCUUAUCAUAUCUAUUUAUGUUUUUAAUGAAUUUAUGAAAACUUGUGGUGAAUUAUGAUAUUUUAAUUAUGUUUAUCAUUCCAGGUUUUAUGUAUAACUUUUAAGAAAUUUGUUAUUAUGUCAACUUAAAUUUAGUUAUGUUGGUGGAUGCAUUUUAGGAACUUAAGUUAUCAAUAACCAUGUUACAUUGUACACUAGCCAUCAAGUUCAAGUGUAGAAUGUGUAAGUCCCAAAGACAACCAAGAGGGGGGGGUGAAUUGGGUUGUUCAAAAUCUUAAUCAGAUUUAGGCAAUUUUUGCUAAAUUAAAAUUUCCUUCUUUUCUAGUAAUGAUCAACCAAGUGAAUUAGAAGACAAGAGCAAUAUUGAUCAGAAAUACAAGUAUAAACAAGCAAUGAGAAUUUUAUUAAACAGAAAAGUAAAUUGGGGAAUCAAACCAAGUGUCUACCAAGCUAUCCUCAAACUUGAAGACCACACACUAGGAAGAGCAACUUCUCUUUGAUGGAAGACGAUCAACUAGAUGUACAAUGGAGGGAGCACUUCCUCCUUGCCCUAAGCCUCACUUAGUCAAGCUAAGAAGUUUUACAAUCACUCUGAAAACCCUCAACAAAGCUACACUAAAGAUCCUUUCAAUCACAAAAGAAAUGCUCACCAGAAAUUCACACCACUUUAAAACAAAUCUAGCUUUGGAGACUAUUUUCUAACUAAAAUAUCUCUUGAGAUCUUGUAAACAAAGUGUGCAAAAGUCCUUACUUCGUUCAGACCAGUUUGAUUUUAAAGGGAACCAGAAAUGGGCUUCAUCAAUGCUUCCAACGGAUAGAAGGCAGCUGAAGAGUCAACUAGCCGUUGGGGCUGUCGGACGUCCGACGAUCAAAUCAUCGUCCGAACCAAUCGUCCGAUGGCAUCCAAGUUGACGUUCGGACGUCCGAUGCGUCUUGAUCGUCCGACACCGCACCGUCCGAUCGUAGGCAGAGAGUUGGCAAGUCAGCUUGGAAUUUUUCGGACGUCCGAUGCGGUUGAUGAGCGUCCGAUGGCAAGCGUCUGAUCCUUCCGGACGUCCGAUGCUUCCUCACGAGCAUCCGACAGAGCUUCCUUCUUGAUGCUCUUUAUCCUUUCGGACGUCCGACAGAUUCCUUUCGGCCGUCCGACGUGAGUAUCCUGUUUUUGCUUCUUCUUUUGGUUGAAAUGCAUUUCAUGACCUAUUCAUACCUGAUUCUUUGAUAUGUAAAGACACUUAUAAUCGAAGAAGGUUAGAUACAUUUCAAAAUACCAAGAAUAGCAAAAUUGUCAUACUUAAAGGACAGUAUCUUUGAUUGGAACAAAACAAUGACUAAAUUCAUUCAUUUUAUUCCAAUCAUGUUUGCCACAUCCAAAGCAACGUAGUCAGGAGAUAAACGAACAUAUGCUUUCUUUGUUCCAUCAGACCUGAUCAAAGUGUUCACUUUCUUGGUUAGUAUAAACAUUUCAAAUUACUUUGUGAUCAUCAAAACCAAGAAUAACAUUCUCCCCCUUUUUGAUGAUGACAAAACAAAGGUUUGAAAUGAGAUUUGAUGAUUUGAAUAAAAUCUCCCCCUUUCACAAUAGACAAGAACUCCCCCUUUCUUAGUGAAUCAUAAACAAUUUUGAAAAACUCCCCCUCACUUGGCUGCCCAACCGAAUUACACAAUUAUCCAAUUAUACAAGCCAAUCCAAUCAAUCCAAUAUCAAUCCAACAUCAUCAAAUUCAAUCCAAUAUCAAUCUAUAGAUCCGGCCAUCUCCCCCUUUUUGUCAUCACAAAAGGGUAAUCAAUUACAUCCAUAAAUGCAAACCACAGUCAUUCACAAACACAUUCAUUACACCAAUGCAAACCAAAUUCAUUAUAUUCACACAAUCAGAAUAGACAAACAAACAUCCAUCAAAAUACUUAGACAUCCAUCAACACAGUACUUAAACAUCCAUCAAAACACACCAAAAGAAACUUAGAAUAUCCAUUACAUUUCAUAUUCAUUGUUAAAUACCACAAACACAUAAAUAAGAUAAACAAAAUGCAAAUGUCCUAAAUGAUGAACUAAGUGGAUCCAGGUGUCCUCCGAGAGAGCUGAUAUUGGUCAAGAUCCUCCUCUUCAGUUUCUUCAUCAUCUUCAGCAGCCUCUUCAACUGGUGCCUUGCCUUUAUCUGAUGUAGAGAUGCCAUGAGGAGUCACAGGGGUUGAAGAACCAGGAUCCGGAAUUGAUGAACUUGGAUCAGUGGGGUGUGACUCUUUGUCAUGGGAAACUUCCUCAACCACAGGUGGAGGAAAAAGAAGAUUCUUUUUGUCAAGAAAGGCAGUUUGUUGCUCAGAAGACAUGGUGAGCAUGAGACCAUGUUCUAGAAGAAGAACAUGCUGUUUGAGUUCUUGAAGAAGCUCAAUUACUUCAUUACUGGAAGAGGAAGAUGCUUUAGUGGCAGAUUUCCUAGGGUGAAUGGGAGUGAGUGAAAUGGGUGAAGGAUCAUGUGCAGUCUUGGACCUAAGUUCACUAGAAGAUGCACCCUUAUAAGCCCACAGAUUAUCUUUGAAAACAAGAUUUUUCCUUUCAAAAUACCCUUUUGUAAAGGCAUAAGAAGAUGCUUCUUUAGGACAAACACCUAGAAUAGGGACUUUGUUAAACUCAAAAAUCUUUUGAAAAAACUUUCCAUAAGAUAAUUUUCUGCGAGAAUCAGUGGCAUAGCGAAGUAAGAACUUGCACAUGACAAAACCAAAAUCAAUACGAAUUUUUUCUUGAAAACAAUAAAAGAGGUACAACUCCAUUUUGUUUGCAUCAGUUCUAUGGCCAUCAGUAGGCACAAGCAGGUUUGAAAUGAUAGAAAAAGCAAUUAAAUUCACAGGGGCCAGAUCAUUCAAUUUAGCAUCAGCAGGUGAGGAAAAACUUCUUUUGAAAUAGGUUAACAUUUUUGUCCCAUCAAAAUGAUUUGCCACAGUCGGGAGCUCUUCAUAGGAAAAGAAAUUAGCAAUCUUAUCUUUGCAUAAACGUUCAAUGGUAGUAUUUAAAAUGGAGUUCACAAUUUCAGAGUCAAUGAUUAAGUCUACCCCAUUAACCCUGGAAAAUAUUUCAGUUGGGUCGGAACCUUUCCUUAGAUUGGCAAAAAAUUGAUGCAACAUAUCAGGAUAGUAGACAUUUGGCAUAGAAAUAAGAUGUGACCAUUUCUGGAAAGCAAAUAGACUCAGAAUGGAUUCUAAACCUAUGGAGCGAAAUUCAGAGGGGUUUACAGUUCUUUGAGGGAUGACACCCUUCUGGGAUAUCCAGGAGUAUUUGUCUUUCGCAGCAUCAUCAAAGAAUGUAGGAGGAGGGACUGAUUUAGGAGGCGGUUGAGAAGAGGUCCCCUGUCCAGAUUCUGGUUGAGAAGUGAGUUGUGGAGUAGGUCGUGACAUUUGACCCUUGAUAGCUCCCCUUUUGAAGCGUUUGGAUGUCCGUUUGACAGUGGGAAGAUCCUCAUCCACAUCCCUGAGUGGAUGCUUGCGUCCGGCAGUAACUUUUCCUCCCCUUAGAUUCACCAUUGCGCGAAAUGUGUGGAAUGAAGAAUGCAAAUGAUGCACACAGCAGUAGGGAAGUGAAUCGAACAAAAAUUUGGAACAAAAGACCUUGUACAAGAUUUGACAGAGCGGUUAUGAGAAGGUAGGGUUUUGAGGAAAAUUUGGGAAUGUGCGAAGUGAUAGAUGAUUCUGUGAAAUGAUCAGGAAAAAUGACUCGCAAUUGACCAGGAACUGUUUUGGUUGAGUCAAUUUGGGAAUGGGGGCUUCAGAAUAAUAUGAAUUUGGGAGUGAGAGACAAGAGGGUUUUCGUCCGAGAGAAAAUGAAAUGGGAAGAGUCUGAGGCAAUUGAGGAAGAAAGUUGUGUUAAAAAAUGAGCCGUUGCACUGUCGGACGGCCGAACGAAGUUGUGCGUCCGACAGCUGCGUCCGAACAAGCGCAAUCUGGAAAAUGGCUGAAGAACAUCAUCGGACGUCCGUUCAUCUUCUUUCGGACGCCCGAAGACCCAAAGAAAAUUAAGAUGAUUUUUCGAUUAUUCCUAAUUUUGAUCUUAGAUGAAUGAACUGUUCUAAUGGCAAAGCUUUUGUAAAAAUAUCAGCAAAUUGAUCUUUAGAACAAACAUAAUUUACACAUAUUUCACCUUUUUGAACAAGAUCACGAAUAAAGUGAUGCUUUAUAUCUAUGUGCUUUGUCCUAGAAUGAUGAAUAGGAUUUUUGGUCAAAUUUAUAGCACUAGUAUUAUCACAGAAUACAGGCAUGCAGUCAUACAACAAUCCAAAAUCAUUCAAAGUGUGCUUCAUCCAUAAAAGUUGAGCACAACAUGCACUAGCGGCAAUAUAUUCCGCUUCGGUUGUAGACAAAGAUAUUGCAUUUUGCUUUUUGCUAAACCAAGAGACUAAACAAUUUCCAAGAAAAUGACAAGUUCCACUAGUACUCUUUCUAUCCACACGACAACCUCCAAAAUCAGCAUCCGAAUAACCGUAUAGUGCAAACUCAUUAGAUCUAGCAUACCAAAGACCAUAGUCUAAUGUACCUUUCAAAUACCUAAAAAUUCUUUUUACAGCAUUCAAAUGUGAUUCUUUUGGACAAGAUUGAAAUCUAGCACACAAGCAAACAGCAAACAUAAUAUCAGGUCUACUUGCGGUUAAAUAGAGUAGGCUUCCGAUCAUACCUCUAUAUUGCUUUUCAUCCACAUGAUUACCUUCUUCAUCUUUGUCAAGCUUUGUAGAAGUGCACAUUGGAGUUCCAACUUGCUUUGAGUCCUCCAUGCCAAACCUUUUCAGCAACUCCUUGGUAUAUUUUGCUUGAUUUAUAAAAAUUCCCUCAAGAGCUUGAUGUAUUUGAAGUCCAAGGAAGAAAUUUAAUUCUCCCAUCAUACUCAUUUCAAAUUCACUUUGCAUAGUGGUGGAAAAAUCCUUCUCGGAUGGAUCACCAAUUAUAAGCUCUUUUGGAUGAUUUUGGCUGAAUUUCCAAGCCUUGGGAAGAUCUUUGAGUGAAUCAUCAUUUUUGUCUUCAUCUUCCUCUUCUUGAUCAUUAUGAACUUCAUUUUCCAUUUCAGUUGCUGCUGGUUUAGAACUUCCUUCAUUUCCAAUUGACAGCUUUUCCAUUCCAACAUCACCUAUUCCAAUUGUUUUAGCUUUCACAUCAUCACCAAAUGUCACUUUUCCACUUGAUCUUGAUUUCAGCUUUAUGAACAAAGAGGGAUCACCGGUCAUAUGCCUUGAACAACCGCUAUCAAUGAACCAUUUGGACUUGUGUGAGCAUUUUUCCUCAUUAUCUCCAAUAGCCAUGAAGGCCAUUUGAGCUGAUUCUUCCUCUUCUUCAACUUCCCUUUCAGAGUUGCAUUCAUUCCAAGUAAUCUGGAAGUUGUUGAAUCUUGGCUUUCGAUCAGCUUUUCCAUCUUUCAUUUUCUUCAUGGGGCAUUCGUUUGCAUAGUGUCCAGGCUGUCCACAUUCAUAGCAUUUGUCCACUUGCUUCUUGUUGAAUUCUUGUUUUCCUUUGUUCCUUGCAUUUGAUGAAUAAUUUUGGAAUUGAUUGCUAGGUCCUCCCUUUCUGAACUUCCUUUAUUCAAGAUUCUUUUGAAACCUCUUGUGAUGAGAGCAAGAUCAUUAUCAUCACCAUCCGAAUCUUCAUCAUCCAAGUGAGCUGGAUCAUCUUCACUUUGAGUAGUCUUUAGAGCAAUAUUUCUUUUUGCUCUAGCAUCCUCUUCCUCCUGCACUUUAGAUUUCAGUUUCAACUCAUAAGAGGUUAGUGAGUUAAUGAUAGAUUCAAUAGGCACAGAACUUAAAUCCUUAGCCUCCUCUAUUGCAGUCACUUUAUUUUCCCAUUCUUUGCCCAAUGCAUUGAGAAUUUUUCUGUUCUUCUCUCCCAAGGUGUACUCUUUGCCCAACACCUCGAGAUCUUUGAUCAAGUCAGUGAACCUGCAAAACAUUUUGUCAAUAUCCUCAAGAGGUUCAAUCUUAAAAGAUUCAUACUUUGUGACCAAGAUGGCCUUUCUCUGUUCUCUCACAUUGUCACCACCCUCAUGGAUUUCUCUUAACUUAUCCCACAUUUCUUUGGCUGAUUUACAGCCUUUCACUCUAAUUGAUUCAUUUGAAUCUAAGGCACUAUAAAGAACAUUCAUGGCCUUGGCAUUCAAUGUGAGGUUAGUCCUGUCUUGAGCAUUCAUUUCAGCUCUCAUUUUUGGCCGAAGCAGCCCUGUAUCUGCAUCAAGAAAGUUAGCUUCAUGCGGUCCUUCACUCACAAUAAACCACAGUUCAAUAUCAAUAGAUUGCAAAAAAAUAAUCAUCCGUUCUUUCCAGCUAACAUAGUUGGAGCCACUGAACAUGGGAGGCCUAGUAACAGAUUGCCCCUCAACAAACAUAGCAUGACUGGUUGUCAUCUUUACUCCAAGCCGUUAGAGCUUAAUCUCAAGGAGACCAAGCUCUGAUACCAAUUGUAAGUCCCAAAGACAACAAGAGGGGGGGUGAAUUGGGUUAUUCAAAAUCUUAAUCAGAUUUAGGCAAUUUUUGCUAAAUGAAAAUUUACCUUCUUUUCUAGUAAUGAUCAACCAAGUAGAUUAGAAGACAAGAGCAAUAUUGAUCAGAAACACAAGUAUAGACAAGCAAUGAGAAUUUUAUUAAACAGAAAAGUAAAUUGGGGAAUCAAACCAAGUGUCUACCAAGCUAUCCUCAAACUUGAAGACCACACACUAGGAAGAGCAACUUCUCUUUGAUGGAAGACGAUCAACUAGAUGUACAAUGGAGGGAGCACUUCCUCCUUGCCCUAAGCCUCACUUAGUCAAGCUAAGAAGUUUUACAAUCACUCUGAAAACCCUCAACAAAGCUACACUAAAGAUCCUUUCAAUCACAAAAGAAAUGCUCACCAGAAAUUCACACCACUUUAAAACAAAUCUAGCUUUGGAGACUAUUUUCUAACUAAAAUAUCUCUUGAGAUCUUGUAAACAAAGUGUGCAAAAGUCCUUACUUCGUUCAGACCAGUUUGAUUUUAAAGGGAACCAGAAAUGGGCUUCAUCAAUGCUUCCAACGGAUAGAAGGCAGCUGAAGAGUCAACUAGCCGUUGGGGCUGUCGGACGUCCGACGAUCAAAUCAUCGUCCGAACCAAUCGUCCGAUGGCAUCCAAGUUGACGUUCGGACGUCCGAUGCGUCUUGAUCGUCCGACACCGCAGCGUCCGAUCGUAGGCAGAGAGUUGGCAAGUCAGCUUGGAAUUUUUCGGACGUCCGAUGCGGUUGAUGAGCGUCCGAUGGCAAGCGUCUGAUCCUUCCGGACGUCCGAUGCUUCCUCACGAGCGUCCGACAGAGCUUCUUCUUGAUGCUCUUUAUCCUUUCGGACGUCCGACAGAUUCCUUUCGGCCGUCCGACGUGAGUAUCCUGUUUUUGCUUCUUCUUUUGGUUGAAAUGCAUUUCAUGACCUAUUCAUACCUGAUUCUUUGAUAUGUAAAGACACUUAUAAUCGAAGAAGGUUAGAUACAUUUCAAAAUACCAAGAAUAGCAAAAUUGUCAUACUUAAAGGACAGUAUCUUUGAUUGGAACAAAACAAUGACUAAAUUCAUUCAUUUUAUUCCAAUCUUGUUUGCCACAUCCAAAGCAACGUAGUCAGGAGAUAAACGAACAUAUGCUUUCUUUGUUCCUUCAGACCUGAUCAAAGUGUUCACUUUCUUGGUUAGUAUAAACAUUUCAAAUUACUUUGUGAUCAUCAAAACCAAGAAUAACAGAAUGAAAACUUGUGAAGUACUUAACACUAAAGUUGCAAAAAAAAAAAAAAAAAAAAACCGGUGAACUGGUUGGACUGUUCGGACCGCGAACCUGCCGCCUCUCCGGUUCGCUAGCCGGUCCGAGUUUAAAAACAUUGGCCGACACUGGUUGCCCAUCUUCAACCACCACCAACACUGCUUUUCAAGAUCAAUUCUUGCCCAACACUCAUUUUAUUCGCUUGAGUCAUGAUUAUGGCAUCAUUUUUCAUCAGUUUAAACCCUUUGACGAUACAAAAACAAGGUCACAAUUGAAAUUUUGAUUUGAAAAUUUGAAACUUUCGGGAUUGCCUCCUACUAUGGGCUUGUCUCAUACUCGGGCAUAUGCCUAAACAAAUUCAUCAACCAACACUCACUCUGCCAUUGGGGCACCCAAUCAACCCCUUUAUAACAAUUUUGAAGACACACAAUACUAGGGUUGGACAAAAAUACCCGUUAACUCAAAAAUCCAUCAUAUUCGAUUCGAUUCGAUUCAACAAAUAGGGUAUCCGAUGUGCAUUAUUUGAUUAGGUCAAAAGAGGGUUAGGUAAUUACUUAUAUGCGAUGCAAGGUAGGGUAUUAAGAAUCCAUGGGUAUCCAACGCAUCACACAAAUAUAUUUUUUAUUUUUUAUUUUUAUACACAUACUACAAAAUAAUACUUUUGGGGCUAAAUAAGUAAUUUUAUUGAAGAAGCUAUAUUAUAAAUAUGAAAAUUAUAGUUUGUUUAUAAGAUUCAUUUAUAGAGGUCGUGAUCUUUUUUUCUUUUAGGAAAGAGUUUAAUUAAUGUAGAAUAUAUACUUUUAAAAAGGUACUAUUUAGUUGAAAUUUUCAUUGAUUUUGAAUUAUUUUAAUUAUUUUCUUUUUCUUGUAUUCUCUUCGCAUAUUUGUUUUUUGGUAGGAGACUUUUUUUGAGAAAAAAAUCUUUAUUAAGUCUUAGAUAAAUAUUCAUAAUACAAAAUUAAAUUACUAUAAAUUAUUUUUUUUUAAAAUUAAAUGAUAACCAAGGCGACACAGGUACCUGUUGAGCCAACCCUACCUUAACGAAUACCCGUUCAUAUGUGGGAUGGAUAAGGGUCAAAAAAUAACUGACCUGCAAGGUGCAGGUCUAGUUAGCCAAAUAAUGCAUAGAACAUGUACUACUCAACCCAUACUCACCCCUACCCAAAACAAAUCUUAAUAAUCAUAAAAUAGCAACCAGAACAUGCAAAAUCCAAUUUUCAAAUUUCUCCUCAAGAUUUAGCAUCAAAUUUUACAAAAAUUACACAAAAACAAUCCAAUCAACAAAUAAAUACUCAAGCACUGAAUUGACAUUAUACUGUAUUUGUGCAGCACCGAAUUGACAUUAUCUGACUUGUAUGUAUGGCGAAAUAGAGGAACUAUGGAGAGGAGGGGGAGGAGGGAGAAGGAUGCUGAGAGUAAGGGAGGAGAUGAAUCGGAAAAUUUAGAUAUUUUUUCUUUUUAUUUUUCUAUAUUUUCUUUUAACCGUAUUUGUAGGUAACUUGCACCAAAACAGCCUUAUUCUCUUAGUACUUUUUUGCCUUUUUAUAUAACACAGGUGCAUUAACGCACAACAGAAGCACCCUAUCAAUCUAAGAUCCCAGCCUGCUUGUAGCUUUCGACAGAGUCAACAAGAGUUUCUUCCACUGGCCUAUAUCUCCAGCCCAGCCUCUCCAAUUUUUCUGAGCUAAUAUUCCAUCGGCUUUGAUCCUUCACCUCUAUGAGUCUGCGAAGAAAUGAGUUAUAUCAAGAAAAUAUGCAGACAACAUAAAUGGUUCUUGUAGAGACUCGUAGAUGCCACACUUUUGGAAAUGGAAAUCAUGACGGACAUGAACAAACAAGAAAAUCAGGACAAACGGGGUGUCUGAAAAAUGAGACAAUUAAUUUCAAAGAUGGUAAUCCACCUCUUAGGGUACUUGUAGUUGGCAUAGUUUUUCCUCAGAGUUUCCACCAUAUCUUUUGUCGUGGUGACGUGAGGUGAACAUAUGUACCGGCCUUCAGCUUCAGGUCUCCCGUAAACCAAAAGCAGUGCCUCGGCCACAUCACGCACAUCUACUGUGUUGUAGAAUUUGUUUUCUGUUUCUUCACAUCCUUCUGUGCAGCCAAGGAGUAAAAAGAAGAGCAGUUUAAUAUCAAAAAAUGAUGUUAUCUAAGCUAAUCUCUGAGUUCUUUACUGCAUAUAUGAAACAUACAAUCCCUUUGACAAAUCGUACCGCAAUAAAUUCAUGCGACUUUUGAACUGCAAAGGACCUACAGGUCGCAAUGUUAACCUUUUAUAUCUUCAACUACGUCCCAAAGCAAUCAAGCAAACAGUUGAAAGAUGCAACCUCUUCAGAUGUUAUGCCUAUUGUCUUUCUCACCUUCCAUUAGGUUCUUAAGUUUUUUUUUUAGAGCACUUUGCAAGUUUUCAGAUCAUUGCCAAAAUCAUAAAACUAUUAGAAUGGCAGAUAGCUUACAGGUUUAGAAUCUGAAAACCUCUCAGCUGGCUUGAAGAUUAAAAAAAAUGCCAAAAGGACGGCAACGCAGUUAUCUCAAUGAAUAUAGUUUCAUUCCUAGAAGUUCAACCGCAACCAUGUUGACGAAUUUUGUGAAAUUUUAUUGACAUCAAUUCAUUUUGUAUCAUGAAAAUAACACUGGAAGCCAGAAGCAUAAAAAUGAUGGGUUACUUGGAAAAUUAGUUGAUCAACCGCAUGAAGAAAUUCAAUUGCUUGACCUUUGACGGACCAAAAGAAAAAAUGCUAAGCUUUAGAGUUCAUCAGAGUUCUACAGUGACAUCCAUGCACCAAUAUCAAGGAAAAAACUGUAUCACUUACGACCACUUCCAUGCAGAAGGUGAAAGAAAGAAAGAAAAUAUAUAACAUAACAGAAUAGUUCUCUAAUUGAUUUGAUUACGGGCAUUAGUAAAUCACCUUUCAAGAGCUUUAUGAGAAUUAGGCUGCUAGCAUUUGCGUCAUGCUGAAGCAUGGGGCCAAAAACAUAGGAUGGGCAUACAGUUAAAACAUCAAGGCCAGUUUCUUUUGCAUAUUGUAAAGCCUCUCUUUCAGCAACCGUCUUGGAGUAACAAUACCAGAUCUGGAGCAAUAUUAGUACAGGAUGGUCAACCAAAAACAGAUAGUAAUUGCUAAAAUCUGAUUUCUCAGCAAUCUUAGAAGCAGUAUGAAUAAGACAGUGAAUUUUCUGCACAAUUACAAAACCAAGGUGCAACUGUAAAAAGUGUAAUUAUGUUGAUGCAUACAUUUGUUGCCUUGCAGUAUUCUCCGUCUGACCAACACUUCUCAUCUAUAAUUUCACCUUCAGACAGAUUAGGACUCAUUACAACAGCAGCAAGAGAGGAAACCGCUACAACGCGCUUGACAUUUGCUUCAGAACAAGCCUUCAGUACAUUAAGGGUACCCUUUACAGCUGGCUCAACAAGUUCAACCUGCAAGAAAUCAUCAUGUUGGCAGAGGAACUAGCACUCAACUCUUCAUGCUGAACCGCUUGUUUUUGCGUAAAAUAUAUCCAGAUAGACGACUAAGUAGUGUCAGUUAACCUGACAUCUUUAGAGUGAAUGAGUACAUAGUUAAGAACUCAUGACUGCUUAUGCCAGCGAUGAACUUGGUUACCAGCUUAGGUUAUUAUUAUAUGCAUUUAUUCACUCAUUUCAACAUUUGAAAAAUCCUUCCACAAAUAGAUAGAAAGGCAAAGAGCCCCAGUGACUACAUAAGUUCGUACAAAAGCUUUAACAAGAUCCUAUUUUAAACGAUACCCAACUUUAGCUCAUGUUUGGCAAAACGCAAUAAAAUAUCAUCUGUUAUGACAAAAGCUGUCUCUCAUAAACAAAAGAUAUGUUAAAGAUGUUAUUCUGGGGAAACCAAAAGGAUAAAAUAUCAUAGCAAUUGAAACGAUUGAAAAUGGUCUUGCCUCAGGAUUGGGAACAGAGCCUGAAGGAACAGGACUAGCUACAUGAAAUACGCCAUCACAACCCCUGAUGGCUGCAGAAAUGGAGUUGUAAUCCAGCAAAUCAGCCUUAAAGAGUUUCAAAUUCUCAGCUGCUUUGUCAAGUUUCUUCAGAUGAACAUAUUUCUCAUCCUCUACAAAACAUACACAGCAAUGCCCACAUCAUCAAAUAGCGCAGCACACAAUUCACAGCAGGUGCUUUUAUAUAUUUCUUCAAUUAAACAUAUUUCUCACCCUUCACAAAACAUUUACAGCAAUUCCCACUACAUCAAAUAGGAAACAGCCAAUUGACAGCAGGUAAAAAAUCAAUUGUUGUAUUAAAGGGAAUGAAACAAAUUAUACAAGACCCAAAACCCAAAAAAAAAAAAAGAGCAGUAAAUCAGGAAGGAAGGGGUAUGAGGAUGAAAUACGUACCGGGGUUUCUGAGGGUGGCAUGAACAGUAUAGUGGCGGGAAAGGAGUAGCUUGACUAACCAAGAUGCCAGGUAUCCCCCUGCUCCUGUAACACACACUGUCCUGUCCUUCUCAGCCUCCCACGCUGCCAUGUCUGAUUGCUUACUAGUAGCAGUAGUGGGAUUAGUAUUUUAGCACCAAAUUCACUAUAGACUGAUCAAGAAGGUGGGUGAAGUUCUAUUCUUUUCUUUUUGUGAAUAUUAAUUCUUUUUUGGUUGGACAAGGCAGAGAUUUCGUCGAUCCUUAAGGAGAGGGCGAUUGGAGGAGGAAGAGGAGGAGGGGGAGGAGGUGGUGGUGGAAUUUGAAUGGAUAAGUCCUGUAUGUAGGAGCUAGCUGAUUCCAGCAGUCUCUGUCAAUACUAGUAGUGAUCAGCAGCUAGCAGGCGUGGGGGCUUGUAUAUAGCAGCAGACCAAAGGUGCUGUUGUGAUUUGCAUGGCUCAUAGAUGACGUAGGGUUUCAAGGUUUCAGUGGGGUGUGGGGUGGUGGGGGGGGGGGAACGGUAAUAAUGGUAAAUGUAUGUCAAAUGAAAUUUGAGUGUAUUAUUGAGAGAUUUCUAGCAAUCUGUUAACAAAAUUUAUUUUAUCUAAAAAAGGAGUAAAAGAGCGUAAUAUUAUUAAGUUAUAAUAAAAUUUGAUGCAUAUAUCAAUAAAAUUAGAUAUUCUGUGCAUUUGAAUACAACAGUAUACUAUGAUUGUACCAUUGUCAGAUGUUUAACAAAUUUAUUAAUGGAUAUUAAAGUGUUAGAUUUUAUCUCAUAUUUUCCCAAUUUAUGACUCAGAUUUUAAAUUGAUUAACUCAUUAGAGAAUAAAAAACUCAUCCCGUUGCUAAACUGGACAAGUAACAAAUACUCAUGUCCAUAAUGGGGUUUUGCUUCUUAUUGAAAUUCUAUAAUGUGAACCAAACCCUAAAUCCCUCCAUCCUGAAAUAUAAACUAAACUACUCAAUAUUCAAAGCAAAUUCCGCUCAGUAAAAGUUUGUUCGAAUUUGAUUUGCAAACUAAUUUAAUCAAGUUACAAUAAAAUUUUAUGUUUAAAAAAAUUUUAACUGCAGCUCGAGCAUAGCUCGAUAAUCAUAAAAUUGGAUUUUAUAGAUAAAAAUUACUCGAAUUCGACUCAAUAAAAAUUCUUUUGAACUUGCCUCAGUAAAUAAACGAGUCAAUCCUAAAUACUAUCUCAAAAUUCUUUAAAAUAAAUAAACAAGAUACUUGGUUUGAUUAGACACAUUCACAGCCCUAUUUUUCAUAUGCUCGAUAAUAACAUAUUUCUGCACUGGACCAGAUCAGGAAUAGGUAUCUAACUCGUUGAGUUUUGGGACAUGUUUAUCAUUUUUUAAAAUCUUUUUUUUAUUUCUUGUUUUUUAGGAAAAAAACUAAAGGAUGUGUUUGGAUUAGAGACCAAUGAACUUUUUUCCCCCCCGUGCCUAAUUGCAGAUUAAAAGGAAGAACUAGUUCUUAGAUAACGUUUCUAAGUACAACUCUAUUACUCAGAAAACUGGUCUACCUGACUGUGGGUUUUCCUUUAGUCAUGCCAUUUUGUCAUUAGUGAUGAUUGCUUCUUCUAAACCUUAGCUCACUGCACACGCCAAGCGUAUGAAAGCCAAACUUAAAUUGAACUCGUCAAGUUGCAAAAUAAGAAAAUUUGGGUUACGUUUGGUAUGAGUAGUAAGGGAAAAUUUAAUUCCUAUAUUUAUGAUUCUUGACUAAUGUGAUUGUAGAAUUGUUGACUGAAAAUAAAAGGAAACUGACAAAGAAAUGUCAUGUGAUUGCAUGUGCAUGGUUAAAACAAUACAAAUUAUAACCAAUUUGAUCCAUUGUUUUUAAGGUUUUGAUCGUUUUGGUUCCUUAGUAUCAUGACAAGCCAAUUUUGCCUCUUAAAUUUAAAAAUAUGGUUAGGGAGGUCCUUUUGAUAGAAAUUUGAGUCGCUAAUGAAGUGAAGAGACCCUUUAAUGCCUUUCGUGUCACAUCCGUCUCAACAGUAUAUUAAAGUUUCAAAAAAUCUCAAAUAAGUCAUAAAACUCAUAAAAAUAAACCCAAAACUCUUUAUCGUGAAGAAAAUAAAUUUUUGUAACUUUAAAAUAAAUCAAACACAAAACUUUAAACAUAAUUAUGGAUUUUGUGCCAUUUCCGAGUUGAAAUAUCAUGAAAAAGAGUACCUAAAGGUGAAAGAAAAAAUGCAUAAAUUUAUGUUUGACAUAGUAUAAAAAACUUUUAUUUCAUUAUAUUGAAGAGUUAUGGGUGAGUUUAUAGUUUUAGGCUUUUGUUUGAAUGCUUGGUGUUUUCUGCAAGAUGGUACGAAGUACCCUCUAAGGUCUCUUAACUCCGUUAACAACUCUAAAUUAGCCUUGACCAAAUUCUUAAAAUUUAAGAAAAAUUGGUUCGCCAUAAUACAAAGGGACUAUAUUGUUUGGAGAUAAGAUACCAAAUUAAUUAAUUUUUAUUCUUUGCGUAAUUCAAGUGAUUUCUCCGUUAGCUUCCCACAAUUUUGCUGCAUUAGUCUCUUUUGAUGGAGAUAGAGCACUAAAUUUGUUGAUAUGACAGACCAUAUUGGCUGAGACUUCAAAGAUAGAUGACCAAAGCAACAACAUUUCCUAAGUAGUUCAUGAAUCAUUUUCAUUGUAUAGUUAGAUAUGAUAGAGAAGAUGUAUCUUUUUUAAAAAUGAAAGGAAAUAAUAUUAAGUUAUAGAUGAUUUCUUGAAUAAAAGGGCAAUAAUAUUAUUGUACUCACUUUUUUCAUUAUUUUUAACUUAGACUAGUUUUCAUGAGGGGUAAAAUAUACAUAUUUAAUGUUAAUGGGAGCAAAGUGUGAUUAUCCACUAAGUUUAGGGGACGCAAAGUGUUAUUAACCCUUUUUAUUCAUAAUAUAUAAUUUUGUAGACUCUCUCUCUUCUUAGGAUCCUCUCUAUCUUCUCUCUUCUCGCCACUAGUGAUCGUAAGGUUUCAUGGCAGCCCUUCAGCCAUCGGCUGAGGGGCAAGAAUUUUCCCCUACAAAAAAAAAAUCUUUUUCUCAGCUUUUCUCACAGCCGGCAACAUCUCCAAUCCAGAUUCGGCAGGCUUCUGUUUACAAGGGUGAAGCGGCGGUUAUAUUUUCCAGAAUAGAAGCGGACAAACUUGCAGCACCAUUUAGAUGGACUUUGGUUGGCAAAUUCUCUCAUGGACGACCUUCUCUGGAAGAUAUUCGAAAGUUUUUUGCCUCUUUAAAUUUGAAAGACCAAGUCUCCAUUGGAUUACUGGACUAUAGGCAUGUCCUUAUUAAAUGUACAGCUGAAGCAGAUUUCAAUAGAAUUUGGACAAGAGGAAUUUGGCAGUUGGGUAAACAUCCAAUGCGUGUGUUUCGAUGGACCAGGGAAUUUCAUGUGCAUAGAGAAUCAUCUCUAGUACCGGUUUGGGUAAAUCUUCCAGCUCUACCUAUUCAUUAUUUUGACAAACAUUCUUUGUUUUCCAUACUGUCUCCAGUAGGAAGACCUUUGUUUCUAGAUUCGGCAACGGCUGCUGGGAUUCGUCCUAGUGUAGCCAGGGUGUGCGUAGAGAUAGAUGUUGCGAAGCUUGUUGUGCCAAGGGUGUGGGUUGCUGUCGAAGGGGAAUCAGGUUUUUGGCAACGUAUUGAGACAGAGAAUCGUCCUCCGUAUUGUUCUUUUUGUUCAAGAUUAGGACAUUCUCAUGAGCACUGCAACAAGAAUUUGAAAAAAGAUGGGUCUCGGCUGCAACUGAACAACCAGCAAAACCCAUACAUAGAUAGAAAUCAGAUGAUUACUCAUCAACCUGGGACUAAUCAAACUGAUUUGGAGAAUAAAGAGGCAGCAAAUAUAUCCAAUGUUAUUGCAAAUGAAAUGAUAGUGAAUGGAGUUGCUGCUACUGCGAAUGAAACUGUGAUAAACGAGUCUACUUCACAGGAAAUUUCAACCACUGCUACGGUGAAAAAUGGGAUAAAAACUUUAGCAGCAAAGGCCAUGGUUGCUGAACCUGCCGUGCUAGUCGUGCAAAAGGAAGUAAAAAAUCUGCAACACUGCAUUAUUGAUGAUGAUCCUGCUAAUGAAGAAGGAGUAGUAACCCAUUUAGAAAUUUCAGAUGUCAACGUAAACAUGGAGACAUGUAAGGUGAUGAAUACGGUUUUGCAUGGGGAACAUGUAGCAAUGGAAAACCAGCUGGAGAAACAUCAUGGCAGUCAAAGUGAAGGGUCCCAUGUCCUCAAAGAGAAGCCUUUGAGCACCGAACAACAUCAUCUGGAUGAGAAUGCUUUAACAUUGGCACAACAGAAUCUGAGCGACAAAGCUACAACAUUUACACAAGCAAAUCAGGCCCACAACAACGCAAGGAGUGACCAUGAGCAAUUGGCCGACAAAACCAAUGUUGAACUGCAGCUGCUGGCCGACAAUAAUGUUUUGGAGAAUCUCUAUGUUGAAUUGCGAGGGGUGGAGGAUGAAGUUUCUACACAACAGUUGGUAGAAGCAAAUCAAAUGCCUACUAAUGCUGGAAAUCUGUCCCCCCGAAUUGGUGUCCUACAAGAAAAAUUGCUGGAAUCAUCAAUGAAUGGCCUAAACAUUGAUCAAAUAGGUGAGGCUGGUGGUGACUUCCGACAACCGCACAGAAAGGGUAUGCGGGCUCCAAUCCCAUCUGACAGACAGUUAAGGUCACAGACAUCAUCCAAAAAUUCAUUCCAGGUUCUUUCUUAUGAUUAAUGGAUUAUUUUGGAAUAUUAGAGGGAUAGCAAAAGCACCAAACCUAAGAAGAUUGAUUAAAUUAGUUCGGAUUUAUCAUGUUCAUUUUGUUGUGAUUUGUGAGCCAAAACUAGACGUAUCUAAAAUCGAACUCAUUCGGUUACGUCUAUCUUUUGAUUAUGUGUUUGUUAAUUGCUCUAGCGAUAUUUGGGUUUUCUAUAAUAAUCCUUUUGUUUGGUCGAUCGUUGGUAGUUCGGAUCAACAUAUUUCUCUAGAUGUUCAAAAUCCAUUACUACCAAGUUCCAUCAUUAUGUCUUUUGUUCAUGCAAAGUGCACAGUGGAUGAGCGUAAAGACUUAUGGACAUCAUUAUUACAUGAUAAGCCUACUUUACUUCCUUGGUGUAUUGGAGGUGAUUUCAACGUUAUAUUAGCAGCACAUGAAAAGCGAGGGGGGCGUCCAUUUGCUAUAGCGGAAGGAGUGGAUUUUAUGAAUUUCAUGGAGGAAGCUGAGGUCUUUGAUGUCGGUUUUUCAGGAUCUAAAUUCACAUGGUCUAAUAAUCGACGGAGUAGAGCUCAGAUUUCAAAAAGGUUGGACAGAUUUUUAGUCAAUGGAUCUUGUUUGGAUUUUUCAAAUGACAUUUCGGUACUUCACUUGGCAAGACACCCCUCCGAUCAUGCACCAUUGAAGGUUUCUUUUGCAACUCGGUCAGAUAACAAACCUCGGCCGUUCCGAUUUCUGAAUGUUUGGACUUCCAAACCAGAUCUCUUGGAAGUGAUUCGCCAUGUUUGGAAACAAGAUGUGGGUGGGCCUCCGCUACGCGUAUUGUGUUCUAAAUUAUUGGCAACAAGGAGAGCUAUUCAAUCAUGGAACAAGCAACAUUUUGGGAAUAUUUUUGACGUUGUCCGUUCUUCAGAAAUGGCGGUUCAACGAGCUGAGGAGUUGCUAGACCACGAUUAUUCCGAAGAGUGUCAAAUUGAGCUUAAUAAGGCACAAGCAGAAUUGCGGUAUUCAAUGUCAAUUGAAGAACAGUAUUGGAGACAGAAGGCCAGGGUCAAAUGGCUUCGUCAUGGAGAUAGGAAUACAAGAUAUUUUCAUGCGGUAGUAAGGCAGAGAAGAGCUCAAGGAAUGAUACACCGCAUCAAAAAGUCCAAUGGUGCGUGGGUGGAAAAGGACGAUGAUAUAGCAAGUGAGGCAACGGCAUAUUUCAAUGAUCUUUUCACGGGCUCUUUGGAAUCAUCUACUGAUAUGCUACAUUUAAUUCCGCACUUGGUUACGGAAGAGGAUAAUGGAAAACUGGAAGCAUUACCUUCAAUUGAGGAGGUAUAUGGAGUCAUAAAGUUAAUGGAUGGAGAAAGUGCAGCUGGCCCAGACGGUUUUACAGGCAAAUUUUUUACAUUUGCUUGGGAAGUGAUCGCUCAAGAUGUUUACAAUGCGGUACUGAGCUUCUUCUGUGGGGCGGAGCUACCACGAUUCAUCACUUCUACUUCAAUUAUACUAAUUCCAAAGACGCCAAAUCCUCAGGAAUUCUCUCAAUUCAGGCCUAUCAGUCUAUGCAAUUUUUUCAAUAAAGUGUUAUCUCGGAUUUUGACAGACAGGAUGGCUUGUUUACUGCCAAAAAUCAUUUCCCCACAUCAGACAGGUUUUGUGAAGGGCCGCAAUAUAACUGAAAAUUUUCUACUAGCUCAAGAGAUGGUAUCAAGCAUGGGGAAAAAGAAUAGAGGUGGAAAUGUUUUAAUGAAACUAGACAUGUCCAAGGCAUAUGACCGGAUGUCAUGGGGUCAUAUUAUUAAUAUUCUAAGGAGGUUUGGAUUCGGGGAAAUAUUUAUUGACCUUAUAUGGCGGUUACUCUCUAAUGUCUGGUUUUCUAUCAUUAUAAAUGGUUCCUCCUACGGUUUCUUCAAGUCUUCGAGAGGUCUUCGUCAGGGAGACCCAUUAUCUCCUGCAUUAUUCAUUAUAGGAUUUGAGGUUUUAUCUAGAGGACUGAAUAACCUCACCAUGCAAUCGAGGUUCCUGGGUUUCAAAGUUCCAUAUCGGUGUCCGACUAUUACUCACUUGGCAUUUGCGGAUGAUGUUCUUAUAUUCACAAAUGGAUCCUCUUCUUCUCUUAAGGCAAUCAUGCAGGUGUUACAGGCAUAUCAAAGGUGUUCGGGGCAGCUCAUAAAUGUGCAAAAAAGCUGUUAUUUGGUCCACCCAUCGAUGCCACCGGCGAGACGAAGGGUGAUUGAACGUAUCACUAGGUUUGCCUGGCAGUCAUUUCCGAUACGUUAUUUGGGAUUCCCUCUUUAUUCUGGAAGAUGCAAAUCUUCAUAUUUUGGAGAAGUGUGUCAGUCUAUUCUAGGGAGGAUUUUGUCAUGGAAAUCAAGGCUGCUUUCCUUUGGAGGCAAAAUAGUUCUAAUCAAGCACGUGUUGGCUUCUAUGCCAAUGCAUCUAAUGUCAGCUGCUGUGAUCCCGGCCAAGGUGUUCAAAAUUAUAGAAAGUUCGUGCUCGAACUUCCUGUGGAGAUCAUCAACCGACGACUCGAAAUUCCACUGGAUACGAUGGUCUCACUUGUGUUACCCGGUUGAGGAAGGGGGAGUCGGGUUCCGGAGACUACGAGACGUAUAUCAAGCUUUUUCAUGCAAGCUUUGGUGGAAUUUCCGAACAGGAUCAUCCCUGUGGGCAUCGUUCAUGAAAGCAAAAUAUUGCGGAAGCCUUCAUCCUUGUCAGAUCGAACUCAGAACAACGGACUCGGCAAUCUGGAGAAGGAUGAUCAACGUAAGUAGACAAGUGGAGCUCUCAAUGUUAUGGGAUGGAGCUUGUCAUUUUUGGUAUGACAACUGGUUGGGAAGUGGUGCGUUAUUUCUACAUGCAAAAGUUAUCCCAAAUUUGUCAUUCCAAAAUUUUAUCACCAAUGGUCACUGGAAUAUAAAUCUCUUACAUUCGACGAUGCCAAGCGAGAAACUUACUUCCAUUUUGGCACACCCGGUACCAGAGGAAGGGAGGGAAGUUGAAGUCUUUUGGAUGCCCACGAUAUCUGGUAAGUUCUCUCUCCAAUCGGCUUUUGGGGACGUCAGGCAGACCCGACACAAGUCAAUGGCUUUUACUUACAUUUGGCAUCUUCAGAUUCCUUGGAAAGUCUCAUUUUUCAUGUUAAGAUUGUUUCUGAGAAGACUACCAUUACCAGAUAGGUUAGGUAAGCUUGGCUUCCAACUUCCCUCAAAGUGUUUUUGCUGCUCCUCGGCAUCUGUGGAGUCUAUUGAGCACCUAUUUGCCAACGGACAUAUUGCCUCGGUAGUUUGGAACUAUUUUGGAGGCCUAUGUGGAUUCAGGUGUCCAGGAUCUUUUUUGCGUCCUCGCAUCGUAGGAUGGUGGCUACGUUUACAUGACUCUGAGACACGACGACUUAUCGACCGCAUUCUACCUAGUGUACUUUGCUGGCAGAUUUGGAAAGCAAGAAAUAAAGCAAUGUUUGAGGGUGUCCAAAUGCAAUCGUCUGCUAUUUGUAAGAACAUUUUCUCAGAAAUACAGUCUAUGGUGGGGAUUCAUUUCAAACAAGAACUUCAAUUGCAGUCCUUUCAUCAUUUGUAUGAUCGAUCGCAUGUAUCUGUCGGUAGAAUUGCAUAUAAAUUGGUUCGCUGGGAAAUAAAGGAGACAGGGAGAUUGAUACUCAACACGGAUGGAUGCUCUAAAGGUAAUCCAGGAGUGGGUGGAGGUGGUGGAGUUCUCCGAGAUUCAUUUGGCGUACCAGUGAUUGCUUUCUCGGCUUAUCUUGGACAAACUACAUCUCUCCGUGCAGAGACUUGGGCCCUCCUUAUUGGUCUUCAAACAUGUAAAAAUAGGGGCUUCGAAAAUAUAAGGGUUCAAUCAGAUUCAUUGCUUUUAGUUGAGAUCAUUCAGCAGCGUAUUCAAUGUCCAUGGGAGAUUCGAAGGGAAAUCAGACAGAUUUUGAAGCUCUUGGAAGAUCCUGCUCAUUUAUCACACUGUUAUCGAGAGGCUAACACAGUUGCUGACGCUUUAUCCAAUGUCGGAACAUCUCAUCCCCACCAACAAGUCAAGAUUUAUGACAGCUUCACUAUGCUCCCAAGGGUAGCUCGUGGGGCAAUUUUUCUAGACAAGUUGGGUUUGCCCUCAGUUCGGAAAAUUAGACGUCUGUAAGGAAAAAUAUUGUGUAUAUCUCUUUCAUUAAUAAAAUAAAAAAGUUCAAAUAAAAAAAAAAAAAAACUUAACUUACGCUUUAACCGUUAGGAUUUUCUUACAUUCAUUCGACAACUCAGUAACCAUCCUAUUGUAUAAUAACUAUCCUACACCUCAUCAAAGCCUGAUAAGAUGAAGAAAAUUUCAUUUCUGGCAUCUUAAUGCCUUACAUCCAGUAUUGAGGGAAAAAAAUUAGUCGCAUUACAGUCUGAGAAUUUGAAUCCAGUAAUUUCAUGGUCUGACGUAGUCACCCAAGUAGGUUCUCCUUAAAACAGGGUCUUGAGGCAAAAUACACAUCAAAUAGGUCAUCUGUCGAUCUUUGAUUAUGUCUACACGUUCAAAAGAUAGGCUUAAUCAUAUUAGUGGAAAUAACUCAUAGUUCAUCAUAUAUUAAUUUCCUAUUCAAUUUAGUUUGAAUACAUGAUCAAUGUUAUCAUAUGCCAAAAAAGAUUGAGGAUACUUUUGACCUAGUUCUUUGCACUAACUUGAAAUCUACCAAUUGUUCUUUCUUUGAUGCACUUGCAAAAUCUCCUGCAAAAGUAAAAUAACUCAGUUGGUGAAUUUUGGCUAACUGAGAGGCCCUAUCUUCUUUUUACUUCUUUAGCACAAGCGAAGAAUGAAUUUAUGCAUAAUAACCGUGUGAUUCUAAUGAGAUAUGAUUUUUUUGGUUUUGCAUGCUGGUUAAACAAUUGUUCAAGCUCUUAUCUCGGUUUUUGAUACUUCACCAGUAUGUUGCUGCUUCAUUAGAAGAAUUUUCUAUUUUAUGACUGGCAAGUGAUUUUGGUAUCUUAGCAGUUCAUCGAUUUUGGUGCUUUGUUUACAAUUUAAUUGGCUUCAAUGGUCCAUACAUAUAGGAACUUGGAAUUUACCCUUUUAUUUCCUUUUGCAUGAGCAAAGAUUAGUAAUUUUUAAUCAUAAUUUUCGAUUCCUCUAUUCUGGCCAUAGUGAAGAAAUCUACCUUUUUGUACUUGUGUAUUUGCACACCAAACAUCAUUGGGCUGUCUACUUUUGACAUUAUUCUUGAAUUACUCAGUUUAGAAUGUGUAUUAGUUGCUGGAAGCAAAUGCAUCAUCGUUGGCAAUUACUAAACAGAAAAUAUGCAUGCCAUUACUAUUUUCACUGAAAUUAGCAUCUAACUUAUAGUGAUCUAAUUAAAGGUUAACUACAUUGGUUUUGACUAGAACUAAGAGAUCAUUAGCCCUUUUAUUUUUGGAUUUGCAUUAAUCCAGUAUCAUCAAACUUCUUCAAAUGGGCUCUUUAGCUACUAACCCCUUCAAAAAUAAUUUAGGCUUACGGUUCUGUUGAUGUCGCAAUUGCAGGAGGUUCAGAAGAUAACGAAAGGCUCAUCUAAGAUUUCUUAAGGUGUUUGGCUUAUAUCGCUAGAUUUACCUAAUCUAUUUUCAUCCUUCUCCGAUGUCAUUAUUGUUAAAGUUCAAUUCAUAAGUUGGUUGUGUUAGAAAAUUGGCUUAAUUUCUUUUUAGAUAGGUUUUUGUUUUGUGCGAAAGUAACUAGUUUUCUAAUUGGUUUUAGUUACUCGAAAUAGUAGCCAAGAAAUUUCUUAUUUUGUUUAGAAUUAGAAGUUAUUUCUUAUUUUGUACAAGUCUAGGAAUUAAAAUUAAUUUCCUGUUGUUAUUUGGAUUUUUUGACCAAAUAAUGUUUUUAUAAAUAUGUGGGUUGGCAUGCUAUAAAAGAAACACAUAAGGGCACACAAGGACGACAUGUAACCUUAUACAUAGGUGGUGAGAGAGAGUUCUUGGGAGAUGAGAGAUGGUAUACAAAGGUUGGACUUGAGUUCGAGUUGUAUUCUUGUAUAAGGUUUUUCUCUCAUAACAAAGAACAAGUUUCUCUCCGUGGACGUAGGUUCAAUGGAGUCAAACUACGUUAAAUAUUGUGUGUUGUUUAUCUUUCAUACUUGUGGCUUGUUUCUCAUUAAAUUAUUAUGUACUUGAUAUCUUAAUAGUUAUUUAUUCUGCAUUUAGUUCCUAACAAAUAGUAUCAGAACUUGGUUGCGAGAUUGGGCUGCUCACAAGCACUUGGAUCCCAACAAACUGAACAGUUGGAUCAAGAGUUUGGUUGUUCAAGGUUGGAUCCUAGUUAACUAUUGAUAUCAAGUAGGUUGGUGACUGUUACCAAUUGAACAAUUUAAUGGGCGGUAUCCUUAUUUCAAGAGUUUGGCAAAAAGCAUUGAUGGUGAAUGAUGAAAAGUCGAAAAGCAUAGAGAUACUUGACGGUGAAUCUAGGCAGGUGAUUCAAGAGUCAAGGAAAAGGUGGAAUCCAAUGUCGAUUUUGGACGUGAAUUGGUGGAGAUUUUCUCACAACUUCAAUGGUUGAUACUUCAUCCCGAUGGUUUUUAGAUUUCACUUAUGUUUUUUGAGUGGUACAGAACGUGUCCCAAAAAAACAAAGAGAUUUAAUUUCUAUGCGCCUGAAGACUCUGACAGUUACGAGUCUUUUGUUACAGGUGGAUUUUUGGAAACCACACGUGGCGAGAUAGUCCUGAGAAAGGGAAGAAGUACGAUGAUUUUACCACUUGGUUGCCUCAAUGAUUAAGGUUAGAGUUCACAGAAGGAGAUUUUGGGUUGCAAGUGGUGGUGAGAAAAAAUCCUGUAAAGGGAAAUGGUGAAUUGAGGCAUCUUCUCACAAAUCAACUAGAGGUUGUACUGGGUGUAAAUACACAUAUUCAUUUGGCGAUUAAAUUAAUUUGGUAUCAGAAUUGUAUUGAUUCGAGUGUGUAGUUCGGUACCAUAUUAUUUGGUAGUUGAAGGUAAAUAAUUGUUAAAAGAAAUUUUCGCCGAGAUGGAGAUUUGUUAGGAAAUUGACUUAAUUUCUUUUCAGACAGGUUUUUGUUUUGUGUGGAAGUAACUAGUUUCCUAAUUGGUUUUAGUUACUUGAAAUAGUAGCCAAGGAAUUUCCUAUUUUGUUUAGGAUUAGAAAUUAUUUCCUAUUCUGUACAAGUCUAGAAAUUAGAAUUGGUUUCCUAUUAUUAUUUAAUUUUUUGGCCAAAUAAUAUUCUCUAUAAAUAGAUGGGUUGGCAUACUACAAAGAGACACACAAAAGCACACAAGAGACGACAUGUAGCCUUAUACAUGGGUGGUGAGAGAAGAUUUUUAGGAGAUGAGAGAUGGUAUACAAAGGUUGAACUGGGGUUCAAGUUAUGUUCUUAUAUAGGAUUUUUCUCUUAUAAUAAAGAACGAGUUUCUCUCUGUGGAUGUAGAUUCAAUGGUGGAGCCGAACCACAUUAAAAAAUAGUGUGUCAUUUAUCUUUCAUGCAUGUGGCUUGUUUCUCAUUAAAUUGUAGUGGACUUGAUAUCUCAAUAGUUGUUUAUUCCACGCUUGGAUCCUAACAAACUGCUAAACCAAGAUUGAUGUAAUUGCGUCCUGUACUUGAGAUAAUAGAAAUAAUGAAAACAAGAGAGUUUGCAAUUCAAUUGAUUAAGGGAAGAACAGAGAAAAUCCCUGAAAAUGGGAAUUAAAGGAAACAAAGGAAACCCUAAAACUAGUUUCCAAGAACAAUUCUGUCGAAGACAGAAAACAAAGAAAAUAGUAUCAAAGGCUAUAUCGUUAUUUAGAAAACAAGAAGCACUUGAAGGUGAAUGUUGCAGAAAGUAGAAGAUCCCACUACAAUUUACUAGUUCAAGGAGCUAUAAUUAAGAAAGAAAGAAGAAACUCAGAGAAUUAGAGAUUGUUAUUGAUUGAUGAAUGAGUAGGAAGAAUGUAGAUGAAGAUGAUAAUCAAUUACAAGUAAUGGAAAUCGGAAAUCCAAGAACUGCCUUCAACUUACCACUCUCCUCUCUUUUAUUCGGCUACUACACUUGUCCAAGUCAGCUAAUUCAUUACAACCAACCGACAUACAAGAAUUAUAAGGAUUAUUCAUUAAGUCCCUAUCAUACUUGCUUUAUUACAAAAAAAAUAACCCUAUCAAUAAAACUAAGGUAACAAAUACUUCCCCCUCAGAGAAUCCUUGUCCUCAAGGAUUAAAUUCAGGAAAUUGUUGUUUAAGGUCAAACCAGAAUUCCCAGAUAGCAUCUUCAAGAAAAGAAUUGCUUCACUGCACCAAAACUUUUGUAGCAAGAGAGUUACCACAUUUCACCAAUUUCUGAUCAAGUAUGGCUAUAGGCUCCAUUAAUAAUUAUCCCUGUGUAUUGAUUGCAAAAGGAAUGUGUGAGGUAACUAGUGAGUGCCCACUUUCUUCUUUAGAAGAGAUACAUAAAAAAUAGAGUGUAUUUUUGCCAUAUUAGGCAGCUAAAGCUGAUAUGCAACAGGGUGUACUCUUUUGAUCGCUUGGAAAGGUCCAAAAAACUUAGAAGCUAACUUCUGACAAGAGUGUACCUUCAAAGAGUGUUGCCUCUAUAGUUGUAGUUUCACAUAUACCCAAUCUCUUGCCUAGUACUGUCUGUUAGACCUGUGUUGGUCAGCUUGUUGCUUCAUCCUAUUUUGUGCCUUGUGAAGGUUGUACUUUAAGUGAUGCAAAACUAUCUCCCUUGCUGCCAAGAUUCUAUCCACCACUUCCACUACUAAAUUCCCAAGUAGACAAGGCAUAUGCAGAGAUGGUGCAUGACCAUACACCACCUCAAAUUGGAUAACCUUAGUGGCAGCAUGAAAUUUGGUAUUGUACCAAUAUUCAGCCAAGGGUAACUAGAUAGACCACUGCUUUGGAAAAUCUCCACACAUUCACCUCAAAUAUUACUCCAAACACUUGUUUACCACCUCAGUUUGACCAUCUGACUGAGGGUGGUAGGUAGAAGAGGUAUUAAUCUGCACUUUCAGUAACUUAAAAAGUGCUAAUGAGGACCACAUCCUUGUCACUAACAAUGCUCUGAGACAACCCGUGAAGUCUAUAGAUCUGAUCCAGGAAUAUGUGGAAAUAUAAAUGCUGAAUAAGCAUGUGACAAUGCCAAGAAGUGUGCAUACUUACCUAACUUGUCAACCACCACCAAGAUGGCUUGUUUACCAUGUGCAUUAGGUAAACCUUCCAUAAAGUCCAUGGAAAUUCACUCCAAACCUUUUGAGGCACACGUAAAAGUCGUAAUAAACCCAAAUAAGCAGUAUUGUCAUAUUUGUUGCACUGAUAGACAUCACAUGCAGCCACAUAGUUGACUAUGUCUUGAUACAUUCUUCUCUAAUAAACCACUGACUUCAACUUCUUUUAGGUAGCAUAAACUCCUGAAUGUCUCCAACAGCACUAGAAUGCCACAAGUGAAUUAUAUUAUUCUUGAAUUGACCGUCAUUUUCUACCACUAGUCUCCCCAUCCUUCUUAACUGCCAGUUGCUCCAUGUGUAAUAAGGUGCGACCUUAGAAAGAUCAAAUUGUAAUUGAGUGAUGAAGGUCUAUAGCCUUAUAUCUCUUUGCCAUCCCUUUUUAAUCACUAUCAAAAAUCACUGUUAACAAUGAUGAUGCAAGAGCUUCUCUUGGUUCUGCUAGUUUUCUAAAGAGAGUAUCUCUCAUCAUAUUAUAUGCUUCUUUCCUGUAUUGAAGCUCAUAAUCAAAUCUUACUAGCUUAGCCAUCCAUUUCUGCUGCAUAAGAGUGUUCAAUCUUUGUUCCAUCAUAUAUUCAAUGCUCUAAUGGUCAUUUUUAAUGAUAACGUACCUUCCAAGUAGAUAAGGUCUCCACUUCUAUACAGCAGCAACUAUGGCCAAUAUUUGCACUUUUCCAAUAUAUUAUUAUAUGCUAUUCUCCCACACACCUAAAUCUUACAUUGUCCCCAAUGUAAAAUAAAGAAUAAAAGAAAAGUAAUGGGGAUAACGAAACUUCCUUGAUAACUGAGGGGGCCGUGGAUAGCUACAGGUGAGGAGCAAAUGAUUGUGGAGCUCGACGUAUGUUGAUGGUUGGCGGCAGUGGAGUUCGGAUGGAGAAGGAUGGAAGAAAGAAAGAAAGAAGAAAGAAAAAGAAGAGAGAAAGAAAGAAAGAAAAAGAAAAGGAAAAAGAAAGGAAAAGGAAGAGAAAAGAAAAGGAAAAUGCGAAUGGGAAUUGCUCCAAUCCCAGCUGGUUUUUUGUACUACUACUUUGCUUCUUGUACGAAGCUUGAAGAUGCAGCACGCGCGGGAAUUUUUUUUUUUUUUUACAUCUGAUUUUGAUUUUUUUUCUUUUUCCUUUUCUGUAUUUCCUUUUCUUUUCUUUCUAAUUUUUUUUGCAAAAACAAUCAAAUAAAAAUCAAAUGAGAUGGAAUGAUUUUUUUUUUUAAAAAAAGGUAAAAAUAUAAAUAGAGAUAAAUAAAUAAAAAUAAACAAUAAUAGAUAUUAACAAAUCAUAAAAUGAUUUAUGAAAUUUUUUUGGUGUCUACAUAUAUACACAUACUAAUAAUUUUUAUAUUUUUAUAUUUUUCCUAUUUAAUCUUACCUAUAAUUCUUCCUUAUUUUAUUUACUUUCUCCAAUUAAUUUUAUAUUUUAAAAAAUAUAACAUCUAAAAAUAUAUAUUAACGAAGAGGGCAUCUGUUAGACAUGUCCUAUUUUAUGUAGCAUAUAUGUACUACAUGGAAAAAACUUUUUUAAUAGGUAUCUUAUUUUUUGACAUGAAAAAUGCCUUUUGACUACAUUCUGACUAGCGCCAAAAGCUAUCUACUUUUGACAUGUUGCCCAUGUGGGGUCCUUGAUGAUUGGUGUCACAAUUUUAACACAUGGUCGUACUAGGUACAAUGUGGUCAAUAUUGGAUUAGGAGCACUAAUUCAAAAAAAUUGGUGUAAUUGUACGGUUGUUAUUUUUUUUAUAUAAAAUUUGGCACAUAUUUAUAUAAAUGUUUAUAUAUUUUUAUACAUUUUCAAAAAAUAUUUUAUAUACUUUUUUAAAAAUAUAUAUAUUUUUGUAUAUAUAUUUUAAAAAUUUUGGUAUUUAUGAGCAAAAUUCUUACAUACAAUAAAAUAAUAGCAUGAUAUGAGAUGAAUAAUAAUUGAAUAGUACUGCAGUUGCCCCAUUUACCGGUGACGCUACUCGUAACUUGAUGUUCAAAAAGUACCACCAUAACUUUUGCUGAACUAAAUUUGAAAAAGCAUUUCAUCAAAUUUGAAUGGUAUCGAAUAUAAAAUAAUGUUCAAAGUUGAUUUGACAAGUUGGUGAACCAAAUCGAACGAGCUUUUACCAGACUGAACUUAAUUCGAAUAUCAGUAGUUUGAUUCAUCUUUCAACCUUUAUACCGACCAAAAAAAAAAAAUCAAUUACCAGUCAAGUAUAAUGUCUUAUUUUUUUACCAAGUUUUUAAGGGUGUGCACACCAUUGUUCUCCCUUUUCCUUUGACAUGUAAGGCCAGUUUUCCUGCUUCAUGUGUUGCCUAAUUUAAGUUUCGUUUUAUGUUGACUCCUAAUUUAGCGUCUUCUUGAAAGCUCCGACUAUUGCUCGGAAAAAAAUAUUGCUGUUGAAAACAGAGUUUUUUGCCAAAAUAACACUCUUUCUAAAAAAUAUUCCCAAUGUGAUUCACUUUCAAAUUUUAUUCCCAAAUCGAUGUUAUUGUUGCCACCUAAUUACUCUGAUUGCCAUGUAGGAUAACAAGAAAGGAAAGCUUUAAUCUAGUUUAUAGUUUCCAAUAAAAACUAAAAAUUUAAACUGUUUUAUUAUAGAGGCACAAGAAAAUUGCAUAACUUUGAUAAUUUCCUUAUAAUUAUUUAAAAUAAAUUUUACCAUUAUUGACCUUGCUAUUAUUGCUCUCUACAAUUUUUUUAAAUGUAUCAAACUUAUUGCAUAUAUUUUUUCAAAAAUAAAUUUGCAAAAUACAAAAAUUGCAAUGAACAUUAUAAGCAAUAAUAAGAAAAAGUUAAAAAACUUCAAGGUUAUCAUAUUUGUUCAUGUUAUGCUUUCUACUCCUUGAAAAGUACUUUUACAAAAAGUAAUCAAACUAUUGCAAUUAAGAUAAUGCUAAAGUUUAUCAAAAGUAACACAAGCCAUUAAUUGAUGUUGAAUAAAUAUGCAAAAAUACUUCAAGUAUACGAGAUUAUUUGAUUAUGUGAUAGAGAGGCACUACAAAUGAACAUGCUUACAUUGAGCAUGAAUUUAUGUUGUUACGUAGUUUUCCUCUUAGAUAUUUUAUCAAGCACACGGUGUGAGAAAUCAUUUGUUAAAACAAUUAGUAUUCAAAAUUUUUUGAAGGCCAUAAGAAUGUUCCAAAAACUGCACAACAGAAAAGACGAGAAUAAUCUUCAUUUACCUUGAAAUUAUUAAUUCGAGGAGAAUAUUUUCAUAAUAUCAGGAAUGAUAAUGAAGUUUUAGAUGUUGUUAAUAUAAAUAUUGACUUUUAACAAUUACAUUUGACAAGGAAAAAUAACGAAAGGACAAAAAAUAAUAAAGGAAAAAAAAGUGGGUAGGUUCAGAGAGAGAAUCAGGGAAGAUAUUAAUUGGAAAAGAGAGAUAGUACGUGUCUCUAUCUCUAUCCUACCACAUAUGCAACCUAUGUGGAAAAAAAAGAAUUAUAAAGGUAAUAAAUUUUAAAAUUAGGUUACUUUGGGUAUAUGUUUCAAAAGAAGAGUUAUUUUGGCAAUAAACUCGCUGAAAACAUCAUCACAUAUUUGGAAAGAUUUACUUGUUGCUCUGGAUUUUAGGUUUGAUCUUUAUUUCAUAAAGCAUUUUGUUAGAUUUCAAUGGCUUAAAAAAAUGAUGACUUUUGUUAGAAUAUUGAGCUCUCAGACAUUCAGUGCAGGCCUAAUAUUUUUUUUUUAGUACUGAAUUUGUUUUGGAUACGUUAGUAUUUCUUGAAUUUUAGAAAAUGCUUCUCUUUAAUAAAUGUAAGUUCAUUUUAAUCUUGAUUCGCAAGCUUUUCUUGUAAAUGGUUUGCCAUUUCUUAUUAGUUGUUACAGUAAAUUUAGCAAGCAUAUAUGCUUUUUGUCAAAAUUCAAUCAUUUCAAAAUCUAGAAGGGAACUUCUAAAAUAUCUGCAUCCUCCUUUUCUUUUUUCUUUUUCCCCCUCUUGGCUUUGUAUUCAGAAUCAGAUUGUGUUCAAUUAGUUGGAAUUUGCCUUUGGAGUUAAAAGGGAUUUCCAUUUUUUCCUAGGUAUUCCACAGCUUGCAUACCAAAAGCACAGAGGCGGAAGAAAACCUAUGAUUAAAUCAUACAACAGGAUUGUAAGAAAAUGCCCACUCUGAAAAAAUGAAAAGUUGAAUUUCCUAUUUUCAAAUUUACAUGCAAAAAAUGAAAAAUGACAUGCAAGAAAUAGUCUACUAUUUCGCAAUUUUUGCUGUUAUGAGAAAUAUAUUACAAAUAAAUCCACAUAAAUGGUGGGAAUAAUAACUCAAAUAUGGUGGGACAAAUAAACAUAUAGGGUGACCCCUGCCAGCUGAGAUAACUAGCUGGUUUAUUUAAUUUAAUAGUUUGAAUACAAUAGUAAAUCAAUGCCAUAGCUCAGAUACUGACUAAAUUUUUCUCCCUGAAGAAUUCAACAGCAUCUUUUAGGCUGACCUCCAAAGGAGUGAAUCGAACUCCCAACCUUUUUGCCUUCUCAUUGGAGGCUCUGUAGUUUGGGCUGAUAAGGUUGGUAUUGUUUGACAUUCUGCUGUAUGCGGGACAAUACACAAUUAUGGCAAACAUAAAUAAAGCUUAGGUAAUGAAAAUGCAAGUGUAAAUUCAAAUGCUUGAAAAUCUACUGGACAAUUGCCUCAUAUCUACUGUAAAUUGUGCCUUUUUACGAAGUUUCAAAAGACCUUUUAAAAGAUAGCUUUAGUUGUGAUAUGAAUGAAAUUUAUUUUUUUAAAAAAAAAAACCUAAAACGGAAUUUCUAUUUUGGAGGCAAAGCCAAUUUGGUGCUAUAUCCUAGUCCAAAGAAGACCAUCUUCUAGAAAUCAACCUGAGAAAGAGCUCAUUUUAUGGAACAUGAGACCAAAAGAAAAAAAAAAGAAGGCAGAAAAUUUAGGAUUUAAUGUCCUUUAAAAGAGAGUAUAAAAAUAUGUGAUACAUUUUGGACCUAUACAAGGCCAUCAGCAAAAGCCUGUAAAGACCUAAACAAGGAAAACAAGACUUACUUAUCAGGAAAUUGGUGAGUUGCGUAAUGCUCAUGCAAAAUCUUGAUGAUCUGAGAGGCAUUUGCACAUCUUUCAACCAGACAAUAUCUUCCACUUGCAGAAGGGGUUUCAAGGGCAAGAACAUGUGCAUAGGCAACAUCUCUAACAUCAACCCAGCUACAUGUUGCCUUAGGAAAUGGUUCAACCCCUGCAUUUGGCACCUAAGAUCUUUAAACACAUUUUUUUUGCAGGCUCUUCAGCGAACAUAAGUGAAACUCUGCAUACAAUUAAAUACAAUGUUGUUUGCCAUGAAAAGAGUCAAAUUUAGAGGCCAUGGCCUGCCUUCCAGAAGAAAUGUGUGGUAUGUACUACUUUGUUCUGUUUUAGUAUCAGCAAAGCCACAGAGGGGAGGGAGAUGUGAGGAAUGAACUACUUGAGACAAUUCAGAUAAUUGGUGAAUAAUAAGAAAGAUUAAUCCCAACAAUCUUCUAGUUAAUCUGUCGAGUUAUUACCUGGAAUUUCUCAGAUUUAGAGUUAGGUUUCAAAGGAUAGUUUAUUUAUUUAUGUGAGGAAUAAACAAGCUUUAGCAAGUCUGAACAACAUAAACAGUGACUACUCCUAACAAAUUUUUCCUCACAAUUACCACCAAAAAAUUUCUUUUCCUUCCUGUUAAUCACAUAGAACGUCAAUGUUGUUGAAAGGAAGAUGCACACAACGUGAAUUUCAGAUGAAAGAUUGUACUGCAAACCUUUAAAACAUCAUAAGCUGGUCAGAGUUUAUAGCUUGAUAUAUCAGUUCACAUUCUGAUCUAUGUCUGUCAAUCAUGUGAUUAGCCAGCAGUGCCUUGAAAUGUUAUUAGUCAUAAGUUUUUUGUUCUACUGUAACAAAGAAAGUUGUGGUGCAUAAUAAAGCUAUAACUAACAUAGAUGGAAGAGUCAGUUAGACAAUGAUUACUAAGGUGAUUCAAUAAAUUUUGAAACAAACCCUUUAAUAGGUUGAGGAACAAAACGGCGCUCGAAUUAAUAGAUGGCUGCAAGAGAGGACCAAUGACCAAUCCUGGAUGAAUUGUGAUUGUGUGUCAAUGCCAUGCUCCUUUGCAAAUUUCAAUGCAGCAUUCUCGGCCAUGGUUUUUGAAAGUUCAUACCAAGACUAUCAACACCAAAAAAUCAGUAAAUGUUGGUAAGAUGGUAGCAGAAAGUAAUUAGAUUUGUAAACUUUAAGAAGUAACAUUAUAAAUUUAUACAAAUUUGACAAAACCAGUAGCUAACAACAGUUGGAACUAUUAUUGCUGUGGCUACAGACCACAGAGUGAAAGUAUCCACAUUUCCUAGGACAAGCUAUGCUCUAAGUGAAUAAGUAGAUUUCUCAAGGAUCCUAGCAAUGGUGUAAACUUUUUAUAUUCAAGGAAUGAUGCAAAGCACCAGAGUGUCGACAUAUCCUGAUCAUCUGAUCUCUUAAUCCACAAGUUAACAGCAAAACUACAAGGGACCUUGACACUUGAACACAUAGAGCCAUAUUCAUGAUAUUAUAGCAGAAGUUCCCUUUCAACCGACCAACCAAAUAUUGCUCAUCUAGGUGUGUAUUCUCAGACAAUAAUAUAGAGUUUGAUAAUGCAAGAGAUGCAUAAUUGAGUAGGAAAACUUUCAUAUUGCUCUUUCCUCGACUAUUCCACACUACAUUAUUAAUUUUUCGUUAAAGUUAAGUUGUUACUUAGAUAGAAGGAAAGAAAUGGACUGACCAUUCUGGUUACAAAAAUAUCCUUCUUUUUGCCUAUUAAAGUACCACCAAGUCAUGAAGAUCCUAACUUAAUUAUCUCCACAGCUGGGCUAACUCCUCAUAUGUGUUCCAAUAACAAGUUAAAACUAAAGAAUUCCAGCAUUCCGUAUUAGAUUUUGCUGGAAGAAGACGGACAAUAUAUGUACCUUUUGGUCCUCACAGUAUGAUGGAUCGGAAAACCAACUUUCAUCAACUACCACAUCCUCCUUUAAUUCUCUGUUUUUUGAAACUACAACCAUAGAGGAUGUUAUAACUACUCUUUUGACAGAAGAAGAAUUUGCACAUGACCGCAGCACAUUCAGUGUUCCGCUUACUGCAGGUUCCAGUAGUUCUGCUUAUGAAAUCAAACCAAGUUAAAAAGGAAGUCAUUACCAGUCAUAAGUAAGACUAUGCUUUUAACCUGCAAAAAACUUAUCAUUCGGGUAUUAUGUUUGAGAAUUUCACCACAAAUGCUGUAAACCUACAGCUUUAGUUACUUAGCUAAAGGAUGCAUAUAGUUGUCUUAUCUCCUCUUGCUGCUAAAAUAAGGUCUCAGGUCCUUUAUUGUUGUUUUUUCCCGAAUUUUUUGAGCUUUCACUGGGUGACAGGAACUUGAGACCAAUAGAGGAACAACUGAAAUAAGUCUCAGAUGUGGUCACCAAUUAAACCGUUUGCUACCAAAUAUCAGCCAAUGAAAUUCUGUUCUGGCUUGAACAGGACAGACAGAGAAAAUAGAAAAGGAGUAGCUCCCAUAAAUCCUGCGAACAGAUUUUAGCGUGAACACAUAAUGCAUGUUGCAAUUUCUUUUAGUGUCUGUGAGUCAACCUUGUUCAUUGAAAUGACUAAAAUCAAAGUUCUACGAAGUUACUUAAAUAAAAAUCCAUAAACACAAUUAGAGAAACAGACAAGGAUAGGUGUACUACGUAAAAUUUUAAGGCACAAUCAUUAAUAGAAGUUAAUCAACUUACAAAUGAAGAUACAUUUAUUUUGCAGAUGCUCGAACAUAUAUUGUAGUUUCUAUAGGCUUCUUAUUCAUGGUGAUAUCGGCACCCAAAAACUAUGGCUCUAUACUGACUGAAUAAUUAGUUGGUCAAAGCAGCGAUUCAUUUGCUCCAGGACAAGCUUGUAGCUUGCUCUAUAACCUUACCCUGACUGACCCACCCCAAUGUUUCGAAAACUGGAUCGGAUCGAUCGGUUCGAUCGAUUCAAUCGCGAACCGAUCAUGUCUCCGAUCCGGUUCAAUUACAAAGCUAAAGAAUUAAUUGAACCAGUCAAAACCGAUCAAGAACUUAAAAAAAUCGAAGGUUCAAUCGAUUUUUAUUAAGUAUUUAUUUUCUAAAAUAAAUAUUUUAGUUUUAUUCAAAAAUUUUAAUACUAAAAUGAAUAAAAAAUUAUUAAAACUUUGAACCGGAGUUGAAUCGGUUGAAUCGAUUGAACCGUGAACCGAAAGAUUUUUCGGUUCACUCUCCGGUCCGGGUUUAAAAACAUUGACUUACCCAGGAAAAUAGUUAGUCGACCCAAUCUACGGCCCAAUUGUGGACCAUUUGCUAUGUUUAUGGCUCUUAAUGUUUUUAUUCCAUAACGUUGCACCCUUUGAAUUGUUUCUCUGAAGUACCAACAGAGAAACAUCAUUUCCUAAGGCAAAUGUUUUAAACAUCAUUUGAUCAUUUUAUAGAAACAUCAUGUAAACUGAUUAAAGAGAGACAAAAGCACAUAACACACGACAGUCUUUUUGUGAAUGACCUGCAGGAACAGAAUAGUUUUGUAUGUACCAAAUGUAAAGAAAUAUUCUUCAGGUGUUAGACCUGCUUGCUUCAUUAAUCUCUUCCAUUUGGUUAAUAUAAGAAUAAGUAGAGCUGUAGAAUUGGAAACAUUUGAUUCUAACUCUUUUUUAUUUUACAGUUGUAACAUUGUCAUAAAUCAUAUAUAGAGGAAUAGACUAUAACCCAAAAAAGCCAGUAAAAAUGCAACAGAGGAAGAUACUAAAAGAAGUCGUACAAUUAUAAAUCAGAAAAUAUGCUACGAUUUUCAAACUUCACUAGAUAAAUAGCAGAUUUUGUAGACAGUAGAGAAUUUUCAAUCUUGUAAAGCAAAUGUACCUCUGGAUUGCUAAAUGAAAGUUUGAUUGAAGAUGCAGUAUGGAAAACCCCUUCACAUCCCUCGACUAUUGGAUCAAACGAUCCCUCUUCUAGUAAGUUUGCCGAGUACAACUGAAGCCUUUCUUUAGCUCCAUCAAGUGAUGUCAAAUGUUGUGUCCUUUCCGGAUCAUCUGUGUCAUGACUGCAUCAGUAGAAUGUUCAGACAGCUAUAAUCAAAACCAUGCCGCCAACAGGAGACCGCCUUGGUUUUCACUAUGGUCAAAACUCAAGAAGAAAUGGACUUAAGAGUAAUAAUAAACGAAUCUCAAAGCAAUGUUAAAUUUGACUAGCUAAAGGCAAGCGGGGAAAAGCGAAAAGAAAUUGACGGGCAACAUAAUAUGACCACAAUAAUAUCAUAGCCCUAUGAUUUCUGGUUUUGAGAUGCGUACAUUUGUAACUUUCUUGAUAACAAUUAAUUCUUGAGAUAAUUAUCAGAGGGACAAUUGUAUGCCAUCUACCACUAUUUUUAUAACAAACUCAGUCCUUCAGAAGAAGGAUAUAGAUUCGAUAGGGUAAAGAUUUUUUAGUAUAACUUGAUCUUUGUAUCUGGAGCAUGAAACAUUACUGUUAAGGUAUACAUUAUAUAGUUUCAGCUACUCAAAUAUCAAUUAGGUUGGUCCACAUCAAUUUUUUUUUUUUUUUUGCAAGUGAUUUUUUUUUUUUGAGCAAACAGAACUUGGGGAGCAUUUACUAGCAGUUGUUGCAAGAAUAUCAUCUGGAGCUACAAAACAAUUUCACACUGCAGAGUUGAAUAAAAAUGUUGGGCAAAUUACAUAUAAUGCUCCUGUGGCUUUGUUUGUUGCCACAUGACCCUUCUAACAUUUUAAAAUAUCCAAUUCACCCACUAUGAUUUAUGUAAAGCGGAAACUUGAUGGAGAAUAUCCUAUGUAAUGUCGUUAAUUGAAAUACCAUUAGCAUUUUUACUUAAAUGCUAAAUCAAUCGACGAUUUAAUUACCUUAUAUAAAAGUAUAAGGGGAUUAUGUGGAUAAAUAUAAAAAUCACAGGAGGGAUAAAGUAGGCAUUUAUACAAACUAUAAGGGAAUUACAUUGAAAUUAAGACUUUAUCACACACGCUUUUAGAGCGUGUUUGGUAUAAAUGUCGUAACUAAUUGUGCAUUCCAUCAUUUUCCGCUUUACAUAUAACUAUGGGGGGUUAUGUGACUAUUUUGAAAUCUUAAGGGGACCAUCUAGCAUUAUAUAAAAUCACCCUAAAAUAUUGUUAUAAGUAAUUUACCCUAAAAUGUUAGAUUCCAGGAGCAAUUAAACAACAAUCAGAACAGGGCAUCAAAAACUGCACAAGCCACUUAGAUAGUUGAUCAAGAAUAAAAACUGGACUAACUGGCAUCUCGAACAGAACCUUUAACAGUAUAACCGCGCUCGAGCAGCAGCUUCACCAGCCAUGAAACUGUGUAACCCGAAGCUCCCGUCACACACACCAUUUUCCCUUCUCCUGCUCCACUCAUUUUGUUAUAAUAUUUUUGUGUGUGAAUCUGUCACCUGUUUGCCUUACUUCUGGACUAAUAAUAAUGGAGGGAGGCCUAUAUGGUGUACAUAUAGCUAUGGUGAAGAAGACGAAAGAUUGGAUAUGAGAUUACUGGGAGACUGGGGAGAUCCAUAUCUAUUCUUGCAAUUUGCAUGGAUCAUCGCUGACAUACGUAUGGUAUAAUCGCGUCACGUCCCAUUUUAUCAAGGUCAAUUGAUCAGUGUAAAUAGAAAUGAGCAAUAAAUACGAGGAUAAAUUACCUUUUACAUCUUAUGCUUUGAUGUUUUAUCACAUAAUCCCCUAUGAUUUAAAAAUCUAUAUACGACUCUCUCAUAGUUUGGAUUAUUGUAUAAGUAAAAAGUCAAAUUCAAACUUAACAAAUUCACUGUUUCACUACUUUUUUUUUGUUUUUUUUUCUUGUUUUCCUUUUCUUUCUCUUUUUUUUUUGGAAAGAGUACAAAUGAUUUUGAAAACCUAUAUUUUGGCUUACAAAACCUUAAUUUUUUACAAAUACAAAAGAGACAGAAGGGAAAUAAAAAAUAAAAUCAAUAAGAAACGAAAAAUAUGGAAGGUAAAGAUAAAACAAAAAAAUAAGAAACAAAAAAAUACCAAAUCUUUUUUUACUAUAAAUAUCAUUAUAAGCUUUUAAACCAAAUCUUUUAUGGUAUUUUCUAGUUCUUAUUUAUCUAUUUUUUAUUCAAUUUCUUCCUUUUUAUGUUUGGAGGAAAAAAAGAAGUAAUGAAGGGAUAAAUUUGUCAAUUUAUCAGUUUGACUUUUUAAUAUUGACUAUUAGUUUUAAUGAAAAAACUAAUAAUGACACAUUAACCCAAAUCAUGAGAGGGUUAUAUAUAGUUUUUAAACCAUGGGGGUUUACGUGGUAAAACACCAAACUAUAGAGGUUAAAUGCAAUUUAGCCUAAAUCCAAAAUCAGGCGGUUGCAUAUGAACAAAUACCAAGGUUCUUGACUUUGUUCAAUACAAUCCCAAGGCUAGAGACACAAAUUUUAAAUUCACUACCAAGAUAAACCAUUCUCUUGUUUAUUUUUCAUUUUUUCGGGUCAAAAAGUACAAACUACUUGAACUAGAAACUAAUCCCGACAAAGUUUGUGGGUUUUUUUGCAAGAGUUUUAGUUAAAUAUUGGUUACUUCGCCUAAUUUGCACCUAUUUUAUCAUGCAAAUGCAUGCACACUUUUAAAAAAAUAAUGCAUGCACUUAUAUUAUUGCCUUUCUUACAUUUAAAUACUUUUUUCAAUUUAAUUUUACUUUUCUGGCAAAACUAAAUCUGAAGCCCAUUUCAAGAAAUAUCCACCGAAUACCAGGUAAACAAACCUCCUUCGUAAUAAAGAAUGAAAAGGACCAAAAAAUUUUUUUGUCUUUAAGGAUUAAAUUUAUAACCAGUCCUAAGAUAACACGCAGCAGUCUUUUUGCAUCUAACAAAGUUUUUGAUUGACUAGAAAUCCUUCUCUGAUUGAGAAAUGGGAAUUGGCUUGAUGAUAGCUGUACGCGAUAAAAGUUAAAGUUUUCAGAAACAAGAAAUAUACACGACAAAUAUGUGAUAUAUAAAUUUAAGAAAAAUAUGUGAGCACAAUCUCUGAGGUUUUCUCGAACUCGUAGAGAGUUUCCCUCGAUUCUCCUCCUUGAAUGCCAAUUCAAGGGCUUCGCAGUUUGUUCUUGGAUCCACCACCGAUUCCUUCAAAUCUUGAUAUAGAAGAUUUGAAGAAUUUUAGAAGAUAUUUGAAGACUCAAGUCUUGAUAUAUGGGAGACUUUGAGAGCUUGAAGAUCCAGACCUUUGUAGCUUGGAGCUUCAAUGCUUUGAGCGAAUGAGAUGCCUCUUGGUGUCUCUGUGUGUGACUUGGUAGAGAAACCCCUAUUUAUAGCUGUAGCAAAAGGUAGAGGCUGAAGACUUGUGUACCACUUUACUUGUCUUGCAAGACGUGCAGUCAUAUUAGGACUGUGCUAGUCAAAUAUUAUCUCUUCAUUUUAUAUUUAUUAAUAAAGAGAUAAGUAAUUCAUCGAUUGGCCAAACUCGUGGGGACACGUGACGUGGCGCCGUUUGACUGGCCAAGCUAUUGCAGUAUAUAAGAAAUAUACUUGGAUUAAACAACUCUAAAUGUUAUCCCUUUAAUAAGAAAUAAAUAUUUAGAUAUUUAUCUAAUAGACAUGUGACAUGAUAUGAUUUGGUUGGUGGAGAUAUCCCUGCAAUUUGAAUUGAUUCGGAAUACCUCAACUUGACACGUGGCGAAAUAUAAUUGGUCAUUUAAUAACUAAUCUUUCCAGGUGUAUAUGCCAUAUGGCAAUAUUCAAUUGGAUAAAAAUACUUUAUAGACCAAUGGUAAUUUUUGGAAUUUAAUUAAAAUUUCAUUGUCUACAAAUGCCCCCUCAAAACCUGUUUGCGAAGAGUACAACUUAAACGGACAAGUUUUGACUUUCUUUAAUUCGCUUAAGAGCCUUUCUUGCCAAAUUGGACUUCGAAACUUUGUGAAUCAAGUCACCUAAGUAGGAAGCCAGCCGCACAAAGACUUCAAUGACCAAAUAGGCACAUAAGUGAUUAAUCAAACUUCAUGGAAUUCAAUCUCGUAAGUGAUUGAUCAAGCACUAGUGCACCAGUGCACCUUACAUGCAAAACACCUUUUCAUUGGCCUAGGAAGUUACCAACUCCAAUUAUAAGACAAGUGCAUUGUUCCUUGAUCAAUCAUGAAUUCCACCGCUUCACAAGAUUCAAGGUUUGAACCAGUCGGCUUCUUGGCGAAAUUCUAAGAUUUGUAUCCUUGAUGAACUUAAACAUUUGAGUUCCUUUUUGUUUUCCUUCUUUUUGUGAUAAAGCCGAAGCUUGAAGAGUAACCCAACACAAUUCUUCAAGGAAUUAAUCAGCCUAUAGAAGUUGGUUGUGAAAAUAAUUCCUUCCAAGGCCAACAUGAAUUGAAGCUUUGUCCUUUAUAAUCCUAUGGAAGAGCAAGCCCCCGAAACCAGCUUAGAAUUCACUUUCUUUUAGAUGUUCAGCCUGCCAACCGAUUUAAUUGCUAGGAACCUCCAGAGCGAAGGUAUUCCCUAGACAAUUUAGGUGAACUAGGAAGCCAAUUACACUUGAACUCACCUUCCUCUCCGAAUUUGUAGUAGAAAUCCUUUCUAUAAAUCCCCAAGUCCAAAGCCGUUAAUGUAUGAAGCUCCUUGAAACUAGUCGUGGCUCUUAAUUGAUAACAUAGAAUGAUGAUAGCAUGUACUAGUGCUCUCAAUUUCCCGAGGCCGGAUCAUCUUACGUAGUAGCUUCAUGUUUGCUAUUUCAGACCAAUUCUAUUCUUUGUGGUAUUCCAUUUCUUGAAGCCAGGAUUUGCAUCAUUGUUGACUAAUCAAUUAACUUCUCCACUGAACAUAUUUGAAACUCAAGGAGCCGUCUGACACCAAUGUUGAGACCCAACUCGCAGAGGAAGUCGAUUGCGAGAACAAUUCUUCUCCAAAACCAUCUUGAGUCAGAGCUCCAUGUCUCUUUCUUCCCUCUUCGUCCCACUAUACUAAACAGGAGGAAACCAACUUCUUUCGCUAGUCAACUUCCUCGGCUUGACAAAUUAACCCGCUAAGCCACAAAUAAUGAACCCUUUGUCAUCUCAAGCUGAAACACCUUUGACCAGAAUCCUUCUUGAAUAUGGAACGCAUAUCUGCUAUAUAUACUCGAAGGUUUGAGGCAUUAGUUUUCCCACAAUCCAAAGGCAAACUCUCCCUCGUUUUUUUUCGCUAAUGUUAUCGAACUGCCGCUACGUCUUUAUUUGCUAGUGCCGUUGUUUAUUAUUUGCUGGUUUGCUUGGCUUUGCUAGCCUUUUCGACUAAUAGAAUCAACUUGAAGUCGGUCAUCACUGCUGCCGAGCUAUUAUUUCAAGGUACGCACUACUUUUCCCAAGCUAUGGAUGAAUUUCUUCCUUGCUAGAGUUCAAAACCCUUUUUUUUUCUUUUUUAUCUAUGUAUAACUAACCCGCGGGCUCUCAAAUUAUCCCACCCGAAAUAACUUUCAUGCAGUGAUCUAAUAUGCCUCUUGAGUUUACAGUAGAACCCAUACGGAUUAACCGAUGAAUGACUUGACGCUCUCAUUACCACCCUGCUUGUGUUUCUUUUUUUUUCUUUUUACUACCUUGCAUGGAACAAUUGCUGAUUUUUGUAGUCUGUGCACAGAUAGAUUCAGGGACAAUAUUUUCUUUGCCGAUGUUGCCAGAACACCUGACCCAAUGUGCUUUACAUUUAUUUCCCAUGCAAGAUGCUAAGUACCUUAUGAAUUAUUGUCUUUGUUGGCCUCGCAUGAAACUUCCCAUCAUGAAUUGGUUAGAACAUUAUGUCCGCCAAUCAUGCUUUAAGAUGAAAAGUUGAUGCACUAUGAGCGGUCAUAUAGAAAUAUUUGACGGUUGCUUCAACCAAAUUGGUGCCACCCGCUAUCCACAUCCUGUCGAUGCCAUUUUUUAUGCCAUUUUUUUCGUGUUUAUGACAAAUUGGCACCUAGGAUUUUGCUUUCCCGUACUUAAUUGCUAAACGGAACUUCAGCAAUAGACUUUGCGUGUUUAUUUUGAUGCAUCCUUGAUGUCUCGGAUGUGAUUAGCACUUGAAAUUCGUAUGCCUACUUGUCUUGUGUUUUAAACUUGUAGAAUUGCAUCCGCAUGUGUCAUAAGAUGGCCUUAAUUUUCACACAGGUCCAUAUCAAUAUCUCAACCUUACUAACUUGCUCUCUUGUAGAUAACCAACCUCGUGCUUGAAAAGAAGCUUGAAACAAUUUCGGGGAUUUGAAAAAAGCAACCAAUUAGGUAAUUUAGUUACCAAACUUUUGUAAGAAGUUCCCUUCAUCAUCUAAUACUUUCUUUUACAAAAUUCUAGCAAACAUACAAAUUAAGGACUACGCCACGCCAUUACCACAUAUUUCAUUGACGGACGAACGGGGUGGACCUCAAUCAAAGAGCUUGUCACUACAUAUUCAUAAACCCGCAAUCAGCCCGUUCGCUGAAUCUUUCAUACCCCUUGAAGAAUGCCUUCAUCUCGAAAAUUGGACUAGCAAGUGGGCUAAGGAAGUGGUGGCACCCUCGACUUUCUCCACUACAUCGAGGGAAGAAGAAGUGGUCGUAUUAAAUUCGUCACUUCACAACAGAGAUCCAGAAAUAGCCAAAUUCACGCUUCUGUUCGUGGGAUUCAAUAUUGACAAAACUACAUGGAAGAUCCUUUCGUCCUUCUUUGGCGAGGCGUGCUUCACUUCUCAUUAUUGGGAAUGGGUUGAGGACAUCCUCGGAAGGUAUAAAGAGGUACUCAUACGUACUGGCAUAUUUGAAGCUGUCUACGCGUCGAGCUACUCCUACGAUCGCUAUGAAAAUUCUUGCGAGCCUUCUUCAAAUAUUGGUGUCCCUCGACAAAUACACUUCAUACACCCGUUGGGGAGUUGUCCAUCACACUUUGGGACCUUUAUCGACUUGGUGGCCUUUCGAUCGAUGGCUCGUUCUUUGAUGAAGUUAUUAUUUCGGCGCAGGAGCUUCUCACUCGUGACAAAGAAGGGAAGCCACUUCUCCCUGAAAGUUGCAGGCACAUCUUUUCCGUUUACUACCACCUUUGGACUAAUGACCAAGGGAUAUGGAUGAAAGACUGGAUUCGCUUCUGGUUCAAAGAAGAGGCUAGGUAUAGGGUUCCUCCAAAUAGAGCGAAUAGAAGAAAGACCACAUCUAAACCGAAAAUGACUUACAGCCUUUCUAGAAGCUUAGAGCCACACGACCUUGCUGAUACGAAGGACUUCAACAUCCCUUUCGACACACUGGAUAUCCCAGGGUCUUUAAGAAAGGAAACCUAUAUUGCGGCAUUCAUAACUUGCUGGAUUUACAAGUUCCUUUUGCCAAGCAAAAAGGUCGAUCGUGUUCGCCCAAGUGCCUUCAAGGUUGCAUGCUUAAUGGCCACAGGGAAAAGAUUUUGCCUUGCAAUUCUCGUUCUUACGAGCAUAUAUCAUGGGUUGAGGGAGAUAUUCCACACCCCUAACCUUGGAGAAUAUGGGGUAAUUUUUCCAAUCUAUUACGUCUAUGCUUAGAUUGGCCAAUACUUCGAUGUAUAUUAUGAAAACAAUCAAGUGAGUAGCCACCACGCGCGCAUGACAAGAUUUAGUUGUGAGAAAAUGACAAUAUUUUAUGGCCGAUCAGAAGUUGAGAAAAUCUUCAAAGAAGUGAAUCCUUUGAUGCUUCCCAAAUUGUGUUGGACUGAAAAUGAAGAAAAGGUGUUGAUCGACAAUGGAUCCUUAUCAUCAAGACUUAUGAGCUACUUCAUUAGUCAACGCUCUUGCCAUUUAACUCUACGUAAGGACAAUACUUUCAUUGUUGAAAAAUAUAAUCCUUGCAGGUUUAGCAGACAAUUCGGCUUCUGUCAAGAGACCCCCAACAACUUGAAAGAGAUCACUCAUACUUAUACUUUGGGUGAGACUAUUCAACUAUGGGAUUCCUCAGUUCGCACGCAGACGCGAUCUCGAAUGACUAUACCCAUGCACAAGAAGCAUCCAUUGAUCACAAAAGACUAUGACGCCUGGUGGUCGACUCGGUCAAACAGUGUCUCUUCAAUUUCCUUUAAAUUCACCGUUAAGAUCCCUCAGCAAUCAUCGAAGAAGGGUAAGGUUACUUCCGCCAACGAGUCAGUGUAUCAUAAUGGAGCUAUAGAGAUUGUAACGGGUCUUACCUCAUCCACCUUGUGGAAGAACAAAAUUACUAGCAGUCCCUCGAAAAAUAUUGUCACAAAAAAUAAGUCUUCCAAGGACUCUCGACAGGUCAUCAAAGAGGCGCAACCAGUGAUUCCAGCACAGAAGACACCGCCCAAAGUUUUAAAAUCCUUAUCGGUGACUCACACAGAAGAAGAUGUCGAAAUCGAAACGGUGGACGAUCGUGAUUCUAUCGAAGCUAUAGAAAAGGAAGGGAUUCAAGUUCAGGGCAUCGGAUCUACCCAAGGAGGAGCCCAUUCAUUGGCGAGUGGUAGUAGUAGUCAAGACCGUCACUGGAACCGAUCAAAGAAGAGGACAUCUUCUGAUUUGGAGGAGGUUUCCUUUACACCACCAUCGAUUGGAGUGUCGCCACUUAAGGUAAUCAUCUCGCUAUUUUUUUUUUUUUAAUAAUUUUUUUUGGUAACUUUUUUUCUUUUCAGCCCCCAUUUUUUGAAUUCCGUCAAGAAGAUGUUGGUAACAAUUCACAACCCAAACUGAUGAUGUAAUUUCAAAUAACAAAAGCGACAAAGUAGCUAUCAGUACUCCAAAAUAAUUUGCCCACAGUUGAGGUACCUUGCCAAUGCGUAAGAAGGAGUUAAUUGGUUUGCACGAGAUCCGAAAGAGAUCUAAACCAGCACUGAUUUCAGAAUUUUGCGAGAAAAAAUUGAUCCAAGCGCAUCGAAGGAGAUACUUGCAGAGUUUGUGGAUGGAUUUUACCGAGCAAAUUCUUAACACUCCUAUUGAACAGAUCUCUUCUUUAAAAGAGUGCGCAGAGGAAAUCAUUACGGAAAUCACAAGAACGGAUCCUACCAAUGGUCUCCCUUUAAAGGACUUCUUGAUAGAAUUGUUUGCCAAGGCGGAGGCAUAUGAUAUUUUGGCAUUUUCAUCAUGAAAAAAGAUAAGUAAAAAAACACAUGCAGAACUCCUUUCCAAAGUGACCGUCCAACUCGGGAGAACUAAGACGAAUGAAGAAGAACUAACUCGUCAUCUGCAAAGUCUUGAAGAAAAGUUGCAGUCUAUUGAAGACAGGAAGGAAGUUCUGUAACAGAAACUUAUCAAUUUGGGAAAAAAAGAUCUAGAAAUCAGGUCAACUAUCAAUCAAAAGUAUGAAACUUUCAAAGAGAUCCAGACUGAAAUAACCUGGGCACAUGAUGAGCUCUCUUCUAUUGAAAGUACCAGCAUCUUGACUGAUGACGCAGUGAAAGAAAUUGAAGACAUGAAGUCUACACUUGAAUCAUGCAAGAUAGCCGUAGUGGACUACAAAUUUGGCAUUUAGACUUUUCACCAUGUCUUUUUUCUGAAUCUGUUUCAUUUUUUUUUCUUUUUCCAUGUAAUGAAUUUUUUCCCAUUUUUUUAUGAAUAAUAAAAUGCUUUCUGUUCCUUAUCUCUUGUUUUUUUUUUAAGAUACAAGAACUCAAAUGGAGUAUUUUAUUUAUUUCAUAUAUUUUUUUUGGAAAGAGAAGAUUCUUUUUUUUUUUUGCAAGGAACAAGGAUUUGAUUUGGAGUGGUGUGACUGAACCUAGAAGUUGCCCUCCAAACUGCUUACGUAUUCCAAAAAGGGAAUCAAGUCACACGUAGUUCCUGCUGUUCACAUUUUAAGUUCAUGCGGGCCAAGAGUAUCUAUUUGUUUACCACCUUAGACUUGGUGGAGUGUUUCACCAGUUUAACCACAUACUACACUAUUGGUGAUUGCCAUCCACAGUUUUAGCUUAUACGGGACAGGAGUAUCUAUUUGUUUACCACCUUGAAUUUGGUGGAGUGUUUUAGCAGUUUAACCACAUACUACACUAUUGGUGGUUGCCAUCCACAGCUUUAACUCAUGCGGGCCAGGAGCAUCGCGUGGUUCCGAUUACGCAUAGUACCUUUUUAAGUACUUGCCAUUGAUGGGACCAACCCUUAAUCCAUUCUCAGCAACUAACUUGUAUGAGCCAUUUGUAUACACUUCUCGAACAACAUAUGGACCAUCCCACUUAGGAGUAAACUUUCUUUGUCCGCCAUGAGUGAAAAUGAUCGGUCUCCGAAUAGCGAGUACUAACUCUCCAAUCUGGAAAGAGCGUGGCCGGAUAUGCUUAUUAAAUGCUUUUGAAAGGCGUGCUUGAUAGCACUCAAUUCGUUGUUGAGUUUCCAAUCUCUUUCGUCGAGUGCUUCUAACUCUUCGAGGCGAAGACAAAUAUUAUCUUCUUCACUGAACCCUUCUUGAAUCGCAAUUCUUAGCGAAGGUAUUUGACAUUCAAGUGGAAGAACAGUUUCAACACCGUAAACAAGCGCAUAUGGGGUCGCUUGCGUGGGAGUUCGAAAAGUAGUUCGGUAUGCCCAAAGUGCUUCUCCAAUUCGAAGAUGCCAAUCCCUUUUCGAUUUAUCCGCGAUUUUUUUCAACAGAUUACAUAAGGUCUUGUUAAAUGCUUCAACGAGUCCAUUUGCGGCAGCGUAGUACAUGGACGAAUUGCAUUGUUUGAAAUGAAACUUUUCACAAAAUUUGUUCAUUGCUACAUUGCAAAAAGGCUUACCAUUAUCGGUGAGAUAUAAUGCGGGACCUCAUAUCGAUAAAUGAUGUGCGAGCAAAUGAAAUCUACUACAUUCUCCUUUUUGACCUCUCUUAGAGGAACCGUUUCGACCCACUUUGAGAAAUAAUCCGUUGCCGCCAAAAUAAAAAUGUGUCCUCCAGAAGAUUUUGGGAGCUGUCCAACUAUAUUCAAACCCCAAGUAUCGAACGGUCAAGAAGCCACAGUUGGAUGCAAUGGUUCGGGAGGUUGACGGAUGAAAUUGCCAUGAAAUUGACAAGCUUGACAUCUUCUAACAAAAUCGCUAUAGUCUUUUACCAUCGUUGGUCAGUAGUAUCCCAUUCUCUUAAUGGGAAAGUGUAAUUUCGGACCAAAUUAGUGAGCACCACAUAUCCCAGAGUGAGCCUCCUCCAUUGCUUGCAUGGCCUCAUCUUCUCCAAGACAUCGUAGAGACACCCCAUCGAAUGAUUUUCGGUAAAGCGUCCCUUUAUAGUAAAUGAAAUGUGGCGUUCGACGACGUACAUCAACCCUUUUCCUGGGAUCUUCAUGUAAUUUCCCAUGAUUAAGGUAAUCAAUGAUGAGGUGACGCCAAUCCUUCUUUUCAAUCUCAUGGACAAAAAUAUGAUAAGUUUUUUCUUCUCCACCAUCAUCUUCUUCAUCGAACAUCGGAGGUAUGACCCAAUUUUGACAUAUUAAAAUUUGAUUUUGAUGAGAAGGUAGAGUGAUCAUGGACGCCACCCUUGCCAAAGAGUCAGCUUGUUGGUUAAAAUUUCUAGAGAUAUAUUCUAUAGUGAUAUUAUCUAAAUAUCCCAUUAGUUGUCUUGCAUACUUAUAAUAUGAGAUCAAUUCAGGUUUCUUGACAUCAUAAAUAUCAAGAAGUUGAUUUAUCACUAAUUUUGAAUCACCAUAGAUUCUAAGAUACAACUACUUCAUGUCUAUAGCCGUUUCAAGACCGAGAAUUAACGCCUGAUAUUCGGUCACAUUGUUUGAACACCGGCGUGUUAAAAUGAAAGAGUACUGCAAUAUAUCUGCUUUAGGAGUAUAAAAGACAACUCCCACACUAGCUCCAUCACGGUGAGCAACCCCAUCGAAAUACAUCGACCACGAGGAUUCGACCAUAAACACUUCUUCAUCGGGGAGUUCAUCAGUCAAUUCCUACUAGGCAGGUAUGGGAUGAUCGGCUAAAAAGUCUGCCAAUAUUUGUCCUUUGACAGCCUUUGCAGGUACAUAAAUAAUUUAGAAUUGUUGAAACUGGAAGUACCAUCUCGCGAGCCAAUCAGAUAGUACAGGUUUCGCCAUGACAUAUUUAAUGGGAUUAGACUUAGAUAUGAGUCGAAUAGUGUGUGCUUGAAAAUAAUGUUUCAACUUCUGAAUGACAAAUAUAAGUACCAAAUACAAUUUCUCAAUGGGUAAGUAAUUCAGCUCAUUAGAUGUCAUCAUCCGACUCAAGUAAUACAGCGCAUUCUCUUUACCUUCAUCAUUUUCUUGAGCAAGUAAGGCCCCAACCGACCGUUCUUGAGCGAAAAUAUAGAGAAUCAAUGAUUUUCCUGGAAUGGGCGCAGCCAACACUGAGGGAUUCAUGAGGUACAUUUUGAUGCUUGUAAAAGCAUUUCUACACGAUUCAUCCCACUCGAAUGGCAUCCUUUCUUCAUCAGUCGACUGAAGGGUUGGCAUCGUCCGACCAAAUUAGAAAUAAACCUCUGAAUAUAUGCCAACUUCCCUUGAAGGUUCUUCAAUUCAUGAAUAUUUCGCGGUUCAGGCAUGUUCACAAUGGUAUCAAUUUUAGAUCGAUCGACCUCUAUUCCCAUUGAUGAACGAUGAAACCGAGAAACUUGUCAGAAGUGACUCCGAAUGCACACUUCAAAGGAUUCAUCUUCAGUUGGUAUCUCCGAAAGCGUUGAAAAACUCUUCGAAGGUCUUGAAUAUGAUCCUCUCGCUUCUUUGAUUUCAUCACAAGGUCAUCAACGUAGCAUUCCACAUUCCUAUGGAGCAUAUCAUCAAAAAUUCUUUGCAUUGCCCUUUGAUAUGUCGCUCCAGUGUUUUUCAAGCCAAACAGCAUCACUUUAUAGCAAUAAAUUCUCUUGGGGGUGCGGAAGGCAGUGACCUCCUCAUCCUCGGGCACCAUGCAUAUUUGAUUGUAGCCAGGCGAUCCAUUGAGAAAAGAUAGUGCUUCAUGCCCGGUUGUAGCAUCUACCGUCAAUUCUGUGAUGGGGAGCGAAAAAUCAUCUUUGGGGCAAGUCUCAUUUAAAUCUCGAAAAUCAACACAAAUUCGAAUUUGCCCAUUCUUCUUCCUCACAGGAACAAUGCUUGAAAUCCAUGUUGGAUAUUUCACUUCCCGUAUGAACCCAACUUCAAUCAAUCUAUUUAUCUCAUUUUCUAUCAGAGAAAUCAAUUUGGGCCGAAAGCGCCUUUGAGUUUGCUUGACAGGUUUUGUUCCUCGCUUGAUAGACAAAUUAUGAACGGCGAUCCUUGGAUCUAAACCAGGCAUUUUUGAGUAAUUCCAGGCAAAGACGUCCCUGAACUCGAGCAGCAAAUCAACAUACUCUUUCUCUUCUUCAGAAGUCAUAUAAGAGCUUAUGUAAAUUGGGCGAGAAUCGUCGCUUGUGUCAAGGUUAAUCUCCUUUAGCAUAUCGACUGUAUUUUUUACCCCUUGUUCAAGUUCAGUGGGAGCGUUAUCCGCAUCUUCUUCUUCUUCUUCGGGAUCACUGAUCGUAAUAUGAUGACAGGAAACCAUAUUUUCUUGACAUUGUUCUUAAAAAAUGGUUUCAAUUCUUAUAUUGAAUAAGUCUCCAUAGUGCAUGAAGAAACUGGAGACUCGCUUUCUUAGUCCGUUCUUUUUUAUUGGAGUAAGAGUUUCUUCUUUGUCAACUUGGUACUCUUACUUUUUACUGCCUAAUCUUUCAUAGACGGGCGGUUUCAAAAUUUUCGGCUGUGAGCCAAAUCUGUCAAACACAAAAGUACGCUUUGACUUAUUUCCCAACCUAUCGAACACAGAUCUGUUUCGGCUUGUGACCUCCAUUUCUUCGUUCACGUAGUUAUAACUUGCCCUUUUGAUCAUUAUACGCACUGGAGAAGGCGAUUGAUAACCAAGACCCAUCGAUGAACUUUCAACAUUAUAGCCUUUUUCUUUCAAUAUUUUCUGCGUAGGUGUUAAUCCAUGAGUCUUCUCUCCAGUUACCUCAGGAGGGAGUUUGCCCAAUGCAUGCUUCUCAUUUGGGUUAUAACCGGCCUUAGCAAGAAGUCUAUAUGCGUUUGGAUCAAAACCUUCUUGAGUCCGAUUAAUUGGUAGUAAAUAGUAUUCUACUGUCGGUUCUUCUUUGGAACGAACACAUCCUGGCAAGCUCGCUUUCUCACCUUUAACAGGUUCUAUUUUGGUGAGCGGAACAUUUAAUGUAUCAUUCCUGAUAAAAGAAGACGACCUUCUUCUCUCUUUGAUCUUGGAAUAUACCGCAAAAUGGGUACUUUGAAAUCUUGACUUUCUUCCUUUACUGAUUCUUUUCUUUUUACUUUUUUCUGAAGGUAAAAUUUGGCAUCGACAAAGUGAGCCUCGGCCUCAGUGAAAGGUUUAUCAUUGAGAACAACCUUCUUAACUAUACCGUCUCGAUACUAUUUGAAAUAUUGAUGCAGAGUAAACGGUAUAAUUUCAUUCUCGUAAAUCCAGGGUCAUCCCAAGAGCAUAUUAUAAGAGGUUUUGGUUUCAAUGAUAUGAAAUAACGCACUUGAAGACAACUCAUCAAUGAGCAAUUCAAGCCUUAUAAGACCAAUUAUUUUUUGCCCCCAUGAUUAAAUUCUUGGAUCAUGAGGCGGCUUUGGGAGAGUUCAUCGUUUGAGAUUUCUAAUUCUUUCAUAGCGCGUACAGACAUAAUAUUGACAGCAGAUCCCCCAUCAAUGAGUAUCCGAGUCAUCUUCUGUUCUCGGACAUACGCACUAACAAACAAAGGUCGAUUGUAGGUCUUGAACUCAACAGUUAAAUCGUCAUCAUAAAAAAUAAUAGUCGUUGCACAAUCCACUGGUGGUUAUCAUCGAUUUUGAGUUUUUUCUCAAAUUUAGUGCUAAUUUGUGUGAUUUGAGGAUUUUCAACUUUGACGACAUUACAAGAAAUGGAAUUAUCAGCAUCGUCACUUAAAUACCCCUUGGGUAUAAAUCUCUCAGUGUCACGGGCUGUCGAAUCUCUUGAAGGAGCUGAAAAUCUGAAGGAAUUGGCAUUGUGGCCACUCCUUUUUAUUUCUUUGUUGCAUUUCAUUGUUUCAUUGUCAUUUUAGGCUUUGUCGAAUGAAUGCUUUUCGAAAAGAUGUACUUCUUUAUUUUUGGCUUGCAAGUUCUCUUUCGAGUGACUAAAGUCCAUCUUUCGUUGUCAUCUUCAAUAACGUAUUCAAUUGAAAAUUUUUCAAACUCCUUAGACAAAGCAUUGCUUGAUGUGGAUAAAACUUCUAUCGGACAACACAUAGACCCAAACAUUAUUGUUGUUUGGUUUGUCGAUACUUUAUCUUCUUCGAGAAGGAUUUUUUCUUGACGGGCCAAUUCCAUAAUUUUGUCCUUAAAGACAAAACAUUUUGUGAGAGGGUGGCCUAUCAGGCGAUGAUAACAGCAAUAAUUUGGAUCAGUGACUCAAUCGGCUUCCUCUGGGCGUUUCAUUUCGGGAAGUUCAAGGAGUUUCUCCUUGAAAAGAUCAUCAAACAUCCCUUGUAAAUCAGAUUCAAGGAAUAGGUUUCUUUUUCUUGCAUCUCUUUCAAAGUGGGUCUUCUUACCUACCUAUUUUGAGGGGAGUCUACCUUUUCGGUGACCUUUCGGCUCACCUUAGUAGCAAUUUUCAUGGGAGCUGUGUUUAUUGCCAUAGAUUCCUUAUUAUUGAAUCUUGAAAGAGGCUUGUCCCCUUUUUUAUUUUCUUGUCUUUCAUUGCUUUGACGAGGCGGCUGCACUCGUGGAGCUUGAAUAGGAAGCCCAUCAGUUGCAUUGGCCAUGAUGCUUAACUCUAUAUCAUGAGCACGAGUAGCUAAUUUUUCCAAUGUGUUUGGACGUAUACCCUGUAGAAUAUAGCUUAGGCUCCAAUGCAUUCCUCGGAUGCACAUUUCUAUGGCAGAGGGUUCAGACAGUCUGUCCUUGCAGUUAAGACUCAGACUUCUCCACCUAUCAAUGUAAUUGAUCAUAGGUUCAUCCUUCCAUUGACGAGUAUUAAUCAACUCCAGCAUACUGACGGUUCUUCUAGUGCUGUAGAAGCGAUUCAAGAACUCUUUUCCCAACUGUUCCCAACUAUCGAUGGAUCCCGGAGUGAGAUCAGUAUACCAAUCAAACGCGUUGCCCUUCAAGGAUCGGACAAACUGUUUGACUAGCAGGUCACCAUAGGUUCCAGCGUUAUUGCAGGUUUCGACAAAAUGGGUCACAUAUUGUUUUGGACUACCUUUCCCAUCGAACUGUUGAAAUUUAGGUUGUUGAUAUCCAACAGGCAUUGCUAGGUUGUCAAUUCUAGCAGUGCAAGGCUUGCAGUAGGUAAAACUUGACUUUGAACCACCCUCCUUUUUAUCUUUGAUCACGCCUUCAACAAGUUCCUUUAGUUGUUCAACAGGGAUAGUUUCAUCGGCAGUCACAUAUAUUUUCUUCACCUUGUCUUUACCUUUAGAUGAGGAAAUUUCAAACUCUUGGUGCUCCUUAGGGUUCGCAUGGCUUCUUUCAAGAGCGUGAUCUUUUUAGGUGAGUAGUUGAGCGAUAAGAGCAUCUUGGUCCUUGAUGUGUUUCGUCAUGGUCUCCAUCAUUUUGGACAUGUUCAAAACUUGUUCUUCGAGACUUAAAGUAUUUGUUAUCAUAGCAGGCAUUGCAGCAGAAGAAGCAGCAAAAUCUUCAAUAGAAAAUCUUGAUUGAAGAGUUUCAUGUGAAGAGGCUGAUCCAGUGCUUGAUGAAUCAUCAUCAUGCUUAGAAAAUUUGGAUUCGGAUCCAAAUUCGAGAAUAGCAAGAGCCUUCUCAAUCGAGGCAGGAACGUCUUGGAUUCCCAUCGUGAAGGAAUAGCUCAUUGGUGAUGUUGAACUGAAGACAGGAGUUGGUGCCGAUGAAGCUUCCAUGCUACUUUGGGUGGAAGUUCUCGUCAUGCUCCUUGUCACAAGACCAAUAACGCGAGUAUUGGUGGCAACAUGUGCAGUUUCCUGAACAGGUUUGACAUUAGCAGCGUUGGAACGAGCAGUCAUGGACUUGUUGUUCUUUGGUGCCAUUGGUGAUAUACGUAGUUGAUAUACUUGCAGUAUAUAAGAAAUAUAUUUGGAUUAAAUAACUCUAAAUAUUAUCCCUUUAAUAAGAAAUAAAUAUUUAGAUAUUUAUCCAAUAGACAUGUGACAUCAUAUGAUAUGGUUGGUGGAGAUAUCCCUGCAAUUUGAAUUGAUUCGGAACACCUCAACUUGACACGUGGCGAAAUAUAAUUGGCCAUUUAAUAACCAAUCUUUCCAGGUGUACAUGCCAUAUGGCAAUAUUCAAUUGGAUAAAAAUAAGUUAUAAAAAUAUUUUAUAGACCAAUGGUAAUUUUUGGAAUUUAAUUAAAAUUUCAUUGUCUACAAUAGCAACUCCAUUUAGAAAACUGGUCCACACCCUUGAAUGUGGUUUAAAUUUAAUAACACCAUUUCAUCAUUUCUGACGACUGCUUUUUCCACACCCUUGGGUGACAACUGCACAAGAAUAUUUUAACUUUACUUGGUAUGUUGAGUUUCUACAAGCGGAGCCAAAUAUCAUCCACAGAACUAUUACUCCUACUAGAAAAGCUCUUGAAGUAAAUCAUAUUUCCAUUUCCUGCUAUUUUCAUCAAUUAAACAAUCUAUAGUGGAGUCUUCCAGUAGCACAUCAAAAUGAGAUAUAAUUUUGAAAGUAGAAGGACGUGGAAUCUAUCUAUCUUUCCAAAUUUUGAUAUGAUUUCCGUUUCCAACUCGCCAUCAACUACCAAAAACACCUUUGACUGAUAAUUAAAUAGUUAAAAAAAAACUAUAUCUACCUAAUUUGUUUACUCAAUAUUUAUGUGCACUUAAACAUAAAAAGAAAAGGUCAAUCCAUAUAUUAGUGUUAUAUUUGUAAUAUUAGUUCCCUAUAUAGUAGGUUGCUGAGUUGGAUGUAUUUAUAUUCUACUGAGUAAAUGCCCAAUCUUUUCAAAACGUGGCAAAAAAAUUGUGUUUGUUUUUUUGGAAGAUUUCAUUCUUUUUCUUUUUUGGUAACAAUUAAUUUACUCUUCCUUUUCAAUUCAUUAUUUAUAGUAAAUUUCAAUCAAUCAUCAAUUACUUACCUUAUAUGCAUUUCUAUUAAUUAUACCUCUAUUUUUUUUCAAUCAACUCAUAGCUUUCCUUUUUAAUCAGGCACUCGUUAAUAUAUAUCUUAGGUGUUAAAUUAUUAGAAAUAUAAGAUUAAUUAGGGAAUUAUUUAGAAAAAAUAUAUAAAUACAAGAGAAAGUAGUAAUUGUUGUAUAUAUACAUAGUAGGUUGGGUGAAAUGUAAGUGUGUUAACGAUUGCCCAUAGGGCACCUAUUAGAAAAACUCAUCAAAAUUUGGAUGAAUUUUUAUUUUGCCUAUCAUUGCAAUCAUUACUACCAUUUUUCCUAUCAUUUAUUACUAUACCUUCAUGUUUUCUAAAUUCCAAUCAAUGUAUUACUCUCUUAUUUUUUAUAUGAUUGUGCUAAUUACAGCUUUCCUUUUACUUAAUCAAUUAGUCAAUCAAUCAAUCAACCCAUGAUUUUAAUUUUCUUUUUCAAUCACAAGAUUCUUUCUUUUAUCCAUCAUUAGGGAGAUUUACAAUUAGUCACAUUUUUUCUAUUUUGUACUUCCAUUACUUGACCUGAUUAUUAAUUCAAUCCACAUAUCUUGUAAUGUGUACAAGAAUAUGCAAUCAUAAGCACAAAUAAAUGCAAUUCUAAUAAUUUUGCAUAUAUGCUUUCAUAUUGUAUUGCAACACAUUUAAUAAUUCAUUAUAUGGUUACAAAAGAAAAAAAAAUCUAGUAUUACCUAGACCUUAGCUAGUUCCCAAUGUAUACGCUGAUACUAUACGAAAAGAUUUAAAAUCUGCUAAUGUAUAUACUGAUUGCAUAUGAAGAUUCAUCCCUAGUUUAGACCUCUUAGAUAGUUUCCAAGCAUUAUAUUCCCUUUUUUCAAUUUCUUAUUUAGUUUAAUUCCUAAAGUUAAUGAAAUGGUUUUUAAAUCUCCCCUAUAAGUGUACCUUAUUACCAUUUAUGAUUUUUUUUUUAAAUUUAAGCAACAUCUUCCAAUAUUUUAUCACCAUUUUAAAUUAGUUCAUUUUUAGGAGAUAGUAGUAUAAGUGUGGCAUUUUGUCCAAAUAACUUUGAAUAUGCAUAGACAACCCAAAAAUAAAAUGUGUUUAUCUUUGUUCGUACCUUUUGAUGAUUACAAAACAAGUGGAUAAAACUAAUAUUUUCCAAGUUUGUUUUUGGUCAGAAAAUGGAGCAAGAUAGGUUCAAAGGCCAAGCAUCUGCUAAAACAUCUGUCGGACGCACAAAUACAUCCUAUCGGCCGUCCGAUAACCAUUGUGUGAGAGCCCGUAAAUUUUCUUAUUUUCUAGGCUUUACUUUAUUUAAUUGCACGCCUUUUAUGCAUUUUCUUUAUUAGGAAAAUUUUCCAGAUAAUUUUUAUGAGCAAAUAGAGUUUUCAAGUUAUUUUUCUAGUAUAAAUGAGUUCAUGAGAAUUUUGGAGCGUAUACCGGACGUGCGACCCGCUAGUGUGGAGAAAGUUCGGUAAAAUUCGGCCAAUUGGGUUAAGUUUUGUAUACAGGGUUUAAUUUACUAGGUGCUAAGAGAUAAUUAGAGGAUACCAUAUGGAUGAGAGUUGAGGAAACAAAGGGAUAUUCAUGCAUUAAAUAGGGUGACAAGUGUCACCAUAUGAUUAAAUCUUGCAUUUUGACCACUAUUCAUUACCUUUACUAAAUACCAAAAUUUGACCACAAAUCAUCUUCAAUUUCUUGUGUCUUGGCCGAACCUUGGAGGGAAGAAAGAAGAAAAAAAAACUUCAUCUUGCACCAUUCUUUCUUGCUUCAAUCUUGGAUUCCAACCAUAAAUCUUGCAAACCUCUCCAUAUAAGUUGCUCUUUGGGUUAGAUUAAAGAUUGUGGUGGAGUGAUUUUUGGAGAAGAAAACCUAAGCUAUCAUCUUUCCUCAAGUUUCAAGGUAUAUUCCCUAGAACUUUCCUUUUACUCUUGAUAAUUGUCGAUUAAUGGAUUGGAAAGGUUAAAGGUGUAGUUUUGUGGAUAAGUUUAUGGUUUUAAGUAGGGUUAUGGUGAAUUUCAGUUUUUAUAGUAAAAUUUCUGUCCUCAUAUGAUGAUUAAUGUUUGGGCAUGAUUUGGUAGUUGUUAUGAGCAAUUUUGAGCUUGAGAAUGCUAGUUUUGCUUGCCUUCAAAGAAUUUCAGCUUGUAUAGAAAAAUUUCUAGAUUAGGAUUUAUAAUUUUCCCCAUUCUGGCUGGCACUGUUUCUCCUAUUUAGAGGCCGAAUUAGCCUUGGGUUAAAACAUGAAAGUUGUAGAGAAUGAUGUUUUAUAGUUUCCUUCAAAGUUUUAGCUCAAUCGGAGCAACGUAGCUUGUGAAAAAGACCGAAAUACCCUUGCUGCCCUGUUUCUAUCCGAACAUGCUAAUCAGCUUCUGUAAUUGGUUGUUUUGACCAGGAAUACUACUGAUUUGGUUGCCAAUGUCUUUUUAACAUUUAUACCCUUGUAUCUUAGCUUUCAAAGGGCUUUGGAAUCACUUGAAUUGGAGUUGUGUAUGAUGAGAUAUGACUGAAUGAAUCAGAACUGCCACAGUAAACUUCGAAUUGGAAAAUCUGGGGUUAUUUUGAUAACUUUUACCUAGAUACAUUGCAAACUGGACUGAGUGGCCUUCUUCAACAUUGUAGCCUUUUCUCUUAGCUUCGAAACGGCGUAAAUUUCACCCCAAUUCGAUAAGUGUAGCUCCAGUUGUGUCCAUUCCGUUAAAUGACGUCAAAACUGUCUUUUGGUUUUAAGGUUUAUAAUUGGGGCUUUUCUAGGGUUCCUUUGUUGAGCUACCAUUUGGUUGUUUUGAAAGGUAUUGUGGCUCUAAUUAAAGGUAUUUGAUAGUUCGUGAUUGGGUGUUGAUGCUUGGUUGGAAAAGUAAAGAAAGACAAGGGGAAGUGCUGUCCAAAUGUUUGCAGGAGCUUCGGUGCAAUCUCGGGAGAUUUGCUAUAUCUUGAUGUAGAAAUGUCGGAAUUGAGUUCUGUUUAUUGUAUUUUAAACUAGAUUCAUAGGGUUAUAAACCGUGUAAAUUUUAGAUCCUGUUUCUAUCUGUCCAAUUUAUGGUGAUUUUUCAAAUUUGACAGAAAUCUUGUACCUGUUCUGUCCUCCACUGGAUAAAGCAGCAACUUACGACUUGAAUUCGACUGACUUACGUUCUGAAUCUUACAAUAGUGUUUUCUGGAAAGUUAUAGCCCUUUGAAUGUAUUUUCCAACGGUAUAACUUUUAUUAAUUUUGGACUUACAAAACUUGAGAUAUGAUUUUUCAUAUAAGGUCGCGCGAAACUAGAAAAAUUCUAUUUUCCUAGUAUUGAUCUUGCUUUCAUUAUCUACUUCAAAUUUGGAAUUGGUCAGUCAUUGUAGGAAGGGUUUUGAGGUUGUUCAUGCUUUUAAGACUGCUUGUUACCUUUUCACUCCGAAGUCACCUCUUUGCUUUGCAUUAAUGGUUCUUUUGACUAGGCAUAUGGCUCGUAACCGAGUCUCACUUGCGAAUUCCAUAUUCGGUCUUGGAGUCGAGUCUUAAGUGUUUGCCUUGAUUGUUCUGGGAGGUAACGACGAGUAAAGCCACACUUGGGAAGGAAACUUUUGACAUUAUCCUUGUUUGAUCAGGUGAGUGCACCACUCCCCUGAGUUAUUGUUAAACUGGUUUUCUGUACUUGCAACAUGCUAUUUGAAUAUCUUUCCUGACUGUUUAUCUUGUAUGAGACGAGGGUGUAGUUUAUCACACUCGUUCUCUUGCCUGUACUGAACAAACUGGAAUCUAUUACUUGUACUUGUUAUGUAUUUGAACUUGUUACUUGCACUUGUUAUGCGAUCGUUUGAAAGUGUGUCCACGAUCGUCCUGUUAAACCUGAGCUCAACCUCAUGGGGAGUUAAUUAAAUCGAGCCAUGCAAGGGCUUGGUCGAGAAAAUUGACAAUCCGUGGGUGCCUGUUUUUAUGGAAUCUUUGAGUAUUGAGACUCUUGAUUCCGGUAUACUCGAGUAUUACCAUUCCUGUUUCUAUUUGGCGUUCGGACCCGGUAAGGGGGUAUGAAUGGUGAACGGGAUUCGGCGUUAAAGCGGUGUUCUACUGGACUGGUUUUCUUUAGUUGAAAGUUGACGGAGGGUCAACGUAGUCGGAUGAAGUACUGUAACGGGAAAUUGGCUCCUGAGAGCCAUCUGUAUCCUUUCUAUCUAAGUUGUUUACAUAUCUCCUUAUUUGGUACACUUAUGUGAUUAAUUGAGCAUGAAGUUCCUUGGUCCUUGACUGUUAUUAUUUUUGGUACCUCAUUGAGCUUAUAGCUCACCCCGUUUUGUUAUCAUUGUUUUCCUUACAGGAAAAUCUUUUGGGAACAAUGAUGUUUGGAAGCAUGAGUUGAGCUAGAUAUAUAUUCUUUUGUAUAGCUCCUCAAUAGAUAGAAACCUUGAAUGUAUUUCGAUCCAACAACUCCCUUUUGAUUUGUAAAUUUGCAAUCAUGUAUUUAUAUAAUAUAUAAAAGUGUUUAAUCAUGUACAUGUGUUACCCCGCUCGAAUGUGUUCAUUCUUUAUGGCUACGUGGAGUUUAAUGAAAUUACUGAGGUUUCGGACGAGUAUAGUAUCCAAGUGUGAAAAGGAAAAAAAAAAUCGGCAGGGAUUUCGACAAUAUUAUGGGUUGGCAAGUUACAUUUAACUUGGAGGUUUCCCAAUCGUUCGUUUUCUUUGGUUUCUAUCACGCGUGCUAUAGAGUUGGGAGUGAUUUGACCCCGUAGUCCCGGCGAGAGUUGGGCAGGCGGUCCACCGAACCCUUUGGUUCGCCUUAGGGGGAGGUGGGGCUGUCACAGGUGGUAUCAGAGCUGCUUCGCGUGGUCUCUGCGCGGAGUGAGUUUGACCAAGUGGUGUUAUGGUCCCUAUUCCGUGAAUGUGUACGAAUGUUUAAGUGCUCUUUUGAGCAUAACCUUUGGAUCAUGAAAUGUUAUAGGUUUUAAACCUUUAUCAUGGUACUUGGAGACAAUAGAUCUGUAGGUCUGGUAAGAAUCUCGAUUGUAGAUGAAUUACUCUUGGGACUGGCCAGCCCGAGUUGUGAAUUAUCUUAUUUUGGGAUUCUUGUGCCCGACUACUAAAUAAAUGACUUGGGCGGACUAGAAAUUCGAUUCUAUGGAACGUCAUGUGAUGUGUUAGGGUUUCAUUACGAAUGAUUAACCAUGACUAAGAUAUAAAUUCUAUAUAACCGUUUUUAGUUGGUUACUCUUGUACCAUUGGCUUAGUUAGUAUCACGAAGGAUGUUUCCUUUUGCUUGUAUCUAAUUGACUGCUACUGUGUGAUCUGUUUGUGUUAGAUGUGUUAUAUGUAUAUUGCCUACUUUUAUCACUUGCACCUGCAUACUUUGGUUUUAAUACCGUAUUCGUGGUCCAACCCUAGAUUGGUUAAGCCAUAUGGAAGGCACCCGUAGUGGACGUGGUCGUGAUCGCUGAAUUAGGCAACCCACGACUGAAGGAGAUAUUAGGGGAACUACGUCUGAACCAAACUCUGAACCUAGGGUUGAUCCGAACGUACAAGUGGCCGCAGCCAUUCAACGAAUGACCGACCUUUUGGCUCACAUAGUAGAACAUCAAGGUCAACAUCCUAUUCAUCAGCCGAAAAAUCCUGGUAAUCAUACCGAGGGUGAGGAUAGAGCCCUCGAACGAUUUCAGAAGUUCUCCCCACCGCAAUUUCUUGGAGGACCAGACCCCGACGUGGGCGAGAGGUGGUUAGAGAAGUUGAUUGAUAUCUUUGCUGCGCUACACUGCACUGAGGAGCGACAGGUGACAUUUGUCGUCUUCUAACUGGAGGGAGCGGCCCGAUCUUGGUGGAACAUCAUAAGACUGAAAUGGGAAAGAGAACAAACCCCAAGGACGUGGGUGAAUUUCAUGAGAGAAUUCAACACGAAGUAUAUUCCACCCCUGAUCCAGGAAAAGAAGGAAGAUGAGUUUAUUCGAUUUCGCCAGGGAACUCAAACCGUUGCCGAAUAUGAAAACCAGUUCACCAGGUUGUCCAAGUUCGCUCCCGAGCUAAUCGUGACUGAGCAAAGGAGGAUAAGGCGUUUCGUCCAAAGAUUAAACGUUGAGAUUCAGAAGGACUUGGCCGUGGCCCAACUUAAUACUUUUAGUGAUGCGGUGGAGAAAGCUCAACGAGUUGAAAGUGCGAGGUUACAAGUUAAGAAUUUUCAAGUCAAGAAAAGGGGAUUUCCUGGAAGCCAUUCGGAGCAAGGAGAUAAAAGUACGCCUCCUAAGAUUGGAAGGGAAAAUGGAGGAGUACAACUACCUGGGAUGUCAAGUGGUGCCUCACAAAAAGGCUCAGUCUCCGCUUCCCGUAGUCCGUGCGGGUACUGUGGGAAGCCAAAUCACACGGAGGAUGUCUGCUGGAAGAAAGGAAGAAAAUGUCUGCGUUGUGGGAGCGCAGAUCAUCAAAUUGCAAAUUGCUCAGGCCAAACUCGAGAAGGGAGUAGGAGGCAACAGCCAACCACGACCAACCCUGACCAGUCGAAGGAGGAAAAGAAUGGAUCGAAAGUGUCAGUUCGGGUGUACUCCUUAGAACAACAUCAAGUUUCUGACCCAUUUGAGGACGUGGAAGAUAAGAUUCUGGUAUUCCACCGUUUGCUCACUGUUUGCAAUUUGGGAAGGAAGAAUUCAAUGAACAUGAAGGGAUACUGAUUGCGAUUGGUUAGCUAAGUAUGAUACUCAAUUUGACUGCGAGAAGGAAGUAGUAAAUUUUUGUAUCCCGAAUAAGGCAAUGAGAAGGAAUUUCGAGGACGAAAUUCUUUUAAGAGGGAGAGAGUGUGAGAGCCCGUAAAUUUUCUUAUUUUCUAGGCUUUACUUUAUUUAAUUGCACGCCUUUUAUGCAUUUUCUUUAUUAGAAAAAUUUUUCAGAUAAUUUUUAUGAGCAAAUAGAGUUUUCAAGUUAUUUUUCUAGUAUAAAUGAGUUCAUGAGAAUUUUGGAGCGUAUACCGGACGUGGGACCCGCUAGUUUGGAAAGUUCGGUAAAAAUUCGGCCAAUUGGGUUAAGUUUUGUAUACAGGGUUUAAUUUACUAGGUGCUAAGAGAUAAUUAGAGGAUACCAUAUGGAUGAGAGUUGAGGAAACAAAGGGAUAUUCAUGCAUUAAAUAGGGUGACAAGUGUCACCAUAUGAUUAAAUCUUGCAUUUUGACCACUAUUCAUUACCUUUACUAAAUACCAAAAUUUGACCACAAAUCAUCUUCAAUUUCUUGUGUCUUGGCCGAACCUUGGAAGGAAGAAAGAAGAAAAAAAAAAACUUCAUCUUGCACCAUUCUUUCUUGCUUCAAUCUUGGAUUCCAACCAUAAAUCUUGCAAACCUCUCCAUAUAAGUUGCUCUUUGGGGUAGAUUCAAGAUUGUGGUGGAGUGAUUUUUGGAGAAGAAAACCUAAGUUAUCAUCUUUCCUCAAGUUUCAAGGUAAAUUCCCUAAAACUUUCCUUUUACUCUUGAUAAUUGUCAAUUAAUGGAUUGGAAAGGUUAAAGGUGUAGUUUUGUGGAUAAGUUUAUGGUUUUAAGUAGGGUUAUGGUGAAUUUCAGUUUUUAUAGUAAAAUUUCUGUCCUCGUAUGAUGAUUAACGUUUGGGCAUGAUUUGGUAGUUGUUAUGAGCAAUUUUGAGCUUGAGAAUGCUAGUUUUGCUUGCCUUCAAAGAAUUUCAGCUUGUAUAGAAAAAUUUCUAGAUUAGGAUUUACAAUUUUCUCCAUUCUAGCUGGCACUGUUUCUCAUAUUUAGAGGCCGAAUUAGCCUUGGGUUAAAACAUGAAAGUUGUAGAGAAUGAUGUUUUAUAGUUUCCUUCAAAGUUUUAGCUCAAUCGGAGCAACGUAGCUUGUGAAAAAGACCAAAAUACCCUUGCUGCCCUGUUUCUAUCCGAACAUGCUAAUCAGCUUCUGUAAUUGGUUGUUUUGACCAGGAAUACUACUGAUUUGGUUGCCAAUGUCUUUUUAACAUUUAUACCCUUGUAUCUUAGCUUUCAAAGGGCUUUGGAAUCACUUGAAUUGGAGUUGUGUAUGAUGAGAUAUGACUGAAUGAAUCAGAACUGCCACAGUAAACUUCGAAUUGGAAAAUCUGGGGUUAUUUUGAUAACGUUUACCUAGAUACAUUGCAAACUGGACUGAGUGGCCUUCUUCAACAUUGUAGCCUUUUCUCUUAGCUUCGAAAUGGUGUAAAUUUCACCCCAAUCCGAUAAGUGUAGCUCCAGUUUUGUCCAUUCCGUUAAAUGACGUCAAAACUAUCUUUUGGUUUUAAGGUUUAUAAUUGGGGCUUUUCUAGGGUUCCUUUGUUGAGCUACCAUUUGGUUGUUUUGAAAGGUAUUGUGGCUCUAAUUAAAGGUAUUUGAUAGUUCGUGAUUGGGUGUUGAUGCUUGGUUGGAAAAGUAAAGAAAGACAAGGGGAAGUGCUGUCCAAAUGUUUGCAGGAGCUUCGGUGCAAUCUCGGGAGAUUUGCUAUAUCUUGAUGUAGAAAUGUCGGAAUUGAGUUCUGUUUAUUGCAUUUUAAACUAGAUUCAUAGGGUUAUAAACCAUGUAAAUUUUAGAUCCUGUUUCUGUCUGUCCAAUUUAUGGUGAUUUUUCAAAUUUGACAGAAAUCUUGUACCUGUUCUGUCCUCCACUGGAUAAAGCAGCAACUUGCGACUUGAAUUCGACUGACUUACGUUCUGAAUCUUACAAUAGUGUUUUCUGGAAAUUUAUAGCCCUUUGAAUGUAUUUUCCAACGGUAUAACUUUUAUUACUUUUGGACUUACAAAACUUGAGAUAUGAUUUUUCAUAUAAGGUCGCGCGGAACUGGAAAAAUUCUGUUUUCCUAGUAUUGAUCUUGCUUUCAUUAUCUACUUCAAAUUUGGAAUUGGUCAGUCAUUGUAGGAAGGGCUUUGAGGUUGUUCAUGCUUUUAAGACUACUUGUUACCUUUUCACUCCGAAGUCACCUCUUUGCUUUGCAUUAAUGAUUCUUUUGACUAGGCAUAUGGCUCGUAACCGAGUCUCACUUGCGAAUUCCAUACUCGGUCUUGGAGUCGAGUUUUAAGUGUUUGCCUUGAUUGUUCUAGGAGGUAACGACGAGUAAAGCCACACUUGGGAAGGAAACUUUUGACAUUAUCCUUGUUUGAUCAGGUGAGUGCACCACUCCCCUGAGUUACUGCUAAACUGGUUUUCUGUACUUGCAACAUGCUAUUUGAAUAUCUUUCCUGACUGUUUAUCUUGUAUGAGACGAGAGUGUAGUUUAUCACACUCGUUCUCUUGCCUGUACUGAACAAACUAGAAUCUAUUAUUUGUACUUGUUAUGUACUUGAACUUGUUACUUGCACUUGUUAUGGGAUCGUUUGGAAGUGUGUACACGAUCGUCCUGUUAAACUUGAUCGUCCUGUUAAACCUGAGCUCAACCUCAUGGGGAGUUAAUUAAAUCGAGCCAUGCAAGGGUUUGGUCGAGAAAAUUGAUAAUCCGUGGGUGCCUGUUUUUAUGGAAUCUUUGAGUAUUGAGACUCUUGAUUCCGGUAUACUCGAGUAUUACCAUUCCUGUUUCUAUUUGGUGUUCGGGUCCGGUAAGGGGGUAUGAAUGGUGAACGGGAUUCGGCGUUAAAGCGGUGUUCUACUGGACUAGUUUUCUUUAGUUGAAAGUUGACGGAGGGUCAACGUAGUCGGAUCAAGUACUGCAACGGGAAAUUGGCUCUUGAGAGCCAUCUGUAUCCUUUCUAUCUAAGUUGUUUACAUAUCUCCUUAUUUGGUACACUUAUAUGAUUAAUUGAGCAUGAAGUUCCUUGGUCCUUGACUGUUAUUAUUUUUGGUAUCUCAUUGAGCUUAUAACUCACCCCGUUUUGUUAUCAUUGUUUUCCUUACAGGAAAAUCUUUUGGGAACAAUGAUGUUUGGAAGCAUGAGUUGAGCUAGAUAUAUAUUCUUUUGUAUAGCUCCUCAAUAGAUAGAAACCUUGAAUGUAUUUCGAUCCAACAACUCCCUUUUGAUUUGUAAAUUUGCAAUCAUGUAUUUAUAUAUAUAUAUAUAAAAGUGUUUAAUCAUGUACAUGUGUUACCCCGCUCGAAUGUGUUCAUUCUUUAUGGCUACGUGGAGUUUAAUGAAAUUCUGAGGUUUCGGACGAGUAUAGUAUCCAAGUGUGAAAAGAAAAAAAAAAUCGGCAGGGAUUUCGACAAUAUUUUGGGUUGGCAAGUUACAUUUAACUUGGAGGUUUCCCAAUCGUUCAUUUUCUUUGGUUUCUAUCACGCGUGCUAUAGAGUUGGGAGUGAUUUGACCCCGUAGUCCCGGCGAGAGUUGGGCAAGCGAUCCGCCGAACCCUUUGGUUCGCCUUAGGGGGAGGUGGGGCUGUCACACGUUGAGUAUCUUCGGACGCGCAAAAAACCUAUCCUCGGACGUCCGACACUGAUAAGUCAGUACUUCUAAGAUCUCUAACCUCGAUCGGAAGCACAAUACCUGAGCACCGGACGUCCAACAAUCGUUGCAACACUUCGGACGACAAGCAUUAGAAGCACCGGACGUCCGAAAGAAUUAAUGAAGGAUUCCAAGUUUUACAUCAUAUGGUCGGACGCAUAUUCUGAUGCUGCCGGACGUCUUAAAGAUUUCAAGAAAAUUUCUUGAACUCACUACCUGCGUUCGGACGCACAAAACCAGCCUACCGGACGUUUUUACACUUCUAACGGCUAGUUGACUCUUCAGCUGCCUUGUGUCCGUUAGUGGCAUUAAUUGAAGAUGUUUUUGGUCUAUUAUAAAUAAGAUAAAAGUCAACCGCCAAAAGUAUUGAUACACAUUAAGUCUACAUCAGAUCUUGAGUGAUUCAAGCAUAAGAAUACUCCAAAAAGAAGAUUUGUACUCUUAGUUGUGUGAUCUUCAUUUAACUUUUCAAGUGUGAUUCAAUUUUUUCAAUAGUGUAACUUUGUGAGGGUUAUUCGAGUGAUUGUAAAACUUCCUUGCUUGAUCAAGUGUAUCUUGAGGCAAGGAGGAAGUGAUCCUUCCCGUGUACACAAGAGAUUGGUUGUAUGUUGAAUUAACUUGAAGGAGCUUACAAUAUAAAGGGAUAUUCAAACUCUAGUCGAGUUUGAGAUUUGGUUUGCUAUUCCAUCUUUUUAUUCACUGUUUUCCAACAUUAACUGUUUAUCUCUUCUGUUCUAAAUUACUUUCACUUUAUCAUAAAUUGUUCCUUGGUCUCGUUCUUUAGAAAAAUAGGGCUAGUUCAGAAAAAAAGUGAUUUAUAUUUUGGCUAGCUUUUAAAUCACCUAAUUCACCCCCCUCUUAGGUUGUUUUCGAUCCUUAUAAUUGAUAUCAGAGCUUGGUUUCCUUAAGAUUAAGCUCAAUCGGCUUAGGAGUAAAUAUGACAACCAACAAUGCCAUGUUCUUUGAGGGACAAUCAGUAACUAGACCUCCUAUAUUCAAUGGUUCAAACUAUGUGAGUUGGAAGGAAAUGAUGAUUAUUUUCUUACAAUCUAUUGAUAUUGAGCUAUGGUUUAUUGUCAAUGAAAGUCCGUUUGAUGCCUCUACUAUUGAUGCAAAUACAAACAGGCCGAGACCAAAAACAAGAAGGAAACUAAUUGCUGAAGAUAGAACUCAUCUCACUCUGAAUGCCAAGGCGAUGAAUGUACUGUACAGUGCUUUAGACUCAAACAAAUCUGUUAGAGUCAAGGGUUGCAAAUCUGCAAAAGAAAUCUGGGAUAAAUUUUGAGAAAUACACGAAAGAAGUGAAAAUAUGAGAGAACAGAAGAAGUCCAUUCUGGUCACGAAGUAUGAAUCCUUUAAGAUGGAACCUCACGAAAACAUCGAUAAGAUGUAUUGCAGAUUCAAUGAUCUUAUUAAGGAUCUACAAGUUCUUGAGAAAGAUUACUCUCUAGGUGAGAAAAACAGAAAAAUUCUGAAUGCUCUAUCAAAGGAUUGAGAGAGUAAAGUGACUGCCAUUGAGGAAGCCAAAGAUCUGAACACUUUAUCUAUUGAAUCCCUUAUAAAUUCACUAACCUCUUAUGAGCUAAAACUCAAGUCUAAGGUGCAGGAAGAAGAAAACACAAGAGUUAGAAAGAGCAUUGCUCUGAAAACUUCACAAGAAGAAGAUGAUACAAUCUCUCUGGAUGGAGAUGACAUGGAAGGUGAUGAUAGUGACAUUGCACUCAUCACAUGAGGCUUCAAAAGAAUACUCAACAAGAGAAGAUUCAGAAAAGGAGGACAUAGCAAUUCCUUUCCAAAUCAGUCCAACAACUUCAGAAAUAAAGGAAAGCUGGAAUUCAACAAAAAGCAAACUGAUAAGUGCUUUGAAUGCUGCCAACUUGGUCAUUAUGCAAAUGAAUGUCCAAUGAAGAAAAAGAAGGAGAACAAGAGUGAACGAAAACCAAAAUUCAACAAUUUCCAAAUCACCUGGAAUGACUGUCGCGCCCCACUUUUCGAUUGAAUUGCGUGAGUGAUGUGUUGUGUGUGUGAGUAGUGGAAUGUGAACGUGUGUAAAUGAAAAGUAAAAGGCCAUGGGACUUUGGAAAGCGACGAUUUGGCCAAAUGAAAUUUAAAAAGGGUUUUUAAAUAUAAAAACGGAGUCGCCACUUGGUAUAGAUUUGGGGUGUACCAAGUCACCCAAAAAGUGUUUUUUAAAGACAAAGUAGUAAAACCCUUUUUAAAACGACUCCUAGUCCACGUAAGCCAAAGAAAAAGGUUCGGGGGUCACGUUUGACAAAGGGGAAGGCAAGGAUAGAAUCCAAGGCACCCCUUUGACCUAGGCAAGGCUAGUUGCGCGACUUAACCCUACCUUUCCUAAUUUUCUACCCAAUAUAUGUUCGCACGUUGGAUAUGACUAUAUGAAUGCAAAACGGAAAGAAAAAUGCAAUCCUAAGUUCUACGAUGUCUCUCGUGAGGCUUUUGGUCCCAAACCACAUGAAUUGUGGCGGCCAACAAAGGAAAACCCCAUAGAGGUCGAUUAAUGCAAAUGAGACUCAAGUGUGCAAGUGUGAAAGUGUAUGAAAGAAAUUAAAAAUCCAAGUGUUUGUGUGCAAGUGUAUGAAAAGGUGCACGUGUGCAAUUGUAUGAAAAUUCCAAGUGUUCGUGUGCAAGUGUAUGAAAUAUAGUGAUAAGUGCAUAUAGGUGUGAGUGAAUGCAAUUUUGUGAAGUAGAAAAAAAAAUGAACAAUAAGGAAAGGAAAAUGUGAAUUGAAAAGAAUGAGUGAGUGAUAAAUGAGAAUGAAUGAACCUAAGGGAAUGCAUCAGGUCGGGUAUGGGAAUGACUCCUAACUUGUCGACUUCGAUUUUCCCUUUGAUUAGAAGGCAAAACUAGCGUGCUAAGGCUAUCGAGUAGCCACACUCGCUCGUUUCCCUUAUCAGAAGGGGACCCUCAAGCAAAUGGACCCUACAACUAUCAUGAUAUGCAAAAAUCCUAAAAUGAAGGGAAAGGGGGUUCGAGGAGCAUGCCAAGUGAUAAAACUAAGAAAAAUGCAUGAUAUGUGGUGAACAAGCAAAAGAUAUGCUAAUGAGGGGAAAUCCCUAAGGGUCUAGCGUUGGACUAGCCCAUUCUAUGAAUUCCGACUAGCGUUGGACUAGCGGAAACGUACAUUCAUCCAUUCCAUUCAUUCAUGGCUAUGAAAGCAAGUAGACAUGCCAAAAUAUUCGUAAACACAUAGCACAUAGCAUUUAGCAUGCUCGACUAGAUGCAAGAGCCUAAUAAAGCAAUUAAACAUGUAGCAACAAAAACAAGCAACCAGGGGGAAGGGGAAAUGGACCAGAUGCUCUCCGAGCACUAUCUAUUACAAGCCAAGAGGUGUACACAUACCCCAUAAAAGCAUAAAAGGGAAAGGGUGAAUGGACCAGAUGCUCUCCGAGCACUAUCUAUUACAAGCCAAGAGGUGUACACAUACCCCAUAAAAACUUAAAUAAAAGUAAAAAGCAAGUAAAUGCACGCAGGGAGGUAAGGAAAGCGAAGUAGACAUGCAUAUUCACAUAACACGUAGGAGCACGUAGGGUCAAAUGAAGUGCAAAUGAGGGAUAGAGUGUACCUCCCUUGAAGCGACGCCCUAACGUAGUGAAAUUACUAAUUUACCCUCCAAAAUAAUAAACAGGUCAAGGUACCACUUAAAUUAUCGAAUAAUCACACGAAACAACCAUUAAACACAAACAAAUGGAAAUUGAGCAUGAAACGAAAAUUAAAUAUGGAAUAGACCAUGCAUGUGCAAGCAAAACUCGGUCUCAAAUAAAAAGCCUCAAGAAUCUAAAAUGGAGUGCUAAAUUGAAAUGCUGUGAGUGGAAUCUAUCGCCAUCAAGUGCAAAAAAUCACGAAAGGAAGAAAUGGAAAAUUAUUAAAGUUUUAGAAACAAGAUUAACUAAGCAGAAUUUAAAUCAAACAAAAUCAAGACCACCAAUGCUUCCAAGCUACCAAACUUUCAUGAUUUGAUCCUAGAAUUCUAUUAGCAUUGUCCACAAUUCACAUGAAAAAACAUAUCAAGGCAUAAUUACACAAAAGAGAUCCAAUUGCGAAAAUUAAUCAACCAUGCAAGCCCAAUCAAAAUGUUCAAGGAAUUUUAAAAGGUCAAAUAGCAAAGAAAAAGUCAAGCCAUGGUUCCAAUUGCAACUAUCCUAGGAUCUAAUUGCAAGAAAUUUGAAUGUAAUUGGGCCUUAGUAGACCAAGAGGAGAUUUGGGGGAUCAAAGUCCAAUUUGUAGAAAUUACUUCAUGCAUAAGCAUGCAAUCACGUUGCUUUCUUUUUUAAACAAUGCUUCUGCAAUUCUCUUCGCUAAUCUUUGCAAUCUGCUAUGCCUUAUUACCAAAACGUUACCAACAAAAACAGCCACACUUUUGAGUCAAAUGAUCAUAGUCAUCCCCCCAUUCAUCAACCAAACCACAUACCAUGCUUUUAUGACAGAAUCAAGGCAGAAAAAACUGGAAUGAUAGCUGCCAAAAACCAAAGAGAUAACAGCAAAAAGAAAGAAACAAAGUGCAGCAAGAGUCUUCAGCCACCUUAAGGUUCGCUAGCAGCCUGGAGAACUUACGAUGGACUCCAGAAAACCACCCUAACAUCAUGAAUUAAACAUGCAAGCCAAUAACCUAUUCAAAGUUCAUUCCAGAUUCAUUCGAGAUUCCCUACUGCAAUCUUCUGGUUUCAUUAUGCAAGCCAAAUCAGCAAGUUACCAAGGUUUCAACUACUUGUUGCGGGUUUGAAGCCAAGCAUCUAAGUUAACCCAACAGCAAACGAAAGGGAAGAAAUGCAGCAAGGAACGCCAGAGGUUUCAUGCAAACGAAACUGAUCAUCAACGAUAUAAGCAAACAGCAAAACAGCAAUAGAGGAAAAGGAAAAAUGUGUCGCGAGUUUCUGCAAUUUUUUUUAGCCGCGGCUUUCCUUCCCUUUCAUCAUGCAAGUGAGUUCAACUUCCAAAAUUUUAACUACUGACUAAAUGAAACGCAGACCCUUGUUGCAGAAUUGAAACCAAACAUUUAAAUGGCCCAAUAGCAAAAGAAAAAGGAAUUUUUCAUGCAAGUUUCAUGCAAAGAAUGAGCUUCCUGCAACCGAGAGAUGCUGCAAUUUUUAUUCUGUUAAACCACUAUUCCAUCAGCAAAUUACACUCAAUUCAAAACUCCACCUUGACCUUAACAACAAAAUCACCAAACUCAAAGUCCAAAUAAACUAAACGACUUAGCAAGAGGAUAGGCAAUUCCAGAAAUUUCUGCUAUCGCUGUCAUGAACAACAAAGCAUCAUUUUUUGAUCACAAAUGCAAACACAACCCAUUUAAACAUGGUAGAAUGUGCACUAGACAUUCAAUGAAAGAACAUCAGCCACAAAUGGCCAACUACAUUAUCUGAAUAUGCGCUUGCAAACAUAAAAGACAGCCAAAGCAACGUGAGGAUUUACAGCAAUGUACUUCGCUAGGAGCUAAGUGCAAAGAAACAACCAAAGCUGUAAACUUUCUGCAAUUUUUCCUUUCGGCUAAGACACAGUCACGCAAGACACCAAUUCAUUAACCAAACUUCAGAAUUUUCAUUACCCAAAUAAGAACCAUCAAUCAUAUUGAAUCCAAAACAGAACCAGUAAACAGCAGAGGAAUGCAAACAACCGACUAAAGCAAGCAGCUUUCAACUAUAAAAAGGUGAAUACAAUACCUUGACCAAAGAAUGGAACGUGUGAUGACCAAGAAAAGGCUCAAAUGAUUCUUUUGGAUGCUCGAAAGAAAUGUCAGACGAUGCUGAAUGGAAGCCCAGUCGAUUCCUUCCUGCAACUUCCAGCCGAGGAUCCUUCUUGCUCCUUCCCAGUUUUCUCUUUCUUUUCCCGUAAGAUUUUUCUAUCCCAGCCGAAGAUCCCUCUUGCUUUCUCUACAUAGCUUUCUUGUUCUGUUCUCCUUCUAUUCUCCUUCUACCUAGCCCAGCCGCCAACUCUAUUCCCCCUCCACAACUUUCCAGCCGUCCGAAACCUCCCUCUCUCUCGCUUCAGUUCUUCUUUCACCUCCUCCGAGAGCCUCUCCCUUUUUUCCCUUUAAUCAGCCGCCCCCUCACUCUUCUGUAUGCCCCCUCUCUUUCAGUCUUUCUUUCACUCCUUCUCAACCUCUCCAAACCCCUAGCCGUUUCUUUUCUGGUUCCUUUCUACCUCUUAAGCCGCCGCCAACUUUCCCUUGGUAGGUUUCUUUUCUUUUGCUUGUGUUUCUCUCUUCCGAAUCUCCCCUGUUUGCGGCUGCCAAUCCCUUCUAUUUAUAUCAAGCACUCAACCCUAAAAACCUCAGCCACUUCCUCUGAAAUUUGCAGCUAAGGAGCUCCCCAAAGUUCACUUGCAAGCUGCGGCAAAAACGCAGCCUUCAUGCUGCGCGUUUUCACUUUUCCUUUUUUUUUUUUAACUUUCAACUUAAUAAAUACAGAAAUGAUAAAAUAUAAAUAAUAAUAAAAACAAAUUGACAAAAACCAAGUAAUAAUAAUAAUAAUAAUAAUGAAAAUAAUUUAAAAAACUAAACAACUAAAAACAACAAAAAUGGCCAUUUUUCCAUCUUUUUUGUUUCAUUUUUCAUUUUUUCAUUUUUUCCAAGAAAGCAUUGAAUUUAAAUUACAAACGACUAAAUCAUAUUUUUUGAAUGCUUUUUCUUUUCCCUUUUCAACAAAUUCUAUGAUAAAACUUAAAAAUAAAAAAUAAAACUGGAAACUAAAAACUAAAAAAUGAACACGACAAAUAAAAAACUAAAAAAUGAAAUUACACCAAAAAUUUGGUGUCUACAAUGACUGCAAUUCAGAAGGAGAAGUAGAGGAAGAAGAGGAAUCCGCCCAAGUGGCUUUCAUGGGCAUUGAAGAUGAAGAGGUAACCCAAUGUAACUCUCAAACUGAUAGUGAUAGUGAGUAUGAUGUUGAUAUUAAUUCUUUCCUAAAAAAAAUGCAUAACAGCUUAAAAGAAUUCUAUGUUAGAAACAAGGAAUUAAAACAGAAAAUUAGUUUUCUAAUACAAGAUAAUGCAAAUCUUUUUCGACAAAACAAGUGUCUUACGCAUGAAAAUGAGAACCUGAAAAGGAUUGAAACUGAUGUGCUUGCUGAACUUAACAAAAAGACAAAUCUCUGUGACAUGCUCAGAAGUGAACAAUGCAGCCUAAAAAAAAGGAUGGAUGAUUUAUGUCAAUUGUUACAACAUAUGAAACAGAACCGCCUUCAAAAGAAUGACACUGAACCUCACCUUAACACUCAUCGAAAAGAUUGAAUUAUAGUAAAAAUGAGUUUACUGUCUACAAGAGAAGGCAAGUCAGAUUCAUUAAACCUGUUCAUUUGAUUGAUCCAAUGACUGUAUGCAACUUUUAUUGUCAAUUUGGUCACAUGAAUAGCAACUGUUAUGUUAAGAAAAACAUGAGAAAUGGAAUGAGAUGCAUGUGGGUUGUUAGACAUAAUGCUAACCAUGAAGGACCCAAAAAGUAAUGGGUACCAAACAUUAUAUUGUGGACUACUGUGUAGGUGAACCUGGUGAACAUUGUUAAAGAAUCAAAAUGGUUCAUAGAUAGUGGAUGCUCAAGACAUAUGACUGGUGAUGCAUCACAGUUCAUCAAGCUCAAGCCAAAAACAAGUGGAAAGGUUACUUUUGGAGAUGAUAAUAAAGCCAAAACUGUUGGAAUUGGUGAUGUUGGUAAGAAUGGUCAAACUUUUGUUCAUAAUGUUCUUUUAGUCGACAACCUGAGUUACAAUUUGUUGAGUGUUAGUCAAUUAUGUGAUAGGAACCUGCUCGUGUUAUUUAAGAAACAUCAAUGCCUUGUUCUUGACUCAAAGUUUAACAUUAUUUUCAAAGGAAAAAGAGUUAAUGAUAUUUAUGUGGUGAUUCUUGAAAAAGUUGAUGCUUCCAGCCUUAGUUGUCUCAAAGUAGCAAAUGAGGAUCCCUGGUUAUGGCACAGAAGGCUUUGUCACUUCAAUAUGGAUUUGCUAAAAGAGGUUUCCAAAAAGGACCUGGUUAGAGGGAUUCCAAAACUCAAUUUUUGUAAAGAUCGCAUCUGUGAUGCUUGCCAAUUUGAAAAACAAGUCAAGGUAUCUUUUAAACCAAAAAAAUGUGUUUCUAUCUCAAAACCCUUAGAACUCCUACAUCUUAAUCUUUUUGGUCCAACUCAAACCACAAGCCUUGGUGGCAAGAGAUUCUGUUUUGUUGUUGUUGAUGACUAUUCUAGAUACACUUGGGUGAUGUUUCUUGCACAUAAAGAUGAUGAUUUCAAAAACUUUGUUUCCCUAUUUGCCAAGGUUCAAAAUCUGAUUGGUUUGAAAAUCAUAAAAAUAAGAAGUGACAAUGGCACAAAAUUUCAUUUUUGUGAAUUUCCAGAAUUUUGUGACAACAAUGGCAUUACACAUGAGUUUUCUAUUGCUAGAGUACUUCAGCAAAAUGGAGUGGUUGAGAGGAAAAAUAGAACUCUUCAAGAAGCUGCUAAAACCAUGCUUAGUGAAUGCAAUUUACCAAAGUACUUUUGGGCUGAAACUAUAAACACUGCAUGCUAUACCAUGAAUAGAGUUCUCUUAAGACCAAUCUUGAACAAGACUUCAUAUGAGCUGUUUUUGGUUGCAAAUGCUUCAUUCUGAACAUCAAGGAGCAUCUUGGUAAGUUUGAUAAAAAAUCUGAUGAGGGGAUCUUCUUGGGAUAUUGUGAAAAUAAGAGAGGCUUUAGAGUUUAUAAUCGUAGAACUCUGGUUAUAGAAGAAGCUAUACAUAUCACUUUUGAUGAAUCUAAUGGUGACACUUCCAUGAGUUGUGGUGAAGAUGAUGAUGCAGGUGUUCGAGAAGAAUUAAAGAAGCUAACAAUUAGCAAUCAAGGCACAGCUCCAUCAGAAAAUGAUUCAAAGGAAGAUGAAAAUCAAGACAGUCCUACUAGAGAAGACAAUGACAGUGACACUGCGAUUCCUAAUGAUCUUCCAAGAGUCUGAAAAUUCGUCCAAAAUCAUCCUAAGGAACUUAUCAUUGGGGAUCCAUCUGAAAAUGUCAGAACACGUUCCUCCUCUAGACAAUUAAUAGAUAACUUUGCAUUGGUCUCACAUUUUGAGCCCAAAAAUGUUGUUGAUGCAUUGAAUGAUGAGAGCUGGAUUUUGGCAAUGGAAGAGGAGUUAAAUCAAUUUGAAAGAAAUAAGGUUUGGACAUUAGUUGCUAGACCACAAGAUCAUCCUAUUAUUGGCACUAAAUGGGUUUUUAGAAACAAAAUGAAUGACAAAGUUGAGAUAGUUAGAAAUAAGGCCAGAUUGGUAGUUAAGGGUUACACUCAAGAAGAAGGAAUAGAUUUUGAUGAAUCAUUUGCACCCGUAGCUAGGUUAGAAUCUGUUAGAAUGUUUUUAGCUUUUGCAUGUUUCAAAAAUUUUAAAUUAUUUCAAAUGGAUGUUAAAAGUGUUUUCCUAAAUGGUUUUAUAGAUCAAGAAGUUUAUGUUGAUCAGCCCCCUGGUUUUGAAAAUGAGAAUUAUCCAAACCAUAUUUUUAAACUCUCAAAAGCUUUAUAUGGAUUAAAACAAGCUCCAAGAGCAUGAUAUGAACGCUUGAGUGGUUUUUUGAUUGAAAAUGGGUUCAAAAGAGGCAUAGUAGAUAUUACUCUUUUCACUAAACAAAAUUCACGUGAUCUUCUAAUUGUUCAAAUAUAUGUGGAUGAUAUUAUUUUUGGUGCUACUAAUGAGAAUUUGUGCAAGGAAUUUUUCAAAAUUAUGCAAAAAGAGUUUGAAAUGAGCAUGAUGGGAGAAUUAAAUUUCUUCCUUGGACUCCAAGUGGUUUAAACCAGAGAAGGAACGUUUAUCAAUCAAACAAAAUACACCAAAGAGCUGCUCAAAAGAUUUGGAAUGAAGGACUCAAAGUAGGUUGGAACACCUAUGUGCACAUCUACCAACCUCGACAAAGAUGAAGAAGGUACAAAAGUUGAUGAAAAGAAGUAUAGAGAUAUGAUUGGUAGUCUGCUUUAUUUAACUGCUAGUAGACCAGAUAUCAUGUUUGUUGUAUGCUUGUGUGCUCGUUUUCAGUCCUGUCCAAAGGAAUCACAUUUGAAUGCAGUAAAAAGAAUUCUUAGAUAUCUAAAAGGAACCUUGAAUUUUGGUCUUUGGUAUCCUAAGUGUAAUGAACUCCCAUUGAGUGGAUUCUCUGAUGCUGAUUUUGGUGGUUGUAGAGUUGAUAGAAAAAGUACAUCAGGAAUAUGUAGUUUUCUUGGAAACUGCUUAGUAUCUUGGUUCAGCAAGAAACAAAAUGCUAUUUCUCUUUCUACAACUGAAACAGAAUAUAUUGCUGCUGGUGCUUGUUGUGCUCAACUGUUAUGAAUGAAAAACACAUUGAAUGAUUUCGGACUAAUAUAUGAAUGUGUGCCUAUGUAUUAUGAUAAUACUAGUGCCAUAAAUUUAACAAAAAAUCCCAUUCAGCACUCUAGAACAAAGCAUAUAGACAUAAAGCAUCACUUCAUUCGUGAUCUUGUCCAAAAGAGAGAAAUCUGCGUUCAGUAUGUGUGUUCAAAAAAUCAAAUUGCUGAUAUUUUCACAAAAUCCCUUCCACUGGACCAAUUUGUGUAUCUUAGAACAAAACUGGGCGUCUGUGAAAAAGUUCUCUAAAAACUUCCAUCGGACGUCCGAUGUGUUAGAACGGACGUCCGACAGUGUUCUUCAUCAGUUUCCCCAGGAAAUUUUUGUUCGGACGAUUGUGUCGGACGCUUCAUUUUGUUCGGCCGUCCGACACUCAAUUUACUGCGUCUUAUAAAGAAGUCAUCCACUUCAUUCAGUUCAGUUACCUCCUUAGACUCGGACGCAACCCUUCGGUUCUCCUUCAAAUACAAAAUUCAAAUCAAUCUCUCCAGUAUUCAAGUUCCAAGGAAUUGAUCCAACCAUCUUCAUUACACCUCCAUUGACCGUUUUACUUCACUCAUAACACCCCAUAACUCCCAACUGCCUCAUAAUUCCCAAUUCAUACUAGAAACCCUAAUUUUUCCAAAUCCACUACCUGUAAUCAUCUCAAGCAUCCUCUGCAGUUCUUAACGCACUAGUAGUCAAUUUGACACGCAUCUGCACUACACUGCAUCUCAAAAAUCAACUGCAUUACAUCAUGGUGAGAGUUAGAGGCGGUUCAGCAAGUGCCAGACGCACAUUUAGACUCAGGGAUGAAGAUGUUGAGAUCGUAGAACCUUCCACCAGGGUAUCCAAAAAGAGGACAGGGACUCGUGGUGGAAAGGCAAAGCAACCUGCAAAGAAGAUACAGGAUGCUCCAACUGCUGAUCCAUCUCCUGUACAAGUGGAAGCACAUCAAACUGAGGAACAAAUUGCUGAGGAACAGCAAACACCUGAACCCUCUACCAGAAAAUCACCGAGGACAAGGUCUGAUGCUCAGACUACUGGGUCAUCUGCCAAACAAAGUACAAAAAGGAAACGCACUUCAAAGGAACCAGCGGCUCAGCCUGUCAAAGAACCUACAUCCCUGCCAAAGUUCAUUGAUGACGAGGCCAGAGAUAGAUUUGAGUUAAUCUCUCAAAAAGGAUUCAUUAUUCAGAGGUCUGUCAUCCCAUAUGAAUUUUGUAAGAUUGAUUUAAAACCUGUGCUUAAGCUUUUUGAGUCCCAAAAAUGGACUCACCUCCUGACUAUCCCACACACCUUCUACCCUGACAUGCUUUACCAGUUUUUUGCAAAUCUUAGGAAAGGAAACUCACACACCGAGCUUAUCUCUAGAGUCAAUUCUGUUGAUAUCACUUUAACUCCUGAUGUCAUUAACUCUGUUUUAAAAACUAAGAUUGAAGAUGGUUUCAGAGGAAAAAUUACAAAUUUCUUUUCAUAUGAAGAAUUCCCCUCUACUUACCAUCAUAUUCACAUCUCCAAAUUAAUGACUUACUUUCGCACUCACUUCAACACUCCUGCUGAGGCGAGAUUAGAGGAUCUCAAUCUUCAGAACUUGAUUAUCUUCACAAUUGUUUCCAAUUUGUUGGUAUCCACUGAUGGUCACAGAAUCGAUGCAAACAAAAUGAAAUUGUAUCUGUUUUACUAUUUUGUGGAAAAGAUCAGAAUCGAUUUUGGUUUUGUGAUGUGCAAAUUCCUGCUUAAGAUUAGUACCGACAGUCGUAGGAAGCUUUCCUAUGGAAAAUUCCUGACUCCCAUCUUUGCUCACAUUGAAAUUCCCUUCACUGGAAAGUCUCCUAGAGAUAGUGCCUCAACUGUUUUCUCAAAGGCCUAUUUUGAACGAAAAACUUUGAAGUUUUUUGAGGGUCACUGGUGUCACAAGGAACCUUUGACAGAGUUCAGAAGAAAGAGCCUUCACGAAACUCCAGUCACUCCUAGGACCUCUCGGGAUCAAUCCAUGUAUAUCUCUCCUUUCACCAUUCACCCUAGAAAAUCAGCCAACAAGUCCUUUGUAUACAACUUUGAGGUCAUCACGUUGCUUGAAGACCUCAAGCAACAUGUUAUGCUCAUUGAAGAUGGUCUAAUGUCGACCAUGACACCUGACCGGCAGGCUUCCUUCAUUGAGAAAUGAAAUCUUCUUGUGCCUCCCAUUCCUGUGAACAAUGAACAUGCUCAUCAAAAAGAGCCCAGAAUUGAGCCUACUGAGCACACUCCUGGUACUGAAGCUACUCCAGAAGCUCAUGCCUCCAGUUCUCAACCCAAGAAUAAAGGAAAAGCUCCCAUCUCUGAAGAGGCGACUGAAGUUGAUGCUGAAGAUACUGAAGAGGAAGAUCAUGUGGAUCCUGAGCAAUUUCGUCUGACUAGGAGAAGGCCUGGAUCAUCCAAGAUCACCAUAUAGGCACUACUAGGCCACUGCACUUCAUUAGUAGUUCUCAAUAAUUCUCUUUUGCAUAUUUUGCUUUUAAAAGACAUCUGGUGUGUUUGUUAAUUUUAAGGAGUUUACUCCUCUACUGGUCUGUAAAAAUAUUUAGCUAUCCGUUGUUGGAAGAUGUUUCUAUAUUUUGGUUGUGUCUCUCUUGUCAUAAAUGGAUGUUGUCUCUCUUGUCUUAAAUGGAUGUCUUAAAUCCGUUGUUAGCUAUCUCUCUUGUCUGUGUAUGUUAGUUCUUGUUGAUUGCUGUCAUUUGUUACUGCUCUGAUCUUAGUUCUGAUUGAUUUUGGUUCUGAUAUGGAUAUUGCUGUUAUGAUGACAAAAAGGGGGAGAAACAUGGAUGGAAUCAGGAUAUGAAUCUAAUCUAUAUGUGAGGGGGAGUCAAGUAAAUUUUUCUGUGGGGUAUGGAAAAUUUUCUGAGGGGGAGUCACUGAAGGGAUGUGGAUAUCAUUCUGAGGGGGAGUUGUAAAUACUCCAAGGCCUCUCUAAGAAAAGGGAAACUAUAUCAAAAUUCCCUCACUUCAUCCAUUGUUUUGUCAUCAUCAAAAAGGGGGAGAUUGUUUAUCUUUGUUCAUACCUUUUGAUGAUUACAAAACAAGUGGAUAAAACUAAUGUUUUCCAAGCUUGUUUUUGGUCAGAAAAUGGAGCAAGACAGGUUCAAAGGCCAAGCAUCUGCUAAAACAUCUGUCGGACGCACAAAUACAUCCUAUCGGCCAUCCGAUAACCGUUGAGUAUCUUCGGACGCGCAAAGAACCUAUCCUCGGACGUCCGAAGCUGAUAAGUCAGUACUUCUAAGAUCUCUAACCUCGAUCAGACGCACAAUACCUGAGCACCGGACGUCCGACAAUCGUUGCAACACUUCGGACGACAAGCAUUAGAAGCAUCGGACGUCCGAAAGAAUUAAUGAAGGAUUCCAAGUUUUACAUCAUAUGGUCGGACGCAUAUUCUGAUGCUGCCGGACGUCCUAAAGAUUUCAAGAAAAUUUCUUGAACCCACUACCUGCGUUCGGACGCACAAAACCAGCCUACCGGACGUCCGACACUACUAACGACUAGUUGACUCUUCAUCUGCCUUGUGUCCGUUAGUGGCAUUAAUUGAAGAUGUUUUUGGUCUAUUAUAAAUAGGAUAAAAGUCAACCACCAAAAGUAUUGAUACACAUUAAGUCUACAUCAGAUCUUGAGUGAUUCAAGCAUAAGAAUACUCCAAAAAGAAGAUUUGUACUCUUAGUUGUGUGAUCUUCAUUUAGCUUUUCAAGUAUGAAUCAAUUUCUUCAAUAAUGUAGCUUUGUGAGGGUUAUUCGAGUGAUUGUAAAACUUCCUUGCUUGAUCAAAUGUAUCUUGAGGCAAGGAGGAAGUGAUCCUUUCCGUGUACACAAGAGAUUGGUUGUAUGUUGAAUCAACUUGAAGGAGCUUACAAUAUAAAGAGAUAUUCAAACUCUAGUCGAGUUUGAGAUUUGGUUUGCUAUUCCAUCUUCUUAUUCACUGUUUUGCAACAUUAACUGUUUAUCUCUUCUGCUCUAAAUUACUUCCGCUUUAUCAUAAAUUGUUCCUUGGUCUAGUUCUUUAGAAAAAGAGGGCUAGUUCAGAAAAAAAGUGAUUUAUAUUUUGGUUAGCUUUUAAACCACCUAAUUCACCCCCCUUCUUAGGUUGUCUUCGAUCCUUACAAAAUGAUAGUUGUUUAUAUUCUUAUCACUCAAUGAUGAGAGUGGUCUAUAAUUUAAAUGAUUGAGAUAUAUAGCCAUCCAAAUAUAAAUUUAAUACGAGGGUAUGAUACCUAAAAGUGACUAUAGAAUCUCCCUAAAUGAUAAAUAAUGUGAAUUAGAUAUUCCCUCAAAAACUUGUAAAGUACUUAAUGUAUAUACGGGUAAAUUCUUGCAAUAGUGAAAGGAAAAUAUCGUACUAGCCUUGAAUUUUUGGCUAUGUAUUGACUUUUGUUAGCUAAAUUAAACUAUCCUGGAGUGAAGACAUAAAAUCUGCUACAAAUAUUGAAAGAAUUGUGAACAUAGCUAACUUAUCUAGCAUACAAAUUUUUUCUCGAGUUUGAGUUCUCUCACUUAUACUAUAAAAACAAAAAAACUAUCGUACAUUUAACUUCCAACUAACAACGAUGUAUAGAUAACAAAUUAUAUGCAUGGGAUAUUCCCAUAAAUAAAUGAAAUAUAUUUAAGUGAGAAAGAGUAAAUUCUUAAAUUAAGAAGAAAUAAUAUUAUAGUACCUGUCAAUUUGAUUAUAUGACUUUUUGGUUUGUCUUUACUCAUGAUAGCCAAUUAUAUAUGUUAUUUUGAUGUAAAAAUAUCCAAAAAUGGUUAAAUACAAUGAGGGACAUUAUUAUUAUUACUCGGAUUAAGCAUGUCAAUGGGUAGGGUCUGGUUUGGAUCCCUUUGAUCCAGAUCCAAACCCAUUUAAUUUAGUUAGAUUCAGACCUAAAUCUAUACCUUUUUUGGUUUAGAAAGGUAAGGCCAUACCUAGACCCUUAUGGAUCUGGAUAUCCAAUGGACAUCCAUGAAUAUUUUUGAACAUACUAAAGUAAAAAUGUAUUUAAAAUAUAUAGAGUUCAUAAAUAAUAUAAAUACUAUUCAAUUUUUGUUUUCAAAUAAAACAUUAACAUUUGACAAGUUGAAUGCAAUAUUGUGAACUCAAAGAAAGAAUUAUUAUUGACUAUUUUUAUAUAUUUUCAAAGAUUCAACUGCAUCCAUACCUAAUAUUUUAUUUGUUUGCCUUUACUUUUUCUCCUUUUCUUGAAAAGUUUGAACAAAUUACAAUGACAACCAGGAUUAGUUUUUAAAAAAAGAAAACAACCAUAACAUAUAUAAAUAUUUAAUCUCAUUAAAAAAAUGUAAUUUUGUACCUCUUAUUCUUAUUUAAACUUCAAUAUUGGUAUAUGUCUCGCAAUCCAGCACUAAAAUAGUGAAUGAGAUAAAAAUCAUUUGACUAAGGACCUAACAAAUAAAUAUUAGAAUAAGAAGAUUUACAAAUACUUAUUAAUUUUUUGGGUAAAAUACCAAAAAACUCCUUGUGGUUUACUAAAUGUUUAAUUUAACUCUCUUUGGUUUGGAAACCUACACUAUAACUCCCAGUGAUUUUAACUAAUUUGAAAAUUGGACGGAAAACAUCCAAUCUAAUGGUUAUACGUGAAAUGUCAAUAUUGCCCCUAUAUAAAUGAACUCCCUAUGGUUUGUCAAAUGGUCAAUUUAACACCCUCUAGUUUGAAAAAUUACACUAUAACUCCCUGUGGUUUCGACUAAAUUGAAAAUUGAAUGGAAGCAUCUUACAUAUAGUAAGGACAAUAUUGAAAUUUCACACACAACCGUUAGAUUGGAUGCUUUCUGUCCAAUUUUCAAUUUAGUCAACAUCACAGGGAGUUAUAGUGUAGGUUUCCAAACUAGAGGGAGUUAGAUUGAAUUUUUAUCAAAUCACAAGGAGUUUUUUGGUAUUUUACCCUAAUUUUCUUUGAUUCAAUUCAAUCAUCACUAGUCACUAAUGUUUCAACCAUGUCUAGAAGCAGUUUGACAUGAGUCUCUUCAAUCACCAAACCAUCAAUACUAAAUGUAGAUUCUAAUACCAUAAUAUCUUACUAUAUUCGAUCCAAUAACCAUAAAAUAUUAGAUUAUUUUAUAAAUUUACUAAUAUAUAUAUUAUUUAAUUAAAUAUAUAUAUGGAUUUGGGUAAAGUUUGGUAUGAGUUUGGAUUUGGAUAUGGAUUCUAUAAAACUAGACCUUACCUAGACCCACGACUCUUUCACAGGGUCUGGGUCUGGGUAUGAGUAGGGUCUAGAUUUGAGAAAUUAAAUCCAAACCCUACCCAAAUAUAGUGGGUCUGGGUUGGAUCUGGAUAAGAUUCGACCCAUUGACAUGCCUAACUCCAGAUACCUCAAUAUUUAUAAAAUUUGUUAAAUUGGAAUCCAUUUGGAUUUGACAGUAUUUUGAAAAAUUAUUUUUGUUUUUUAGGUUUACAGUAAUAAAUUUUACAAACAACCUUAAAAACAAUUCAAAAAAUGCAACAUAUUUCAAAUACAUUAAAAAAUAAUUAAAAAAUUCCCUCAUUCUUCUUCCCCACACUACCCACUACAACCACCACCACCACCACCCAUUACUCUCCACUACCACAGCCAUCCCCACACCCAGGACCCUCCUUCCUCUCUCCCCUCUCCUCUCUCUCUCUCUCUCUCUCUCUCUUUCUCUCUCUCUCCCCCUACUAAUUCUCCUUCUCUUUUCUUCUUCCUCCUCUCCCUUGUCCUUCCUCCCUUCUCCCUUUCCUUUCCCCCCCCCCAAUCCCAUCUCCCGUCUACUGACCGCAACCUUCCCGGUCGUGACUAGAAAGGUCGCUAGAAGCUGCGACUGGUGGCUUCCGGCCACAACCAAGAAGGUUGUGGCUGGAGUCUCAGAUGGAGUCGCAACCACCAGGGGAGACUCAGGUGGAGUCUCAGGGGAGAGGGGUUUGGGGGCGGGAGAGGAGAAGGAAAGGAGGGAGUAGAAGAGGAAAGAGGAGCGAGAAGGAAGAGGAAGGGGAGGAAAGAGAGGGAGGGAAAAAGAGAGAUAGAGGGGAGGAGUAGGAAGGGAGUGGCGGCAGCGGGUGGUGGUGAUAGGUGAUGUAAAAUUUUUAAAAAAUACCCCAUAAAGUUGUUGCAAAAUAUAUUUUAAAAAUAUUCCAAAAUAUAUUUUGAAAAGCCCUGAAAAUACUUUUAAAAACACCUCAAAAAACAUCUAUAGUAAAAGUUUUUUUUAUAUAUAGUUGCAGUAAACUUUUUGAAAGACACCCCCAGAAACAGCUAGUCCAAACAGAGUCUUGAGUUUUGAGAUUAAGGUGCAAUGAUUGACUACUUUUAGGUCAAAACAAAGCUUGGCCGAAAGUUUAGUGGGUUAAAAUAUAAUUUUAAAAAUUAAUCAUUUUCCCUAAUCCUCACAGCUGCAAUGGGGACACUGGUCGCCCAUCUUCAACCACCACCAACACUGCUUUUCAAGAUCAAUUCUUGUCCAACACUCAUUUUAUUCGCUUGAGUCAUGAUUAUGGCAUCAUUUUUCAUCAAUUUAAACCCUUUGACGAUACAAAAACAAGGUCACAAUUGAAAUUUUGAUUUGAAAAUUUGAAACUUUCGGGAUUGCCUCCUGCUAUGGGCUUGUCUCAGACUCGGGCAUAUGCCCAAACAAAUUCAUCAACCAACUCUCACUCUGCCAAGGCACUCAAUCAACCCCUUUAAAACAAUUUUGAAGACACUCAAUACUAGGGUUGGACAAAAAUACCCGUUUACUCAAAAAUCCAUCAUAUUCGAUUCGAUUCGAUUCGAUUCAACAAAUAGGGUAUCCGAUGUGCAUUAUUUGAUUAGGUCAAAAGAGGGUUAGGUAAUUACUUAUAUGCGAUGUAAGGUAGGGUUACAUGAUUAAGAAUCCGUGGGUAUCCAACGCGUCACACAAAUAUAUAUUUUAUUUUUUAUUUUUAUACACAUAUUACAAAAUAAUACUUUUGGAGCUAAAUAAGUAAUUUUAUUGAAGAAGCUAUAUUAUAAAUAUGAAAAUUAUAGUUUGUUUAUAAGAUUCAUUUAUAGAGGUCGUGAUCUUUUUUUCUUUUAGGAAAGAGUUUAAUUAAUGUAGAAUAUAUACUUUUAAAAAGGUACUAUUUAGUUGAAAUUUUCAUUGAUUUUGAAUUAUUUUAAUUAUUUUCUUUUUCUUGUAUUCUCUUCGCAUAUUUGUUUUUUGGUAGGAGACUUUUUUUGAGAAAAAAAUCUUUAUUAAGUCUUAGAUAAAUAUUCAAAAUACAAAAUUAAAUUACUAUAAAUUAUCUUUUUUUAAAACUAAAUGAUAACCAAGGCGACGCAGGUACCUGUUAAGCCGACCCUACCUUAACAAAUAUCCGUUCGUAUGCGGAAUGGGUAAGGGUCAAAAAACAACUGACCUGCAAGGUGCAGGUCUAGUCAGCCAAAUAAUGCAUAGAACAUGUACUACUCAACCCAUACUCACCCCUACCCAAAACAAAUCUUAAUAAUCAUAAAAUAGCAACCAGAACAUGCAAAAUCCAAUUUUCAAAUUUCUCCUCAAGAUUUAGCAUCAAAUUUUACAAAAAUUACACAAAAAAAUCCAAUCAACAAAUAAAUACUCAAGCACUGAAUUGGCAUUAUACUGUAUUUGUGCAGCACCGAAUUGACAUUAUCUGACUUGUAUGUAUGGCGAAAGAGAGGAACUAUGGAGAGGAGGGGGAGGAGGGAGAAGGAUGUUGAGAGUAAGGGAGGAGAUGAAUCAGAAAAUUUAGAUAUUUUUUCUUUUUAUUUUUCUAUAUUUUCUUUUAACCGUAUUUGUAGGUA
Molecule: long non-coding RNA, 232408 nt
Filed under: Coffea arabica (coffee)
Lineage: Eukaryota; Viridiplantae; Streptophyta; Magnoliopsida; Gentianales; Rubiaceae
Description: long non-coding RNA (CARA_LNC001747)
Rfam family: Plant small nucleolar RNA R71 (bases 147648-147754)
Source: RNAcentral